UUUUUUUUUUUUUUUUAUGAUUUACUUUUCUGCUUUAGUUGGUGAACCUAAGCACAUGAAACUUCCUUGUUAGUGAACCUAUCAUCGUCAAUGGCCCUGUCAGCGUGGUCUACUAAGUAACACUUUUAUGCAUUGUUUAUUCCUUACUCUAAGCUUGAUGCAAGUUAGGUUAGACCAUUGUCGACAUUUUGCCGUGUUAUAUUGAGGAUGAGGAAUCAAAUCAGAAUAUUUCAUAAAGAUGUGCAUGACGUCAUUUUUGGAGUUAUUUAAACCAUAUUACAAAGGGAUGUCAUCGAAAUACCAUAAGAGAUCAAGUUUACUCAACAGUCAACACUUGAUCUUGAUGAACAGACCCAUUUUCGCUAGUCCCCCAAUAAGAGUACCAAAGGAACACAAAUUAGGAGAGUGAAACAUGCUAACCAAAGCAAACCAAAACUUUCAUAUAUGAUACCUCUAAUCAAGUCCCCAAGCACACUAACAACAAAGUCUAAAUAUACUAAUACAAUCACGAUGCAUACAAUGUCUCAAUAGCUUAUAAACAGUGAAAGUCAAAUGGGGUAAACAAAGAGACAAAGUACUCAAAAUCAAGAGCAUUAAGAUCGUGUAACCGUGCAUAAAUUUAAAACAACAAUUUAGAUUUCUAAAUGGGCUUAAAUGUCAACAUAGUCCCUAUGUUUUACUUUAUUGGCCAAUUUAGACCCUGUGUUUUCAAUUCAACCAAAUUGGUCCCUAUGUUUAUAUAUGUUAGCCAAUUCAAGGUAAUCCGUUAAAAGACUGUUAAAAUUGACAUGUGCCAGACACAUGAGAGGACAAAAAUAUAAUUUUAUUGUACACCCACUAAACAGAUACAAUGCAUAUCUUUAAGAAUUGAUGCUUCGUUCGUUCAGUUCACUUGAUUACUAUGUGAUUUAGGGUUUCAACAUCCGUCAGGUCAGAAGUUGUGGGGUUGCCAACUGAGAUUUUGGUGAAUACUCCAGAGAAGAUGACAAGUCGACGAAUUGAACCAAACAACCAAGGUGACGAUCGCGGCUUUCAAUAUUGUUGAGACAAGGCCAAGUACAACCCCAACUUCUUUGCAAGCUAGGUUUCCAUUGCCUCAAGUAGUCCCAGGCUCUAGUAUAUACAUGCCUAGAAUAUCCAGGCUAAGCAUACAAACUAUGCCUUCAACUUCAAGUACGUAUGGAACUUCACAUUCAUGGAAACCACCUGGCAAAGCUGUUCAUACAACGAACGCAACUACAAGUUCGAAGAAAAAUAAUAUUUGAUUAUAGUUUGAGUUGUUUUAGUUUUUCUUUGGCAGUAGGGAUUCUGUUAAGUUUUAUCUAUGUGACGAAAAAAGACCAUGUAGUACUUGUUUUUGGUGGAGUUCAAAGCAACUUCAUUUUAUAUUGUUUGGAAUUAAAGCAUGGGUUUUAUUUUUUACGUUUACAAAAGCAUGAAAUUAGUUUUCUUUGUGAUCAUGCUAGAGUUCACUUUGAAGUUGCUUUUUGUUUUCGUUUGUGCAUAUAGGAAUAUACUUGUGAUCAAGUUUAUGUGUAGAUUUAAUUGGAACAAAUGUAGUCUCAUUUAUACUGAAAGCAAACAAUAGUCAACAAUAAUCUCAUAUUUAAAAUUUAAAUGAAUGAUUUUCUCUAUUUAUGUACUUGUGACCAAGUUUAGUGGUUGUAUAAUAAAAUUACAUUUUUGUCCUCUCAUGUGCCAAGCACAUGUCAAUUUUAACUUUCUUUUAACUAAUUGUCUUGAAUUGGCUAACGGAUAUAAACACAGGGACCAAUUUGGCCAAAUUGAAAACACAAAGACUAAAUUGGCCGAUAGAGUAAAACACAAGGACCAUGUUGACAUUUAAGCCUUCUAAAUAUAGCCUAAGGGUAUAUACUCGGAAAAAAAAAUACAAAACACAUCUUUAAAAUUAGGCUAACACUGUCACUAGUACUGCACUUGUAUGAAGGUUUUGGAUUCGAUUCUCACUAAAAGCAAAUUUAAACCACAUUAUUGCUAGCCUAUUGUGAGACUUAUCCCACUCUUCACCCUUUAGUAUAGAUAAUAUCGUUUGCUCAAAAAAAAAAAAGGCUAACACAUUAUCAUAAAAGUAAGAAAGCCAAUAGACCUGGAUUGAUAUGCAUAAACUUCAUGAUAAAUCUAAUAAUUGAUGACAAAUUAAAUUGGAUCUAUAUCUAAUUAUCUCGUGGUUAGGCGUGGAUUUAAGAUGGACCUUAUUUGAAGUAUAAUAGUGGUAAUUAAGAAUGCUUGAUCGUUCAAUUAACUAGCUAAGACGACAUAAUGCAACAUAGGGCACCAAUUUGCAGUGUAUAUAUAAAUUGUUCUAGUUGUUAUAUACAUACCAGCAGUACGUUAAAAAAAAAGGAUCCAAAGGACUAAUUAAAAUCGAAUUAUAUAUAUACUAAUUAAUUGAUUCAUUAGAUCUUAGACUUCAAGAAGCAGAGUUACAUAGAAAUCAAAGGGGAUUAGAAGUUGUCUAGGAAUCGCCUCGAUGAAAUAAUUGUGAAUGUGAUGAUGUGAGUCAACUCAAGCUCAAGAUAGCCUAGGCGGUAUAUGAAUGGGUGAUGCAUGGUUGACAUGAGGCAUUUCGUGUCAAUAGUACAAGGGCAAGUUGGGGUGGGGUCGGGAGGAACAAAGUGUUCGGCCGCACAGAACUCUAAAGUUUAAGAAAAGCUUUUGUUAUCUAAUAUAAAUUGCAACAUUAUAUUUGAAUAUGACUGAAGAAUAAAAUUACAUAGUUAAACACGAAAAAAAUAAAAGAGAAAUUCAAGACCUACACUUACCCCUUUAACAACUUUCCCAUUUUUCGGAAAAAAAAAAAGAAAAAAACUUUUCCACUUUUUUUUUUAUUUUUUUAACAAUUUAAUAAUACUUUAGUGGGCCUUACAAUUAUAAUUUAAUUGAUAAUUUUGCACCAAAAAAUGUACGGAUAUUCAUCUUUAAGUGAAACUUUAAUGUUGUACUUUUUGCAGGUUUUGUUUAUUUGGUCUUUUAAGAUUGAACUGAUUGUUGAUUAUUUAGUAAUGAUUAUUUUUGUAGCUUUCUUUACUUAUUAUGUAAUGAAAUUUGGAAACUCAUAAUUAGCAUGAGUUUUAAAGUUUGUUUGAGUUUUAAUUAUUGCUCUAUGGUAUCAAUAUAAUAAAUAUAUUUUCUGUCAAUAUACUGUAUCCCCACUUUGCGUCUAAGAAAACCUGCGGGUGGUGUGCCCAACGAAGCAGACCUUUUCUGUUUAAUGGAAGUAAUUUUAAUCUUUUGUGUGCUAGCGUUAAGGUAGACCUUUUCUAUUUAAUGGAAACCAAAAUAGAUGCAGAGAAAGUCCAGGUAAACUUUUAUGGAAGGUUUUUUUUUAUAAGAUGUUUAGUUGUAGCCCUACUGGUAGGGCUGGUGGUCUUUGUUUAGUUUGGAACUCGUGCAAAGUUGUAGUUGCUGUUAUCACUUCUACUUCUCGUUAUUUGCAUUGUUUAGUGAAUGAUCCUUGUUCUAAUCAAGAUCAGUUUUUGUACUUUUGUGUAUGCUUUUCCUAAAAAACAGUUACAAUUGGAAUUGUGGAAGGAUAUUCUUAAACUAGACCCUAAGAAUAAACCAUGGUGUUUAAUGGGGGAUUUCAAUAAUAUAUUAGACAUAACUGAGAAGAAAGGUGGUUGCCAAGCUACAACUUCAUAUAUGACCAGGUUCAUCAAUUUUUCAAACAGAGGAAACCUUUUAUCUCUAAAUGCUUAUGGUGUCCCUUUUACUUGGUGUAAUAACCAAGUUGAUAUCAACAGAAUUUAUGAGAGACUUGAUAGGCUUUAGCUAAUACCAGUGGUGGAUCCAGGAAUCUUACCCCAAGGGGUCGCAGUGUAAAAGUUCAAAUAAAAAUUUAGGAUGGAAAAACAUAUUGAAAAUGAAAUCAUAGUACUUUCAUUCAUAAUUCAUAAUGGAAACAAUAUUACAAACUAUAAUUGUCCACGACGAGGUUUCAUAUUUUGAAAACGAAGCAUUAUAGCUUCAUUUUCAAUACAAGCAAAAAUAUCUCUCUCAAUAUAAACAAGCAAGCUAUCACUCAACCAUUGAUCUCCCAUUUUGUUCCUAAGUGGACCCUUAACAAUAUUCAUAACAGAAAAUGCUCUCUCCACUGAAGCAGUUGCAACUGGUAAAACUAAAGACAAUGAAAUGAGCAAAUAUACAUAAUUGAAUACUUGAUGCAUUCUUGUCUCCACCAUUUUUUUUUGCAAGAUCACCAAUCCCUUCCAAUUGAGAGAAAUCACUACUGGAACACACAUAAUGAAUAUAAAUCUCAAGUUGAUCUUCAAGUGCCAAACGAUCUUCAUCCGAAAAGUCUUGAGGAUAAAAUUGAGCAAGACGAAGUAACUUUGGUUUAUCAAAAGCUACAAAUGAAUCUUUCGGACUCAAACAUGCCAUACAAAUAAGCAACUCGGUAUUUACCUCAUUAAAGCGAUCCUCUAACUCCGUAAUUUGCUCAUCAAUGACAUAAAUAAAGAGCUCCACACGAUAAUGAUGACGAUUUGUCUUUAUUGGAGCAUAACGCCUUGACCUCCCUGGAAGUAUAAAUGCAUCUUCCAUGUUAGGAACAUCAAUAUGAUGUUUUUCACAAAAAGAAGAUACUUCAUCAACCAAUGCAUCGAACCCAUUAUUCCUCAUCCAAUAUAGCUUUUCCUUGCAUGAUUUCACUAAAGCCAUUGCAUUCACAAUUUCUUGAUCUUUCCUUUGCAAUGCUUAUGACAAAUCAUUUGUGAGUCCCAAUAUGACUUUCAUCAAGAAAAGGUGAAACACAAACUCAAAAGUAAGUAUCACUCUCAUUAACGUAUUUGCUUCACCCGCACUUUCAUUGGGAUUAUCAUCAAUAACCAUUUGAAGCACAUGAACCACGGAUGAAAACAUAGAAAUGAUGCUAAUCAAGGUACCAUAGUGUGAGUUCCAUCGUGUGUCACCGGCACGUUUGAGACUUGUUUCUUGAUUUAAGCCUCGCCCCGUUAUAAGACAAUCAUUUUCAAAAGCUAUCACAAGCUCUUCUUGAAGUUGCCCUCUAAGUGAAUCACGCCGCUUACAAGAUACUCCAACAUGAUUAACCACAUUAUUAGCCGUUGCAAAAAAAGAGGCAAUGUCUAUAUUAUUCUUUGCUACGGCAACAAGAGCUAGUUGAAGUUGAUGAGCAAAGCAAUGAACAUAAUAUGCACAAGGUUGUUCUCUCAAUAUCUUUGUUUUAAGGCCAUUCAACUCACCUCUCAUAUUGCUAGCACCAUCAUAACCUUGUCCUCGUAGCUUGGAAAUGCUCAAACCGUAGCGAGAAAACAAUGUGUCAAUAGCAUCCUUUAGUGAACUUGAAGUAGUGUCGGUAACAUGUUGGAUACCCACAAAUCUUUCAAUUACAUGCCCGUUGUCAUCCACAUAACGCAACACCAUAGCCAUUUGCUCUUUCACAGACACAUCACGUGCUUCAUCCACCAAUAUUGAAAAGAAUCUAUCUUUUAGACCAUCCAUGAUAGCAUCAAGUGUUUCAAGGGCACAUGAAUUCACAAUUUCUUUUUGAAUGGAAGGAGCUAGUAAUUUGAGAUUCCCCGGAGCAUUUUCCAUCACAACUUCUCUAACUUUAUCAUUAUUAUAUGCAAGAAAUUGCAAUAACUCCAAGUAAUUUCCCCUAUUGCUUGAAGUGGCACUUUCAUCAUGGCCACGAAAAGGAAGACCUUGUCGCAAUAAAAACUUAGUGCACUUGAUUGAAGCAAUCAAGCAUGUGCGAUAAGCCUUACGAGCUUGGUCAGAGUGUUUGCUCACUGCCGUUUCAAUAUGUGUAGCUUGAUUCAUCAAAUUUGUAGCAGCUUCUCUAGCCUUAUUAUGAACACUCCCAACCGGUCCAACAUGCAUCUUAAAUCUUUCUCUCCCUUUCUUCCAAUUCUUAAAUCCAUCUCCAGUGAAAGCUUCACUACCCACUUGUUCAAAAUUGGUUUUAAAGAGAUAGCAAUAGAGACAAAAUGCCGCAUCUUUAGAUACACUAUACUCCAACCAAUCAAACUCAUCAAACCAUUGGGGAAUGAAGCGUCGAUUAAUUCCCGACAUAUUAGUUAUUGGGAAAUUAUGACCUCUAGGUUGACAAGGUCCUUUUUGUAGAUAUAAUCUUCAGACUUUAUCUCUCAUAUUAGCGUCAUAAUCUAUUAUUCGAGUUCUUAAUCCAGGAUCCGCUUGAAGAUUACCCAAAACAUCAUCUAACUGACUUUGUCUUGAACUUGGAGUUCUUGAACUACCGACAGUAUUUGAACUAUCAACAUUAUUCGAACUACCCGAACCCGAUGAUGACUUUCUCUUAAAAAACCGUUCCAUAAUAAUGCUACAUAUACAAAAUAUUCAAAAUAAAUACUCACAAUAUAAACAAACCAUAAAUAUAAUCAAAAUAAAUAUGAAUUGGAUUUCAAUUAAAUUAAAUAUCUCAUCUUGCAUUCUACAUAUACAAAAUAAUGAAAAUAAAAACUCACAAUAUAAACAAACCAUCAAUAUAAUCAAAAUAAAUAUGAAUUGAAUUUCAAUUAAAUUAAAUAUAUUCUACAUAUACAAAAUAUUCAAAAUAAAUACUCACAAUAUAAACAAACCAUAAACAUAAUCAAAAUAAAUAUGAAUUGGAUUUCAAUUAAAUUAAAUAUCUCAUCUUGCAUUCUACAUAUACAAAAUAAUGAAAAUAAAAAAUCACAAUAUAAACAAACCAUCAAUAUAAUCAAAAUAAAUACUCACAAUAUAAACAAAGGGAGGAGAUGGAGUUGGAGCCGCUAGCAGGGGAGUAGCAAGGGAGGAGAUGGAGUUGAGGGUUUGGGGGCAGCAGCAGCAAGGGAGGAGAGGAGUUGAGGGUUUGGGGGGAUUGAGUUAGGGUUGGAGGAAAAGAAAUUGGGGCUUUUGAUUGUAUAGAAGUCGGGUAGGAAGGCUGGGAUUGGGGGGGGACACGGUGGGAAUUUCUUUUUUUUUUUUGUUUGUUCGGCCUGGCCCAAAACGACGCCGUUUUGGCCAGGUCAUUUAAAAAAAUUUCCUGGGCCAAAACGACGCCGUUUUGCCCGUCUGUUUUGAAAAAAAAGAAGCGCGCGCGAGCGCUGCUUCUUCUUCCUCUUCCUGCCGAGUCUUGGUUCAGGAUUUUUGUCGAACAAUUGGCGUGCGAGUCCGACCCCGACGACCCCGACGACCCCAGCUCCAAGAGGUCGCAUAUGGGAGCUUCAAGGUUGUUUCCAUGGUUUCCAAGGGGUCGUGCGACCCCGACGACCCCACUGUGGAUCCGCCACUGGCUAAUACAUAUUGGUUAAAUGAGAACUCGAACUAUAACCUACAUAACUACCGAAUUUAUGGGUCUGACCAUGGACCUAUUCUCUUAACCUACAACUUAAAAAAUUGUUAUAAGAAUAGAUUUGAAGGCUGAAGCUAUGCGAUUUCUUCAUCCUGAUUUUAAGGAUUUUGUUAAAGAAUGCCUGGUGGUGAAAUGGAGUGUUUGGCCCUAUUGAAACUUUUAAGGCAUGUGUUGGGACUUUUAAAUAUAUGGUUAAGGUUUGGAAUAAAACAACUUUGGUAAUUUAAGGGAAUGUAAGAAAAAAAUCCUUGGAGACCUUACUUUGGUGCAAGAAACCAUCAUGAAAAACCAAAAUGUUGAUUCAGAGAUUGGUUUAGAAUUAAAGCUUAGUGAGGAACUUAAUUCAAUUCUAAGACAAGAAGAAGUCAUGUGGGCGCAGAAAGCUAAAGUCAAUUGGCUGCAAUUAGGUGAUAAUAACACAAGGUAUUUCCAAAUGCUGGCAACUGUUCGAAAAAAAAAAGAGAAAUGAAAUUAGAAAGAUUAAGGAUAGUUGUGGGUUUUGUUGGAAUGAGGGUGAGGGUCUAGAACAAGUUUUUGUGCAUGACUUUAAACUGCACUUUUCUUGUGAUAGUCCCCCUGUUCUCAUAGAUAUCUCUUCAAUUGCAGAUAUUAUUGAUCCUUGUAUUCACAACCAUCACAAUGAACUUUUACUCAAGCCUGUUGAAGAUAUAGAAAUUUGGGAUGUAGUUAAAAGUAUUGGUGCGUUGAAAGCACCAGGUCCUGAUGGAAUUGGUGCAAGUUUUUUUCAUGAAUACUAAGAUACAAUCAAAGAUUCGGUGAGUGCUAUGGUUAAGAACUUCUUUGAAAAUAGUACUACCUUGAGCCUUAUUAAUCAUAUCAACAUUGCCCUCAUCCCAAAAGUGGAAAAUCCAGAGGUGGUAAGUAAUUAUAGACCAAUUAGUCUUUGGAAUGUGAGCUAUAAAAUAAUCACGAAAAUCAUCAUUAAACGGUUAAAGCCACUUCUCGACUAUUGCAUAUCUGGAAACCAAGGGGCCUUUGCUCCGGGACGUUCUAUUCAUGAUAAUAUUUUGAUUGUGCAUGAAAUGUUUUCUAGUUUUAAAGGUAAGAAAGGACGGAUUGGAACAAUAGGAAUAAAGCUGGAUUUAGAAAAAGCAUAUGAUUAUCUUAAUUGGGAGUAUAUCAUGUAUGUGCUUCUUAGAUUUGAUUAUGCGGAAAGAUGGGUGAGUUUAAUUAUGGAAUGCAUUACUUCAACUUCCUUCUCGGUUUUGAUUAAUGGUUCUACUCAUGGUUACUUUUAUCCUAAGGCCAUCUUUAACCGAAGGGUCCAGAGGGCCAGAGGGUCGAAAAUAACCCUAAAACUGUCUCCAACCGAGGGCUAGGCCAGAGGGCUCUGGAAUCUGGGAGGGCCCCACGGGAUCGGAGAGGGCUGGAAGGCUGGAGGGCUGGCUGCUUUCGGCCAGCCAGCCAGCCCUGGGCUGGCUAUUUUUUUUUUUUAAUGUUUUCCUAUUGCUGUCGGUUAUAACCGACAGCAUUAAAGAAGAAUUUUUAAUACUGUCGGUUAUAACCGACAAUAAUAGUUAUUCAAAGGCAAAAUUUUUAUUUUUAAUUACUAUUAGUGUCGGUUAUAACCGACACUAAUAGUUUGAAUUUUUUUUAAUAUAACGGCUAGUAGCCGUUGUAUUAACUUUUUUUUUAUAUAUAUAUAUGAAUUUAAACUUCUUUUUUCCCUUUUUUUUCCUUUUCAUAUGAAUCAAAUUUUGUUUCAUAUUUUUUUUCAAUUCUAUUUUACAAAAUUUGUUUCAAUUUUUUUUUAAAUUCUAUUUUUUUUCCUAUAACUUCUAUUUUACAAAAUUUGUUUCAUAUUUUUUUUUAAAUUCCAUUUUUUUCCUAUAACUUCUAUUUCACAAAAUUUGUUUCAAUUUUUUUUAAAUUCUAUUUUUUUUUCCUAUAACUUCUAUUUUACAAAAUUUGAUUCAUAUAUAUUUUUUUUUCAUAUAACUUCUAUUUUACAAAAUUUGUUUCAUAUUUUUUUAAAUUCCAUUUUUUUUCCUAUAACUUCUAUUUCACAAAAUUUGUUUCAUAUUUUUUUUCAAUUCUAUUUUUUUUCCUAUAACUUCCUAGGCCAUUUAUACAACAUUAAAUUAAAUUAAGUAACAUGAAACAACAUUAAACAAUAUGAAACAACAUUAAAUAACAUUAACCAACAUACAAAUUAUACAACAUAAAAAAACAUUUAGCCGUUAGAUUUGAAUUUAAAUUGUAGUUUUUAAAUAAUAAAUUAUGUUUGGCCCUCGGUUGGAGACAGUUUUUUGUGACAGUGCUAAAACGAGCCCUCUGGCCCUUUGGCCCUCGGUUGGAGACGGAGGCCAAUAUGGCCAUGUACUGUUCAUUAAAAUAUUAAUAUCUUGGGGAAUCUUGGAGGGCCAGAGGGCUAAAACGAGCCCUCUGGCCAGCCUUCGGUUAGAGAUGGCCUAAGAAUGGAAUUAGGCAAGGGGAUCCUUUAUCACCUUAUAUUUUCAUUCUUUGUAUGGAACCGUUGAUUAGACAUUUUAAUGAAAUGGCUACUACCUCUAAAUCGCAUGUUGGUAUUUUGUCCUCUCCUGGUGGAUUUAGAAUAUUAAAUCUAGUUUUUGUAGACGAUUGUUUGUUAUUUGCUAGGGCAACUACAAAAGGUGCUAGGAAUGUACUUCAUGUUCUUAAUAUGUUUGCCAAAGCUUCAGGUCAAAAGGUAAAUUUCCACAAAUCCUCGCUUUAUUUUUCAGAAAAUACUAAUGCUCAAACUAGAAAUGCUAUUGUGAAUGUUUUACAUAUUCAACAUAAAACUACCAUUGGCAAAUAUCUGGGCAUUCAUAAUAUUGUGUUUUGGAAAGAUCCAGUGAAUUAAUGUGAAUUAAUCAAAAGAGUCAAGCAAAAGCUUGUUGGGUGGAAGGCUAAUACUCUCUCUAAGGCAUGAAGACUAACCUUCAUUAAGUCCAACUUAUCUAGUAUGCCGAACCAUAUCAUAACUUGCUUUAAAUGUCCUACUCGAGUAACUAAGAACUUAAACAAGGAGUGUAGAGACUUCUUUUGGGGGAGAGAUAGGAAGUUAAAACCUAUGGCUUGGAAAAGAAUGUGUACUUCUAAGGAUCCACAAGGGGGGUGGGGGGGGGGUUCGGCAUAAGAAGAGUGGAUCAUUUCAAUAAUGCAUACUUGUCUAAGUUAGGGUAGAAAGUUUUGAAGGAUGAAAACAAUUGGUGGGUGCAAAUUGUUAAAAGAAAGUACUUAAAGAAAAAUGAUUUUUUUAGUUGCAAAGUCAAGCAGAACCACUCUUUGGCCUGGAAAGAGAUUUUGAAUAGUAGACAUGUUAUUCACAAGGGAAUUAGAUGGGUUGUGGGUAAUGGUGAGGAUAUUCUUUUUUGGACCCAUCAUUGGGUUUUUCCUUAUCCAUUGUUCAGCUAAUUCCUGAAAAUUAAUGACAGAACAUAAAUUGGGACACUAAAGUGAGUGAUUUUAUUGAUAGUAAAAGUUAGGAUAGAGUUCGUCUCUCCCAAGUGUUGGACCUGGAUGUUGUGAGGAAAAUUUGUCUGGUGCCUAUUUCCCUUCAAAAUAAAAGGGACAAUUUCGUGUGGGAACACUCCUCUAAUGGUGAGUUCUCAAUCAAGUCGGUGACUUGGAAUCAAAGUAAUAAUAAUCCAGAAGUUAAAAGGCAGAAGCUCCUUAAGAAGAUAUGGAAGUUAAUGAUACCUCUGAAGGUAAAAAAUUUUGCAUGACUUUUUACUCAUGAAAAACUGCAUACAGGAUGAGAUUGAGUAAAUUUAUUCAAAAUAUUGACAAAUUGUGCCCUAUGUGUGGCAAUGAGGAUGAGACUCAAAAUCACAUUUUUCUUAAUUGCGAGCAUGUUAAAGAAAUGUGGAACCUCUCUCUGGUAAGUCCUUGGAAGAAUAAUUUGACUCAGUUUAAUAAUGUGUUAGAUUGGAUGGAACUAAUUGACAAUGUUGAAUGCAAUGAUUUGAGUGAUCUUAGUAAAGCGAUUUUGAAUUGUUGGCAAAUAUGGAAUGAUAGAAAUAAUAAAGUUUUUAGAAGUAUGAUUCCUAAUCCGACUAGGAGUGUCUCCAUUGCCGCAAGUGUAGGCUUAUCUUUUUUUAAGGUUAGUAGUAAGAAGAUCUCUAGGGAUGAUCCUUGCCACCAACACCCCAUUUGUUGGCAUCCUCCUCCCUAUGGCUAUGUGAAAUUAAUCUUUGAUGGGUCGAUUAGUUUAGAUCGUUCUGCAACUGCUUUUGUUCUUAGAAAUGAGGAAGGGCAACCUGUUGGUGGGCAUUGAACCUUGAUGGUACCACCAUUUCGAUUGUGGAGGCCGUUGCUUUAAAGGAAGGGCUUUUUUCGCUAGGCAAACAUGUGUGAAGAAACUGAUGGUGGAAGGGGAUUCUAAGCUUGUUAUCCAAGUGGUGCAAGAUGUUUGGAUCCCCCUGGCCUCUUAAGACUAUCAUAGAGGACAUCAAAUGGUUGACUUCUAAAUUUCAACAUAUCAUUUAGAAGCAUAUUUAUAGGGAGGCUAAUUUCGUGGCAGACGCAUUAGCUAAUGUGGGCCUCACUGUUGCCAACCCAUAUUUUUUGGGAUUUUUGUCUUCUGAAUUCGGCUAUGGAGUCUUUUAAUUUUGAUUGUAUGGGAAAUGAUUGUAUUAGAGGUUUUAAGCUUUAAUAAAUUUCUUCUUCAUAAAAAAUAAAAAAAAUAUAAUAAAUAUUGUAAAAAAAAUUAAAAUUGGAAGACUAUCUUAACUUGCGAAAUUUCAAAGACGGCCGUUUCUUAAUUGUUACCACAUAUUCUACUUUUGUUAUUGGGUUAGCCAUACACUUUACAUGUUUCUAACGAUUCAUAUGACAUCAUCAAAUAAUACAAGUCUUGGAUAAGAAUAUACAAUGCACUAGAACGCCCUUGUUGGCGAUCCUUGCAUUAAAUGAACGGAAUGUCACCAUGUAGAUUUACCUAUGCCAUACAAGUCCCUUCUUAAGAUAAGGGGGCAAAUGGAUCUAUUUCGAGAGAAAUAUUAGAGAGAUGAGGUUAUAUCAUCUCCUUAAUAAAGAUGAAAUCAACUUGCACUGUGAGCCCUAUUUUUAUUUCGAAAAUAAUGUAAUGUGGUCCACCAAAAUAUAAUCCCUCUAACAUUUGCAGCUUGCACGACUAUUUUUUUUCAAAUAUGUAUUUUUCUAGUGGAGGAAAGAGGCAAACCAUAUCACUCUAAAACAGUCUCGAGAGCGAACCGAUUUUCAUCGGCAAAAUUUGAAAACGAUCGCUGUAUUACAAGCAUCCACAAAUUCUCAACCCUCAAGCAAGAAGCUGCUCCAAGUGUCGCCUUCGACAAAACAUGAAUAAACUAAUCGGUAGUGACAUGCUGUAUAUAAAUAAGAAAAAACUAUUCUCCCGCAUUUGUGAACAGCUCGGUUCAACUUCUACUUCCACAGGCAACAGCUUCUUCCUCCACACUGUUGUAAAACAAGCUCAAUUUACUUAUCGCAACAGCCUCUCCAAAUAGUGAUGUUCUUGUUGAUUUCAAUAUACGAACUUCAACAUAAUCACCCACUACGGGAUUCCUUUCCUCAUUUGAACCAGCAUCUCGAUGUGGUAACAGCACGUUAACAAAAGAAACUCUAUGACCUCUAUCACUUUUGCCCAUGAGUUCUGUAUCUGGAGCUUUCUUAUUAGGUCCUUCUACUAAGACAAGUUGGGUAGUUCCCACCUGUGAGUCGUAGCACUGACCUGUGCUCUUAUGGAAAGCCUUGAUAAGUUCCGCCAGCCUCCUCUGCUUCACAUCCUCUGGAACAUCAUCAUCGUAGUUUCUAUUUGCAUGGGUUUUAUCCCUCAUGCUAUAUGCAAAAAUGUAAGCCAUAUCGUAGCCAACAGCCUUUACAAGGCUCAGUGUGUCGUCAUGGUCCUCCUCUGUUUCCCCACAAAACCCUGUAAUAAGGAACAAACAUGUCAGUAGGGAAUACAAUACGUUUAAAGAGAAACGAGAUAUUGUAAGCUUCCAAUUAUCUGGUAAAGGGGCAUAAGAACAUUCUUGAGCAAAGAAGGCAUGCUAAUAAAUACAUGUGGAAAAUUAAUAUGAAACAACAAUUCUGCUUUUCGGUUCAGAUUUAAAAUCCAGAUAACAAACUGAAAAUAUAUAACAACUUUAUGUAAGGACAUUGAAAAAGUGAGAAUGCGAUGCAAUUCCCGAAUUUACGCAGUAAACUAAAAAAAAAAAAAAAAAAAAGUAGCAUAAUCUUGCGAAAACUAAAAACAACCGACAUGAAAUUAGGACAAACGUAAUCAACAGGUUUGUGGGUAGGAUUCAUCGGUUGCGGAUAGAUGAGUAGCUCAGAACUCUGAAAUUUAGUUUAACAAACAUGAACCCACAGUUAAACAUCAAAAGGAAAAGAGGAAUGCACAACUCUAAACUGAGGACGAAGGAUCAAUUAACCAAUCUCAUGCUUUGGCAGCCUUCUCAAAUAAAAAAAUCGAAGUUGAUCAUAAAAUUCUGGUAUCUCUAACAACCUUUGAAGAGAGAAACUAGAUAUUUCAAGUAAAACCUCCUUCCAAGAAUAUUUGAUCACUACUAUUACCUUGUACAAGAUUUCCACUGGGUACCACAAAUCAACAUACAGAAAUAUGGUGAAGACGGAAAAACAGAAGCUAAGUUCCUUCUCACCAAAAGUUGAUUGCAAGUUUUAUAAGCAAGAUUACCAGAAUGUAUAGAAUAUUGAUAAGAACACUUACCGCAUAUGAAAUCACUGCUGAUGCCCACAUCUGGAAUAAUUCUCCGUAUCUUUUGCACAAGAUCUAAGUAUGCCUCACGGGUAUAGCCACGACGCAUUCUUUCUAGCACAGUGCUACUCCCACUUUGUGCAGGCAAAUGGAUACUUCUGCAGAUAUUAGGUCUGUCUCGCAUUAAAUACAGCAACUCAUCAGGGAAAUCUUUAGGGUGUGGGGAUGUGUAUCGAAAUCUCAUCUCUGGAAAUUCUGUGGACAGUCGAUCCAAGAGAUCAGCAAAACGUGAACCAACUUUUUUCACCUUGCACAUGCUGGAGAAGCCUUCGCUGUAUCUCCAAUUAGUUCCUGCUUCAACUUCCUUUUCAUUCUCAGAGGCAUCAUUGUAGCUGUUUACAUUCUGGCCUAGCAGUGUUACCUCUUCACGCCUUCUUCCCAAAGCUCUCCCACCUCCCGCACAAUAGAUUCCACAGAACGCGAGCGCUCUCUGCCUCUAGUGAAAGGAACAAUACAAAAUGAGCACAUAUUGUUACAUCCCCUCAUAACAGAAACAAAAGCACUAAUUGAAUUUUUGGAGAUUCGAACUGGGCUAAUAUCAGCAUAAGUCUCUUCCAGCGAAAGAAGAGUAUUGAUUCCUUUCUGACCAUAGUCCACAUCUUCUAAUAAUCUCGGCAAGUCUCUGUACGCAUCAGGCCCACAAACCACAUCAACCAUUUUGUCUGAAUCGAGUAUCUGGUCCUUUAACCUCUCCGCCAUACAUCCCAAAACUACAACUUUUGGAGGACGUUUGGACUGCGACCUCCCUAUUUUAACAUUGUCCUUCCAUUCCCUCUUAAGAAACCAAAAAUAAUUAAGCCGCUGCCACACCUUCUGUUCCGCAUUGUCCCUGAUAGCGCAGGUGUUAAUAAAAAUAACCUCUGCAUUCUCAGGGACAUCAACGACUUCACUAUACCCAGCAUUCUUCAUAAUAGACAGAACAAUCUCCAUGUCAUUAAUAUUCAUUUGACACCCAUAAGUCUCGUGAUAGAUACGUCCUAUCGGAGCAACUUCAGUAGCAGUCAAAUUCACAUCCCUACACAUAAAAAACAGGAAGAAAAAUAUAAAACCAAAGCUAAGCAUGGGAUACAGUCUGCACAAUAUGAAAUCCGGGUGUAAGAACAUCGAAAGACGUUGAUCAAGAGUUGUUGGAUUGUCCUUUUAUGUUCAACUUUCGUCUAUGAUCUAUCCGGAAAAUUUCUCCUACAAACAUGGCAAAACAUCACAGUAACAUUUUGGACCAUAUGCACUAGCAUUGCUCAGAUAAAAAUUUCAACUUGAACUUGCAUCUCUUAUAACUCAACAGCCAGCUAAUUUUGGAUGUUUAAAAAAGCUGCUUCUGUUCGGUCGGUUAUACAACAAAGGUCAUUACUUUAAACCUUUCCUGAGACAACCCAAUUCGAAUUAUAGCAUAAUUUCCCCAAAAACUAACAAAAUACAUUAAAACUAAAAGAAUUUACACUGUGUGUGGGUUUGAAGCGUGGACUCACUGGGGCUGAGCUUCAGCACCGGCGAGAGCAGCUUGAGCGACAAAGUGGCGGAGGCUGGGGCCACCGGACUGGCCGGAGAGAGAAGAAGUGUUGGGGCUAAAAUUCGAGAAGCUUCUGGAGCUACUGCGGCCAAGACUCCUCCUUUGUGGCCGAGGCUGCAGCUGCUGGCGGCGGUGGUAGCAUCGGGAACGGGACUUCUCCGGUCCCCAAUUGAGGAACCCGAGAGUGAAGCAGGACGGCCUCUGGAACUUCAGGCGCAGCGCGCAGUGUGGGUUGUUCAGGAUCGAGGACAGGGACGACGAGAGCGACGUCGCCAUCGGUGAGAUUGUGUUCGCGCUUCUCAGCUUCUCUACGUCAGAGAGAGUUGGAUAGGGGUAACGAUUUACGACUAUCAGGAAAGAAACCCGGUAAUAGUGUGAGAGACGACAUGUCGUUUUUAUUUGGGCCGGCCCAAUAACGCUUCUCACUAAUGUUAACUAUGGGAAAAUAACACAAAUGGCACCUGAACUUUUCGGUUUUCGUGCAAUUACCAUAUGAACUAAAUCCUUUUACAAUUAAACAUUCAAACUCCUUCUUCUGUUAUUAUUUGCCAUCCAAACUUCUGAAAGGAAUGCUCCCCGGAUCCCUUCCAGCUAAGCUUUCUUAUCAAACAAUCUGAAUCUUUAAAAUUUGAUCCAACAGCUAAAGACAAUGGCUCACUUUAAAAAUUAUAAUAACUUUAGCCGUUGAAUCAAAUUUUAAGGGUCUGGAUUAUUUGAUGAGAAUGAUUAGAUUGAAGGGAUCCGAAGAAGAUCCCUUUCCUCAAACUUCUAGCUUUAAAAGAAAAGUCAACUAUUUUCAUUUCAUUUAUACUAAAUCUCGUCGAAUAUCUGACAUGAAUGUGGACAUUGAUCAAGAGAAACGAUGACAAUGACGUUAAAAAGUUGUAUUCGUUAUAAUAUAGAUAAUAAAAGUUAUUAAUUAUGGCAAACUUGACACGUUUAAACACCACACGAUUCUAAAAUCGCACGGUUUAAAACAUGAUACGAUUUCAUGGUUACUCUUAGGAAUCAACGGUUAUGAUGAGGAGAGGAAAAGAAUACUUGUAGAGGAUGUUAAGAAUGUUGACUUUCCAAGAAUAUAAUCAGACAUUGGAAGAUUGAUUUCCCAAUGGACAAAUUAUCCGGGAACAUUUCCAUUAAUCAAGGCAGGAAUAUGCUAACCGUAAUUAUGUCCAUAACUUAGAGGAAAAGCCAACUGAUGACUUUACAAAUUGGUUUUCUUUACUUGGUAGAAAUAUUCAAAGAUACUGGUCCUUUGGGGUGUUAUUAGGAAUUGGAUCCACUCUGGAUUUUAAUGUCUGGAGCCUAAAGAUCAAUCCAUCUGGGCAGCUGAUUGGUGUGUAAAAUAAAUCAGAGUUGUUGGUUGUGUGUGGUAGGCUAAGAAAAUGAGUUAAUUAAGAUUAUUGGAUUCAAUUUGUGUGACCCAUAUUAGUUGAUCCUUAUGCUCCGGACAUUAAGGUCCGGAGCGGAUCCAAUUCCGUUAUAUUAUAUUAUUUUAGUGGUAAGGUAUUCAGUUUUUAUUUGUGCGUCUGAAAUUCGAAAUCUUUUAUCUUCUAAAUUAUUGUAAUAGUUUUGAACUCUUUCAUCUCUCAUAAUAUAUUAAUUGGAUAUGUUGAAGGAUUCCGCACGUUUUACCUAACCUACUCUUACCGACCGUUAGAACUGCGCUAAUACGAGUGGCUUAAAGAAACUAAAAGCAGUUAUCGAGCAUAAAGUUGCCUCAGCUGCCAUUUAGUUUUGAUUCGGUUUUUACUUCGGCCGACCAUGCAGACUCAUCGUUACAACAAUAGUUUAAAAACCUUAAUAUUAAAAGAGGUUCAAAGCUCGAACCUUCCAACCGCUGACAAUAUAGUGGAAGGAUCAAAUUCUUUACGAAAGUCACUUAAAUAUUCAACCUAAUCCACCUAGUUGGGAAAGUGGAACCUUAGUUCAAAGGUGCAAACUGCCUUUCGGCUUUCACUUUCUGGAGCUCUUCUUUCCAAGCAGUGGCCGACGCAUAUACUGAAAAAAAAAAUAAUGAAGGCAAAGUGCUUUUCUUCUCUACUGACGGAAAGUGAAGGCAAAUAGAAGGUUCCUACACAAGCAUGAACCUAUCAAGAUGCAUAGAUUAAGAAGGCAUUUACCACUUAGCACUACAAUGUCGGAUAAUUGUUUUAAUUUGUAGUGAUAAGUUACAUGUUGAAUUUUUGUAAAUAAGUUCAAUACUAAGUUAUUAUAGCUUAUUUGUUUUGUGUCUUAACUCAGGUCUCUUACAUUUUAGUGUAAUUUUAUCAUUAGAGCAUAACAAGGAAGUGUUUGCACUAGCUGUUGUGAAUUAAGUUAGUUACCUUUGUAUAUCCGCUCCUUUGCACUAGAGAAUCUUGUGUACAAAUGGCGCUCUCAAUGUAUAUAAAACAAAAUAAGGAAAACUAAUGAAGUGGCUUGAAAAGUUUUAGUUUUAAUUAAAAAUCAUGUUAUAAAUUUUGUUUAAUGAUUAGUACAAGGCACAUAUUAAAGUAGUCCAAGUAAAAAUGGCCUAACUAUAAUAAAUUAUGAUUUGUCGAUUUUACCCCUAACUUUUUUAGGUUGAGUUCCAGAUUUUCGUCGUUAAUGGAGUUCAUUGUUGUUUUGCAGACCUUCUUCUUUUUCUUUGAAACAAAAUUAUAGAUCCUCAUGCUAUUUAAUUUAUAUUUUGUAUUAUUUCGUUGAAACGUGAUUGUCGUUAUUAUUCAUAAAGUAUUCGAAGUACUGUUUUUCAAUUUUUCUUCGUUAGUGGAGUUCAUCGUUUGUUUAUUCAGAAAAUAAAUUUGAGAUCUGCAGGUUAUUCAAUAAUAACGACGGGUCACUGUUUCUGGACUGUAAAAAUAAACUGUUUCUGGAUCCAAAUGAAAUAGACACACUGUUUCUUAAAUGUAAGCUAGAAAAGAAAUAGUGAAAUUCAUUGUAUUUGGAUUCAAAGCAAAAUAAGUAUCUUGUUUCUUAAAUAUAAUCAAUUGAUGCAUGAAAAGAAACAAUCAAAGGUUAAAACAUAGAUUGUUUCAAGAAUCUAAGUCACUGUUUCUGGAUUUUGGAUACAAUGUUUGUUUGUGCAUAAAAACAAACAAACAUUGUAUCUGUUUUUUUUUUUUAUAGAAACAGUGUUAUGUUUUGGGUUCUCCAGAAACAGUUUUAUGUUUUGGUUUUUUUUUUUCUUUCCUAUUUACAGACGCCUGACAUGUACGUACAUCAACGGGACCGUAGGUCCUUAUUGGAUCUGAUUGGAAUAUAAUACUAGCACUAUAAAUUGUUUGUGGUGCAGAUAAGAGGAUGAGGAUGAGGACGAUGACGAGGAAAAGGAGGAUAAGGGCACGAAAAAGGUAGACAAUAGUUUUGGAUGGUUUUUUAUUAAACUUUGAGUCAUUUUGGUUAAAUAACUUUUUAGGAUAGUUUUUUAUUAAAUAUUUGUUGGUCCAAACCCUUUUCAUUAAAGCUCCCAACAAAAUAAGUUUUUGCGUUUAUUUUUAUUCAUUUUAUAUCUAGUGGAAUUUUACGGUAAGCUCACAUAACGAUUUGUCAUAAUAAUUACCUAUCAAACUUAUCGAACUGAAUUUGAAGUCUAUUCUUUCAACAAGUAAAGAAGGUUAAAACAAGGUUUUUUAGCCAAAACAGUUAUUGAGAUUGACAUAACUUUUCAUUUUGGUCACUGAGAUUUAAAAUCGAUACAAUUGAUUUUUGAGUUUAUCUACCGUUAAUCAUUUUGAUCAUUCUGUAAACGAAAAAUCUCUGUUAAAUAAGGAGAAAUGACCAAAAUAUCCUCAAUUUUUGUCAAAUCAUUUUGGCCUAUUGUUUAUUAAAUUAAGGGUAUUUUUGUCAUAUUGUUUGUUCUUUAAUAUAAAAUUUUCACGGAAUGACCAAAAUAAUUGAUGAUGUACAAACUCAGGAAAUACUUGUAUCGAUUUUAAAUCUCAAAAUCUAAAGUGAGAAGUUAUGCUAAUAUUAAAGACUAUUUUUGCUUCCAAAAAAAAAUAAAAAGACCAUUUUAGAUAAAAUGCCAAACAACAAUUGGUAGGAUCUGAAGUGUCCAAACACUUGAAAAAGUCCGACAACCACCAUGACAAAGUCAAAAAUAAAAAAACCAAAGAGAGAGGGACGGUGUGAUGGUAGACCAAAGAGGCGACGACGUCGUCUACCGAGGCAGCACCUUGGCAAAGAUAAAGAAUAAAGAAAAUAUAAAAAUAAAGAAAAUGGAUAUGGUGGGGAGCACCCAAUACCAGUUGUGAAAUCAACCGUGCCCUCCCCCUCCUCUCCCUUUUGUCCCUUUCCCCCUCUCCCUCUCUCGUCAACACCUCCUCCAUCCUCACAUUCUCUCUCUAAAACUCUCUCUCGACCAAUUUCCUUUCCGGAGAAAAGCAUGACCAGCUCCUCCGCCUCUGGCCGCAAGGUUUGCCCUAAUUUCACACCCAGUCACUUUUUCCGUGCAAUUUCUGUUUCUGGGUUUUGAUCUUUUUAUUGGGUUUUGAUUGUUGAUUUUGUUGGGUUUUGGAAUUUGUAGACUUUGAGUAAGAUCGCUUGCAAUCGGCUCCAGAAAGAGCUUCUGGAGUGGCAGGUCAAUCCUCCGGUGGGCUUCAAGCACAAAGUCACCGAUAAUCUCCAAAGGUCUUCUCUUUUUUUUCUUCUGCUCUCUGUUUGUUUCUCGAGAAAAGAUAAUUCAUUGGAAUUGGAGGAAGAGGAGAAUUCAGAAUUUACAUAAUCUUACACUUAUUGGGUUUUCAGUUUAAAUUACCCCUUUUUGAAUUUUUUGUUUAGGGAAAUUGAAAUCCAACUGUUUAGGGUUUAUGAUGUGUAUUUUUGUCCUUCAAUGUUCGUGCUUUUCGGCUUUAGUUAAGUUGGUUCAAUUUUAAUUGUUGUGUUUUGGUAUUUGUGAUCCAAAAGGUGGGUGAUUGAAGUCAAUGGUGCUCCUGGAACUCUCUAUUCUAAUGAGACCUUUCAGCUUCAGGUUGAUUUUCCUGAGCAUUACCCGAUGGAAGCCCCGCAGGUCUGUGCAAAUUCAUUAGAUUGUGUGAUAUGACUUUGCUUCAAGAUAUAUGUUACGAACGAUAUUGUGUUGGGUAGAUUUUGAUUUUCAUGAAGCACUUAACCGGUUUUGGGUCUGUAUACUUGUGGCUGGUUUGAACAGGUUAUAUUUGUCCCUCCAGCUCCACUACAUCCUCAUAUUUAUAGCAACGGUCAUAUUUGUUUAGGUAAUUUAUGGGUUUCAGUUAAGCGUUUGAUAUCUGAUUUGUAUUUAGUUACAGCACGAAAAUGUUUCUUUUGCUUGAUUUGCUGCAUUUGCUCAUUUGUUGAAACCUGAAAGUGAUACUUGUCUUUAUAAUGGGCUCACGUCUUCCUUUGUUGCUUCUUCUUGCUUCUUCUUGCUUCUUCUUUCUUUUAACACACAAUUUUAUUAUCAUUGCUUAAAACAUGUGGUAAGUGUUGCCUGAAAGUAUUGUGCUUUUAUCUCAAUCUCUUGCUGAAAAGAUGUAGUUUUCAGCUAGCUGAUACAAAUUUUGUUUGAGAUAAUAAGGCCUUCACUCCUUUAUCAGCUAUUGUGAUGACUUUCAAGACCCUAUCACAAACAGGGAGGAAUAAACUGAGGAAAAGAGAGGAAAAAGUGGGGUGGGGGUUGCCUAGUAAAGCUGGCCUUGGAAAUCCUACUGAAUGUGAUUUAUGUUGUCUGUCGACUAAGCUAAAUUUAUCUUUACUGGAGAUUUGAAUAAUUGCUAGAUAUUAGAUGCUAAACUGGGGACGCUAUACCGCUUAACAACAGAUUUAGGUUGUCAUUACUUACUGUGUGCUGUAUCAAACAAUAUCUUGAUCCAUCAUGAAUCCACUGACUGAAUUUUAGUUAUACUGUAUUAGAACAAUAUAUUGUUUCAUUUUACUCUCACGGCCUCAUAUUAUGUGAUCUAUGGUUGAUAUGGGAUUUUGUAGAUAUUUUGUAUGAUUCAUGGUCACCAGCCAUGACUGUUAGUUCCAUCUGUAUUAGCAUUCUCUCCAUGCUAUCAAGCUCGACCGUGAAGGUUUGUGUUCCACUUCAAUUUUUUCAUCUUUGGUGAUUUCAGUUCUUUUAACUAUCAAGCCUAGAUCAUGUCCCAUCAAUUUAUUCUGCUAAAACUUUCAAACGAGGAAAUGACCGAUCAUUAAUUUGUGAAAGAUGGACAUUCCCUUGUUGAUUAUCAAUUCAAUGGUAUAGUAGAUUCUAAAUGUGUUGGGGAUGUAUAUCUGAAGCCCUUUUGUAUAUGCCUGCAGCAACGCCCAGAAGAUAAUGACCGGUAUGUAAAGAACUGUAGAAAUGGCAGAUCUCCCAAGGAGACGAGGUGGUGGUUCCAUGACGAUAAAGUGUAAAAACCAUGCACUGUCUUCCUGUUCAAAGGAGGACGAAGACGAGAGAAAAAAGGCAAUGAUAAAAACUGGGAGUUGUUCCAAUUGCUCAGUAACUCUUAUAAAUUGACAAUGCUCGGUACUUGUAAAGCAAAGGGAACAAUUUGUGUUUCUAUCGAUUCGUAAGGAACAAACUGAGGUCAGAAGUUGCUAUAAGCUUAUGAUUUAAGUCCCUUUUCUUCCCAAGUGCUCACCUCCUGUAAGGGAAGUGAGUGCCUGGCUUUUAAAAUUUUCGUAUAUCUUCAUCCGUGCAAUGCGAUUUUCAAGAUAUAACAUUGAAAAAAAGGCAUCCAAUUUUUCAAAUCUAGUGCACGUAUGUAAAACUUAUCUGUAAACAUGACAGCUUCACCAAGUAUGUGUUCAUGUUGAGUGAUUACGUACCGGCAAGCUCAAAUGAAUGAUAUCAAUUCUAAGAAAAUUGUCCCAAACAAUUAAGUAUUUUAGUUCAUCUUUAUUUAUGACAUUGCAUAUUUUGGUAGUAAGUAAACACGAGUUUUUUUUAACACGGUACAAAAAAAUUAUAACAUCACGAUGUGGAGUUCAUUUCUAUAUAUGACUGCCCAAGUUGGGAUAGAAAAUUUUAUGAAGGCUUACAUCAUACAACAAUAUGAAUUGUUAGUCCCUGGUUUCCUAGUUGUUACUUUCAUUGAAUUGAUAUACGGCACAUCUCCAAUUCUUGGUUAAAUAUGAAUUGUUAGUCCCUGGUUUCCUAGUUGUUACUUUCAUUGAAUUGAUAUACGGCACAUCUCCAAUUCUUGGUUAAAACUUAAAAUUUUAGGCUUUAAAUUAGCUUCUUCAAAUGUCUGAUCUUGUGCUUGUGUAUGUUAGGCUUUGAUAAAUCUAGCCCCGAUUUUGAGAGAAUUAACUUAAAAGUCCACAUAAAAUCUGUAGAAGAAAUUGGAACAACAAGACUAAUCUAGCUUAGAUUUCAAGAGAAUUCACUUAAAAGUCGACAUGGAAUCUGUAGAAGAAAUUGGAACAACAAAACGAUAUUUUCAUUUUCUGUGGAUGAUUCCAAAAUAUCACUAAGUUGAUGAUGUUAUUUGGAGAUAUAGUUUGUGCAUGAUAACACUCCAUUUAAAAUUUCACAGAAUUUUAUUCCAAUACACCCCUAAGCCUAUUUCAAAAUGAAACUAAACAUAUUACUUUAAUUCCCUCAAAUAUCUUACCCGAGAAUCUGAACUAAAUCUACGACUCAAAUAUUUUCAAAAAUCAAAAUUUUUUGUUUGAAAACUUUGUUCUUGUGCAUUUGUGGUUAACUAUCACGUUAAAAUUUCACACAAAAAAGAUAAAAUUCAUGCAAAAAGAAAUGAAAGUCGUGUUCAUAACAAACUAAUUUACUUUCACGUAGUUAGCAUGAAAUGUAGUGCGCAGUGUAAUUUUUGAGGGUAAUGAAAUAUGAUAAAAAUAAUUUCUUCCAAUGUAACACAAAGAGAGCGAAAAUCCCAAUCGUCUUACGGUUCUGGUUUAUUUUUCUGGGUAACUCUGGAAGUGAAAUUCUAUGAAUCUCUUUCGUCUUUCAAGGUUUACAAUUUGUCUUGAAUAUGCAAGACUUCGGGGAAAGUUGUUCAAUUUAGCACACAUUGAGCACAAUGCCUUCCAACAACUCGAGAAACGCAUCAAACAGUAGCUCCUAGUUGGCUCUCUACCAUGAUCCUUCAGCGCCCAAUGUUGGAUUCUCGAACGCAGAGAAACCCCAGAAUGUCUUCAAAGAGUAGGGCUGAGAAAUUGUUACGCCUUCUUCGGUGAUUUUAGCUAUCUGCAAUUACCAAGUUUAAAAUGUGUCAUCUUACUGGUACCGAUGCAUGUUCAAGGGUGACAAUAAAUUAGUAGGAAGUCCUCAAUUUACCAAGGAUACUAAUUUUUGAACGCAAAGACUUUCCCACCACAGCUAUAAUCAUUUCGAAAAGUGUAAGAAAGUGUGGAUAUGUGUAGAAAUAAAACAAUUGUAUACUUCCUACCUCAAUCUAGAACACUUCCUACGCUAAAAAAUGAGCGCAGACAAGGAGGAAGCAUACCCCUAGUACUGUAGAUUGUCUCACAUAACUACAGAAUGACAAAUCUUUAAUAAAAAGAAGUAUUUGGACGUGAACACGUGUGUGAAAGACAGAGAGAGAUAUUGGAACUUACAUGGACAAUAAUAGCAAGGUUUAUAAAUUCCGAAAAACAUCAAAGACGACAGACAGGCGGAUUCUAUGCCAUUUAAAGAAAAUAAACCGAUAGACAGAUAAGAAUUCCCACAGGAAUUGCUAGCAAAAAGAUCUAAGGUUGUUCUUAACAGCCUAAAAACUAUGAAAUCUGUAACUUAUAGCAUUGUCAUUAUUAUAGGGUGCCAAAAGACAGAGAAAAUAACGUUUAAGUUAUCACUACCUGAAGCUUGUUCACAGCAGACCGAUCUCGAUAGAGAAGGACACGCAUGCACUUCUCCAGCAGCUUUACAGCCUCUUCGAAAGUCAAGUUCUCAUGCCACUCAUCACGAAGAAUAGGCCGUGCAAGGUGAUUUCCAAAUCCCGUAGCCACAUGAUUGUCCUCAAAAUUUACACCUAUCAUGCUAACCUGAAUAAAGAUAAAAAGUAUGACAAGCAACUAAGUCCCCUGAUUCAUGAUGCACACAGCACACUGCAAUGUGUUAAGGGAAGGAUUAAAUGAGGUUUACCAUGCCAAGGUACUUCUGUCCAUUUUUCACUCCACCGAGGACAAGAGAGUUCCACAAUGGAUUGAACUUGUUACGCCUAUUGUACAUCACACGGGUCAAAUAGUUGUGCACCUCUUUAGGUCCCAAAGAGUUCCCAUCAUCCCACAUGUUGUCAUACAGGCUACAACCAGAAAAUCGAAAUGAAUAAUCCUAAACCAACUGUUUCAAAUAAUACAAAGAAGCAUAGAAAAAAUCACAAUGGAAACAUUAUAGAAGGUAGCCAAACGCUUAUCUUCAUAAUUUUUCUUAUCAAUAAUGCUUACACGAGUUCAUCAAGAUAACGUAAGAGCUCCUGAAAGUCGCUUAUUUCUCCACUUGCACCAAGAAGAGAAUGCUUUCCGAUUGGCUUCAUUCUUUCCACACUCUUGUAUCGCAGGGUAGAGCCAUAAGAACCUAUCAAAACAUCCAUUCUUUUGAUACUGUUAAGAGACCUCAACAGACACAUAAAAAGAACAUACAUGGGCGUCUAACUUUUGAGUCAUGAACAAUAGGAUCCCCGACGCUAUAAAAAUAUAUGAUGUCUAUGACUGAUAAAGCGAUAACCAUAACGUAAAAAUAGGAGAUACUGUAAGAAAACCUCAACAGACACAUGAAAACCACAUUAGGUGAUCUAAAAAUCCAGUCUGACCAUUAAGAGCGGCCGCGGGGCGCCAUACAAGAACACAAAAACUAAUGUAUCUAACUUUGAAAAGACUCGCAUUUGAAUUUUGAACUGUUUCUCCUUCAGAUAAAGUGAAACAAAUACGACAAGCCUACACGAACAACUCCAAAGAUUUCAUAACAAUUUUCGCUACAAGAAGCUAAGAGAAAUGGCGGAAAGAAUCCCACUUUUUUCAAACACCAGAAACAAUAUAUACUCCGCAUUAACAUCAAAUCUUAAUUUCCCGUAACCAAACAAGAAGCUAAAUAAAAUAAUGGACCAAAAAAUCAAAAUCAAAACUUGUUUUUGUGACGCAAGGGUAAUGGAAUUGGAAGCUAACCUCCCAUAUCAGCAGCCAUCAAAAUUCCAUCUUUAUACUUGAGAGCCACAACAGAUGUACCAGUUACAUAUGGGUACCUUCAAUCAAACAAAUUAUUAAAAUUUAAAAAAAAAAAAAUUUAAAAAAAUUAAAAACACAAAUUAAAAAUUAAAGGAUUGAAAUUUUCAUACAAAAAGUUAAAUCCGCAAAACCACAGUUACCCAAAUCCCCAUACAAACGAAAAAUGCACAUAAAAACUUAAAAAUCAAACAUUAAGAAAGCAUACAGGGUCCUCUGCGAGCCUUCAGGAUUGCACAGUAGGCCGGGUUUGGAUUGGUUCGACUCCAUUAACUACUCAAAGAUAAUUAGAAAGUUAAAAUCAAAGUAAUUAAAAAAUAAUCUGGGAUUUGGAAAUCGAAGGGUACUCGAAACUUACACUCGUUUUUGUUUUCGUAGAGCUUGAAAUCGCAGCUUUUAGUUUCCAGCACCUCCGUUCUCUUGUGUUUUGCUCCGGCCUGUGAUGUGGGCUUCUUUCGUAAUUUUGAAUGAGUUUCUGGCCAGAAAAAAAAAAGAACAAAAAAAGAGAGGGUACAAAUAAAAAUUUUAAUUUUCUUUUCGCUCAAGAAAUUGCAAUCCGAAUCAGUUUUAAGGUUUGGAAAGCCCAUAUGGAAACGCACUAAAUUUUAGGCCCAAAGGUAAUUAAUGACCAUCAGCCCAGUUCAUUGAAAAAAAACGAGUCUGUUGUUUUAAAAAGUAAUAAUAUGUGAGCCUAUGCCACUCGCACUUCUGUAUGAGUUUCACUUCUGUAUGAGUUUCGUUCUUUUAGUCACUUGGUAAUCAAUGAUUGAGUUUCGUUCUUUUAGGUAUCGUUUGAUAUGCAGACGAAACGGAAUGGAACAUGAUGGGAUGGGACAGGACAGGACAGGACGGAACGGAGAAUGAGCAAAUAUGCCCUCGGAUGGAAACAAGAAGGAAGAAGAAGGAGACGGAGAUGUUAUAAUUUUGUGUUCAUUGGAUGUGGAACGAGUCAUUCUAGGGAGGUGAGGCGGAACGAAAAUUCACCCAAGAUUCGUCCCGUGGAACAGCGCGUUCCACCCGUUUUAGGCGCACCAAACGUGAGACGGAACGUCUCGUCCCACUCUGUUCCGUCCCAUCCCACGUACCAAACGGUACCUUAGUCACUUGAUAAUCAAUGAUUGAGUUUCGUUCUGGUCAUUCACUCUUUGACUUUAAUAUAAACGGUAGGAAUUAAAACAUUAAAAAGAACAUGUCACCAGAUCCAUUACCGAACAUCUUUCUUAUGCUAAAUAUUUUGUUUUAAGUCAUAUUUGGGAAGGAUUAUGUUACUUAGUUCGUUUUGGUUAAUCCUCGUAUAUACUUUCCAGUUUCGUGUUGUUUUCUUGUUUCUGGGAAGUUUCGGUUUUCCUUGACGCAUAAGGAUAAUGGUAACUUUCUUUGUCUUUCCUAGUUGUAAUAGUUCUUGAGUUUCAAUCAGGAUUUGGUUUUAGUUUUCCCUUUCCAGAUUAGGAUUUGAAUUUGAGUUUCCUUGUGUAGCAAGUAAACAAGUAGUGGGUCUUUUUGAGUGCCUAUAUGUAGAGAGAGAAUCUAAACCUUUCUUUCACUUGUACUCUGAGCAUAGUGUUGGUUGUAUGUCAACAAUCUGUGAUAAUUUAUAUAUGCUAAUAAAUAAUAAAUGCAAUAGGAAUUAACAGAAUAUAAACUAGAAUACGAAUUAUAAAAACAAACAACUUGAAGAUCGAGGCUUGCGUACCGCAAUGUCCUUGAAACAGAAAUUUCGUCCCUACUCUGUGCUUGUAGUUCUACGGAUGUCUGCUUCACCAGGAUUCAACGAUCAAGUUAAAAUUCCAGCACCGGAAAAUUUAACUUCUGGCGAAUUUAGUGUGGUUCUCUCAGUAAGAAGGUUUAGGAAUGUAGAAGAUGAAGUUGAUUAUUUUCUGUGUUUUAGAUGCUAUGCAAAUGAAUGUAUAUAUAGCAUAUGGAUGCCUUUUUGCAACAGGUAUGAGAAUGGGGUGUGACUGUUGGGAGACAUCUCUUCAGAGGGGUGCUUUGCUCUGUGUUCAAAAAGAACUCUCAGACUUCAUCUGAAAGGAUGAGUCUUUUCAUAAAAAAUAAAUAAUUAAUUAAAUUCGAAUUUAAUUAAAAAAUAAUUAAGUAAAUCUGAAAAAUAAUUAAUUAAAUAAUUAUAUAUUAAUUACCAAAUAAUUAAUACACCCCAAAGCCCAACCCCAAGGGUGAGCCCAAUUUUAGUCUCCAGGCCUAUUACUCCAAUCACUUUCUUUAAAGGACAAAGCCUUAUAAAGUGAUAAAAUCUUUUGGGAAUGACCAAUGUGGGACAAGAAAAUUUCUACUCAAACUACUCAAAUUUCCAACACAUAGGAGCACAGACACUACCACUCAAGCCUUGCUGUGUCCGAAAAACCCUUUGGGCUCUGACCAUGCCCAAAUUCGCCAAUGCUUUUGCUCUGUUGGGCGAGAGCGAAAGUGAAGAUGUCAAGGAACUCAUCGAGGUGGUUGAUGAAAGGGCAGAUGUUUCGCUUCUAGAAGCCUUGAAGAAGAAGAAUGCGAUUGCAAAGAAGGAGGCCGAUGCAAAGAAGAAGAAGGAGGCAAAGGAGAAAGAGCGUCUGCAACGCGAAAUCCAGUUAAAAAAAUAAAAAACCAAAUGUGAACCGAAGUCUUCGUAGAUAACUAAAGAAGAAGUUGGAUAGAAACCAAGACGACAACAAUGCGGCAGCUGCUGAGGUUACAAGUGCUGCUGUGAUUGUUCCUGCUGAGAACAAGUUUUCUCCAUCGUACACUUUGAAAGAGUAUGAGAAGGAGGGAGAGAAUGACAAAUCCGCCACUGUCGAGCAGCCCCAGAAGCCUAAAGAUCAGCUUAAUAGGUGGAUUGAUAGUCUCCAAUGCAGGCAAGGAUCGUAGAUGGCGCCGAGAUUGGAUGAACCAUCAACCUGAUGCCAAGGUUUAUGUCAAUUGUUCGCAGCAAGCGGAGGUGGCAGAGCCGCAUAUUUCCUGAAUGCUGCGGAAUUUGCAGUCCUGUAACAAAUUGUAUUAAACUUUCCUAGUUCUUACUUGAACUAUACUUUUUUGCAAGAGAAGGGUCAUAGAAGCCCUAUUUUCUUUUAAAAAAAAAAGAGGACACUGGUGGCAAACCACGGUUAUCCAACUUACCUAAACACAUGCAUGCCGCAUGAUGUGUUUCUUUAGCCAAAUUCAAAUAAUACCAAAUCCAACAAUAGUUGCAAGAAACAAAAGUAGACUAGGCAUAACCUAGUUGGUUAAUAAUUCAGGAGUUUUCUUAAAUGAUAAAGCAAUGUUACACCUGAAUUCUCGCUCUCUUAUUUUAUGGACAAAAUUAUAUUGUUUUAAGGCAAUGUGAUCUCUUCAACAAAUCUUUAUUCAGUUUUUGUAUAUAUGACUAAAAUUUCAUGAUUAAACGUAUUAUCCAACUAUACAAAUUCCCUCAUUUAAUCAAUAUAAAUAGGUCAUCAAAUCAUACAUAGAGUUUGACAUAAACAUUGCACAAAGAAUUGGAUCGAUCAUGAACCUUUGAUGACUAUAACAAUAUAAAUACGCUCUACCUAGUUCGCCUGCACAUGAAUUGCAGACUUGGAUAUUGUUCGUGAUGGCUAACUCUCAGUUUGUACCAGCAUGUAUCAUGUUCAUUGCCAAUAUUGUCAUCGUCAACAUUGGCGCGGCAAUAGGCGGAUGGCCUAAUGGGCAUGCAACAUUUUACGGUGAUAAGCAGGGUGGAGGAACCUAAGUUUGAUUGUGUUUAUAAAGAAAUAAGUUAUUACUCGAAAUAUGUACGUAUAAUAUUAGUCAAUCCUAAACCUAAUGCGUACGUUUUUGUAUUAAUAUGACGACUAUAUAGUAAUCCAAAUUUAUCUGUAGUGCUUACUAAUUUUGGAUCUUUCAUGCAUUCAACUUUGAUUAGGGGGAGCUUGUGGAUACGCUGAUACCAACAAACAAGGCUACAGGGUGGAAACGACAGCCCAAAGUUCUGCUCUCUUCAACAAUGGCCAAACUUGCGGGGCUUGUUUCGAGGUUACGUGCGUGGAUGAUCCAAAAUGGUGCCUACAAGGCACCAUCAAAGUGCUUGGUGCAAUCCUCCCUCAAAGCACUUUAAUUUGUCCCAACCAAUGUUUCUAAAGACUGCAAAAUUCGCGGCCGCCGGAAUAGUCCCCGUUGGCUUUCAACUAGUGCCAUGCUUUAAGAGGGGAGGGAUCAAGUUCUAUCUCGGUGGGCGCCCUAAUUUCCUACUUGUGUUGAUACACAACGCUGGAGGGCUGUUGAAUUGGUCGAUGUAAAAGUAACAGGCUCGAGCACUGGUUGAGCACUGGUUGGAUACAAAUGACGCGUAAACUGGGGAGUGGGGACAAAACUGGCAGAUUGGAGGAGGUUUGGAAGGAAAAAAAUGGUCUUUCCAAGUAACAACUAGUGAUAGAAGGACGCUGGAGUCUCUCAAUUUUGUGCCUGCCAAUUGGCAAUUUGGACAAACAUAUGAAGGGAGAAACUUUUAGUUAAAAAUUCUUGUGGAACAUUAGUAGACCGUGAAACAAGUUUUCUGUUUGAGUACAAGAAGAAAGGAGAGAAUCACAAAACCGCUGCUGUCGAGCUACCCCAACAGCCUGCAGAACAGCUUACUGAGUGGAAAGGGAGAUUCUAACUUGAGUGCGAAGAAACAAGCACAUUGCUCUAGCCAUCUGACCUAAAAGUAUUUCAGAAUAUUUUGCAGAAUCUUCAAAGCUGCCUACGAGGUAUAAUUAACCCAUAAAAACAGAGCAAUCAUAAGAUUAUUAUGUACAAAAUAGUUGUUGACUGGGUGCUAAACCAAUAAAUUUGGGCCAGCUCAAAUUUUUCAUCUUUGACUAUUACACUAUUGCCCUCAAAUCAACCGACCGCGACAACCUUUUGAUGACUAAACAGUUCAAUUAUGUAUAAAAGCAUCUUCAUCAUUCUGCAGGCAGUCAAAAAUCUCUCUCUCUCUCUCUCUCUCUCUCUCUCUCUCUCUCUCUCUCUCUCUCUCUCAACCAUGGAUUUCAUGAUAGAUGUGAAUCACCAGAGGAUCCAAACCAAUGGAAUAUGGCUUCAUGUAGCCAAAAAAGGGACAGGUCCUCUGGUUCUCUUGCUUCAUGGCUUCCCAGAAAUCUGGUAUGCCUGGCGCCACCAGAUCGAAUACUUGGCGGAAAACGGCUACCACGUGGUGGCGCCAGAUUUGAGAGGUUACGGCGACUCUGACGCUCCUCUCAACCACAACUCCUACACCAUCUUCCAUAUAGUUGGAGACCUCAUUGGCCUACUUGAUCAUUUUGGUCAACAACAGGUGACAAGCUUUUUCUCUACAUGAAGUGAUUUCCGCACGACUUUAUUCUCGCAUGUAUAUUUUACACAUUUGGUUGAUUAAAUUAAACCGAGGAUUAAGGGCCAAAAAUAAGUAGAGCCCAAAGGAGAAAAGAGUUGUGCGGAAAUCAUUUUCCUUUCUUGAACUGCAAUCAAAGAAUUUAAAACUUCAUAUGAACAUAUCCAUGUUGUUAUGUAUGUGAGGGGUUUGGAUUUUUGAAAAUCUAAUGUAAUGGUUUGUGAUUUGAGAAGGCAUAUGUGGUGGGACAUGAUUGGGGAGCAGUUGCUGGUUGGAAUUUGAGCUUGUUUAGGCCUGAUAGAGUGAUAGGGCUGGUUAACCUAUCAGUUCCAUACUUUCCAAGAUCUCCAACAACCAAAACUACCGAAGCUAUAAGACAAAUUUUUGGUGAAGGAAGUCAUGUGAUUCAAUUCCAGGUACUUCCUCUCUCCAGAUGUUUGUAUCAAAAUUAGUAGCCACACGAGAUGUUUAUGUUGUCCGACUGUCACCGAUGGGGUUCUUACCUGAACGGUGUGGUCCAAAUUCACAAUCUAACAAUAUAUGUAUGCAUAUGUCACUUAAUUAUUGUUUCUUGGCUGAGAAGGAACCGGGAAGAGCAGAGAAAGCGUUUGCGAGGUAUGACUGUAUGACAGUGAUGAAGAAGUUCCUGCUGGUAACUAAUAAUUUGAUAGCUCCUCCGGACAUGGAGCUUAUCGAUUACCUGGAGACACAAUCAUCAUUGCCGGCAUGGCUAACUGAAGAGGAUAUCCGGGUCUUCGACAAAAAAUUUGAGGAGUCUGGAUUCACCGGUCCUUUGAACUACUAUCGCGCAAUGGAUCUGUAAGUUUAUAGAAACUUUACUGUGUAUUCCCAAGCUAAAAUUGAUUCAAAAAUAUGCCUUAGGUACAACCACCAUAUGCUUGAAGACUUCUAAUCCGAAUUGUACUUAAAAUAUACUCAAGUUACCAGCUUCUAUAUCCAAGAGAACCAUAGAAUAUUUUUUUGAUUCGAAGGAUAUUCUAAUCUAAUUGAAACUGAGAAAAGGGGGAUUCGAACUUGGUGUAGAAGGGGAAGCCACCGCUCUAACUGACUUGUCUACGCUUAAGUCUGUAAAAAUGCAUGGAGCCAACUCAACUGUCCUGCUUUUUUUUUUUGGUCGUUUUUAUUAGUCGGUUGAUGGUGAUGUAUAUCAUGUUAAACAGGACUUGGGAGCUGCUUGCGCCCUGGCAAGGAUCGAAAAUCAUGGUACCCGUGAAGUUCAUGAUCGGCGACAAAGAUCCAGGGUUUAAAUCCGGCGGAACAAGUGAAUUUGUGCAAGGUGAUGAGUUCGGAAGCCUUGUCCCGGACCUUGAGGUGGUUAUCGUAGGCGGCCACCAUUUCAUCCAACAAGAGAACCCUCAAGAAGUCUCCAGCCAAAUACUUUCCUUCCUCCGUCAACAUCCUGCAGAUCAGUGAAAUUUUCGUGUUAGAGUGUUUCUGUAUAAUUAUUGUUCUUCUUAAGACAUGUUGGAAAUCUGUUUAUAACCUCAUGUGAUAGCUACUUGAGAAGUUUUCAUGGAAUUGAAGGGUAGGGACAACAUUGAUGCGGAUCAUAUCAUCGAGGAUGAUACCGAUCAAUUUUAUGUUAAGGGCCAAAGUGAGGAAUUCUGUAAACUUCAAAAACCAGUUACAAUAAAAACUCAACUACUUUGUUUGAGGAAGCAUAUAGGCCUUGUUCCGUAACAGAAAUCUAGAAACUCGACACAUUACAAUACAAUCCAAUACAAUUUACCAUAGAGGUACAAUCCGUGAUACGAAAACCAAAUUCAGAACAAGAAAGGAAACAAUAUCGUCAUGUAAGCAGAUGUUGCGUUUCCAAAAUAUAAUCACAAUGGCACGGUGAAACACAUAGAAAACCAUAUACUAAAACACUUUUCUAUACAAGACAGAAGCAAAAUUCUUGGAAGGCAGUUUCCAGGAAAAUGACAUGGAUAAGCACUAAAAUUUAAUUAAAUGAAAUCAUCCAGUGAAUAUUAGUAUAUUCUUUCUACAAGAUGAUAUUUUAAACUACAUUAAUUUAUUUGAAACGGAAUUCAAACUUAUAUACAAGAAGACACAUACAUUAACCACCCAACUGGUUUAACCCCAUGUACUUAAAAAUUAGUCUUUAGGUCAACAAAUUGUACUUUUCUACACCGUACUCGUAUUGGAGCAUUUGAUACGUUACCCUUCUCUGGCCCGAUUCAAACUUGUCAUCUUUGACUGUUUGACAACCAGAAUUUUCAAGUCACAACUUCCCAAUCAUUUUCUGCAAAUUAUACAUAUAAAAAUGAUCUCUCUCUCUCUCUCUUCUCUCUCUCUCUCUCUACCAUUCACAACAUUAAGCACCAGCCUGAUGCCGUUGCGGAUGAUGUCUUUUUACAGAGUGUACAAAUCGAUUGAAAUUUUAAAAUCCUCCAUUAUUACAAGAAUAGAGAUUUGAAUUUGAGUGUGAGGACGUUAUCGCAUAGGUCCGACCAACUAACUUAAACACAUCCACAUGGUGUAUUUCUUUAGCCGUUCUAAUAGUACAAAAUCCAAGAAUAGUUGCAAGAAACAAAAUUAGACCUAGAUAUAGCCUAGUUGGUUAAUAAUUCAGGAGCUUUCUUAUAUUAUUUUACACUAUAUUAAAAUACAUAUGGCUCGAAUAAAAGAAUUAAAAUUAAUGAAACAUAAAAAAUCUAUCGCCUACUUAAAUUCGAGUAAUAAUAGGGAUAUCAAAAUUUUAAAACAAUGUAUCAUCUCAUGUGGCAAAGUGAUGCAUACAACUAACAUUUAUUUAGAUAGAUUAUUAAUUGACGUGACAAGUACACAUCACUUACCACAUUAGAUGGUACACCACUAUCAUACAAAAAUGUUACCUCUCUAAUAUUUUUUCCCUUUAAAUUCAAAUUUUAACAAUUAGACAACAAAAAUGCUAUUUUUUUUUUGGUUAAACGAUAAAUUUUGUUAUAUUAGAUAUUAGAUUAGUCACUGACAAAGUUCGAACUCACGCCGCCAUGCAAAGACUCAACUCUUUUCCAUAAUUGUGGUAAAAGGCCACUUGCACAAAAAUACUAUUCUUAAUUAUCAUCUAUUUUUACUAUAAUUUGUAUUAUAUCUCUAAUAGAAAUAAGACCCACAUGCGUUGGCGGGCCUUAUAUCUAUUAGAAAGAUAACAUAAAAGAUAAUACAACUAGAUAGUAAGUGUAGCAUUGCUCAUUAGACAAUACCCUUUGCGUCAACUAAUUGAAACAUGAAGUCUUGCUACUGAGUUUCAUUUCGUAUAUUGUCCAUUCAAUGCGAGGGCUGGUAUUAUGUUAAGGGUUUAAAUAAAAAGGCAAUGUAAAUCUCUUGAACAUACGUUAAUUCAACUACAAAUUUCAUGAUUAAACGUAUUAUCCAACUAUACAAAUUCCCUCAUUUAAUCAAUACUAGCUGCAUGCGCUCAUGCGCGUGCAUAAUGCAUUUUCUGAAUCACGACGUGCUACACGCGACUUACACCUUGUAAAUGUAUUUAUAUGUGUGAAUUGCUUCAAUAAUUUUUUUUAUGACAAAAAGAAAGUGAAAUAUUUGAAGUAAAUGAAUAAUAUUAGAUCAUGUUAAAAGAAACCCCUCAUAAACCAAUCAAAGCAGCUGAAUCCACCCCUUAGUGUAGAUAACAUCAUUAGUUAAAAAAAAGACCAUUUGACAACUAAUUGAAUCACAUUAUUGUGAGCGUGUGAAAACCUUUUUUUUUUAUGGAAAUUUGGAAAAAUAACCAAAAUUUAGACCCCAUGUAGAAUUAUAGCCACAAUUUUAAGUUUAUGAUAAUUAUAACAAAAAAUUGAUAUAAAAAUACUAAUAUACCCUUAAAUAGAAAUUAACAAAUAGGGAGAGUGUUUGAAUACAGAUCCAAAAAAACUCAAGCACAAGGAUUUUCUCAGUUUGAUUUGUGCGUGAUAAACAAAACUUGUUAUCUGGUUAAGAUGGUGGGGAUGGUUAAUUUGAUUAUCCAGACAUCUUGCUCUUGUUUUCGAGGCAGAAUGUCUUGAAUAAAGGAUUGAACAUCAUGGGUAUCCUAGUUUUCUGGACAUGAUUUUCCUCUCCUCGUUUCGUGUUUGCCCAGUGAGAGGGUUAUGUUUGUGCUAGUAGCAUUUUCAUUGACAUCGCUCAAGCACAUCCAGUUCACAUCGAGUCAUUUAUCCGGCAACACCUAUCGAACAUCAUUUGUUUCCGCGAAUGCCUCGUGGACAACUGAGGAAGAUUGCUUCAACUGUGAACACUCAUGUCUGAUACCUCUUGGAGAGCAUGUCUAUAUAGAUUUACUACGGCACCACCCCACCACACACAUUGAUUCGUUUACAUUUCGCAAUUUUUUUUUAUAAGUUUGGGGCAUCUAACUAGCAUAAAAAAGAAGAUGAUUAUCUAUAAGCUGGGUUUUGUCGAUUUCGAAUUUUGUAUCUGUUGAUGCACAAAACCGAAAGUCUUGGAACAACGUAAAUCCAACCGUGAAUCUGCAAGAAAUGUAAAUAACACAAGAUGUAUCGUGGUUCACCCCAAGGUUUGGGCUACGUCCACACUGAUUGUAUUUAUCUGAGAGUAUUUGUGAGGGAGAGAACCUCUGAAUAUGAGAGGGGAUGUGAGAGGGGUGAGAAGGCUCCAGAAUUGGCUUCCCUUAAUUGUGAGGGUGAGAAGUCCUUUUAUAGAAUAAUGACUCCUCACUUAUUGCAUAUUUGCCCAUUCCUUUAUCACAUAAUUACAUUUAAGUUCCCCAAAUAUUUGUAUGAGAUCUAAAUACGAGGCCCCAAAUAUAGUAUAAACAGUAUCAUUUUUUAUUUGGCAUUAUAUGAUUUUGGUAUGUUUUGUCUUUGAACUUGCAGUGGAAAUAGAUUUAAAUAUCCAUUUUUUGAGUUUUUAUUUUGAUACAAUUAUUAUGUAAAGAUAUAUUAGUACUUUCAUAUCAACUUUUGGUUAUAAUUAUCAUAAAUCUCAAAGGAUAGCUAUAAUUCUAUUUGAAGUCUAAAUUUUGGUUAUUUUUCCAAAUUUCCCUUUCUUUUUUCUUUAUCAUCGGUAAUACGUGUCUCUUAAGAUGUUUUAAACGUGUUUAAAAAUAGAGAAAAUAAUAUUUAAUAAAUAACUGAUUGAAUCACAUUAUUGCUAACCCAUUAUGAGACUAAGCUCACCCCCCUCUUCCUUAGUGUAGAUAAUAUCGUUUGUUUGGAAAAAAACACAAUCAUUUGACAACUAAUUGAAUCACAUUAUUAUGCGCGUAUGAAAUACCUUUUUUAUAACCGACACUACACGCUUCUUAAGAUGUUUUGAAUGUGUUUAAAAAAAGAGAACAUAAUAUUUAAUAAACAACUGAUUGAAUCACAUUAUUGCUAGCCUAUUGUGAGGUACUAAAAAAAACUGUACAAAAGGAAUUAAUUAUUAAAAAACAUUGUUUAUAUGACAAAAAUACCCCUGCAUUAUUUUGGACUGUUUUUGAAUUUUUUUUGUUUUUUUUUUGGGGGGGGGGGCAUAUUUUUGUUAAAAAAAAAAUUGUGAAGCCCGUGACCUCAAAAGGAAUUGUUGGUUUUAUAUAUAGAGAUAAAUAGAUUAUCAAAUCAUACAUAGAAUUUGACAUAAACAUAUGUUGCACAAAGAAUUGGACAGAUCAUGACCAUAACAAUAUAAAUACGCUUUACCUAGUUCGCCUACCCGUGAAUUGCGUACUUGGAUAUUGUUCGUGAUGGCUAACUCUCAGUUUGUACCAGCAUGUAUCAUGUUCAUUGCCAAUAUUGUCAUCAUCAACGUUGGCGGGGCAAUCGGCGGAUGGCUUAACGGGCAUGUAGCAUUUUAUGGUGAUAAACAAGGCGGAGGAACCUUUGAUUAGUUUGAUUGUGUUUUGUGAAGAAAUAAGUUAUUAUUCGAAAUACGUACGUUUAAUAUUAGUCAACCCAAAACCUAAUAAGUACUAGUCCAAUUUUAUCUCUAGUGCAACACUGAUUUUGGAUCUUUCAUGCAUUCAACAAUGAUUAGGGUGAGCUUGUGGAUAUACAGAUACCAACGAACAAGGCUACGGGGUGGAAACGACAGCCCUAAGUUCUGCUCUCUUCAACAAUGGCCAAACUUGCGGGGCUUGUUUCGAGGUUACGUGCGUGGAUGAUCCAAAAUUGUGCCUACCAGGCACCACCAAAGUAACAGCAACCAACUUGUGUCCUCCAUCCAAAAAUGCUAGUGCAAAUUGGUGCAAUCCUCCUUCAAAACACUUUGACUUGUCCCAACCAAUGUUUCUAAAGAUGGCAAAAUUCGCGGCCGCCAGAAUAGUCCCCAUUCACUUUCAACGAGUGCCAUGCUUUAAGAGGGGAGGGAUCAAGUUCUAUCUCGGUGUGCGCCCUAAUUUCCUGCUUGUGUUGGUAGACAACGUUGGAGGGGCUGGUGAAGUGGUAGAUGUAAAAGUGAAAGGCUUGAGCACUGGUUGGAUACAAAUGACGCGUAACUGGGGACAACAGACUGGAGGAGGUUUGGAAGGAAAAAGUUUGUCUUUCCAAGUAACUACUAGUGAUAGAAGGGUGGUGGAGUCUCUCAACGUUGUGCCUGCCAAUUGGCAAUAAGGACAACAUAUGAGGGACAAAGGGAGAAACGUUUGUUAAAAUUCUUGUGGAACAAUAGUAGAUUGUGAAACUGAACACUGUAUUUGACAAAGUGUUAGUGGGUUAAAUAAAAUUAAUCUACAAGCAACAAAGAUCAUUUUGUGCGUUGCUUAAGAAAGAUCUAAAUGUAUGUAAUCUAAAAAUUCAACAAAAAUAAAAUUAUCUUCGUUCCUUAUCCAAAUUUGUCCAUUUUGCACAUGGAAUAAAGUCUUUUAUGGUUCUCGUUGGGGAUGAAACCGACUAGUGUGCGUGUGUGUGCGCCCGCGCAGAGAGAGGCCAAACCCUUCUUCUCAUGUAUUCUGAUCUUAACAUGAGAAACACUACAAGUCAAGCCUUAUUGAGCCCUCUAUGGCGAAAUUCACCAAUGCUUUCAAUCUGUUGGGCGAGAAGAAACUCAUAAAGAUUGUGGACGAGAAGGCAGACGCGUAGCUCCUAGAUGCGCUGAAAAAGAAGGCGGACACCAAAAAGAAGGCAGAGGAGUAGAGGAGGAAGAAGAGCAUCUGCAGCGCCAAACUGAUCCACUAAAUAAUAAACCAAACGUGAAUGGAAGUCUUCAGAGAAAACUGAGGAAGCAAAGGCAUAAAAACCAAUAUGAAAACAAUGCAGCAGAUGCCGAGUUUACUAGUACUACCGCGACUGUUCCUUCUGAGAACAAGUUUUUGGUUUCAAUCACUUUGAAAAGAGUACGAGAAGAAGGGAGAGAAUCACAAAGCCGCCACUGUAGAGCAGCCCCGACAGCCUGCAGAACAGCUUACUAAGUGGAAAGGGAGAUUUUAGCUUGAGUGCGAGGGAACAAGCACAUUGUUCUGCCCCGGAAAGUAUUUCAAUAUUUUGCAGAAUCUUCAAAGGCUGCCUAUAUUGACUUUGGCUCCACAUCACUAGGGUACUAAGUGUAAUUAACCCUUAAAAACGGAGCAAUCAUAAAGAUUAUAAAGUACAAAUAAUUGUUGACCAAAGUUUUUUUAGUGCUAAACCAAUAAAUUUAGGCCGGCUCAAAAUUUUCAUCUUUUACUAUUACACUAUUGCUCUCAAGUUUACCAACUACAACGACCUUUUGACGAUUAAACAUUUAAAUUACGUAUGGAUAUAAGCAUCUUCAUCAUUCCGCAGGCCAUUGACCAAUCUCUCUCUCUCUCUCUCUCUCUCUCUCACACACACACACACAACCAUGGAUUUCAUGAUAGAUGUGAAUCACCAGAGGAUCCAAACCAAUGGAAUAUGGCUUCAUGUAGCCGAAAAAGGGACAGGUCCUCUAGUUCUCUUGCUUCAUGGCUUCCCAGAACUCUGGUAUUCCUGGCGCCACCAGAUCGAAUACUUGGCGGAAAACGGCUACCACGUGGUGGCGCCGGAUUUGAGAGGUUACGGCGACUCUGACGCUCCUCUCAACCCCAACUCCUACACCAUCUUCCACAUAGUUGGAGACCUCAUUGGCCUACUUGAUCAUUUUGGUCAACAAAAGGUGAGAAGCUUUUUUUCGACAGAAGUGAUCUCCCGCACGACUUUUUUCUCCCAUGUAUAUUCUGACAUUUCGAUUGAAUAAAAUCAAACAAAGAACUAAGGGGCAAAAAUAAACAGGUACGGCAGAAAGGGAAAAGAGUUGUGCAGAAAUCAUUUCCUUUCUUGAACCCCAAUUAAAGAAAAUUUAAAAUUUUAUGUGAACAUAUCCAUGUUGUUAUGUAUGUGAGGGGUUUAAGGAUUUUUGAGAAUCUUAUGUAAUGGUUUGUGAUUUGAGAAGGCAUAUGUGGUGGGACAUGAUUGGGGAGCAGUUGCUGGUUGGAAUUUGAGCUUGUUUAGGCCUGAUAGAGUGAUAGGGCUGGUUAAUCUCUCAGUUCCAUACUUUCCACGAUCUCCAACAACCAAAACUACCGAAGCCAUAAGACAAAUUUUUGGUGAAGGAUGUCAUGUAAUUCAAUUCCAGGUACUUCCUUUCUCUCCAGAUGUUCGUAUCAAACUCUGCACCCACCCGAAAUGUUUAUGUUGUCAGACUGUCAUUGAUUGGGUUCUUACCUGAAUGUGUGGUCCAAAUUCUCAAUCUAACAAAUAUAUGUAUGCAUAUGUCACUUAAUUGUUGUUUCUUUGCUGAGAAGGAACCAGGAAGAGCAGAGAAAGCGUUCGCGAGGUAUGACUAUAUGACAGUGAUGAAGAAGUUCCUGUUGAUAACCAAUAAUAUGAUAGCUCCUCCUGACAUGGAGUUUAUCGAUUACCUGGAGACACAAUCUUCACUGCCGGCAUGGCUAACUGAAGAGGAUAUCCAGGUCUUUGCCGAAAAAUUUGAGGAGUCUGGAUUCACCGGUCCUUUGAACUACUAUCGCUCAAUGGAUCUGUAAGUUAAAGAAAUUUCUCCGUGUAUUCCCAAGCUGAAAUUGUUCCUCAAAAAUAUGCCUUAGGUACAACCACCAUAUGCUUGAAGACUUGUUCUAAUCCAAAUUGCUAUUAGAAUAUACUCGAGUUACCAGCAUCCAAGAAAACCAGAGAAUAUUUUUUUUUGAUUCUGAGUGAUAUUCUAAACUAAUCUAAACUGGGGAAAGGGUGAUUCGAACUUAAUGUAGACGAGGGAACACACUGCUCUAACUAACUUAUCUACGCUUAAAAUGAAGCCAACCCUCCUGUCCUGCCUUCCUUUUUGGUCUUUUUGUUUUGUUGGUUGAUGGUGAUACUACUUACCAUGAUAAACAGGACUUGGGAGCUGCUUGCGCCCUGGCAAGGAUCGAAAAUCAUGGUACCCGUGAAGUUCAUGAUCGGCGACAAAGACUUCGGGUUUAAAUCAGGCGGAACAAGUGAAUUUGUGCAAGGUGAUGAGUUCAGGAGCCUUGUCCCGGACCUUGAGGUGGUUAUUGUGGGCGGCCACCAUUUCAUCCAACAAGAGAACCCUCAAGAAGUCUCCAGCCAAAUACUUUCCUUCCUCCGUCAACAUCCUGCAGAUCAGUGAAAUUUUCGUGUUAGUGUGUUUCUGCUUCAAUGACAAUUUCUGCUUUCUGUAUAAUUAUUGUUCUUCUUAAGACAUGUUAGAAAUCUGUUUAUAACCUCAUUUGAUUGCUACUGGUGAAAUUUUCAUGGAAUUCUAGGGUAGGGACAACAUUGAUGCGGAUCAUAUCAUCGAGGAUGAUAUCAAUCAAUUUUCAACGUUGAAGGAUUAAAGUGAGAAGUUUUGUAAACUUCAGGAAUCAAUUACAAUAAAAAAUCAACUAGUUAGUUUGAGGAAGGAUACAAACCUUGUUCCACAAAAGAAGUGAAACUUGACACAAUACAAUACAAUCCAAUCCAAUUUACUGUUCAGUAUAAAUCAGUUCAAUGCAAUCCUAUAUGGCUGUCUUUUUAGUCAAAAUAGUUCAUGAGAUUGAUAUAACUCCUCACUUUGGUCCUUGAGAUUUGAAAACUAUAGAAGUGGUCCCUGAGUUUGUCCACAAUCAAUCGUUUUGGUCCUUCCAUGAAAAUCUCUGUUAAAUAAAAGACCAAAAUAACAAAAAUACUCUCAGGAACCAAUUUUAUCGAUUUUAAAUCUCAAGGAUCAAAGUGAAGAGUUAUACUAAUCUCGAAGGCCAUUUUGGUUAAAAAAUCAUCCCUUAAUCUAUACACAAAGAGAACAAUCUGUGAUAUGAAAACCCAAAUUAAAACGAAAUAAGAAAAAAAUAUUGUGAUGUAAGCAGAUGUCGCAUUUCCAAAAUAUAUUCACAAGGGCACAGUGAAACACAGAAAAAACCAUAACUAAAACACUUUUCUAUACAAGAAAGAAGCAAAAUUCUUGGAUGGCAGUUUCCAGGAAAAUGACAUAGAAAAGCACUAAAUUUUUUAUUCAAUGAAAUCAUCCAGUGAAUAUUAGUAUAUUUUUUUUACAAGAAGAUAUUUUAAAUUAUAUUAAUUUAUUUAGAGGGGGGUAAGGCUAGCCGACAUUCACCUCUCCCAGACCCUGCGUAAAGCGGGAGCCUUGUGCACUGGGUACGACCUUUAUUUAGAGGGGGGAUUCGAACUUAAAUAUAAGAAGACAUACACCGACCAACUAAUCUAACCAUAUUUAAAUAAAAUUAGUAAUUGGGUCAACAAAUUGGGAACCGGAUCCCCUCUGGAUCCAUAUAUACUAAGCUUGCUGAGCAGGUGAUCCGGGUUGUUAAAAUUUGAUCUAACGGCUACAAUUAUUAUAACUUUUAGAGGAUCCAUGUUUGUAGCUAUUAGAUCAAAUUUUAACGGGUCAGAUCGCUUGCUCAGCACACUCAAUUUUAUUGGAUCCGGUUCCAACCAAUUGUACUUUUCUACACCAUAACUCCCGUUCUUUCUCCCAAAAAAAAAAAAAAAAAAAAAAAAAAAACACUCACGUUGGAGCAUUUGAUACGUUACCCUCUCUGGUCUUAUUCAAACUUGUCAUCUUUGACUGUUUGACAACCAGAAUGUUCAAGUCACCAACUUCCCAAUCAUUUUUCUGCAAAUUGUACAUAGAAUAGUGAACUCUCUCUUUCUCUAUCUCUCUCUCUCUCGCUCUCUCUCUCUCUCUCUCUCUUUCUCUCUCUCAGGAAAUAUGAAUGAUGAGGUGACUCACCAGAGGAUCAAAACUAAUGGAAUAUGGAUGCACAUAGCGGAGCAAGGGACAGGGCCUCUGGUGCUUCUCCUCCACGGCUUCCCGGAAAUAUGGUAUUCGUGGCGCCACCAGAUCAGUUUCUUGGCUAAGCAUGGCUACCAUGUUGUUGCUCCUGACAUGAGAGGCUAUGGCGACACCGACGCCCCUCUCAACCCUUCCUCCUACUCCAUUCUCCACCUCGUCGGCGACCUUGUUGGCCUCCUUGAUCAUUUUGGUGGACAGCAGGUUUCUCUCUCUCUCUCUCUCUCUCUCUCUGAUUGUUUCUUUUACUUAACAAUUGUCGUUCAUGAGAUUUGAACUACGAUCUAACAAAGCGGAGAGUUGGGUUUUUAGCAAGAGAGUUUGAUCGUUUGUGUCUUGUUGGAAAAGGCAUUUGUUGUGGGACAUGACUAUGGAGCCAUUGCAGCUUGGCACCUGAGCCUUCUCAAGCCCGAGAGAGUCAAGGCCGUCGUUGCACUAUCUGCUCCAUACUUCGAAAGGUCUUCAAGCACUAGGAAUUCCGAUUCGAUGAGGCAGCUGUUCGGCGAGGGGUGUUACGUUCAUCAGUUUCAGGUUCUUUUACAGCAAAACACAAACAUGUAGAAAUUGUGUUUUAACAAAUGUGUGUUUUUAUGAUUGGAUUUUCUAUGGCGUAGGAGCCAGGAAGAGCAGAAAAAUCGUUUGCGAGAUACGAUUAUUUGACGGUGAUGAAGAAGUUCCUGCUGUAUAACAAGACAGAUUAUCUGGUGGCUCCUCGUGGAAUGGAGAUAAUCGAUUAUCUGGAGACACCGGCGGUGUUGCCGCCAUGGAUUUCUGAAGAGGACCUCCAAGUCUAUGCUCAAAAGUUUGAGGAAUCUGGCUUCACUGGUGCUCUCAAUUAUUUUCGUACAAUUGAAAUGUAAGUGUAGCCACAUUGGUCUCGUCUGUGCACCUAAGUUCAAAUCUUCCACUCCGAUAUUUAGAUUAUUCAACAUAGAAAUAGGAACAUGUCACGGGCUUGGUUUACCUGUUGCACCUGUCUCUUUGAACGUGACCUGACCUAAUCUCUCUUCACGCGGUUUGGUUUGGUGUUGGGGCUGGCUUAAUUGCAAUUGUCAACCCUAGAGAAUCUUCAAUGGCUUUUAGGUUUUGAUUUGGUGAUUUGAUGCUACCAACCAAAAUGGGUCGGAUUUUGGGUCGGGUUUACCCUACUAACCGAAGGGCUUGGGUGUGCUUAAUUCGAAAUGAGAUCCACUCCUGAUCUUUUUGUUCGGAGGCCGUAGACCAAAAGAUCCAGACCGUUCAAGAGAGAGAAAGAGAUCCAGACUAUUCAAGUUUUUGGAUUUUUGUAAAGUGGACCAGUGGAAUGGACUAAUGAGAGUCGUAGGAUUGAAAUCGAGUGGUCCGGUUCUCUCAAUCUGUGGGCUUCAGACAUAGAAAUCAACUUUACCAAUCACUACACACGCUUGAUUUAGCUUGCACAAUACUGUUGAUAUGCUCAAUCACUUUAAUACUCUACUCAGUCUCACGUCAUAACGUUCGAUGGUAUUCAAUGGCUUUUGCUAAUUUUUGACAGCUGUUAACUUUGGAAAUGGAAACAGGUACUGGGAGCUCAUGGGACCAUGGCAAGGUUCAAAGGUUAAUGUUCCAGCAAAGUUCAUUGUGGGUGACAAAGACAUUGGUAUUGAAGUUCUGGGCACAAUGGAAUAUGUAAAAGGAAGUGUUUUCAAGAGUCUUGUGCCGAACCUGGAAGUCGUGAUCUUGGACGGCCACCAUUGUAUCCAGCAAGAGAAAGCUCCAGAAGUCUCCGACGAGAUUCUUUCCUUCCUACGCAAGUUUUCUACAGAAAAGAGUUUGCCAGUCUAAAUGAGAGUUUUGCCUUACCUAUUUUUCAAUGUUAAUACAAUGUAUGACAUUUGCAAGCAUUUGUCCGUGAGUGAUACGAUUCGCAACUAUUUACAUGCUUUUCCAAAAAUACCUUCCGAUACUCUUUUAAGUUAUGAAAUUUCAACUGAGAUAAUGUUUGAUGUAGAAAGAGUACUCAAAAUUGAGGAUGAAGAGAAGAACCUUACUCGUUCGUUCUAGCCAAUUUUAGAAAUUUCAGUACAUUUUCGUAUACAAUAAAAGUGAUCGAAGAAGCAGGAACAUUUUUCAGAAGAUUUGGUGUGAUUCCCUUGUAGAAACCUCGAAUGCCCUCAAACCUACAAGCCGCAGCAGGAAAAUAUGGAAAUAGAGAAGUUAGCAUCCGAGACAAAAUCAAAGGGGAAUUUAUCAAAUAAGAGCAACUUAAUGCCUUCAAUAACUAGUCUUCUGCUUUCAUACGUUAAGGGUAAUUGUCAUCCUUACCGUGCAGUUUCCCUUACUACAUGCCAGCUAUCCAUAUAUCUUGGAAUUCCUUCGCUACUAGGUCGUUGCUGACAAAAUGAGACAUUAGAAAGUUCCAAUCAUCAAUAAGGAAUACGAGCGAAUAAAACAUGUAGAAUCACAAAGGGCAACUUCCUGAACCCAUCGUGAUAAUAAAAGCUCAAACUGUUUCAGACUGGAGAAACUUGCACGUAUUGAGACCAUGUAAAGAGGAAAAAUAUAUGGAUAUACCAACCUGCAAUCGAGAUCGUAUCACCUGAAAAAACAUGAAAAGAAAAAACCAGGUCAUCGAAACUGCAUAAGUAAUAAUCUAAAAUUGAAAUGAACAUCUAAAAGAAUUUUACACCAGAGCUAAUAAUAUGUAUUUAUGCGUGCCUGGAAUGGAUAUGAUAGAAGAAUGGCCGCAACUUUAGAUGAUCCACCCAAUGCUGCAUAGUCAACUGAAUUCUGUGCAGAAACCAUUGGGCCAUAAGAUUCCGUAAACAGGCUGCUUAAUUGGCAAAAGAGCAACAAACAUAUGUUACCGUGCAACAAAUGGUGGUCUACAUUGCAGUAGCUGUGCAAACACUUAUACUUCUCCUAGAUGCAUCGUCAGGAAUUUAAUAUGCUCAAGUAAAUCAAUAAAGCAAAAGUUCCAAAUUCUUCAGAUGAACUAAAGUGGACAAAAAAUUGAACGACUGUUCCCCUGUGAGUGCAAGUGUAGAUGAGAAGAAAUUAAACUGAUGAUGAUUUGAUAAGAUGGAUUCCCAUUUGUGAAACAUGUAGUGUAUAAUCCUACAGCACUCUUUAACAUGCUGCGAUGUUAAUGCCAUAGAUAGAGGAGAUGAACAGGCACAAGGAAUGUGUGCUUUUCUCAAUCAUGAAUGGGUAGGUAUAUUGAGCAGAAGAUGCGUACUAUAGUAUAAUCCAAAUCCUGUUAUUACCCAAAUAUCCACUUUUUUUUUCCUUUCUCUUUUACGAAUUUGUAGAACAAAUCUCAUUUCCCCACCAAUCUGGGAUUUCUUCAUUUGGAGCAGUAAAUCCUAACCAAUGACUAGAGGACAAAUUUUCCAACAUCCGAAAAGGACCACUAUAGCGAACUAUACAAGAUAUGGGAAUGUAAGUAAAAAAAUCCAGAAAUUCUCGAUGUAUAGACGGAAAUAGAGCCAUUCUAUAAAUACCAGCACUGUAUCAGCACUUCCAGAAUGCGUUCUGCGUCUUUUAGACUUGAAGUCAACAACGAUUUUACGGAGUUCUUCAUAUGCUGUGAAUUGAAUAGCACCAUGAGAAACCUGCUGAAACAAUAAGAAGACUGUAAGCUGCAAAUUCUAAAGCAUGAAAGACUGGAAACUUUUGGGCACAAUUGAGACAUGUGUAUACUCUAAUGCAAAUGCACUUAUAUGGUCUUAACAUACAAUUAAAUUUAGAAAUACAAAAUAAUCGCCAGAAGCACUUCCAUCUCUCCGCUCGGCAUUGUAAAUCAUUAGAUAUGUCAGAUACUCCCAUAUUUUUCCAUAACAAAUUCUUCACAUGUUUCUUCAGUUUCCUUUUGCAUUGAUUAACUCAAGUAUUUGACAAAAUACAGAGAUCAACUUGAGUAUAAAUUUCGACAAUCAUUUCAUGACAUCACAACUAUGAAUAUGGUUUUUUUUUUUUUUUUUUUUUUUUUUGUAGUGAAUUAGUGAUGCAUACAAGCUGUACAGAGAGGCUGUUAGUGUCUGUGGGGAGACAAGAAAGUAACCCCAAAUCCUCUAUACAAGCUGUACAAAGAGGGGUCAUAUUAAAAACACAAAAAGAUCAUAGACAAAAAGCAUACCAGAAAGAGACUGGGAAGAAGACCUUUAUAAAGCGCAGCCCACCCUUCCUCUCUGAUUAUGGUUCUUAAGGCAUCUGAGAUAUGAAAAAAAAAAUUAAAAAGCAAAGUAAAACAAAGGUUAUGAACAUAAGUACAUGAAGAAAAUUCUCUAAAACAGACACAUCACAGAUGAUUGAGCAAAAGUUUUUAGGUGAUAGUUAUUGCAAAUUCCCUUGAAUCGGGAAGUUUUAAGUUUGGUAUAUGCUUGAUAUCAUUAUGCUCAUCUUUCUAAAAACAAGUUAGCGUUAAAGCAAAGCAAACUUCAUUACAAUUACAAUCCUGUCAUAUUGUCUAUGUCCUACUUUAUAGCCAAUCAGACCAAUCUUAUAAAAUAGGUUAUCUUCUAAUUCUAGAAGUCCUCAUCAAUAAUAGUUUAUUUUCAGCACAAAUUAACAAAUAAGGAAUAUUUAGCAAGCAACAAACUAGUAAGUGAGCCGAACAAACUAAAAAGGGGAUAUUGCAGUCAUUCCUAUCAAGUUAAAGUAAGAUAAGAAGCAGACCAUAAAACCCAGAAUAUGGUCGAGUUUGAUGGAGAGGAGUCUGAAGCUGCAAUCUUGUUUUUACAAGCCAAAUAGGAUUUGUGCACAAGGAAACCUGACAAAAUCACAACAUUGCUAUCAUCUAUAGGCAACCAUCCACUAAACUUCUGGCUACCUUCUAAAAGUAUUGGAAAGAAACAGAAAGUGAUUUAUUAUUCCUCUAAACACUUCAUAUAAAAUUUCAAAGUUUGAAACAUAUUAAUGUGAUUUCCUAACUUCCCACCCUCCAACAGUGUCUUGAUUUCAGCAUACAAAAAGUUGGAUAACUAGCAAUAAUAGGCACGAUAUGCAAUAUGCACAUAGAACUGACAAGCAGGAUUGCAUAAAACUUUGAUAAUUAACAACCGAACGUUCCAUUAACAUUUUCUACAACCAUAUUAUUCGAAGGUAGCAGAAGACUCACCAAAGCACCAGCUUCUGCCGCAGAAGCAAGAUGAAGGCCAGCGCUCAGCUGCUUUUCCCUGUCCUUCGAAUACCUUUCUUUUGCUCUUCCAUAGCUACAUACAACAGAAGUUUUCGGUUCACUCAUAACUUCCUUCUGAAAACAAUGAAAAGACCAAAAUUGAAAGCAACCCAAUUUCAACUGCAUUGCGAAAGUCGAACCCUUUUGAUAUCUCAAUAUUUAUCAAAUAAAAAAGCUCCAAUUUUAUACUAGAAAAAACCAUACAUUUCUACUUACAAGAAGAAAUAUAAACCCCAUGAAACAGUGGAGCCUAGAACCGCAGGAGAGAAGCCUGCGUAGAGUCCUCUCAGGCCCUGUAAAACACAAAGCAAUGUGAUCCCAAAUCAUCAUCUGACAAAAAAAAAAAAAAAACCCCUGGGGCGUUUGCAGGAGGAUAGAUUUUUACCUCCAAUCGAGCAAUGGUAAAAAUGGCGUGAGCCGUGUUCUUGUAAGUCGGAAGAUUCAAGACUCGACCGUCGUUGACUUGAAAUCUGGUCCGGACAACGUCGAGGGGAUGCAUAGCGGCGACGGUGGCGAAUCCUGCGACGGCGCCGGCGGUGGCGGUUUCCCACUGCCACCGCGACGCUGACGACAUUUGUAUUUCACGACAGAUUUAGAAGACGAAUUGUACUCUUUAAGCUGUGCAGCUCUGAGUUCUGAAGAGUGAAGCGAGCAGGCUUUUCUAGGCGAUCGACCGCGACGUCGUCGUUUACGAUUUUAAAUCGAACCGCCAGGUAUUUUACCGGUAACGACUAACGAGUAACGAAGUGGCGGCUUUGCCUCUCGACUCUUGAGUGCCCUCAGCUGUGACCCAGACCGUGCCGUUGUGUGUGCAAGGUGCGUACUUGGUGUUUUAUAAAACUGGUAUCUUUCACAGUUUUUGGUGGAAAAAAAAAAAAAAUGUGAAGCAAUAAAAAAAAUGUGAAGCAAUAAAAAUAAACUUAUUUUCACAGCACAGUAGAAUUAGUUUUUUUUUUUUUCAAAACACAGUAAUAUCAAACCAGCUCUUAUACCGGUUUGUUAUUGAGGUGCUUUUUAUAAAAAGUGGGUAUCAAAAAAAGCUGAGCUCAAAAAGAUGUUUGGUAAACACUUAAAAACAAUUUAUUUUUACAACUUUUGGUGAAAAAAAAAAAAACUAAAAACGUGAAGCAGCAUAAAUGUUGGAUUAUAUGUUGAAUGUUGGAUUAUGAUUUCUUGUUAAACGUUGGAUUAUAUGUUUAAAAUAAAGUUUAUAAAUAUUUUUCUUUUAAAAAUAAAGUAUAUUUAGUAAUUCACUUUUAUUUGUUAAGAAAAUUAAAUUAAUGGCACAUCUAGUAUUAUACUAUUUUUUGUCAUUACACACAAUCACAGCUGUUUUACAUAAAAGUUUACCAAACACUAUAAUACUGCUUUUUUCCAAAAGCACUUUUACAAAAAAGUUUAACAAACACUCUGCUGCUUUAUUUCACAGCUGCAUACUCUCACAGCACAGCAGAAACGGUUUUUUAUUUCAAAGCACAGCAAUACCAAACUAACCCUUAAACAGUGUCGUUGGAAAGUGUCUAGACUAGGCUUAUUUUCAAACUAAUUAGGUCCUAUCCUUCGAAGUGAAAUUAGUCACCCUAGGAUAAUUCAAGUUUUGAAACCUCAAUAGAUUUUGGGAUUCUGAAUUUUAACAUACAUUUCAAUUCUAAUACAAAUUGUCUCGAAAGUUUUUGGCAUACGAGACUUCGGAUGUCAAAUUUGAUUCGGAUAACGCCAAAUUUGAAAGCUUUCGUAUAAAAACUUAACCAAUUCAAAAUUGUCUAUCCAACUUGCACUCCAUAGUUCCCAAUUUUUCUAAUACUCAAGUGCAACUAGGGUUUAGACCGACGAAUAUUAUAACUGGUCCACAAAUUUCAAAUCCUGGAUCAAAUUUUAAUCCAAACCCUGAUUGAACUUAUUGCAUCGGAAGAAAAAUUGCUAGUUUCAACUCAUCGUAUUUGAAUUCACUUCGUAGUAAGUAUGGUAUAAAGAUAUGUUAAAUUGAUGAUAAGUAAGCCCGAACAGACACAAGAAAGAGGCAUAGGUUCGCACUACGGAAUUCGCAAUAAUGUCCCUCAUGAUCUCCCACCAUUCACAAGACAAGAACCUGCAGCCUCAUGCGCUGCCGCGCUAGCCCAAGAAGACAUUGCAGCACAAGGAAUGCCUGAACAACAACAAGAACUUGGACUAAGUUGGCUUUUUGGAUAUUCUGUACCUCCUCAUCUCCUGCCACCAGUAGCAAGCCUUCGACACUCCAUUCUGUUGAGUCCCACGUUGGCUAUACAAAAAGAGAAAUAAUAGUUUAAAUAUCAUAACUCUACUCCAACUAACACUGAUGUCUUUUGUGAUAAAACUCCACACCUGACGGAUUGUGCAGGUAAUAAUUACCAAGUUGGGGAUAGUAUUGGUGUUGUUGGAAGUGGGCUCUUGGCCCGUUUCUCGGAUAAUUCUACACAUUCAGUUUCAAGAACCUGCUGCCCCUCAUGUCUUGCAAGCCAGGAAAGCCAUUGCAACGCAAGAACUAGGGCCAGGUUCGUACUGUGAAACUCAGAACUCUGUACCUAAUGAUAUCCCAUCGUUUCCAAUCCUCAAGAAUUCAAUUCAACUUCAAAAGCCUGCCUGCUCCACAAGCCCAGCAAUCCCAAAAAGCCAUUGCUGCUGCACAAGAACAUCCAAAACUGGAACCGGGAUCUUAUUAUAAAAACGUCAACUACGUGCCUCCUGAUAUCCCACCGGUCCCAAGCAUCCAACACCUGAUUCAAAUAUGCAGCAAGCCUUUUGAGAAGCAGUUGGCAAAAAACGAUGUGACGCGAGAGUUAAGGCUGAAGGAUUGUGAUGUGGAAACGCACAUCUUGCCGUUGUUGAACCCGUCUGAGGACCCUAAACAAGGAAUCUGGAUCACAGUAUACGACAUCGCUGGUAGUGAGUACAAGAUGAUGUUUAAGGCCACAAGAGUCCGCAAUAAUAUUCAAGCCCUUACCAGUGUAGGUUGGAAACAUUUUGUUGAACAUCAUGGCCUGGUGAACUGCCAAGAUUUUGUUACCCUGUGGGCGUUCAGGAAUGCACAAACUGGAAAGCUAUGCUUUGUCAUCUGUUUGAGAUAUGGACUGCAGCAUGAAAAGGUCUAAAAAUGUCGAUGAAGUUUCAUUUGGUUCCGGUUCCAUCGACUUGUAAUUUUGAGGUGUACACAUGGAUCAAGAUCAUUUUUGUGAACCAAUUUAUCAAAAUGCUCGGUGUAACUUUAGCAAAGUAGAUAUCAUAAAUUCAACUUUGUGAAUCAAUUUACGAAAAUGCUAGGUCUACAACAGUUGGUAAAGUAAACGUAAUGAAGUAGAAGAUAGGACUGAAUGUAACAAAUCGAAACAAAACUUGUGCAGAUACAUUAUUCUUACUCAAAGAAAGAUGAGCAAAGCAACUGUAUCGAUGAAUGCCUUUCAAAAAACGAAUGCUUUUCAUCAUGAAGAUCUCCUAAUAGACUCGGUUAACUGCACUUCCACUGUGAUGAAUCACUAUUUUGCUACUCUACAUUUUAACAAUCCUUGCCACCUGAAACUUGAACUUCUUCAAGCAUCUCUCCUCCUGGAGAGUCACCAAAAGAAAAUAUAAACCAUUAGGUACUGAAGUUGCAUAACCACAUCAAACCAGAAAAGAGUGCAGUAACGUGCAACGAUAACAAGUGCUGUCAAAAACCAUUUCCUGAAACCAUUGACAAGUGAUUUGGCCGAGUGGGUGAUACCAUUGUGCACUUAUGUGUACUGCAAAACUGACGUGUAGCCGUAUGCACAUUCGGACACUCAAAUAAUUUCCGAGGUAAACACAGAUUUUCCUACUAAUUCCUCUAUGACAUUCUCCAGCUCCCCAACAAGGUCAUGCUAUAAAGCCCUAAAUACCAAGGAAACCUAUUCACUAUUUAGAGACUGGAUGAACACUGGAUUCGGGACACGACUCAAAACUCAUAGUACCUAUAUAACAUCCCUAAAUUCUCAGUAACCUUUACAUAUGAACAAUAAAUAGCCUAAGACUAGCCGUUAAUCAUACUGAACAAAGCUGGAAUUCUAAACCAGCAUGCUACGAAAACUUUCCGGGUUACCGAUCCCUGAAAAACAACGAAAAAGCUCAAAAAGGGUUUAUAGCUCCUACAGCCAAACUACAAUGCACACCAUACAUUCAAACUUCAGUUCACAAAACGCAGGAGCAGAAUUCCAGAAUUUACCUCACUCCAUAGAAACUUUGGCACCAACUUCCUUCAUCUUGGCAACAAUCGAUUCGGCCUCCUCCUUCGUAACCCCCUUCUUCAACAGCGUAGGCGCCUUCUCCACCAAGUCCUUGGCCUCCUUCAGCCCCAAAUCCGUAAACGUCCGCACCUCCUUAAUCACCUUGAUCUUCGCCGCAGCGUCGAAAGAAUCGAGCUUUACAUCAAACACCAACUUCUCCGCCUUCUCCUCGCUUUUGGCCGCCGCCGCGCCGCCCUUUCCGGCCCCCCUCAAGCCGCCGAAUCCCAUCCCGGGCAUCAUCAUCACCAUCCCCGGCAUCUCCUUCACCCCCAAUUUCUCCCUCAGAACCUCCGUGAGGUCCGAGACUUCGAGCAAAGUCAGGCCCGAGAUCUCGUCCGCGAUCGCCGAUACCGAUUCGGACGGCGGCGGCGGCGUCUGCUCCGGUACAGCGGUGGUGUAAUUGCACACUACAUGAGAGAAAAUCUGGGGUUUCGAUUGGAGAGACGAAAUGGGAAUAGGAUUUGGGGGGUUUAGGGUUUUUUUAAUGCAGGAAAAAUGUGGGGAAAUGAAUCGUAAAUAUCUCAUUUUUUUGGGUUCGGGAAUGCGAUUUUAGGGAAUUUGAGGUAGCUAUCUGGGCAUGGCGGUUGUCGUCGGAGCAUAGAAUUUCAGAAGGUUGGUGGGUCCAUGGCUUUGAAGCUCUCAGAAAAAGAGUGAAGAGUGAUUGGUAUGGCGCGAGUGGGAGUAACCCGCUGAAGCCUGCAGGCUUAAACCCUACAGGGACGAAGGGUUAUGUUUUGGGCUUUGUGAAAUAAAAUCAAUUAUGAGCCCAAAUCCGUUUUGGGGCCCAAGAACACCAUGUUCUUGUUUGUACAAAAUAUCCGUCGAUGUGGUGUCAAAUAAGUAGUGGAUCAAGAGUAAUGGUAUUCUUACCGCAAUUUUAUAUUACAUUUAUUUACCAUCUUAGGUGGCAGAUGAGUUGGACAAGUUACAUCAUUUAAUUUCAAUCUUUUUAUUAAUUAAGGCGGUGUAGUCAAACUUGGAUUUGAAAGGAUUUAAAAGAUUUUAAAAUCCUAAUCUAGUCAACUAAUGGAUUUUAAGAAUCCAUAUAAAUCUAGGUGUAGUCAAUGAAGAUUUUAAUAGUCAGUUUUAAAGUUCACCCAAAUCUAGAUGUAUUCAAAAAUUAAAGAUUUUGUAGGAUUUCAUUAAGUUGUGGAUUUUGUAUGAAUUCAUUAAGUUGUGGAUUUUGUAGGAUUUGAGAGGAGGAAGUAUAUAUAACAAAUACCAAAUAGAAUCCUACCUCACACCAUAGGAUUUUAAAUCCUAGUUAAACGACUCCUCUUCUUCUCAUUGCCAGUCACUUUCUUUGCUGUAUCUUCUUCCUUCAUUUUUGCAAUAUUUUCUUCAAUUUUUGUUGUUGGGUUGCAUCAUUUUAUGCAAUUUUUUCUUCAAUUUUUUGUUGUUGGGUCGCAAUCUUUCUUCAUGUCCGCAAUGUUUUCGUUGCUGCUGGACCCUCAUGCUAAUUGCUGCUACGUGUGCGGCAUGGGUUCAUGAAUGAAUAAGGUGACAACGAUUGAAUUCGUUUCUUCAUGUGUGCUUAUUUAUGCUUUUUUUGUUGUUGGGUCGCAAUCUUUCUUCAUGUCUUCAUGUCUACUUAUUUAUGUUUUUUUUUUUUGGGUACCAUGAAUGAAUUCGUUUCAUUAAUAAAUAUCAAGAAUAAAUAAGGUGACAACGAAAGGGAUAAGAAUAAAGUGAGGGAGGAAGUAGGAUUGGAAAUGGGUGCACUGGGGAUCUUUGAGGAGUUAGGUUUAUGUGAUAAUCUUGACUUCUUUUUUUUCGGCUCCAAGGGAUGCAGCUCCAGAUCAUGAACAGUUUCAUUUGAUUAAAUUUACCUAGGUACAUUUAUCACCAUUUGAUUUAUUUGAUGGUUAAGAUUCAACAUUACAAAAUCUUUCAUUAAAAUCUUCUCAAAUCUUCCAAAAUCUAUAGGAUUUUGUAGAAAUCUAUAUAAUCCUAUGAAAUCCAUCACGUAUCAAAAUCUAUUAAAAUCCCCUCAAAUCCAAGUUUGACUACACCCCCCUAAAACACUUAAAUAAUCUUAGGUGGAAGAAGGAGACUUCUUGUAUACCAUAAUCAUCAUUUAAUUAACAAUCUUUUUAUCAAUUAUUGAUUAACAUUUUGAAAUUAAAUGCUAAUUAAUUUAGAUGAUAUGGCUGUCCACAUCAAAUGACACCUUAGGUGAUACAAAAUUAUGGUAAGAAUAGCAUUAUUGGUGGAUCAAACUGUUUCAUGUGAGUUUUUAUUUUCAUGUCUUAAUAUAGAAGACUAUGUCUUGGCGCUAUAUGAAAUAUGAAUAUUAAUUAAUAAUAGCAUGACACUUCGAAUUCGAUAUGAUAAAUUUUUUUAAACCCUUAAAUUAUGUAUCGAAAGAGUAGUAUGAGAUAAAAUGUAUUUCCGAUUUUAUCUAAUCUAUCUGGAGGCCUAUUUUAGUGUCACAAACUUUUUUUGUUUUCAUGCCGGGAGGCUUUUAACAAUAUUUAGUGUAACAUCUCACAUCGCCCAGGGGAGUGAUCCUUAAAUGUAUAUUCUCAUCCUUACUUAGCACGAGGCCUUUUGGGAGCUCACUGGCUUCGGGUUCCGUCGGAACUCCGAAGUUAAGCGAGAAGGUGGCCAGAGCACUCUCAUGAUGGGUGACCCACUGGGAAGUUGCUCGUGAGUUCCCAGAAACAAAAUCGUAAGGGAGUGGUCGGGGCCCAAAGCAGACAAUAUUGUGCUAUGGUGGUGGAGCGGGGCCGGGAAGUGAUCCACCCCGGGCCGGGAUGUGACAUUUAGGUUAUGAAAGAAUAUGAAAAAAAAAAAAUCUUGUUAUUUUAUUUGAAAAAAAAAAAUAAAAAACUUUGGGUCUCAGUUUUUUAUUCCUAACUCAUAGCCUUCAAGUGAUUUUUCUUCAUUACUUAUAGGCGCUUAAUAUCGACACAUAUUUAACUGUUAAAUUUAAUUUAAUUAUAGAAAUUAAAUGACCAAAGACAGUUAAAUCAAAUACAACGGUCAAAUAUGUGACUAGGAACGGAAGAAAAUUUCCAAAAAGCCAAAUGAAUGAAGAAAAAUGGUGCAAUUUCCAUUAAAUUUCAUCAAGUGAUGCCCAUAAUUUAUCCUUGAAAUCACAAAAUACACACACACACACACACAAAAUGCCCACAAUUUAUCCUUGAAAGCACAAAAUACACACACACACACACACACAAAAAGAAGAAAAGCGAACUCCAUACAAAUUUCCAGCACCCUCAUAAGCUAAGAGUUAACCUUCCUGCAGCUCUUCCUAAUCUCUCCCCUCGACCCCGUAAUCGGAGAAAUAUUCCCCAUCUUAACCAUGGACUUGGCAAACUGCUCAAAGAAAAGCUCAUUGUUCUCUGCAUACUGCUGCACCAACUGCUUUGACACCUGACUUUUCGUGACGAGAACUUCGUCCGAGUUCAGAAGCCCCUUGAUGGCCAGCAGGUUCUUGAAGUAGCUGUUGUCGAACUUUGUAGGGCUCACAAAGUCCAUCACGAACAGGUUCUGGUCCCCGCCGGAUCUCGGGCACCUGGUUCGAAGCUGGGCGGCGUAGGACUGGUCGAGGGUGAAGUCAGCCAGACCGUUGCCCGACUGGUUGUAGAGCCUCUGCCUGAAGGAGGUGCACCUGGCAUUUCCAAUGGUGUGGCUUCCUGCAUGAACACAAAGUUUAGCGCAUGUUAAUAUUUGGGUAAUUUUUAUUUUGCAUGUUGGAGUUGUGUGGCUAGAUACAAGUUAAAUGUUAGUGAUUACUAAUAGCACCAAAGUCUUUUGAGAUAGUACCCGACGGAUUUGGAUCCUCUCCGAGGUAACUGGUCAAGAUCCUCCUGACCAGUAUUCGUGAACCGUUGGAUUUUUAUCCAACGGCUACAAACAGGGGACCCUCUAAAAGUUAUAAUAAUUGUAGCUGUUGGAUAAAAAUCCAACGGUCCACGAACACUGAUUAGGAAGAUCUCGACUAGUUGUCUCGGAGAGGAUCCACUGUCAGACUAGGUGGGCUCCAACAUAGUGCAAAAAUUGGGAAAUUAAUCUCUUGGUGCUAAUUCUUAUAAAGUUCAUCCACUUUGUGAAAAUUAACCUAUUUCACCCUAGUGAAAAUUGGCCCACUCCACCUUAAUAACAUCGAACAAAGUUAAUCACUCAACAAACAUUGACUGUAAAAGGAUAAAUUAUAGUCCACUUCUAUGAAAAUUCUUGGUUUUGCCCUUGAAGGUUAAAUUUGAGAUUAAUAUCGGUGAUACCCACACCGAUUUUCUGUAAAACAAGGUAGUAUAUAUAAAAUGGUGUGUUGGGAAAAAAUUUACCAGAUAGUGCAACAAGAUCAACAAUGUCGAGCUUUUUCAAUUUGAACUUGGUGAGAAUAGUUUGGAAUGUGUUGUUUGGGGCAGGAAUGUUGUUGUUGGAGCCACUCAAACUUGCUCCUCUUGAAUCCCUUCUUCCAAGUGGGACCUCCCAGUUUGGCCCACCAGUCUGAAAUUUUAUGCAACAAUUGACAGACAGCAUAUGUUAGAAUUUAGGCUUUUGUCACACACCAUGCAACUUACAAAAAAAGCUAAAAUUUGUAGAAGCACUUACCAGAACAGUUGAGUCUCUAGCAGCAAGAGCCAAAAUGUCAGCACAAGACACAGUGCUGGGGCACUCAUUCUCCAGUGCAGACUUGAUUUCGUCAAUCACUUCGAACCCUCGCGCUGAAUUCUGGUUCGGGACAGACCUCUUUUCGGUGAUUAUGUUCUGGCUGCUGUCCAGCAGAAGUGAUGCAUCACAACCCUGCAAAAUAGGUAGCAAGUAGCAAAACAAUCUUAAGUACCUCACUCACAUAGAUGUACGUGUAACUAGAAGUAACUGGGACACUUUUUGUGAUCGUAUACCUUCACGAAACAGUCAUGGAAAUGCAGCCUGAGCAAAGAAGCUGCCAUUCGGGUUUCCCUAGCAACUGCUUUCGCAACAACGGACUUGACAAUCUCUUUGGCUCUGGGGCAGGAGCGGUCAUAAAACUGUGGGUAGAGAUACCCACCAGGAGUUUUGUCACAGAAACAUAGUGGAGAAAAUGCAAGAAGAGAAAGAGCAAGAAGGAAGCUCAAAGAGUUGGCCAUAAUAAUGUGGUUUCUUGGAGAAGAAGACUUGAAAUUUGAAGACUUUGGUUUGAUGAAUCCUUUGGUUGGAUUGAUGAAAUUUAUAGAGGGGACUUUGUCGGGGGAGAGAGAGAGAGAGAGAGAGAGAGAGAGAGAGAGAAGCUGCAUGGAGUUGGUAGCUUACGAUUGCAAGCUGCUACACCAGUAGACAGGAUCAAAAGAGAAGGUUGGAGUGGUAGCUUUCAUGCUUUUGGCAGAUGACAAAUCAUAAUUAUGGUAACUUCGUUUCUAAUUAAGAUGAUAAUAAGUUAGAAGGUCUAAGCUUGUUCUAGAGGAACAAAUCUUUUUGACUCACAAUGCAAAACUGCUAGACAUAAAAAAAUUUACAGUGUGAUUAUGAAAAUUUUAUAGUGUGAUACUGGAAUACAAUCAUGUGGUAUAAUCAGUCUACAUGUCACAAUAUAAACUAACCACGGUUCUUUAGAGUUGAAUGGCUACAGUAUCAAUCAAAUAUUCAUGAUACCAUAACACAUGAACUGGCUAUACCACACGGUAUUUUAGAUUUGGAAUCCGAAAUCCAACUAGAUUGACAUGUAAUCAUUAUAAAGAAACAUUAAAGCCUCUUUCACUUCAUUAGGAGAUUGGCAUCUUUUAUAUUUUCAAAAUGAGAAUACUUCAAUAUUGGUGUUCGAUCACAUCAUUCAUAAGUACUCUGAGCAAAAACGAGGAACUCCAUGCAUUUAGUUUCACCUGAUCCCGAACUAGUUCCGCCUAGUGUAAAAAUUAAAUGCCCAAGUUCCGGCUCCCCGAAUAUGCUUGUAUCAAGGGAAAAAAAACCUAGUAUACAUGUCUUGUAUUAUUGUUUGCUUUUGCCUUCCUUACUAAUUCAUGAGUUCACAUUGAUUCCAUUAGUUGGUUAAUCAUUAAAUUUUUCCGUUAUCAUGAAGCUUAUAUGCUCGUGGCUUUCUGAGAAUCAAUAAUUUUCAUAGAUAAUUGUUGCGCGUUCAAUGUGUUGUCCUGUUACAUACUUACACCUGUUUGGGCAUGUUAGAAAACUUGGAUUAAUCCAAAGAAUAUGAUAACGGGAAUAUUAGGUUAAUCUGGACGGUCCAAAAUCUAUAAUAAAGAUAUCGUAGGCUUGGUAGGAGAACUACUUCUAUAAGCAUCCCUUAAUUGCAAAUAAAAGCAUAUGCCAUUACAUAUAGCAAGUAUAUCCCUAACAUUGCACUUGACAUAUUAACGAACAAGCAUAUGACUAUUUUGUCUAGUCGCAUUCAAUUUUUACUUUGUUAAAGAAGAUUCUAAUUUCAAAGCUCAUAAACGAUAUUUGUUAAUUAAAAAAAAAACAUGAUAUGAAUUGAAUUCGUUUGACUCACAAUAUCACCGUGCUAUGACAAUUUGAUCUCGUUGAAAGACAAACAUUUUGCAGUGAAACUUCUAAACCUUUGUGUGUUAUACUAGUACAAGUUAGCUGAUAUUCAGCGUGCUAUGAAAAUUUGAUCUCGUUGAAAGACAAACAUUUUGCAGUGAAACUUCUAAACCUUUGUGUGUUAUACUAGUACAAGUUAGCUGAUAUUCAGUGUCAUGACGGUCAAAUUGCACCAUAUCUUCUUUCAUUGGGCCUCGGUGUUCCUCGAGUAGGAGUAUGAGAAGGUGAACGUUCCCAAGAGGCUUCACUGGCAAAGGCAGUAUUAAGAUCUUCGUGUCGGGUGUAACUUUGCCUUGUGUCACUCACCUAUUUUUGUAUCCCCAAAUUAAGAACCAUUAGAAAGUAUACAGUGGACAUGGGCACUGAUUAAGCUCAGUUGCCUUGUAAGGUUUCUCUACAAUUUAAAACUAAAGCAUCUUGCAGCAGGAUCUAUUUGUUCCUAAGAAUUCGAGUCUAACAAAGAAAUGUUCUAGGACAAUGCAGGGAAAUUGCCGUCUUAACAAUCAGAAAAAAUCAUGAUGAUUGUCCUCAUAAAACCUAUACAUUUACCUAAGGAAUGGUGCCCAACAUGCUUCAGUUCCCCCCGGGCUUAUGGUUGAGCCCCUUAUUGCAUGGUCCGCUUUACGUUUUUAAGAAAGCAAAGAGUACUCAUCAUAAGAAUAUUGUUGAUUAAAUAAUGGGCUCGUUUGGAAGGGUUUUUAAAAUGAUCGAAAACGCGUUUAAUGAAAAUGUUUUUGGGUUCGAAAAACACUUGAAGUGCUUCAUUCACUUGCAUUUUUAGUAAGGAUUGGUCUCAAAAUCAUUUUAACAAAAAACGUUUUCAGUUAUUUAAAAAGUACUUCCAAACGAGCUUGAUAUUAUAUUUCGGCCACAUAAGUAGUUUAAAUUCAUUAGCCUCUCAUAUGCAUAAGUCAUAAGGCAACCAAUCAUUUGCUAAGUCCAAGGCAUACAACAUAAAUCUUAAUGCUAGUGAUGUAUGCUUACAGUUUCUAAACAAGCAGAUAUAAUUUGUCAUGCCCGGCAAUGCGUCUAUCCCACGCUGUAUGUGAUCAAGCGUAAAUAUUAAACAUAUAACUGAAGACAUACCAAUUGAGCCUACGAUGACAAACUGGAAAUUAAAAAACCAUCCAAGAUAUUGAAGCCAAAGAAAUAAGGCCUACCUUCUGUUCAACUCGAGUCUUGUAUAUAAUGUUGGAUAUAUGUCAACAAUCUAUGAUAAACUUGCAUAUACUAAUAAUAAAUAUAUUACAGAGAAUAAACAAGAUGAAAUAUUAUUUAAGCAGAGAAACAGAAGAUCGAGGCUUGCGUACUGCAAUGUUUUUGAAACAAAAAUUUCGUCCAUACUCAGUGCUUGUAGUUUUACAGACGUCUGCUUCACCAAGAUUCAACGAUCUAAGUUAGAAUUCCAACACCGGAAAACUAGACUUCUGGCGAAUUUGUUUGUGGUACUCUUAGUAUGCUUGGUAUAUAAGGAUUGAUGAUUUUCAGUGUAUUGAAUGAUAUGUAGAUGCAUGUAUUUAUAGUGAGCAUAUGUCUAUUUGCAACAUACAUGUUUUUAGGAGGCGACUGUUCAAUGCAAAUGGUGUGUUGCUUCAUGUGUUUCUCAGAUAUGUUCAUAGGCUCUCAGACUUCAUCUGAAAGGAUGAGUUUUUUCAUAAAAAAUAAUUUAAUUAAAUUCGAAAUUAAUUAAAUUUUUUAAUUUUCAAAGCCUGGCGAAUUUGUUUGUGGCACUCUCAGUAUGCUUGGUAUAUAAGGAUUGAUGAUUUUCAGUGUAUUGAAUGAUAUGCAGAUGCAUGUAUUUAUAGUGAGCAUAUGUUUAUUCGCAACAGACAUGUUUUUAGGAGGCGACUGUUCAACACAAAGGGUGUGUUACUUCAUGUGUUUCUCAGACAUGUUCAUACACUCUCAUACUUCAUCUGAAAGGAUGAGUCUUUUCAUAAAAAAUAAUUUAAUUAAAUUCAAAAUUAAUUUUCAAAGCCCUCCCCCCAGGCCCAUCUAUUGAUAAUUACACCCCAAAGCCCAACCUCAAGGGUGAGUCCAAUUUUAUUCUCCAAGAUCCAUCACUCAAAUUACUUUUUAUAAGGGACAAAACCUUAUAAAGUGAGGAAAUCUUGUGGUGGUGAGCAACGUGGGAUAAUGAAAUUCUAUUCAAAAUUUCUAACAUAUAAACCCUCCACAACAAAACAGUGUCGAUGAUGCAGUGAAUCUGAUCUGAGACAGAUCGCUCAAACAUCAACUUCAGCUAAAAAUAAGGCUAUACUGGAUUGAUUAUAAGGAUGUGUAUGAUAGACCCCCCACCGUCCCUCGCAAAGCGAGGAACCUUGUUGGCUUUGGGUCGCCUUUUUAAUCUGUUUGUUGCCAUUGAAUGCCUAUACAGCAUACGAUGCAGUUGCUCACAUCACAUGUUUUAGUUAUCGAAUUUUAUCAUGGCAAUUGAUAAAUAUUUGUAGUAUGGAUAUUUUUCAGUAGGAACUGGCUUACUUGCAGGAUACACUCCAAAUGUAGCCCAUCCCGUUGUAAUCUCUCCACUUUUGCGCCUGCCUAUGUUCUGCGAUUGAGCAAACCAAGCUCUUUCAGUUGAUAUUAUUACAAACCACUACUGGUAUCAAUUUUCAAGACAUUUACCCACUCAGUCAGCCAAUUACAUUUCACCAGCAAGUUCGACUGCAAGAAGUGUCGCUUUAAUACGAUUUGGCACAUUGCAUCUCCAGAACUUGUUCUCUUAAGAUAGGUUAUGUUUCUCCACAGUUUGAAACAUGAGAGUUUUAAGAGAGCAAUAUGAGCUUACCGCACAUUUUGGCAAGCAAAAACUGGAUGGGCUCAUAACCCUCCACUGGGUAGUGAUAUUUAACUUCAUAUGGAGUAUCACGUGCCCUUUCACCUGAAAAUUACAAAUAGGAAUUAAGAAGACGUUGUUGUAACUUGUAAGGGAUAUCAACACCCACUGCAGUAAAGAUACCCUUACAUCUCCAUGCAACAGUUGAGAUUGUGGGUGAGGGUGACAAAGUUGGAGGGGGGCUCCCAGUUGCUCCCGACCCUAAUAACUUAACAUCCAGGCCAUUUUCUGGUAAGACCUGCAAAUAUUUAAUCAAACUGAGGACAGAUAAUUUGAACAUUUUAUUUACUUAUAAAUGGUUUUGCAUGCAUCAAAGUGUACGGAAGCCGAGCACCUUAAUAUUAGGUCUUUGCACCAAAGUGGAAAAGGAAGCAAUAUUGCAGCCAUAGAAAGGGUUACACGUCUCUGUUCGGUCCCAAAGCUGCAAAAUGCACUUUAUAGGUCAGAUUGAUGGAGGCUACUUUUUUCUUUUCUGGUUUAGGGGAAGGAGAUGUUAAACGACUCAUCCCAUACCUAAACUCGCAGUGAGACUUUUCAUAGCCUAAUUGAGUCAUGCCAUCGUAAACCUGCAAGUUCACAAAAGAUACAUAUUAGUCCCCAAGCUAACAUUCAACAUGCAGCAUGUGUUGGAUAAUUAGGUGAUGCAUAUUCUGUCCACUUCACACAUUUUCGGUGUUCAUUCAUCUUCAGAAAAAUAAGAUCAAAUAUUCAAAGUUGGCGCAAUAUGUAAUGAUUGCCUCAACAAAUAUUUAACGUUACAUUUUACCAUAAUGAAUUGACAAUGAAUUGAACUGUGGAGGAAUUAAACUUUGAAUUUUUGUUCAAGCUGUUUUAUAUAAUAGUAAAGGGGUGUGCUAUUUACACACAUUUUUUACUUCUCACACAUCCCUUAUUAAUUUAUGUUCUUUGAUCUUUUUCAAUUGAUCUGAUCUGGUGACCGAAAAUUAGAAGAGUGUGUGAGAAGUAAAAAUGGGUGUGUGGAUAUCACACCCCAAUAGUAAAUGAGAAAGCUUAAAACUUUUUAAAAUAAUGCGAGGAUAUAAUGGGUAAAAGGUGAAUUGGUGAUAAAUUGUUAUUCAAAAUUAAGAGCUAAAUUUAUGGCAACAAUUGUUAUUGUCACUUUAUCAUUGACUUGUUUAAUACAUAUUUGAUAAUUAACCAUGUCUGUAAUUUGAUUAGUUUAUUUUGUUUUUUUGCAUGAUUAUUUUAAAAUGUAUAUAAUAAAAUUAUGUUAAAUUCAAAAAAUUUUAUUGUUAGAAAUUCAACAGCCUAGAAAUAUAGCAGUUGAAAAUCCAACGGUUCGGAACAUACCAAGUCGCCCCUCUCAAUCGGGUGUGAGGGCGUCUGCCAAGCGGGCCUCGCUACCUACUUUUGGUUGGCCCAAAAACUUGAACUCUUGCGAACCGCACGUGCCUGACCCAAAAUCUCACCUCAAACGGACAGGCGCGUGAGAAUGGCCCGAUUGUUAGGUCUGGGGGGUUGGGCCCGCUGAAUGGCCCCAAGGUAGGCUGGAGCUGUUUUUGCUGGAGUGGGAGGAUUGACUCACUCAAUUGCAAGGGCAAUUCAAAGAGGUGGAGGUGGAGUUGCUCCAACUACUCUGCAGACCAAAAAAGGGUAGAGAAAUUUUCCAAAAGUAAAAGAAGAAAAAAGAGAAAAGUGAAAAUUGAUGACAACAACAAACAAGUGUUAAAAAUUGGAAGAAAAGGGAAAAAGGAAAAAAAACAACCCAAAAAUAAAAAGCCACAAGAAACCAUAUUCCAAAAUGCAAAUUCCAUUCCAUUUUAUAUUUUUCCAAAUUCCUAAAACAAACAAAAAUAAGGAAAAUUAAUAAAAAUAGUUUGAAAACUUUGUGUUUUAACGAUAAAUAUAAAAUAAAAUGUAAAGUAAAUAGUAUUAGAAUUAACCUUUUAGUGUAAAAAUAUAAUUUUUUAUUAAAAUGAACAGUACUGGAAGAUUUUCGUUAAAAUUUAAAAAAAAAAAAAAAGCAAAAAAGCAUUGAAAAUUCCAAAAAACAAAAACAAAAAGGCCUCCAAACACUCCCACACACAAUAGAGAGAAGCAGCACCUCUCAACCUCGAGCUCCGCGCUCCGCGCUCCGAUUCUCUGUAAAGAAACACAAUCGAACAGAAGAAUUACGAUCAAAGCUUCAAACUUUCCCAUUAAUUUCACAAAAUUUGAGCGCCAAAAUCCAUCGGAGCUUCGGCAAAAACCUGGAAACUAUCAUUAUUUACAAGCGUCUUCAAUCGCAGAGAGCCAAAUGUACGAACCCCACCGGCCGCAGUCGAAAACCCAAACCCUAGAACUAUGCCGCCGGGACUCGCAGUGACGGAACUUUCAAACCCUAGAAAUAGCCAAGCAUUCCGUGGGGUGGGUCGCGGCGCAGAAGCGGUGGCUUCUGGCUUUUCUCGUCAUGGUCUCCCUCUCUACCAUGAUCGCCUUCUUCAUCAGAGCCGCGUUUGACACCUGCGAUCGCGGCGGCCUCGACGUCGUCGAUAAGAGGGUUCCGCUGGGGGCGCCCAUUGGAACCAGUCCUAGCCCCCUCAGCUUCAUGAAGUCCAAGCUCGUGCUCUUGGUCUCCCACGAGCUUUCUCUUUCUGGUAAUGUCUCUGUCUCCAUUAGAUUGUUCAUUUUUAUGAAUUUAAUGCAUUUUUUAUAUUAAUCGUGUUUAAUUAGUUGUGUUAAGUUUUUAAUGACUUAUUAGAUUAUACAAACAUAGAAAGUUAGCAGCUUUAGAUGAAAAGCACCACUUGUAUCGGUGGAAUCUGUGAGCAUUAACUGGUUUUCGAUAACCCAUUUGACAAUAAGUCCUUUCCUGUCUCGCAUUAAAUACAGCACCAGAAACUUUGGCACCAACUUCCUUCAUCUUGGCAACAAUCGAUUCGGCCUCCUCCUUCGUAACCCCCCUUCUUCAACAGCGUAGGUGACACGCCCCGAUCCCGAUAUUUCCCCGAAUACUAGGAUAGGCACGUGCUGGCCGACACCCGAGGGUGACGAAAGCCAUUUAUUGAGUGUAAUUGCUGAAAAUAAAGGAUAGAUAAAACUUAUAAAUGUAAAAGAAUAAGGAAUAUGCAUUUAAGGAACGUGUUCAGAGCAUACAACUAACUAGAACACUAAAGAAAAUAAUAUGAAAUUAGAUGAACAAAGAAAUGGGUCCUACAUCGAGAGGACUCGAAGAUACCGAAGCGGAAGUGCCUGGAUGCCGGGAUUGUACGCCUCGAUUCUAAGUCCUGAAGGGGGCGCAAAACAAACAUGAGUGGACCGAUUUGAUAUAAAUAUAAUAAAACAAUUAACAACUUACUAACCCCCAGGUUUUAUGAAAACACAUAUAUAAUGAUAAACAUAGGUUUUCCGAAACCUAGCAUGAUGUGCAGUAUCUCAAAUCAUAACUCAUAUAUAAUAAUCACUAGUGAAUUGUCCGAUAUAACCUCCAGGCCCCAUGCCGGCUCCCCGUCUCUGAGCAGACAGUCAGAGGAAAAUACACUUCAGGCCCCAUGCCGGCUCCCCGUCCCUGUGCUAAAUAGCCAGAGGAAACAUACUCCAGGCCCUAUGCCAACACCAAACCGUCGCCCGGGACGGACCGGAAUCUAUCCCUACGUCCCGUAGCGGAAAGGACCACUAGGUAGGUACAAAACCAUUGAACAUAUAUAUAUUGAAAAACAACUUCAUAGUAUAAAGUCAUCCAUCAUCUAUACUAUAAAGAGGUGUUCGAAACAUGUUCUAAAUAUCAUAUCGUCAUCCAUCAGAUAUUCUAUAAGAACACGGGUUAUAGGAAAAAUAGUAAUAAUUCAAAAUAGCCUCAGUAAGCAUGUUAUCUCACAAAACGUUUCAUAGAACAUAAUCAUCAAAUCAUGUUUUUCAUGUAUGCAUUUCUACUAUUAAAACAUGCUUUUGAAGGGGUCCACUCACAGUACUUAGCCGUCGAAGAGCCACGCAAACUAACGAACAAGAAAACGUCACCAAUAAUUGCCCCUAAGCACAUAAAGGGUCCAAUUAAUAAAACUCUAUUUUAACAAUUGAAUUUGGGAAAACAGACGUUGGAAACGGAUUCAGAACGUCGAAUUACCCUAAGAAGGGUCCCGGACAAAAACCCGAAAAGUCAACCCUAAAGUCAACGUUGACCGGGGUCAACGGUCAAAUUAGGUCUAACGGGUUUUAGGCUUGAAAUCUGGAUUAAGGUUUAGGUUUAGGUUAAAUAGGAUUAGGAUCUAUUGGGUUUUGGAAUUCUAAGGUUUUGGGUUAAAAGGGUUUUGGGUGAAGAAAUGUGGUUUGGGCCUAAGCCCAAACACAUACACACCACAAACACACAUACACAUGCACGGCAUGCACAUGCAUGCAUGGCAUGCAUAUACACACACUUAAACACACACACACAAACUCACACACUCACACAGCACACACACACUAAAUAUACAUACACACACACACGGGUACACACUCACACACCCACACAAUCUAAAACACACACACACAUGGCCCAAAGGCCUCACAACCAAAAGGGUUGGGCUCAGAGGGAAGCCCAAAGGCUUGGUUGGUGGGUCGCCGGACCCAAUGGGAGAGAAAGCCGAAUUCGGCCGGAAANNNNNNNNNNNNNNNNNNNNNNNNNNNNNNNNNNNNNNNNNNNNNNNNNNNNNNNNNNNNNNNNNNNNNNNNNNNNNNNNNNNNNNNNNNNNNNNNNNNNNNNNNNNNNNNNNNNNNNNNNNNNNNNNNNNNNNNNNNNNNNNNNNNNNNNNNNNNNNNNNNNNNNNNNNNNNNNNNNNNNNNNNNNNNNNNNNNNNNNNNNNNNNNNNNNNNNNNNNNNNNNNNNNNNNNNNNNNNNNNNNNNNNNNNNNNNNNNNNNNNNNNNNNNNNNNNNNNNNNNNNNNNNNNNNNNNNNNNNNNNNNNNNNNNNNNNNNNNNNNNNNNNNNNNNNNNNNNNNNNNNNNNNNNNNNNNNNNNNNNNNNNNNNNNNNNNNNNNNNNNNNNNNNNNNNNNNNNNNNNNNNNNNNNNNNNNNNNNNNNNNNNNNNNNNNNNNNNNNNNNNNNNNNNNNNNNNNNNNNNNNNNNNNNNNNNNNNNNNNNNNNNNNNNNNNNNNNNNNNNNNNNNNNNNNNNNNNNNNNNNNNNNNNNNNNNNNNNNNNNNNNNNNNNNNNNNNNNNNNNNNNNNNNNNNNNNNNNNNNNNNNNNNNNNNNNNNNNNNNNNNNNNNNNNNNNNNNNNNNNNNNNNNNNNNNNNNNNNNNNNNNNNNNNNNNNNNNNNNNNNNNNNNNNNNNNNNNNNNNNNNNNNNNNNNNNNNNNNNNNNNNNNNNNNNNNNNNNNNNNNNNNNNNNNNNNNNNNNNNNNNNNNNNNNNNNNNNNNNNNNNNNNNNNNNNNNNNNNNNNNNNNNNNNNNNNNNNNNNNNNNNNNNNNNNNNNNNNNNNNNNNNNNNNNNNNNNNNNNNNNNNNNNNNNNNNNNNNNNNNNNNNNNNNNNNNNNNNNNNNNNNNNNNNNNNNNNNNNNNNNNNNNNNNNNNNNNNNNNNNNNNNNNNNNNNNNNNNNNNNNNNNNNNNNNNNNNNNNNNNNNNNNNNNNNNNNNNNNNNNNNNNNNNNNNNNNNNNNNNNNNNNNNNNNNNNNNNNNNNNNNNNNNNNNNNNNNNNNNNNNNNNNNNNNNNNNNNNNNNNNNNNNNNNNNNNNNNNNNNNNNNNNNNNNNNNNNNNNNNNNNNNNNNNNNNNNNNNNNNNNNNNNNNNNNNNNNNNNNNNNNNNNNNNNNNNNNNNNNNNNNNNNNNNNNNNNNNNNNNNNNNNNNNNNNNNNNNNNNNNNNNNNNNNNNNNNNNNNNNNNNNNNNNNNNNNNNNNNNNNNNNNNNNNNNNNNNNNNNNNNNNNNNNNNNNNNNNNNNNNNNNNNNNNNNNNNNNNNNNNNNNNNNNNNNNNNNNNNNNNNNNNNNNNNNNNNNNNNNNNNNNNNNNNNNNNNNNNNNNNNNNNNNNNNNNNNNNNNNNNNNNNNNNNNNNNNNNNNNNNNNNNNNNNNNNNNNNNNNNNNNNNNNNNNNNNNNNNNNNNNNNNNNNNNNNNNNNNNNNNNNNNNNNNNNNNNNNNNNNNNNNNNNNNNNNNNNNNNNNNNNNNNNNNNNNNNNNNNNNNNNNNNNNNNNNNNNNNNNNNNNNNNNNNNNNNNNNNNNNNNNNNNNNNNNNNNNNNNNNNNNNNNNNNNNNNNNNNNNNNNNNNNNNNNNNNNNNNNNNNNNNNNNNNNNNNNNNNNNNNNNNNNNNNNNNNNNNNNNNNNNNNNNNNNNNNNNNNNNNNNNNNNNNNNNNNNNNNNNNNNNNNNNNNNNNNNNNNNNNNNNNNNNNNNNNNNNNNNNNNNNNNNNNNNNNNNNNNNNNNNNNNNNNNNNNNNNNNNNNNNNNNNNNNNNNNNNNNNNNNNNNNNNNNNNNNNNNNNNNNNNNNNNNNNNNNNNNNNNNNNNNNNNNNNNNNNNNNNNNNNNNNNNNNNNNNNNNNNNNNNNNNNNNNNNNNNNNNNNNNNNNNNNNNNNNNNNNNNNNNNNNNNNNNNNNNNNNNNNNNNNNNNNNNNNNNNNNNNNNNNNNNNNNNNNNNNNNNNNNNNNNNNNNNNNNNNNNNNNNNNNNNNNNNNNNNNNNNNNNNNNNNNNNNNNNNNNNNNNNNNNNNNNNNNNNNNNNNNNNNNNNNNNNNNNNNNNNNNNNNNNNNNNNNNNNNNNNNNNNNNNNNNNNNNNNNNNNNNNNNNNNNNNNNNNNNNNNNNNNNNNNNNNNNNNNNNNNNNNNNNNNNNNNNNNNNNNNNNNNNNNNNNNNNNNNNNNNNNNNNNNNNNNNNNNNNNNNNNNNNNNNNNNNNNNNNNNNNNNNNNNNNNNNNNNNNNNNNNNNNNNNNNNNNNNNNNNNNNNNNNNNNNNNNNNNNNNNNNNNNNNNNNNNNNNNNNNNNNNNNNNNNNNNNNNNNNNNNNNNNNNNNNNNNNNNNNNNNNNNNNNNNNNNNNNNNNNNNNNNNNNNNNNNNNNNNNNNNNNNNNNNNNNNNNNNNNNNNNNNNNNNNNNNNNNNNNNNNNNNNNNNNNNNNNNNNNNNNNNNNNNNNNNNNNNNNNNNNNNNNNNNNNNNNNNNNNNNNNNNNNNNNNNNNNNNNNNNNNNNNNNNNNNNNNNNNNNNNNNNNNNNNNNNNNNNNNNNNNNNNNNNNNNNNNNNNNNNNNNNNNNNNNNNNNNNNNNNNNNNNNNNNNNNNNNNNNNNNNNNNNNNNNNNNNNNNNNNNNNNNNNNNNNNNNNNNNNNNNNNNNNNNNNNNNNNNNNNNNNNNNNNNNNNNNNNNNNNNNNNNNNNNNNNNNNNNNNNNNNNNNNNNNNNNNNNNNNNNNNNNNNNNNNNNNNNNNNNNNNNNNNNNNNNNNNNNNNNNNNNNNNNNNNNNNNNNNNNNNNNNNNNNNNNNNNNNNNNNNNNNNNNNNNNNNNNNNNNNNNNNNNNNNNNNNNNNNNNNNNNNNNNNNNNNNNNNNNNNNNNNNNNNNNNNNNNNNNNNNNNNNNNNNNNNNNNNNNNNNNNNNNNNNNNNNNNNNNNNNNNNNNNNNNNNNNNNNNNNNNNNNNNNNNNNNNNNNNNNNNNNNNNNNNNNNNNNNNNNNNNNNNNNNNNNNNNNNNNNNNNNNNNNNNNNNNNNNNNNNNNNNNNNNNNNNNNNNNNNNNNNNNNNNNNNNNNNNNNNNNNNNNNNNNNNNNNNNNNNNNNNNNNNNNNNNNNNNNNNNNNNNNNNNNNNNNNNNNNNNNNNNNNNNNNNNNNNNNNNNNNNNNNNNNNNNNNNNNNNNNNNNNNNNNNNNNNNNNNNNNNNNNNNNNNNNNNNNNNNNNNNNNNNNNNNNNNNNNNNNNNNNNNNNNNNNNNNNNNNNNNNNNNNNNNNNNNNNNNNNNNNNNNNNNNNNNNNNNNNNNNNNNNNNNNNNNNNNNNNNNNNNNNNNNNNNNNNNNNNNNNNNNNNNNNNNNNNNNNNNNNNNNNNNNNNNNNNNNNNNNNNNNNNNNNNNNNNNNNNNNNNNNNNNNNNNNNNNNNNNNNNNNNNNNNNNNNNNNNNNNNNNNNNNNNNNNNNNNNNNNNNNNNNNNNNNNNNNNNNNNNNNNNNACUCAAACUUGCUCCUCUUGAAUCCCUUCUUCCUAGUGGGACCUCCCAGUUCGGCCCUCCAGUCUGAAAUAUUAUGCAACAAUUGACAGUCAGCACAUGUUAGAAAUUUAGGCUUUUGUCACACGCCAUGCAACUUACAAAAAAAGCUAAAAUUUGUAGAAGCACUUACCAGAACAGUUGAGUCUCUAGCAGCAAGAGCCAAAAUGUCAGCACAAGACACAGUGCUGGGGCACUCCUUCUCCAAUGCAGACUUGAUUUCGUCAAUCACUUCGAACCCUCGCGCUGAAUUCUGGUUCGGGACAGACAUCUUUUCGGUGAUUACGUUCUGGCUGCUGUCCAGCAGAAUUGAUGCAUCACAACCCUGCAAAAUAGGUAGCAAGUAGCAACACAAUCUUAAGUACCUCAUUCACAUAGAUGUACGUGUAACUAGAAGCAACUGAGACACUUUUUGUGAUCGUAUACCUUCACGAAACAGUCAUGGAAAUGCAGCCUGAGCAAAGAAGCUGCCAUUCGGGUUUCCCUUGCAACGGCUUUCGCAACAACGGACUUGACAAUCUCUUUGGCUCUGGGGCAGGAGCGGUCAUAAAACUGUGGGUAGAGAUACCCACCAGGAGUUUUGUGACAGAAACAUAGUGGAGAAAAUGCAAGAAGAGAAAGAGCUAGAAGGAAGCUCAAAGAGUUGGCCAUAUAAUAAUGUGGUUUCUUGGAGAAGAAGACUUGAAAUUUGAAGACUUUGGUUUGAUGAAUCCUUUGGUUGGAUUGAUGAAAUUUAUAGAGGAGACUUCGUUUUUUUUUUGGGGGGGGGGGAGAGGGAGAGAGAGAGAGAGAGAGUGAGAGAGAAGCUGCAUGGAGUUGGUAGCUUACUAUUGCAAGCUGCUACACCAGUAGACAGGAUCAAAAGAGAAGGUUGGAGUUGGUAGCUUUCAUGCUUUUGAGCAGAUAACUAAAUCGUAAUUAUGGUAACUUCGUUUCUAAUUAAGAUGAUAAUUAGUUAGAAGGUCUUAUCUUGUUCUAGAGGAACAAAUCUUUUUUACUCACAAUGCAAAACUGCCAGACAGAGAAAAUAUAUUAGUACAAUGAACCUUAUAGAAAUUUAUUAGUACAAUGGACCUUGCAUCCUUAGUACAAUAUUUUGGUACACUAAUUGAUUGCAAGACCAUCAGAUCUUGAAAAAAUUUCAACGUAAUACUUGAAUACAAUCACGUGGUAUAAUUAAUCUACGUGUCACAAUAUAAACUAACCACGGUUCUUUAGAGUUGAAUGGCUACAGUGUCAAUCAAAUAUUCAUGAUACCGUAAUACAUGAACUGGUUAUACCACACGGUAUUUUAUAUUUAGAAUCCGAAAUCCAACUAGAUUGACAUGUAAUCAUUAUAAAGAAACAUUAAAGCCUCUUUCACUUCAUUAGGAGAUUGGCAUCUUUUAUAUUUUCAAAAUGAGAAUACUUCAAUAUUGGUGUUCGAUCACAUCAUUCAUAAGUAUUCUGAGCAAAAACGAGGAACUCCAUGCAUUUAGUUUCACCUGAUCCCGAACUAGUUCCGCCUGUGUAAAAAAUGCCCAAGUUCCGGCUUCCCGAAUAUGCUUGUAUCAAGGGGGGGAAAAAAAAAACCUAGUAUACAUGUCUUGUAUUAUUGUUUGCUUGCCUUCCUUACUAAUUCAUGAGUUCACAUUGAUUCCAUUAGUUGGUUAAUCAUUAAAUUUUUCCGUUAAUCAUGAAGCUUAUAUGCUCGUGGCUUUUUGACUUGAGGAUUAAUCCAAAGAAUACAGUGACAUAUUAGAAAAGUUGGUUAAUCCAAAGAAUAUGAUAACGGGAAUAUUAGGUUAAUCUGGACGGUCCAAUCUAUAAUAAAGAUAUCGUAGGCUGGGUAGGAGAACUACUUCUAUAAGCAUCCUCCCUAACAUUGCACUUGACAUAUUAACGAACAAGCGUAUGAGUAUUUGGUCUAGUCGCAUUCAAUUUUUACUUUGUUAAAGAAGAUUCUAAUUUCAAAGCUCAUAAACGAUAAUCGUUAAUUAAAAAAAAACAUGAUAUGAAAUGAAUUCGUUUGAAUCACAAUAUCACCGUGCAAUGAAAAUUUGAUCUCGUUGAAAGACAAACAUUUUGCGGUGAAACUUCUAAACCUUUGUGUGUUAUACAGGUACAAAUUGCACCAUAUCUUCUUUCAUUGCAGGAUCUAUUUGUUCCUAAGAAUUCGAGUCUAAGAAAAAAUGUUCUAGGACAAUGCAGGGAAAUUGCCGUCUUAACAAUCAGAAAAAAUCAUUAUGAUUGCCCUUAUAAAACCUAUACGUUUACAUAAGGAAUGGUGCCCAACAUGCUCCAGUUCCCCCGGGGCUUAUGGUUGAGCCUCUAGUCCGCUUUUCUUUUUAAGAAAGCAAAGAGUACUCAUCAUAAGAAUAUUGUUGAUUAAAUAAUGAGUUCGUUUGGAAGUGCUUUUAAAAUGACUAAAAACACAUUUAAUGAAAAUGUUUUUAGGUUCGAAAAGCACUUAAAGUGCUUCAUUCACUUACAUUUUUAGUAAGGAUUGGUCCCCAAAUCAUUUUAACUAAAAAUGUUUUCAGUUAUUUAAAAAACACUUUCAAACGAGCAUGAUAUUAUAUUUUGGCCACAUAUGUAGUUUAAAUUCAUUAGCCUCUCAUGCGCAUAAAUCAUAAGGCAACCAAUCAUUAGUCAUUUGCUAUGUCCAAGGCGUACAACAUUAAUGCUAGUGAUGUAUACUUACACUAUGUUUGGAUGGAGAAUUUCUAAAUUUUCAUAGAAUUCUAAAUGACGGGAAUUACAAUUCCCAGUAAUUGAAAUCAUGUUAAUUGAAAUUUCAGUGUUUGGAUGUUGGAUACAUGGAAAUUGCAAAAUGAAGGGAAUUACAAUUUUCAUUGUUUGGAUAUUCCCUAGAAUUUGUAUUCCAUAGAAGAAUACAAAUUUGAAAAAAGAAAAAUGUUAAACUGUUAACAAAGUCAUCAAUGAUAAAGGUCAUCAAACCCCCAAGAUUGGGGCUGCCAAACCCGCACUAAAGGGAAAACUGUCUAAAUUUUCCAGCAAUUAAGAACUUAUCAAAGGUUUGCAAUAAUAUUUCAUUGGAAAAAAAUGUUUGCAAUAAUAUGAUAAAAGUUGAUUGAAGUAGGAAAAUCCCUGUAAAGCACACUUGCAAAUAUCAACCAACAUUCGUGACAUGCAAGACUUUUAUUCUAACUAAUGUCUUACUGAAAAACACUAAAAUGAGAAACAUAAUGAAAACAAUCUUAUGCGCCUUGUGAAGUAAGCAAUAAUACCAUAUUCUUUUUCUUCUCAAUUGGGAGAGUCUUCAACAUGAGAAAUUGCUUGUCAUUUUCGAUCAACCAAGCACAUGCUUUGAUUUGUUCUUCUUCACUGAGAUCUAGUAUUGCAUUUACUUCAUCAUAUACCUCUGUUGGAUCAAGUUUCUUUGUGUCUGCAGAAAUAUAGUCUUGAAAUGAUGAAGCCAUCUUGGCAAGUGAAUCUGCAAUCACAUCUUUAGGCGUGGUUGAUUUUCUUUUUGUAUGAGGCACAUCAACAAAACUUGCUGCCUUUCUCUUGCUUUGAGUCUUUUGACCAUUGGUUGAACUAGGUGAAAUCUCAUUAAUAAUUUCAAUAUCUUCUAAACCUUGUGCAUCACCAACCAAAUCUACAUGAUCAGGUUCAUUAUGUGGAGGAGUCAUAAUCUCCACGGCUUCUACACCUGUUUCAGCACCCUCACCCGUCGCUCUAUCUUUGCCACAUAAAUCCACUAUAUCAUCCCAAUUUGGAAUGACCUUCCAACGAAAGCUUUUAGCACCAACAUGUGACUACCAAUCAAAACAUAAAAGAUCAAAAAGCAACAAUUAAAAGAAUUUCACACACAAAAGAAAAAUAAUGAAUUUGUUACCUUCACGUACUCUUGCCAGGCAGGGUCUUCAUCUACACUUAUCAUCUUUUUGGUUGCAUCCCAAUUAAAUCCACUUUGACUUAGUAUAUCACUCACUAUUGCAUAAAACUUUUUCCAAGACUUCACACGAUUUCGAAUGUUAUCUGCAAUGCCAAUGUAUCACGAAAUGCUGUCCAUUCGACUGUAGCUUGAACAGAUGUAAUCCCAUCAGAGUUAUUUUCAUUUUCCUCUCUUGUUGAACGAUUUAACAACUCUGAGUCGACAGAUGCUAAAAAUUGUAAAUCUUGAGCUUCUAAAACUGGAUCAGUAGCUUGCUCGGUUCUAAUAAAAUUAUGUAAGACACAACAUGCAUUUAUAAUCCUAACUUGUGUUUUAAUGUCGAAAAAGGAUGGUGUGCGUAAUAUGCUCCAUCUCUUUUUUAACAAUCCAAAUGCCCUCUCAAUAACAUUCCUUGCCCUUGAAUGACGCAAAUUAUAUAGUUCUUUGUAGUUUUCAGGUCGACGGUUUCCAACCCAUUCUUUCAAGUGAUAUCUAGUUCCACGGUAAGGUGCUAAAAACCCGGGUCCAUUAGUAUAGCCAGCGUCCACAAGAUAAUAUUUAUCUACAAUAAAAAAUUUAGAGAACAAAUUUAGAUAUAUUUUUAAGUUUUUUCUUUCUAAUAUAAAGCUAAUUGGUAUCAUACAUUACCAUUUGGAACAUGAAACCGGUUACUCCUAUGUAAAGCAUCACGCAAAACACGAGCAUCAGAUGCAGAGCCUUCCCAUCCAGGUAACACAUAAAAAAAUCUUAAAUCUGGACCACAAACUCCUAACAUAUUAGUGGAUAUAUCACCCUUUCUAUCUCGAUAUCUUGGUCUUUCCUCAGCCGUUAUUGUUACUGGUAUGAGAGUUCCAUCAAGUGCUCCAAGACAAUUCUAAAAAAAAUGUCAUACAAAUGAAAAAAGAAAAGAAAAGAUAAGUCUAAAAAGCUAAUGAAGAUAUCAAACGAAGACAUUUAUUUGGUAUAGUUGUUGAUUGAUUACCUCAAACCACCGCCACUUCUCUCUUUCAGAAUUGCCAAUAACACAUGGCUGAUAUUUCACAUAUUCUUGAAUAACACAUGGCUGAUAUUUCACAUAUUCUUGACUUAUUUUCAUCAUUGCAUGCAACACAUUGUGAAAUUGCCGACUAAUUGUUUCCUUGGAACGAUAAUAAUGAAAACCGAUGACUCUAAACUUCAAGUUGUGGGCAAGUAUAUUCAAAAAAAUUGCAACAGAUUCUUCAAUGGACACAUUUCUCGUGCGAACUAAUCCACCAAUCCCUUGUAAAAUUUCACAUAACUGCUUAAAUGCACUCUUGCUAACUCGUAAUUGUUCAAUGCACGUUGAAUCCUUUCCAUCGAACAAUCGGCCAAGGAAAGAUUGCCUUUCUUGAUCCCAAUCAUUUGAAGGUUCUUUGAGAAGAACACUCGUACUAUACCAAUGCAUGACCAUGACAAUAACAUAUAUAAUUGUGCUGACAAUAAUUUUCCUUUUUUUCCUAUUUUCCUCUUCAUUUAUAGCACGCUUUCACUUUAACCUCAUUAGCAUGUCUACAAUAUGAGUAUUUUCCAUACCUGUUUGAAUGUAUGAACAAAGAUAUAUUGUGAUAUAUGAAUGUAAACACACAAGGUUUUUUAGGCAAGAAUGAGGUGAUGCAACCAAAAAAACAAAUGAACUAACACCAAAGGCACAACAUUUGAUCAAUCUUGGCUAUUGUUAAUGUGAUCAUCGUAAACUUAUAUAUUUGAUAUAGAUGGGAUCUCUGAAUCCCAGUAGGACUAUACCAAUCCAACACUUAUUUAUAUUGCUAAAUGCAGCAAUGAAAGUCACGACUUUAAUCAUACUAGCAUCUGUAUUUUAGUUUUUUGACAGUUAACCUUCAAAAGCACAAUAUCUAUAACAAGGAACUAACACCAAAGGCCAUCAAAAACUAAAAAUGGGCUCAAUUGAUGGUGGUCAAAAACCAUGUGUAUGGUCAUCUCCCCAAAGAGGAUGUAAAAUUGACAUAAGAAAGCAGAUCUUCUACAACAGAUCGUUGAAUAUGAAGAAUAUUGUUGCAGAAGGAUUUGAUAUGGAUUACACAUUGGCACAGUACAAGCCAGAAAUCUUCGAGUCUCUUACAUACAAUGGAACUAUCUAGAAGUUGGUGUACGAUUAAGGAUACCCUCGUGAGGCUUGUCUAUUCUGUCUCUUACAUUUCAAGAAGAAAUUGAUAUUGCUAACAUAUCAGAUAUUCAAUUAAUCUGGUUUAAUAUUGCAAUUAAUCCAGUAGUGUUAGUGCUUUUUAAUUUCAACACUUAGCAUACAUCAUUUACUACCAUUUUAAAUUAUGAGCAAAUCAUUCCACCCUUCCUAGAUAAGGUUACAGAGCAAAUAGACAAUUCAAUCGGAGAAAUAAAACAUAAUAAGAUCACACCCAAAUGGCAAUUCAAUCGGACAAUUCACCCUUCCUAGAUAAGAUAGCACCCAAAAAUACAUGAUGCUUACAGUAAUAAGAUCGCAGCCUAAAAUACAUGAUCGCACCCAGAUAGGGAUGGAAUGAAACCAGAAAUACAUGAUGCUUACAGGAAGAUCGUACCCAAAAAGCUAAAAAUAAUUCAAGAUAGAAGAGAGUAGAGACGCUGACCUAGAACAAAGGAAGAAGAUGAUUCCACAAUCGAAAAUCCCUUCGAAGAUUGGAGAGUUAACAGAGUGAAGAUUGUGCAGCCCUUUUGUUGUGAAAUUUGGCGGUAGAUAUCCGAGUUUGGCGCCCUAAUCCUGAAGUUUGGCGCGCACAAAAUCUCCCCGCGGAUGAAUUCGGGAUUCUCAUCGUUGUUGGAAUUGUGAAAUUACACCUCUUUAGGCGGAAAUUAAACUCGGAAUUCUUCAUCCCUAAUUUCCACCUUUUUUUCCCGUAGAAUUUGCCGUUUCUCGCGCUGCAAGGUUCCCAAACGAGGGAAAACUGCUUUCCCAUCCUAAAUUCCCUAGUUUAAGUCAAAUUCUGUUUUAUUUUACCACAUCCAAAUGGAGUGUUACAGUUUCUGAACAAGCAGAUAGAAUUUGUCAUGCCCGACAUGCUUCUAUCCCACGCUGCAUGUGAUCAAGCGUAAAUAUUAAACAUAUAACUGAGGACAUACCAAUUGAGCCUAUGAUGACAAAUUAGAAUUAAAAAACCAUCAAAGAUAUUGAAGCCAAAGAAAUAAGGCCUACCUUCUGUUCAACUCUAGUCUUGUAAAUAAACCCUCCACAACAAAACAAUGUCGAUGAAGCAGUGAAUCUGAUCCGAGACAGAUUGCUUAAACAUCAACUUUAGCUAUAAAAAUAAGGCUAUACUGGAUUGAUAUAUAAGGAUGUGUAUGAUAGAUUUGUUUGGGUUAAUAUUUAACACUGGACUUAAUGUAUUGAGGCCCAAAGAUGUCACAACGGAAUGUGGACUUGCCCGAAGCCCAUCAAUAAAGCCUGAAAUAAAGUGAAGCCUUCUCAGCCAAGGUGCUAGGAUUAAAAGCACACCACAAAGUAGCAUACAAAUGUCCUAUUGAUUUUCCUUAUUAACACUAAGAUUUGUCAAUUGUAGCAUAUGAAAAUAAGAGUCUUUCCCAUAGAAGAUUGUUUUAUCUAACUCCUUAAUAUGUCACAAAAAUUGGGCUGAUGUCCCUACUGACCAGCCACCGAAAAAUAAUUAUUAGACUGACUUACACUUAUCUAAAGUCUACAAAAUUUUAUAUGCAGACACUAGACACAGAGAGAUACACUCGUACAAAGUUUUGGGAUUUUUGGAGUUGAUUUUCUAUUUAAAUUAAAUCAAACAAAAAUAGAACAGAAACAGAUUUUUAAGUAGUUCACAAAUUAAUAAAAACGAGUUAGGGGAAUUGCUAUCCACCACAAAAUAAUCAUGCAAACAUGUUAUGUUUCAUUCAAAUUUCUUUUAUUUCUGGAUGAAGAUACUCAAGUUGGCUCAAUGUUAAAACUCAACCUAUUACUCUUUCUUAUGUAGUAUGUUAAGAGAAUGGCGUUUUCAACUUAACUUAGUCCCUAGCAUGCAAUCGAGAAUGACGUGUUCAUAGAUUUAACAAGUAGAAAUCAUUAAGAACAAAAAGAGUUUGAGUCAUCACAAGGCAUCGUAAGUACUGGCGUUGUCUUACAUAUCAUAGAAAUUAGUUCACACGUUAAUCGCAAUUAACAAGUACUACUUUAUAACAUAUGUAGGUCCUCAUUCGACAAGGGCAAGCACACACAUAUUCAUAGCAUUAGAAUCCUAGAUAUGCUUACUAAGUAUGCAUCCAUAGAAAACAAAUAAAGAAUUCAUCAAUGAGACAAGUAGUGAACCGAUUUUCAUCCAUUCAUAAAAGUAAUUCAAACAAAAUGUCAUAACAAACUUACAAUCAUAUUCGGGGCUUGAAAACAACCCCUAACUACUAAAAAUUUAGUUACACACAAUUCCUAAGUUAAAACAAAAGAUAGACACGAGUUUGAGAAGAUAGAACCGAAAGAAAUCGACCGAGGCCUCCUCCUUCCUUUCCUUCAUUCCCCAACGUUGCUACCUUGCCUUUUCCUUCUGUUCUAUAUUUUUUUUCUCCUUAACUCACCCACUAAUAGCCAUUUAGUGAUGACAAUAAGUGAGAGGAAAUGGUAAAACAAUUGUAACUCUUUGGGUAGCAUUUAUGCCAAUUACUCCCUCUUAAUCCUCAUCUUUAAUUUCACUCCCUUUUAUAUUUGAAUAAGUGUCAGCUAACUUGUUCUUGGCUGCAUCAGUUUUGGCUGCUAGAUUUAUUAUGUUUACUGCUUUCAUUGCAAUUACAAACUGCUCGGCCUCUUGGUAACCUUUCCGUGUUAAAACGACCAUAACUUCUUCUAGAAAAAUGAUAUUAACAAUCCGUGAAAUACUCCAGAAAAUAGACAUCCGUAGCUUUCCAAGCAUAUAAGGCUCAUUCUCUAAUUAAUUCUGAGCUGUUUGCAAAUUGCUUCCAAAGUCAGCUGAUCUACACAUGCAGUUUUGACGAAUUUGUUACUUAAAAUCCCACUUGUGUUAUUUUUCCUUUCUUUGCUUGACAAAUCCCACAAAACACAAAAACAAAGUAAAUAGCUCAAAAAUAUAAGGAACUAACUAAGAAAAGACAAAUGAAUUUGAUGUAAAAUAUAUAAAAAUAUGAGUUUAUCACAAGGCAUAAGCCAUGUGCCUAUGACUGAAGUGACAAAUGACAGAGACCAGCUCACUAUCAGCCAAAAAGCACUUUUUGAUGGCAUAAAGGUGUAAAUACAAGAUGACUCACUACCCCUAAGGACCUUCGGCCAAGAACAAAGCUAAAGCAGUCGGGCCAAAUCGCUUAUAAAAUGGGAAAGAGACAUCAGAGACAAGGACACUCAACCAAUCAAACAAACAACAUACAAACUCUGCUCUCAAGCUAGAUUUGCAUCCAGAAAGCUAAAACUCACCUAGAUUCAGUCCUUUUAGCAAUAAUUCCCUUAGAAAAGUCAUCUUUUGUCUAGUGUAAAAGCUCUGCUACCUUCCCUAGUGUUGUAGUAUCGAUCCCUUUGUAUAAAACCUAUUUACCAUCCAUCCUUCUAGCAUACAACCUCUGUAAAUUCAAAGAGAAGUGGCUGCAAGAAGUUCAAUCUUGCCCGACAAGGUGAAAUCUUGCCCGAGUCUCUUUGUUUGUACUUUAGCUUAAUAGAUCUGUCGCUUAAAUGUACUUUUCAGCAUGUAUUCAAGUUUUUUUCCAACAGUUUUCUACCUAAUAGUCCUAUUUGCAAUCGGAUCUGAUUAAUUUAAUAGACUUCUUUUUAUUAAGAACAAACUGAGAUCGAGGAAAUGGUGCAAAAGGCCUUGAACUUCCUUAAUUUCAAACAUACAAGAUUAUGAACUAAAAGUCAUUGUUUACAAGGCAAGAAAAAGAACUCAAUGCAAACAUAACCCAUCUGUGACAAUCCUUUGAUAACAAGAAGUUUAAGUAACUUGGGGUGCAAGUAAUCGACUUAUAACACACUUAUUCUACAUCGGUUAUACUUAGAUAGCGGUGACACGUCUAGCACAUUGUUAGUUUUAAUUACGAGCCUCAAGGCCUACACCUAAGGCCCCACUAAGGCACCUUUCAAAUUAACUUUAAACUUAUCUUGCAGCAUAUCAAACAGUAAGAGCAUGCCCGACUACAAAACCUAAAGUGCCAUCCACCAUUGGGGAGCUGUGUGAGGGGUCAUCCUGUUUGCCUUGAACAAGACCUUUUCUCCACCGUCCUCGCAAAGUGAGGAACCUUGUGUUAAAGUCCCACAUCGGUGGGUGCAAGAAAACCAAAUGGGUUUAAAUAUGAUCACCUCACUCUAACUAAUACCGAUGUCUUUUGUGAUAAAACCCCACACUUGACGGAUUUGGCAGUGGUAAAGUUAAGGACAAUAUCAGUGUCGUUAGAGUGAGGCGGGCCCGACGAUAAUCCAACAUGGUAUCAGAGCCCACGGUUCGGGCCCGUGCAAGCCAAUGAGCUUGUCACAAAGAAGGAAACAAAUAUGAACUCUUAACAUAGAGACGACCACUGAGUUCCAUUGAAAAUAAGUGGCCCCAACAUGAGCCGACCUCUGAGUUUCAAUUACCUGUAUGGAUCUCCAUGUGUGAAACACUAAAUGGGGUUACAAAUGAGGGGGAGUGUUAAAGUCCCACAUCGGUGGGUGCAAGAAAACCAAAAGGGUUUAAAUAUGAUUACCCCACUCUAACUAAUACUAAGGCCUUUUGUAGUAAAACCCCACACCUGACAAAUUUGGCAGGUGGUAAAGUUAGGAACAAUAUCAGUGUUGUUAGAGUGGGGCGGCUCCGGCGAUCCAAAAAUCCAACACCUUGUUGGCUUUGGAUCACCCUUUUAAUAUGUUUGUUGCCAUUCAAUGCCUAUACAAAAUAUGAUGCAGGUGUUCACAUCACAUGUUUUAGUUAUCAAAUUUUAGCAUGGCGAUAAAUAUUUGUAGUAUGGAUAUUUUUCAGUAGGAACUGGCUUACUUGCAGGAUAACACUCCAAAUGUAGCCCAUCCCGUUGUAACCUCUCCACUUUGUGCCUGCCUAUAUGUUCUAUGAUUGAGCAAACCAAGCUCUUUUAGUUGAUAUUAUUACAAACCACUAUUGGUAUCAAUUUUCAAAACAUUUACCUAAUCACACUACUACAAAAAAGACUAUCACUGACGGUGGAAAAACCGACUAGAAACCCCAAUUACUGUCUUAUUUUUACCAAAAAUCUGACAUCAAAUCGUGCAAUGUCGGAUUGGAGAACCGAUGUUGUUGCUAGCGUCACGAAAAGGGUAUUGACGUUGGUUAAUCCCCUUAAUCCGCCACCAAGAAGCAAAAUAAUAUAAAAUAAAAAAGAACAACAGCGUCGGUUAAAACCGACACUAAGUCUCUCCAUUCAUUUCCUCGUGUAGAACAAGUGGGAAUUUUCCCGCCUAAUAUUUCAAAUUAUUCGACCAAUGCCGUCGGCUAAAAGCGACAACAUACUAGUUUAAAAAAAAAUGUUUAACCCAAAGAAAAAAAAUAACCAGCUAUUUUGUUUUUGUGUUAUCUCAUAUAACAUUUUAGGAUUUUAAUAAAUAAAAUUUAACUUGAAUAAAAUAUGUAAUAAAAAACAGAAAUAUAAUUUUAUUAUAAAAUAUCAUCACAUACUAAUUGAAAUAUAGUCUAAUUAAUACUUAAAAUACAUGAAAUAAUUAAUAUAUUUAUUCCAAGUCAUCAUCUGUUAGGUUGUCAUCAGUAUUGGCAUAAUUAAUGAACUCAGUAGGUAACGGUAAUGAUUCAUGAAAAUGAGUCUCUUCCACGCCAACCCUUGUAACAAAAUUUUCAUUGUCAAGUAUCCGAUCAUCCAAAUUUGCAUCACUAUCCUCUAAUACGUCAAACAAAUCCCUCAGAUGCGUUUGAACAACUAAAUGCCAAUCGUUUUCAAUUGUGUCCUCGAUGUAAAAUACUUGUAAUGCUUGUGAUGCUAAUAUGAAAGGAUCCUCUUUAAAUCCCAAUCGAUUGAAGUUCACCAUAGCAAAUCCAUAUUGAUCAGUCUUCAUUCCUUGUUGACUUUCACUGACACACCCGGACCUAGAUCGAGGCAUGCUGGUCGUCACGUGAGGGCGACGUAGCCAUGUGCACAACGCGGAAGCAAUAAAGAUAUAAAGAAAUGCGAAUAAAUAAAAACCAACUAACUAGGGCACUAGAUAAGAUAAGGUGCAAGUGCGAUAUUAAGUGUGAGUUCAUAAUCAGAGCAUGAGUAGCCUAAAUGCAGUUCAGCAGGACAAAUACUAAUUAUGCAACACCAAAGAUAAUCCUACAUUAGUGAUAAUCUGUCAGAGCUGCCGUGAAUUCCUCGUAAGCCACCGACAAGCACUCCUAACUAGAACCUGGAGGGGUGCAAAACAGAAAGUGUGAGUGGGCAAAAAUAAAGCUUUUCAAAACCAUUUCAUUUAUCAAAAGUUCUACCCCUUGCCGUAAAACCUAUAUAAUUUCCCAAAAAAAAGAAUAAAUAUAUACAUAUCUCAAAACCAUGCUUAGAAAACGAUAUUCAUAAGUAUGUCAUGCCAAUAAUCUCAAAAUAACUGAAUAAGUAACUCAGGUGAAAUAACAUAUCAGCCGGAUCCACCUAAAGUGGCAUGUACGGCUGAAUCUAUAUCUCAACAAGUAUGCCUGCACACGAAUCGAAACCACCUAAAGUGGUUUGUACGACAUGACUGGGUGUAAAUAAAUACGCUCUAGUGCUACGAUCAUGUGAAGACUGUGCGAAUAAUCACGGGUCACCUACGAGUCAAAACCACCUAUAGUGGUCUGUACGACAGGAUUGUGCACCUAACUUGGAUCCAAGGUGAGUGUAUGGUACGGAAGGUGAACAUCACGUGAAGGCAUGUGCCCUAGCCACGGGUAGGAGCACUAACACUGGGGUGUAGGUUUAUGAACUCUCAACACAUCUCACAUAAUCAUCAAUUCACAUAUAAACAAUUUACAACUUACCUGGUACUUACCUGAGUGUCCACAGCGUCAAAUCAUAUUUAUGCAUACUAUACUAAUUCAUAAUCUAAGCAUAAAUCAAUAGGCAUGGCAUUUCAAAACAUAAUUUCAUUUAAACGCAUUUUUUGGGAAAAAUACCAAGUAUAUAAGUAUAUUGAAAACCAAAAGCCCACUCACUGAUAUGUGGAAGGGUAGUAACCCCCGAGCCUUGCUUGACUGCGCUCGUCCUCAGGAUAGGUCUCAACUAUAUGCAAAACAACUAUAUAAACGUUAUUUUAAAGCACAUAAAAAAACUAGGUAAUAACUUCUCAUACAUAGCUCAAUUAGGGUAUUUGAAUAUACUACCAUGACCUACUCAAUCUCAGGAACACCCAUAUUUUUAAAAAAAAUUCCCGAGCACCCACGCGCCCUCACGCACCGGCCAAGGCACGGCCAGACGUUCGGCUCACGCUCAGGCACGUGCCUGGCACACUGACAGAUUCCCUAACGGCAUUAGGGAAUAUUUCGUUAAAAAUCAGUAUAUACCGUUAAAGAUACCUGACGCCGUUAGCAUAUUCCGUCAACUUUGAUAGAAUAUUCUCUUCCUUCUUCAUUGGCUCGCCAGAGUCCGAUUUCGGUGCUGCUGCUAUCGCCGGAAACUGGAAAAAUCUUAGAACUUCAAUAUCUCAUCCAUUUCUCAACCAAAAUCCAUGAAAUUUUCACCAAAAUGAAGCUUAGGAUGAGAGGAACGAUUCCUUACCACUUGUAGGACCUAAAACCUGCAAAAAUCUCAUCGGGAAAACCUCGAUAUUCCUGCCACCACUACAACUUCGCGAACUGGGAUUUCUCGACGUCCAAAACCCUUCAAAACUCUUCUAAAAGCUUCGUGAAGACGAUCUAAGACUUCCAAAAAGCUUAAAACUUCAAGAAACACUCACGAUCACGUCGAGAUCACUGUGCACUUCCUCGGAACUUCUUGGUUCUUAAAUUCCCGACGUCCUCACGUCCAACCAACGCUAUGGUUCGACUUUUAGUCUUGCAAGGAUUCCAAAAACACCAACUACAACCUCGAUCUGCGACUGAUUGAGGCUGGAUGGUCAAUGGCCGUACGAUUGUAAGGACAAAUAGAGAGAUUUCGACGAAGAGUGAGAGAAAGGGUUGCAUGUGUGAGUAUGUGUGUGUCCGGAUUGGGCACCCAUAAAAAAAACUUAAGUCCUAAAUGAGCCCAAAGAUUUAGCAUAAGGAUUUUAAAUGGUCAAAAUAUUAAGCUCAAACACACAACACAACUCAACGUUCAAGGGUAAAAUCGACAUUUCACACUAGCGAGGAUCGAAUAAAUUAUGUUUCAAGACAAGUUGUCACAUUCAUUAUUAACCCAUUCACACUUAAAUAACAUCACAGCUCGACCCCUACCUUUUGCAUCAGUAUGACCACAAUAUUUAACCUCGAAAAUAUCUACAACUCUGCCAUAACAAUUCACUUGCCCAAUUGCACCAGGAACAUUUGCAGGUACAAAGACACCACAAUUUUGAUUCUUAUGCUCAUCAUCCACAAAUUUUAUGCAAAAUCUGAACCCAUGAACAAUGUGACUUUUAUAUCUACUCACAACCUUACUAGGAUAAUUAUCUAGCCAAUGCAAGUCUUGAGAUAUCAACGUGUUAUUAGGAUGACAUCUUGAAUUCAUUUGUAAUACGAAUGAAGAUAAAAGUUGACAUGAUAACUAUAAACAUGUUAUAAUUAAAAUGUAAAAAUAUAAAUAAAUAAUGUGAUUGUUAUAUCAACUCACAUGUUGCUUGAACGAUUCUGUAAAUUCUUUCUUGCUUAGCUCCUUAAUUUGUGGCAUAGUUAACCUUUCUCGAUGAUGUUUAGUUUUCAGGAAUUCCUCAUGUUGCCUGGGCAAUUAUGUCCAAAUUUAGAUAAUUAAUUUUUCAAAGUUAAGAAAACCAAUAAAACAUUAAGACGUAUGAUUAAACGUUCUUACCUUCUAAAUGGGUUAACUUCACCACAAUUAUUUAGAAUGUAUAUAUGACACUUAUCAAGAACAUUUAGAUCGAGCUCCACAUUUUCUCCUGAACCCAUAUAACAUUCUUUGGAGUCAAAAAUUGAUAAUCCACCAGAUACUCCAUGUCCAAUACCAUCUUCAUUUCGGCCUCUACAGGUGCGACGAGACUCGACAUCUCUAAGAUACAUCGAACAGAAGGACAAGCACUCGUCCACCAAAUAUGCUUAAGCUAUAGAACAUUCAGGACGACCCUUAUUACAAACAAAAUGCUUUAGUAUUUGCAAAUACCUACAAUUAUAAAAUGCAACACAAAUUAUUAUAAUUAAAGUUAUGACUACAAUUGUAAAAAAAUUAUAAAAAAUUUGUUAAUUACCGUUUAAUUGUAUACAUCCAUCUAUAUUGAAUAGACCCUGCAAGAGCUGCUUCAUCUGCCAAGUGAAUUGAGAGGUGCACCAUUAUAUAAAAAAAUGCAGGAGGGAAUAUUUUUUCAAGUUGACAUAAUGUCAAUGCAAUUUUUAAAUUCAAUUGCUUGAAUCCUUCCUCAGACUCAUUCCACACGCCUUUUGUAGUAGUAUCUGUUGAUACACAAAGUCGGAGGUCUUGGAACAACGUAAAUUCGACCGUGAAUCUGCAAGUAAUGUAAAUAACACAAGAUGUAUCGUGGUUCACCCCAAGGUUUGGGCUACGUCCACAUUGAUUAUAUUUCUGAGGGAGAGAGAGUUAUGAGAGUGAGAGCUUUGAGAGGGGGUGAGAGGGCCUAGGAAUUGGCCUCCUUGAAUGCACAAAAUCAGUGAGGACUUUGGUACAACAGAAAAUGUUAAGUUUGUGACCUUCGCUAGAUUGCUCCGGUCAUUAGUAUGGAUAAGUAUGUAAAUGGAUAGAGACAGGGAAACAAACACAAGAUGUACGUGGUUCACUCAGAUUGGCUACGUCCACGGAGUAGAUGAGUUCUCAUUAAUUGUGAAGGGUUUACACAAGUACAUAGGUUCAAACUCUCCUUUAGUGAGUACAAGUGAAUGAUUUAGUACAAAUGACAUUAGGAAAUAUUGUGAGAGAUUGAUCUCUAUUUAUAGAAGAGAGUUUCUAGUUUCAUUCUGACAUUGACACGUGUCGUGUUGUGAUUGGCUUCUGAUGUUGACACGUGUCGCGCUAUGAUUGGCUUCUGAUGUUGACACGUGUCGCGCUAUGAUUGGCUUCUGAUGUUGACACGUGUCACGCUGUGAUUGGCCUCCUGGUUGGAGGGAAACUCUUCUGGGUCCUUGACGGUAUAACGUUGAUCGGUGCACAGUAGUUUCGGGAUUGGUUAAGUAUGGUACAAACAGUAUCAAUCAGCCAAUUACAUUUCACCAGCAAGUUCGACUGCAAGAAGUAUCGCUUUAAUAUACGAUUUAGCACAUUGCAUCCCCAUAACUUGUUCUCUUGAGAUUGGUUAUGUUUCUCCACAGUUUGAAACACGAGAGUUUUAAGAGAGCAAUAUGAGCUUACCGCACAUUUUGUCAAGCAAAAACUGGAUGGGCUCAUAACCCUCCACUGGGAUAAUGAUAUUUAACUUCAUAUGGAGUAUCACGAGCCCUUUCACCUGAAAAUUACAAAUAGGAAUUAAGAAGACGUUGUUGUAAGGGAUAUCAACACCCACUGCAGUAAAGAUACCCUUACAUCUCCAUGCAACGGUUAACAUUGUGGGUGAGGGUGACAAAGUUGGAGGGGGGCUCCCAGUUGCUCCCGACCCUGAUAACUUGACAUCCAGGCCAUUCUCUGGUAAGACCUGCAAAUAUUUAAUCAGACUGAGGACAGAUAAUUCGACCAUUUUAUUUACUUAUAAAUGGUUUUGCUUGCAUCAAAGUGUACGGAAGCCGAGCACCUUAAUAUUAGGUCUUUGCACCAGUGGAAAAGGCAGCAAUAUUGCAGCCAUAGAAAGGGUUACAUGUCACUUCACACAUUUUCGGUACUCAGCUUCCAUGAUAUGACAUUCAAUAUAAGAGGGGGUCUUGAUAUCUUAGCUGUUCAUCUUCAGCAAAAUAAGAUCAAAUAUUCAAAGUUGGCGCAAUAUGUAAUGAUUGCCUCAACAAAUAUUUAACAUUACUUUUUACUGUCAUGAAUUGACAAUGAGUUGAACUGUCGAGAAAGUAAACUUCGAAUUUUCGUUCAAGCUAUUUUAUAUAAUAGUAAAUGAGCAAGCUUAAAACUUUUGAAAAUAACGUGAGGAUAUAAUGUGUAAAAGGUGAAUUGGUGAUAAGUUGUUAUUCAAAAUUAAGAGUUAAAUUCAAGAUAUUGUAUGAGACUCACUUAUGUUUUUAUUUCCCAUAUAAUUGUUAUAUAUGUCAGUGUCCAUUUAAAGAUUAUGUAUGCAAAAUAAUCAAUCCAAUUAAAGGUCACUUCAUCUUAUUUUAAAAUGUAUAUAAUAAAAUUAUGUUAAAUUCAAAAAAUUUCAUUGUUAAAAAUCUAGUGGCCGAGAAAUAUAACAGUUGGAAAUCCAACGGUCCAGAACAUCCCACGUCGCCCCUCUCAGACGAGUGUGAGGGUGUCUGCCAAAAAAUAUAAAAGACGUCGCUGACGUCAAAUGGGGGGGGUGGUUGGGCCCGCUGAACAGCCCCACUGUUUUUCUGGAGUGGGAGGAUUGAAUCACUCAAUUGCAAGGGCAAUCGAAAGAGGUGGAGUUGCUCCAACUACUCUACCAAAAAAGGGUAGAGAAAUUUUCCAAAAGUAAAAGAAGAAAAAAGAGAAAAGUGAAAAUUGAUGACAACAACAAACAAGUGUUAAAAAUUGGAAGAAAAGGGAAAAAGGAAAAAAAACAACCCAAAAAGAUAAAGCCACAAGAAACCAUAUUCCAAAAUGCAAAUUCCAUUCCAUUUAUAUUUUCCCAAAUUCCUAAAACGAAAAAAAAGCAAAAAAGCAUUGGAAAUUCCAAAAAACAAAAGCAAAAAGGCCUCCAAACACUCCCACACAGAGAGAAGCAGCACCUCUCAACCUCGAGCUCCGCGCUACGAUUCUCUGUAGAAGAACACAAUCGAACAGAAGAAUUUCGACCAAAGCUUCAAAUUUUCCCAUUAAUUUCACAAAAUUUGAGCGCCAAAAUCCAUCGGAGCUUCGACAAAAACCUUGAAACUAUCAUUAUUUACAAGUCUUCAAUCGCAGAGAGCCAAAUGUACGAACCCCACCGGCCGAAGUCGAAAACCCAAACCCUAGAGCUAUGCCGCCGGGACUCGCAGUGACGGAACUUUCAAACCCUAGAAAUGGCCAAGCAUUCCGUGGGGUGGGUCGCGGCGCAGAAGCGGUGGCUUCUGGCUUUACUCGUCAUGGUCUCCCUCUCUACCUUGAUCGCCUUCUUCAUCAGAGCCGCGUUUGACACCUGCGAUCGCGGCGGCCUUGACGUCGUCGAUAAGAGGGUUCCGCUGGGGGCGCCCAUUGGGACCAGUCCUAGCCCCCUCAGCUUCAUGAAGUCCAAGCUCGUGCUCUUGGUCUCCCACGAGCUUUCUCUUUCUGGUAAUGUCUCUGUCUCCAUUAUAUUGUUAUCAUUUUUUAUGAAUUUAAUGCAUUUUUAUAUUAAUCGUGUUUAAUUAGUUGUGUUAAGUUUUUAAUGACUUAUUAGAUUAUACAAACAUAGAAAGUUAGCAGCUUUAGAUGAAAAAUCACUUGUAUCAGUGGAAUCUGUGAGCAUUAACUGGUUUUCGAACUAUUGGAUGGUUUUCGAUGACCCGUUUAACAAUAAGUCCUUUCCUGUGCCUCAUUACUUUUAAAUUUCCUGUUUUAUUCUAGUAUUUAUGGAGAGGGUAGCUUGUUCCUUAGUGUGUUAAUGCUGUUUGAUAUAUUUUCAUCUCAGUUGAGUUUAAUUUGUUUGUGAAUUUGGAAACAUGGUCUGGUGCAGUUGCAUGCCCUUCAUUAUGUUCGAGUUUAAUCAAUGAUUUCAUUGGGGAUUUAUGUGAAGUCAAGAUUAUAGAGUGGAAGAACUGAGUACGUUACUUCUCUGCGAUUGUUGAUUCUUAUAAGACGGCAUCUGUAUUGUUCUACUAUUCACGUAUUUUUGUAACUUAAUUAAUUCAAUAACCCGAUAAGCAGGGUUGUUUGAAUUAUUUGUCCAUUCUGUGUACUGAUGUGUCAUUUGAAAAUAUUACUACUCAACUUGAAAAUGUUUGUCGUCUUUUGAACAUUAACCUAUUUAUUGGGAUAAUCUUGUUCUCGAGCUGUCAUGCAUUUUGUAAUACAAUGUGUUCUUUGAAGAAUGCUCUUUUUUUCAGAUGAGAAACUUUUGUCCUUGGUUCGAGAACUUAUUGAGUCAAUAUUCUUGCCGGCGUCAACAGACUAACGUUUUCUAAUGUUGAUGCGUUCUUUUUGUUAUAUUUACUUGCACUUGUCAGCAUAUUGAAAUAAAUGGAGUAGUACCACAACUGAUGAAAGCUAUCUUCCUCCUUAACCAGAUAUCUGGUUGAAGAGUAUAUUUUAUCCCACCAAUUUCUGCUCUUUAUAUCUUACAAACGCUACUGGAGGGAUAAUAUAUUGAACAUUCUUCCAGGUGGACCUUUGUUGUUGAUGGAGCUAGCAUUUUUAUUGAGAGGUGUUGGCACUGAAGUUUAUUGGGUUACAACCAUGAAAUCGUCAGAUACAGAUGCUGUAACAUACAGUUUGGAGCAUAAGAUGUUGGACCGAGGAGUGCAGGUACAAAUUUCACUUUUAACUUUUUAAGAGAUUAUUUUGGAAGUCUUCUUUUGCAGUCUAGUUGUUGUCUUUGUUCUACAUAGUUAUUUUUAUUAUCUCAAUAUUUCAUGAUAUGGAAGCAUUCUGUUGUCCAACUGUACUAUAUUGGCCACGUGCUAAGGAAACUAUGCUAAGUAAAUCUAGCUUCCCAUCUGAUUUGAUCUAUACUAUGGCCUUGUCUGGCUCGGUCUUCUCUGCGUGUCAUUUCCUGUUUUUGAUAGGUUAGAUUUCUCUGUAACUUCUCCAUGUUUCUAAUACUGCUUCUAUACAUCUCUAGGUCCUCUCUGAAAAUGGCCAAGAAACUGUGAAUACAGCUCUCAAAGCUGAUUUGGUUGUAUUGAACACCGCAGUUUCUGGGAAAUGGUUGGAUGUUGUUCUUAGGGAAAAUGUUCCCCGUGUUCUCCCAAAAGUGUUGUGGUGGAUUCAUGAAAUGCGUGGCCAUUACUUCAAAUUGGAUUAUGUUAAGCACCUCCCACUUGUUGCAGGUUCUAUGAUAGAUUCACAUGUAACAGCAGAAUAUUGGGAGAAUAGGACUCGAGAGCGUUUGGGGUAGGCUUCAAAUAUUCUUCCUUUUUCUUUUUUAUAUCAUUUGGUUCACCGUUGCAUUCAUUUUCUCUCUGCAGUAUCAAAAUGCCCGAGACCUUUGUUGUUCACCUAGGAAACAGCAAGGAACUUAUGGAAGUUGCUGAGGACAAUGUGGCAAAGCGAGUUUUGCGUGAGCAUGUCCGGGAGUCUCUUGGAGUUCGAAGUGAAGAACUAGUAUUUGCCAUCAUUAACAGUAUGUAUUUUGGUCUGUUUUGAUGGUUUGAUUGAAUUUGGUUAUAAUGUUUCACCAUGAAUUUACCAGUUUGUUUGUUUUUUAUCUUUAUCUUGUUUCUAGUAUGCUGGUGAAAUUUGUGUUAAUUUCCGUGGGGAUAUGACAAAUAAAAAGUAAUGUUCUGGUUAGUUUAUGCAUACAUUGUGAGCACUAAAUUACACUUCAUGUCUAUAGGUGUUUCGCGCGGAAAAGGCCAGGAUUUGUUUUUGCGUUCCUUCUAUGAAAGCUUGCGACUGAUCCAAGAGAAGAAGCUGCAACUGCCAAAAAUGCAUGCUGUAAUUGUGGGGAGUGACAUGACUGCUCAUACCAAGUUCGAGCAUGAAUUACGUAACUUUGUAGCGAUGAAGAAAAUUCAAGAUCGUGUUCAUUUUGUAGACAAAACUCUGACUGUAGCACCGUAUCUGGCUGCAAUUGAUGUCCUUGUUCAAAAUUCGCAGGUAUUAGAAGCAUUUUUCUUUUAUUAUUGUGUUAUUCAAUCUUGUUUUGAUGCAUAUAGAAUUCCCAACUAGCCAACGAAUAAAGAAUAAGAUCCAUACAAAUAGGUGUUCAGAUUAUUCUUUUUCAAGUUUGACCCUAAUGUGGUUGGAAUUACAUAAAUUUUAUUAAAAUAUCCAUUUUCAUCUUGUAUUUUUUUUUUCAUUCCGUACAGGCACGCGGAGAAUGCUUUGGUAGGAUAACCAUUGAAGCCAUGGCAUUUCAGCUGCCAGUAUUGGUAAUGAACCUUCCUCCUUUUCGUUUCGCGUAAUAUCUAAUACUGAUGCUGCCUAUCUUAUUGACCCAUUUCAUUGUCUUUUUUUUCUUUCCCAAAUAAAAUAUUUAUCAGGGAACAGCGGCAGGUGGCACCACAGAGAUUGUAGUGAACGGAACGACAGGUUUGCUGCAUCCUGUUGGGAAAGCAGGGAUCACUCCUCUCGCGAAUAAUAUGGUAAAACUCGCCACUCACGUUGAGAGGAGGCUUACGAUGGGGAAGAGAGGCUACGAAAGGGUCAAAGAAAGGUUCCUAGAACACCAUAUGGCAAAUAGAAUAGCUGCGGUUCUGAAGGAAGUAUUGCGCAAGUCAGACAGCCGCUCAGAUUCUUAACACAUGCUCUCUUCUCCUCAUGUCGAGAUUUCAGCGCUUAAGUAGGUCGAUUUUCCUUUUAUGUCGACAUAAUCGUCCCUCGGGUUUUUCACCUUUCUAUUUCCAAUAGGGCUGUACAUUAUGUGCAUAUUAAGGCAAGAUCGAGAUUGUAGCUUGUUAAAAGGUUGACAUUAAUGACAUGAUCGAUUUUGUUAUAGCAUGGGAUUGGAAAAAUUGGCAUCUCAUUGACAUGCUUGCAACUCUCUUGUUACUGAAUUAUGAGCAUUUAUGCUUGUUAACUCUUAUCAUCUUUUAUAUGGGCGGGUAGGAUGGUUUGCCGAAAUAACUUGCCGACACUCGUUUCAUGAAACGGGGCAUUUCACAUAUAAGCUCACGUACCUCUUGCAUGAUAUAGCAAAAAUGAAACGGGCAUAGGCAAGUUUUGUGCGGUUUUGCCAGCUUUUUGUUUGUAAGUUUUUGAAAAGAACAUCAUAAACAAAGCGUUGGUUCGUGCUCACUUCCCCCAUGCAUCGGAGUUUGAAUCUUCAUGUUCGAAAAUCACUUGGAUUAAAAGUAAAAUUAAAGAAUCACUGACAUGUUAACAAACGUGUCAAUAAUUCUUUUUUUUUUAACCGAUCCAACUUAAUGUGAAAAAGUUUUGUUGUUGUACCGACGUGUUAAAAAGAAAAAAAUAAUUACAACUAAGAACUUAGCUUAAGCUUUACAUUAUAGCAAAAAGUUCAAAUUUUUCAUUACAACUCAGAACAAAGCUACUGAGCUAGUAAGAAGAUCCGUAAGACUUCAAGGAGACUUGGGUUGUGGAGAAUCACUUGCUGGCUUUGGCUUCUGCUUGAAGUUGUGCUUUGUAAACCAAGUGGUGUACAGAAAGUGCUUCUGAGCUCCUACAUGGUUGCAUAUCAAUCUGAGCUUCUGCCUCUCCCUCAUCCACCUCAGCACUAUCUUCAUGUGCCUCUUGCUCGUCAACCCUCUCAACCCGACUUUCUGAAAGAAAAAACCACUCAGACAUUUCAUCAAACACUUGGUGCGCGAAAACGAAAUCACUGAGAUUACCUUGACGUGAUCCCAGGUUUCGGAAAUGGUGAGAGGACCGUGCUCCUUGACGAUGUCGAAGAUGGCCCUGGUGAUGGUCUGUGUCUGCUCAGGUGGGGUAUUGAGCUCUAUGGGUUUCAUCGGAGGUUUUGGUUUCCGAGCGAUGCACCUGAUCGCUGUCCCAAACAUGUUUCUGAUUUCCCUUUGCUAAAGAGAGUGGGCUAACAAAUAUAACCCGUUAGGUAAAAUGUUAUUCAUUUAAUUUAGCACAGAGUAAAUUGUAACAAUGAUUCUUCAACUUUAAUUAAAUUGGAGAAACAGUUUAUCAACUAAAAAUUAAUUACCAUUUAUCCCUCAACUCAUCAAAAUGUGUAGUUUGGUCAUUUUCGUCAAUUUCGUCAGAAUUUUAUCAAAAUAAGUUAUGUUGGAAUGACCAUUGCUAUAAUUGAGGUCUCUCAACUCAUCAAAACGUGUAGCUAUGAUCAUUUUUGUCAAGUACAUCAAAAUUUUGUCAAAAUGAGUUAUGUUGAAAAGAUCAUUGCUACAAUUGAGUUAAACUUGAGAGAUCAUUGCUCCAAUUGGGUUAAAGUCGAAGGACCAAUGAUAAUAAAUUUUUAAUUGAGAGACCAUAACUACAUGUUCUGAUGAGUUGAGGGAUCAAUAGUAAUAGAUUUUUAGUUGAGGGACCAUUGCUACAAUUUAAUCUAUAGCACGUUCUUAGCGCUACUGAAUCUUUUUCCCGAGUACGAAUACGAUGGUGUUGGUUUUCGACUCCCAUCGACCAUAGAGCUAAGGAUUGCUGCGUGAACACCUGGUAUAUGUCGACCUGAUCGAAGAAUUUGUCUUCGUCAUUACGAUCUGGGUUGAGGUGACUGAUCUUCCACACGCCAUUAUCCACAGUGAAUCGAAUCAUAGCCUUACAGCCUGUUCUUGUGUCUAGUCUUCCCCAAUUUCGACAUAAGCCCAGAAUAGACACGUGACGGCAAAAAAUAGCGGUAGAGUAAUACUUAAACUUAACUGGGAGCGUCAAAUCACCACCUUUGUUUUCUUCCCAACCUCCCAGUUCCAGUUUAAAUAGCAUGUUCACGUUUAAUUUUACCAAAAAAAAAAUGAAUGUGGGAAUCAACCUACAUCACCAUUCUUUGAUUUUUUUCAAACUUGCAUGGCACGGGUCCAGUGUGGCGUCUCUUGCCAAUAGUACAAAUACAUGUUAGUUAUCGUUGCAUUUCAAAUAAUAAUAAUAAUAAAACGUGUUAGUUGCCUUGUAUCGUUGGCACAAAAUGCCACCGUAGCAGUUUAUGCUGUGCCAUGCAUGCUGCAAGUGAAUCAAGAUAACUCUUCUACACCGUGCUUAAAAGUCGAGAAACCAGUGUGUCCAGACUCCAGAAGCACUCAAAGGGUUUAUAUUCAUUUCUAGCCAAGACUCUGCACAUAACCUAGAAAUAAAAUGCCAAGACAGUGUUCUAAACAGCAAUAACACAGCAGCACAUAAAUUAAACUAAAACGGCGCACAAGUGAAAAGAUGCUACUUCAGAUCAGUAAAAUCCAUUAAUAUUAAUGUACUAUAGCACUUAACGGCGAUACAAAGUAUAUAAAGAUUAACCGAGAUAAAUUAUAGAUUUCAAACUCCAGUAUUGACAACAAAUAUAAUAACCGGAUACAUCUAACAUCAAUGAACCGACACUAGAAAAAGAAAACGAUGUACAAUGUUGGCUUCUACAAAAGAAGAAAAAUAAGAAUCUAACCUUUCAUUCUGAACAUCUUAUGCAAUGAAGUGCAAUUUUUUUUUCAAUCUAGGAGACUUGUCCUUUAGCUGUCACAACCGGGGGAUUCCACACUCCCAUUAUCAAGAGACAUAUCGCGAACAGAUUGGUCAUCUACUUUGCUCAAAUUUCCUAGCAUGUAGGUAGUUUCCUCGUCACUUUCCAGCAACUUUAUGGUCUCCGCUAACUUUUGUUUGACAAUCCUUUUUCCCGAAUCACACAAUGAGCCUAUACUGAAAACAUUCGUUCCUUCAUGCAUUAACUCACUUAGGCGCAACGAUUGAGCAGAGUUGGCCUUUCUAUCUGAUGACUUACUGAACUUAUUACUCGCCACAAUCCCUUUUUUUGCCUCUCUAGUCCAUCUCUUCACUAUGUAUUGUGUCGGUAUGCUUGUGAAGUUUUUAGAAUCCAACACUUUGAGGGCAUGACGACACAACAAGCCCAUCGAUUCAAAUAACUUACAAGAACAAGAAACUGUGGAUGUAGUAGAGUUGUACCGAAUCAUGAAGACUCUUUGAUGACCUUCUUCGAUUGCUUCAUAAAUAUAUUGGUUGCCGUCAUUACCAACUUCCACCAUCCUCACCCCAAAAAUGCUCAUAAGCUCAUCUUCAAAGAAUGAAUACAUUUUGACAGUGUACUCAGUAGCUGCAUGCUUAAAUAUACUACUAUUUACUCUAAGACGAGGCUUCGCAUUUUUACAACGAAAAUCCUCUUCCAACUCUGUGAACCGCAUCUUUUUUAUUUUUUGCUCGUAGUGCUGUACAAAACUAACAAGAUCCACUAUUUUUCUGGAAACUUGAUGGAAAAUGGUGUUCGUAUUCUCACCCCUCUGGCUUGAUCCAAUAUUUGCUGAGAAAGCAUCUGAGCUAAAUGCUGGACACCAUUUAUCUCGAAGUGAAUACAACAUCUUUAGCCACGAGUUGCUUUCAAGGUUGAACAUUUUAAUCAUGUCAUCCCAGGCAUGUUGAAGUUCUUGUUCAGUAAAACAAUCGUAAAAGCAUUUGUAGAAGUGCUUCUUGAAUUCAGGAUCAGCAUAAAGACUACCAAGAUGUUGUGUAGCAUUCUUGGAGAUUUGCCAAUUGCAUAACAGAUGGCGUGUCUCUGGAAACACAAUCUCAAUUGCCCUUGCCUUUUCCAUUGCUUUAUUCUCAUCUGUGAAAAUGGUUACUGGCUGUUUAUUUCCCAUUGACUCCAAAAAUGUUUCAAACAACCACAUAAAUGAGGCAGUGCUCUCGUCCAAUAAAAAUGCACAACCAAAUGAGAUAUUCUUCCAGUGGUGAUUAACUCCCAAAAAUGGAGCACAAAUUAGAUUGUUGUUGGUUUGAAACGUAGUGUCAAAGCAUACAACGUCUGCAAAACAAUCAUAAUCCAACUUUGAUCUACCGUCUCUCCAAAAAUAAUUUGUGAUCCGAUUAAACUGAUCCACCUGUACACUGUAGAAAAAACUCGGAUCCUCCAUCUGUUUAUGCUUAAAAUAGUUUAUCAAGCUUUGUCCAUCCCCUGCAAUCAAUUCAUCCUUCCCCCUUUGCAAACAAUUAUGCGAAUCUUUAUUACUAACCCCGACAUUCUCAGCACUUCCAAAUUCCUUUCCCAAAUAUGAUUGCAACUUUGGUGGUCGUAUACUCCCAUCAACCUUAGAGCUGCCAAGUAUAGUUGCACGAACACUUGGUAUAUUUCUCCCCGACCUCAGAAACUGUCGCUCUUCAGGCCUAGCAAACUCGUGAUUAUGAAUUGGAUUAAUGUACGAGAGCUUCCAUACACCAUUUUCCACAUUGAACCGAAUCACAGCCUUGCAACCUGUCCUUGUGUCCAAUCUUCGAACUUUUCUCGCUUCACACAAGUCUUCAUCUACUUGAAACCCUUCUUUCGAGCACGUGUAUUCUCUCUGCCGGACAUUGUUCUGCGAAUCUCUCCGAAGAUGACCUUUCCGAAUACUAAAACCUUUGUUGAAGGCAUAGGUGUUGCAUAGCUGGUACGCCUCAGCUUCAUCACUAACCUCCAUUCCUACCCUCAGUUCAUCAAUUUCUCCGAAAAUUUCAUCAUUGUCGCUUUUUUCUAAUGAUUCCUUUUGAGAAUCACUAUCCAUUUAGCUCAAAUCAGCCUAAUCAUAAACGAAUAAUUAAUUUAUGUAAAUAAAAUUAAAAUUUAACUCCUAACAAAAUAAAGGUGCAAAAUUUAAGAUGAAUCCCAAAUUUUUCAAUAAAAUCGAAAUAGCCCAUUUCGCUAAAACAGAUGUUAAUUCAUAUUAUCAAUCGCGAAAUUAAAUUGAAAUAAUUGUCUGAUUCUUCCCCAAAUUUUUCUCAGCCAUUAAAAUUUCAAAACUUUCAACUUCAAAAUUUUCAGAAAUGAAAAAAAGAAGGCAACAAUCAUAUCAUCAAAGAACCAGAGAGGAGAGACGAUUACCUGGUUUUUCCGAUAAACGAGAGAGAAGAAGAGAGUCGAUACGUCGUCGUUUAGAGGAGGAACGGGAGGAGGAGUUUGGGCUGAGAGGAGUGCUGGCACUGUGUGAAUAGAAAAGGGUCUAGAGAUUAGGGAGGAACAAAACGCAGCGUUCUCAUCCCGUCUCUAUCAAAUACAAAAUUUCACUUUUGGCCUUUCUAAUUUACGCCGAGUUUAUUUUAGUCCUCCUAAUUUUUAUUGUGUCAAUGUUGACCUUGUAAUAUACCAAAAGUUGCAACUCGACAGCUGGUUUGAGAUUGUAGUGCUUUUAUAAAAAACAGCUUAUUAAAAUACCUGAAGCAUCAAAUAUAUUUGGUAAAAUAAAAAAAGCAUUUUUUUUUUAUAAAUUAAGUUUAUCCAACACUCAAAUACUAUUAUUUUUGCAAUUUGUUAUAAACAUUUUUACAUAAAAUAAAUUUACCAAACACUUAACAAAUUUAGUUUACAGCUGUUUAUUCUCAGAAAUAUUUUUUUCAAAAAGAACAACAACACCAAACUAACCCACAUUAUAACCAUCUUUUGAAAAAAAAUUCAAGAAAACUCCUUAAAAUCCCAUGACUAAUAGUGUAUUUUAGAAGUAUUUCAAGUCAUUCGGUCUUCUGCAGGUUGAAACAAACAAGGGGUAACUCAUGAGUUCUGUGCAGGUGAAACAACCCAUCCAGAAUACACCGAGAUUAAGACGACGUUGGAUGACAUUCUGGACAGAUUACAAGUUCAUGGCUACCAGCCAAACCUGGUUUCGGCCGCUUAUGCUGUGGGAGACGAAGAAAAGACGGGUAUAUUAAUGUCUCAUAGUGAAAAGCUAGCUUUAGCAUAUGCAUUGCUCAGUAUAGAUUCUGGUUCCGCCAUUAAGAUCAUGAAGAACAUUAGGAUUUGCGGACACUGUCAUUCGUUCAUGUGCGGCGCGUCCUAGGUUACAGGGAGGGAGAUUGUCGUGAGAGAUAACAUGAGAUUCCACCAUGGAAGAAGAUUACAGUGCAAUGUUUGAUAUGGCGGAAGGCCGGUUUUGAGUAAUAUGAUCAUCUAGGCAAAUGUUUCAGCCAAUGCAGUUGAUAUAUUAACAUAAUAGACAACAAAUUUUCACAUCACAAAGACAGACAUUGCGUAGUGCUCUCUGUGCAUUAGCCACACAAACAACUCAGCUCACACCAGAGGCACCAGUAGCUUAUUAUAUGACCGAUAUAAUAGUAACAAACCACUGUAUUUAUAUCUUGUGGUGUCCGCCGCGAAGCUUCUCUAUGAUCUUGUCCAUGAUCCCUUUCUUUUCGUGGUGCUCCUCCGUGUAAGCGGUGCCGCCGCCGGAGGGUGUGGUGGUCGACGUCGUAGUAUGUGAGUACCGGGGAUCAUCCUUGUGGCCAGUACUCGGCAGCUUGUCCUCGAUCUUGUCCAUCAUCCCUUUUUCCUGGUGGUGACCUCCUGGGUCGGCGGUGCCGUAUGCUGUGUCAGUUGUGGUUGAGCCUGGGAGCUUCUCAUUUAUCUUCUGUUUCAGCCCCUUUUUCUUCCUACUCCCACCUAGCCCAUCAUCCUCUGACUACAACACAAUAAUUAAAUACCCAACAUAUAACUACCAAGAGAAAAAUACAAGUUAACAAUUUCAUGGGAAAUUUUACAUUCCUUAUUUCUCUUGAAAUUGGGAUACCAAGUCCAUAAAAAAUCCACCGGAAGAAUUGAAUGCCUUUAUUGAAUAAUACUUGCAUAACCUAUCUUCAUCGUAGAAAUUUUAUAAUCAUAACCGUUUUUAUUUUUAAUCUCCAUUUAAGAUUAUGUGUACAAAAAUCAUUUGAAUAGAAUAUCGUUUUUAGUCAUCCAAAUGUAUCACAUAAAUCAACAGUGUAGAAAAAUCAUUUGAAUAUGAUAUCGUUUAGUCAUUCAAAUAUAUCUCAUAUAUAUCAACAGUGUAGAUACCAAGUAACAUAUAUUAUAAAGAUCAACAGUCCAUUUAUUCCAUAAAUUUGGAUGACUAAAUAAUGUUCGAUUAAAUGAACUUUUGUAAGGAUUGAUAAUCUUUAAAUUAAUAUUUAGAAAUUGAAUGGCCUCGAUUAUGAAACUUGUAGGAUGAAGAUACACAAUUGGGGAAAUGAGCUCAAUUCCCAGGAGAGGAAUGCAAAUAUUAUUCUUUCUAGUGACUAUAGUCAAUUCUAAUAAGAUGUGAUACGUUGAUUUGCAUUUACGGAGUACAAUACAUGAAACUAAUUUAAUCAGUAAGAUGAUACAAAUAAUUGUACAUAUUUACCCAAAAUUAAUACCAUUAGUAUCCUGGCUAAUUGUAUUAGGAUUUACACACAAAUUCAUUUUCGUGGAAAUUAUGCGGUUAAUUAAGUCUAAUCUUUUUGCUAGCAAGGUCUAAUCUUUUUAGACAAAACAAUGGUACAAAUUACAAUAUCCUACGAAAAUUAAGAUCAAAUCUUUAUAUGGGAAAAAGAGAUUACUUACAGAGCUAGAGCUUGAGCUGGCGGAGCGAUGAAGCAUGCCAGUGACACCAUGGUGCUCUUUCCUGCCGUAAUCGUGACCAAGUGUGCCGUGACCACCUGCCGUGGUGGCAGCAUAGCCAGUGGUCACAACGGCCGUGUGAUGAGCACCGUAUUCUCCGGUGGCAGCAGGAGCGAUGCCAGUAGUAGCACCGUGAUGACCAAGUGGGUUUCCAUACUUGUCCACUUGGGGAACCAAGGGGUUGCUGUUCUCGUCAGUUCCCUGAGUCGGGUUGCCGCAGGCGGCGGUGGGUGGUGCCCCGUAUUGAUGAUUUUGUAAAUGCGCCAUUCUCUAAAAACACAAUGAAACCUUUUCUUCUUCUUGGAAAUUUUUUAAUAUGCUUCGAUGAGGAUUUGAUUUUGAUGAAGUCUGACAAUUUGGGUCGGUUUAUAUAAGCAAAAUAACAAAACAUGCAUGUCACAGUAGGGUUCUUGCCGUUUGCCAAACUUUAAUAAUUUGUAAAACUAUCCCCACUCUCUCUCUGUAUACAUGUCGUAUACGGUAUACCUCACAUUGCCACAAAAGCAACUCCCGACAGCAAAAAUAGUGUUAGACAUGUCGUAUAGCUCACAUUACCAAUACCUUGAAAGCAACUGCCGACAUCAAAAAAUAAUAGAACUUGGAUUGUUCAUGCUACUAGCUUCCAUCGCUAGGACAUGUACUUGGAAGCAAGCUAUACAGCCACCUUGAAUCAAUGAAUGAACCUUGAAUCAACGAAUGAAUGAAAAGAAAUGGAAUUGAAAGCAAGCUACAGCUACCUCAAAUCAAUCAAUGAACGAAUGAAAAGAAAAGAAACCGCCUGCUUAUCUUGUGUGACAAGACCAUAGAGCGAGUGGCUCUUCUAUGUGUGAAAUUAUCUUGUGUGACAAGACCAUAGAGCGAGUGACCAUUCUAGGUGGGCAGCUGUGUGAGAGAGAGGAAUUCGAACUUGAUAUUGAUAUCAGCGGAGGCGUUUGCAAGUGGCAAACUAAAUAACAUGUUCAUGUUCUUAUUGCUACUCAUUUUAACAUAAUAGACAACAAAGUUUUGUAAGCAGUAUAUCAAUAAAUAAACUACUGCAACACAUCAUACCAACACUACCCUAGGAUUACCAACUAAUAUCAGAUUCACCAUAACUAGAGAAACACCAGUUUAUAAUCUACAAGACACUUACCUGGAGGCAUCGCCAUUGAAGAAACAACAGAAGAAGAAGUCUUCUACUUCCAACACUCGAAAGUCUCUUCUCUAAGUGAAUAGGGUUUUAGAUAAUAUUGAGAGCGUUAGUAAGGAAGCAGGGACUUCAACUAUAUAUAUAUCCAUCCAUUUUGCUACAGAUUCACUCGGUCCAACCUAUUAUCAGAAAGAGUGAUAAUCUCUAUCUCUUAAUAAGUUUUAGUCCUAUCAUGACUCUAUAUACUAGUAUAUAUUUGAUAAGGAUCAAAAUAGAACAGCUGCAACAUACAAAACUCCACGAUUCUUGUCAUACCAAAGCUCUCAGACUCCUUGUGUUUCACAUAACUAGUAUGACUAGUUAAACGCCACCCAAGUAGUCCAGUUGUAAUCUCAUUGUCAUUCAAACAAGUUUUACAUUCUCCCACUUGAAUGUCAAUGAUAUGCCUCAAUAUUAUAAGAAUCAUGAUGAUCAUACAGUUCACAAAAGCUUGCAACUGAUCCUUCAUAGUAACUUGUCAUCUUUAAGAAAAAUAUAGGACCACAAAAAACAAAGCACGAAUAGCUUGCACUUUGCACUCUGUGAUCACAUACAUAUUUAGCUUAAAAACACUAUGUCACUUUUGAGAGUCAUGACGUCAAGAACUGACAAUUCUCAGUUCCACAUAACAAAAUGAAAUAAUUCCAGUACCAAAGUUGUUUGUAGAAACAUAAUAAGCCAAUUUAAACAAAUCAAUAACGAUAACAAAUUUGCAAGAUAACUAACAAUCGUCAAUCAGUAAACAAAAUAAUUGAAACAAACCCAACACGGUUUAUGGAGUGCUUACUCCCACUCAUUAACUGAAUCAAGGACCUCUCUUACUCCCAUGUUGAAAACAUGUUUCUUGAAAACUCCCACUGGUAAAGCCUUUGUCAUUGGAUCAGCAACCAUUAAACUUGUGUUGAUGUACUCAAUUUCGACAGUUUCUUUCUUCACUUCAUCUCGUACUUUUAAGUACUUGAUGUCCAUCAAUCUGCUGGCAUAAGACCUCUUGUUAUUCUUCGAAAAGAAAACUGCAGCUUUGUUGUCACAAUACAACUUGAGAGACCUUUCAACACUGUCAACGAUUUCCAAUCCUUUCAUCAUGUUUUUAAGCCAAAUGGCUUGUUGAGUUGCUGCAUAGCACCCUAUAAAUUCAGCUUCCAUAGUUGAAGAUGCAAUACCUUUCUGUUUUGCACUCUUCCACGAUACUGCACCAUUAGCCAACAGAAAGAUAUAUGCAUUAGUUGACUUUCUGUCGUCCACGCACCCUGCCAAGUCCGAAUCCGUGAACCCUACCAAUUCCAGCUUGUCCACAUGACUAUAAGUUAACAUAAAAUCUCUUGUUCUUUUGAGACACCUCAGUACCUUUUUCGCUGCAACCCAAUGACAUACACCAGGAUUUGAUUGAAACCUACCAAGCACACUCAGUGCAAAAGCCAAAUCUGGUCUUGUGCAUACCUGAGCAUACAUGAGACCCCCUACAAGAGAUGCAUAGGGCUUGUCUUUCAUUCCCUCAUUCUCUAAUUCAUUUUUGGGACAUUAAACACUACUCAGUUUGUCUCUUUUGCCGAUAGGCAAUUCUCCAUUCGAACAUUUGUCCAUAUUGAAUCUUUUAGCAUCUCUAUCGAUGUACUACCUUUGAGAAAGACCAAGAGACUUCGUAACACGAUCUCUUACAAUUUAUAUUCCCAAAACAAAUCGAGCUUCCCCCAAGUCCUUCAUGUUAAAGUUUUGAGUGAGCAUACUCUUAGUUAACUGUAGUAGAGACAUAUCAGAGCUAGCUAAUAAUAUAUCGUCUACAUACAAUACUAAGAAUAUGACCUUCGCACCAAGGACUUUCAGAUAAAUACACUCAUCCAUUUUGUUCUCUUGGAAACCAGAAGCUGCCAUUACCUGAUCAAAUUUCUUAUUCCAUUGCCUCGAGGCUUGUUUUAAGCCGUAUAUAGACUUAUUCAGUUUACAAACCAUCGUCUCAUUCCCCCUUUCAACAAAUCCAGGUGCUUGUUGCAUGUAAAUAUCUUCUUCAAGAUCUCCAUUUAGAAAUGCCGUCUUGACGUCCAUUUGAUGAAGUUAUAAAUCAAAAUGUGCUGUGAGAGCUAGAAUUAUUCUCAUGGAAUCUUUUGUUGAGACUGGAGAAAAUGUCUCAUUAUAGUCAAUGUCUUCCCUUUGUGUAAAGCCCUUCGCCACUAACCUUGCUUUGUGUUUGUCAAUGUUGCCUUAUGAGUCUCGUUUUGUCUUGAACACCCAUUUACAACCAAUAAUUUUUGUUGUCCCAAUUGGCUUUGGAACUAAGCUCCACACACUGUUUUUCUCCAUGGACUCCAGUUCUUCAUGCAUGGCUUGUUUCCAUAAUGUUGAUCUUGAACUUGUUAUGGCUUGAUUGUAGGACAAGGGAUCAUCUUCAUCACCUAUAGUAUGUUCUGCCUCAUUUAGUUAUGUUUAUACCAUAUUUAGGGCCUCGUAUUUAGAUCUCGUACAAAUACUCGGAGGACUUAAAUGUAAUUAUAUGAUAAAGGAAUGGGCAAAUAUGUAAUAAAAGAUGAGUCCUUAUUCUAUAAAAGGACCACUCACCCUCACAAUUAGGGGAGGCCAAUUCCUAGGCCUUCUCACCCCCUCUCAAAGCUCUCACUCUCAGAGCUCUCUCUCCCUUAGAAAUACAAUAUCAGUGUGGACGUAGCCCAAACUUUGGGGUGAACCACGAUACAUCUUGUGUUAUUUACAUUUCAUGCAGAUUCACGGUCGGAUUUACGUUGUUCCAAGACCUUCAGUUUUGUGCAUCAACAAGGUAUACAAAAUCAGGCAACAAUGUUGCCUUACGUACUCGCUGUGAUUUUCGAAUAUUUGAUUCAAAAACUGCAGUUACUGGAUCAUUCAUAAGAUCUACUUCAGUUAAUUGUACUGGUGCAUGUACUUCAUGUUCCUGGACGUCUGCAUAGGGCACAUACUCCUCAUUUGUUGUAUCAUCUGCAUAAACCGUAUGUGAAUUGUCAUGAAAAGGUUAUGGCUGCAUGUUCAUGGGAAUAAUAAGGGUAGAUGGAUGCUGAUCAAUAAUGUCACUAUCAAGUGUGAUUUCUUUGAAUUUUGAGGAUGUAGUUGCUGAUAUGCUGAUGUCAGUUUCAUCCCCAUCUUCAAGAAAUCUUGCAUUAUGGGUUUCCAUAACCCUCGAGUGACUGUUAGGGCAAUAGAAUUUAUACCCUUUAGACUUCUCAGAAUACCCAAUGAACUUGCAACUGGUGGUCCAUGGAUCGAGUUUUUUCUCUGUUGGAUUAUAGAAUCUGGCAUCGGCAUUACAACCCCAUACACGAAAGUGAUGAAAACUCGGUUUCCUUCUUGUCCAAGCUUCGAAUGGUACCAUGUCAACGGACUUGCUCGGUACACGGUUCAAUAUAUAAUUUGUAAUUUUCAGUGCUUCUUCCCAAAGAAACAUUGAAAGCUUUGAAUGUGCAAACAUGGAUCGAAUCAUGUCCUUCAGGGUUCGAUUCCUUCGUUUAGCAACUCCAUUUUGAUGAGGAGUCCCAGGGGUAGUAUACUGAGCCACAAUGCCAUUUUGUUCAAGAUAAGUUGCAAAAGGUCAUUUGUGUUGUCCAGCCUCAGUGAACUUGCCAAAAUACUCACCACCUCUAUCGGAUCUCACAAUCUUAAUGUGUUUUUCUAGUUGUUUUUCAACUUCCAAAUGAAAUGUUUUAAAACAAUGCAAGGCUUCAGAUUUUUCAAAAAUAAGAAAAACAUAUGCAAACCGUGAAAAAUCAUCAAUGAAGGUUAUGAAAUAUGAUUUUCCACAUAUGGUCUUAAUUGGAAAGGGUCCGCAAAUAUCAGUGUGUAUAAUUUCCAGUAGAGAUUGGCUACGGUUUGACCCUAUUUUCCUAGUAUUGGUGAGUUUUCCUUUAAAACAAUCAACACACUCUUUAAAGUUGCUGAAAUCAAGUUGUGGCAACAAGUCUUGUUUUGUAAGUGUGAUGAUUCUUUCUUUAGAGAUGUGCCCCAACCUUUUGUGCCAAAGCAUUGAGGUUUUUUCAUGAGUGAGCACUUGUUUGAACCAGCACUUUGAACAUUAAAACAUUCAAUCUCAUACGUACAAUUCAUUUGCCACGUAUCAACUUUAAGAUAUGCUUCACUAAGUAAUUUAUUCAUGUCAUUGGAAUGGAAAAACUUUACACUUUGACUGUCACCCACUAAUGUAAAGCCGGAUUUAACUAACUUAGAUGCAGAAAUUGAUUUCCUUCUCAUGGAAGGUACAUAGAGUACUGGACUCAAAUCUAAAAUAAAGCUAGAGGAAAGAACUAAUUUGACACUUCCUAUGGAUUCGAUAGCAACUUUGCUGCCAUUCCCUACAUAGACAUUGUAGACUUCAUUGUUUAUCACCCUUGUUUUUUAGAAGCCCUGCAAAGAAUUAGUUAUGUGAAUAGAGCAGCUUGUGUCAAACCACCAACUUUUAGGAGGAAUGUAAACUAAAUUAGACUCAACACAUACAAAAAUAUUUAUUUCGUUACCUUUCUUAACAAGCCUAUUCUUGAAGCCAUUGCAGUUCUUUCUUAAGUGACCUAUUUCUUUGCAAAAAUAACACUCUUUUUCUUUCUCAAGUUCAAUGUUAACAUGCUUUAUUUUAUGAGAUCCUUUAGAGAUGAUGUUAGUAUUUUUAAAUGAAGAAGAAAUUUCUUUCUUCUUCUUCUUACCAGCAACCACAAUUGAACUUUGAGUGAAGUCCUUUUUGCGUUUUUCACCUUGCACAAAAUUCACAUCUACUGAUUUGUCACUCUUGAGCCGAUCUUCUUCUUGUGCACACAUAAUGAUCAGUUCAUCGAUGCCCUAUUUGUCUUUUUGAGUGUUAUAAAAAACCUUGAGCUGCCCAUAUUUUGAAGGCAAGGAGUUCAAGGCCAUAUGAACUAAGAACUGGUCAAUCAUGGGUACUUCGAGAUCCUUCAACUUCUAAGCAAGAUCAACCAUCUUGAGAAUGUGUUCUCUGACACUUCCCUCACCAUCAAAUUUCAUAGAGGUAAUUUGAAUGAGAAAAGUCCCAGUUUCAGCCUUGUCAAAUUCUUUAAAUUUUUCCCCAACUGCAGCCAAGAAGUCUUUUGCAUUGUCUUGUUUUGGAACACCCCCUUUAACUGAUGGAGCCAUAGCCUUCCUUGUAAUCAUCAGGGACAUUCGGUUUGUUCUCUCCCACUUUUCAAACUUUGCCUUAUGAUCUGCAGUGCUCUCUGUAGUAAUAGCUGCAGGUUUUUCCUCCCUUAAUGCCAAAUCGAGAUCCAUAAGGCCAAGAACCAUUUCAACAUCCUCCUUCCACUUCUUGUAGUUAGAACCGAUCAGAGUCUCAAUAUUGUUGAAAUUGAGAGAUGUCAUAUGAGGAGCUACAAAACCAAAUAUUAAUUUUUAUAGUUCUUAGUCAUUAUGUAUCAACAAACAGAAGAAAAGAUUACGCCUAAUCUUUUCCCAACAUAUAAUCAUAUAAACAUAGUAUCAUCUUUGGACAGAAACUAUUUAUACUAGAUUUGCAUAGCCAAAAUAUUGAAAACGAGGGCAGUUUACAUAACUCCAACACUUUUAAGCAGAUGAAGAAUGCAAUCUUGUCAAUUCAAUAUUUCACUAUACAUUGAUUGAUUUAUUUAUUUAACUUGAAUAAAUAAACACUUUUGAGCAGAUUAUUAUUCACUUGAUACAAAUAAAUCACAUGUCUAAUCCUUUAGACAACAACAAAAUCAACAAACUAAACACUUUUGAACAGAUUAGGUGUUGAGAUCCUUGUUUACGAUUCAAAUUUUAUUUAUUAGUUCGGUUUUGACAAAUAAAACAUGAAUCCAAAAGUUCUUCUGGGUUGAGUGUUCCAAUAUUGCAAUUGUUCUUUGAACGAUCUUCUCUAGACAAAAAUAGCAAACACAACUGGAGGUAUACACGGCAAUAUUUGAUUAUAUAUAUAAAUAUAUUGAUCAUGCAAAUUUCUUUGUAAGUAUGCAACGGAAGCAUUUAAUGACAUAGGAUCAAAAUAUAUAGAUCAAUCAAAUCGAAAGUUAACCAUAUAUUAAAUAAAGAACCCUAGUCAUGUUAGGUUGGCUCUGAUACCACAUGUAAGCAGUAUAUCAAUAAAUAAACUACUGCAACACAUCAUACCAACACUACCCUAGGAUUACCAACUAAUAUCAGAUUCACCAUAACUAGAGAAACACCAGUUUAUAAUCUGCAAGACACUUACCUGGAGGCAUCGCCAUUGAAGAAACAACAGAAGAAGAAGUCUUCUACUUCCAACACUUGAAAGUCUCUUCUCUAAGUGAAUAGGGUUUUAGAUAAUAUUGAGAGCGUUAGUGAGGAAGCAGGGACUUCAACUAUAUAUAUCCAUCCAUUUUGCUAGAGAUUCACUCGGUCCAGCCUAUUAUCAGAAAGAGUGAUAAUCUCUAUCUCUUAAUAAGUUUUAGUCCUAUCAUGACUCUAUAUACUAGUAUAUAUUUGAUAAGGAUCAAAAUAGAACAGCUGCAACAUACAAAACUCCACGAUUCUUGUCAUACCAAAGCUCUCAGACUCCUUGUGUUUCGCAUAACUAGUAUGACUAGUUAAACGCCACCCAAGUAGUCCAGUUGUAAUCUCAUUGUCAUUCAAACAAGUUUUACAAGUUUCACAUCACAAAGAUAGACAUUGCAUAGUGCUCUCUGUGCAUUAGCCACACAAACAACUCAGCUCACACCAGAGGCACCAGUAGCUUAUUAUAUGGCCGAUAUAAUUGUAACAAACCACUGCAUUUAUAUCUUGUGGUGUCCGCCACGAAGCUUCUCUAUGAUCUUGUCCAUGAUCCCUUUCUUUUCGUGGUUCUCCUCCGUGUAAGCGGUGCCGCCGCCGGAUGGUGUGGUGGUCGACGUAGUAGUAUGUGAGUAGUGGGGGUUAUCCUUGUGGCCAGUACUCGGCAGCUUGUCCUCGAUCUUGUCCGUCAUCCCUUUUUCCUGGUGGUGCCCUCCUGGGUCGGUGGUGCCGUAUGUUGUGUCAGUUGUAGUUGAGCCUGUGAGCUUUUCAUUUAUCUUCUGUUGCAGCUAGCUUCUAUCGCUAGCACAUGUACUUGGUGUUGGAUAAAUAUCAACAAUCAACGAUAAAUUUAUAUAUGUUAAUAAAUAAUAAAUACAAAUAAAUAAUUUACCAGAGUAUAAACAUAACGAAAUAAUAUUAGACAGACAAAUUGAAAAUCAAAGCUUGCGUACCGUAAUGUCCUUGAAAUAUAAAUUUCAUCCCUAUUCAGUGCUUGUAGUUCUACAAACGUCUGCUUCACCAAUAUUCAAUUGACACACCCCGACCUAAAUCAGGGCGUGUUGGCCGUCACGUAGAAGUGAAGUAACCAUGUGCAUAGUGCGGAAACAAUAAAGAUAUAAGAGAAAUAUGAAUGAAUAAAAACCAAACUACUAGCCUUACUAGUUAAGAUAAGGUGCUAGAACGAGAUUAAGUGUGAAAUACACAACUAGAGCAUAAAUAGCCUAAGUGCAAUCAAGCAGGACAAGUACUAAUUUACAACACUCAAGGGUGAUCCUACAUUUAUGAUGUUCUGUUAAAACCACCGUUGAAAUCCCCGUGAGCCACCAAAGCAUUUCCACCUAAAACCUAGAUGGGCGCAAAACAGAAAGUGUGAGUAGGCAAAAACAAAGUUUUGCAAAAUCAUUUCAUUUCUCAAAAGUUCUAACCCCUCGCCCUAAAACCUGUAUAAUUUCCCAGAAAAUAAUAAUAAUAAUAAUAAUACUAAUAAUAAUAAUAAUAAUAAGCUGUAUCAGAAAUCAUACUCAAGAUGAAAAUCCAUAGAAGUAUACCAUGCCAAAGUAUCUUAAUGCAAUGCCAUAAAUAAUCCAGACAAAAUAUAUCAAUGUCAGGUAUCGCAUCAGCUGAAUCCCUCUAACUCAAACUGUAUGGUUGAGUCUAUAGCUCAUAACCAAUCUCAAUCAUAUCAUAUCAAUUCUUGCACACGAGUCGGAACCACCUAAAGUGGUCUGUACGACAAGAGUAGGUGUAAAAUAAAUAUGCUCUAGUGCUACGAUCACAUGAAGGCUGUGCGAAUAAUCGCGGGUCACUUACGAGUCGGAACCAUCUAAAGUGGUUUGUACGAAAAGCCUUUGCACCUAACUUGGAUCCUAGGUGAGCAUAUGGUGCGAGAGGUGAAUGUCACGUGAAAGACUGUACCCUAACUUUGGACGGGAGCACUAACACCAAGGUGCAUGUUUAUGAGCUCUCAAUACAUCACAUCAUAUCUCACAUAACUGAAGUAACCUCAUAUCUUUAAUUUAUGAACUUACCUAGCACUUACCUGUGCGUCUGCAGCACCAAUCAUAAAUAUAUGCAACUACUAAUGCAUAAAUAAAAUAGGCAGAUACUUUACAUGGCAUUUCAAAACGUAAAAUCAUUCAAAUUCAUUUUUUGGGAAAAAUCUCAAAGUUUAUAGGUAUAUACGGAAAACCAAAAGCACACUCAUUGAUAUGUCGAAGGGUCGUAGCCCUCGAGCCUCGAUUGAUGGCACUCGUCCUUAGGAUAGGUCUCACCUAUAUGCGAAAUAACUGAAUAAACAUUAUUUAAAGCACAUACACAAAACUAAGAAAUAACUUCUCAUACAUUGCUCAAAUGAGGUAUUUGAAUAUACCACCAUGAUUUACUCAACCUCAGGAACAUCCUCAUAUUUUUAGAAAAAUUUUCCGACCUCCCACGCCCCGCCACGCACCGGCCAAGGCAUGGCCAAACGUGCUCCCAUGCGCGGCCAAACCCUAACUGAGCCUAACGACCAUUAGGAAUAUUCCGUUAAAACCUUAACAAAAGUUAAAUGCGUUACCUGACGCCAUUAGAAUAUUCUGUCAGACUUGACAAAAUAUUCUCCUUCAUAUUCCUGGGUUCGCCGGAGAAUGUUGUCGGAGCCGCUACGAUCGCCUGAAACUGGGAAAAUAAUCAAACCUUCAUAUCUUCCUCAUUUCUCAACCAAAACUCACGAAAUUUAUACCAAAUUGAAGCUUACAACAAGAAGAACAAAACCUUACCAAUUUCACGCCUAGAAAUCCAUGGGAUUUCAUCGGAUAAACCUCGAUAAUUCGGCCAAAAUUGAAACUUGCCAAACUUAACUUCCCGACAUCCAAAACACUUUGUUUUUCUUCUCCAAGCUUUGUGAAGACGUCCUAAGGCUCACUAGCAACUUAAAAUCUCCUAAAAACUUCACAUUCACGAUCAUAUGAACAGUGCCUUAAAACUGGGAUUUCUGGUUCUCGGGAAAACAAGGUCUUCACGUCAAACUAAAGGCAUAGAUGACCACCUGGACUCACGAGGAACACAUAAACAACCUCCUCGACGUCGAUCCGUGAAGAUAGGGUAAGGUUUGGGUGUUGUCCAUACGAGUACGAAAAUGGCAGAAAAUUCGAGGGAAGGAGAGAGAGAAAGUCAACGGGAAAGGGUUUGUGUGAGUGUGUGUGGUCCAGCUGGGUCACCAAUCAAAAUAAAUAAAAGCUUAAGUUUUAAUUGGAUCCAAUUAAUUAGGAAUAGAGCUAACUGGCCUUUUUUUCUUAGCCCAAUCUACACAACACCACGAAACGCUCAAGGGUACUUUAGUCUUUUCACACCACCGAUGAAAUAAUUCAAGACGGGCUGUGAUCAAUGAUCUAAGUUAGAAUUCCAACACCGGAAAACUUGACUUCUGGCUAAUUUCUUUGUGGUUCUCUCAGUAAGAAUGUUUGGGAUUGUAGAAGAAUUUUAUGUUUCUAUGUUCUAAAUGUCAUGCAGAUUGAUGUAUAUAUAAUAGGUUUAUGCAUGUUUGCAACAGGUAUGAGAAUGGGAUGAGUUUGUUAGGAGACAUCUUCUCAAAGGGGUGCUUUGUUCUCUGGCGUUCUUUCAUCACUUCAGACUUCAUCUGAAAAGAUGAGUUUAUUGAUAUAAAAAAUAAUUAAUUAAUUAAAAAUAAGUAAUUAAAAAAUUUAAUUAUAAAGCCCAAUCUCAAACUUGAGCCCAAUUUUAUGAUCUAUGACCCAUUACUCCAUUCACUCUCUACAAGGGACAAAAUCUUAUAAAAUAAAAAUCUUUUAAUAGUGACUAAUAUGGGAUCAUAAAAUUUCUACUCAAAAUUUCUAACACUUAAAAGCAAGCUACAGCUACCUCAAAUCAAUCAAUGAAACCGCUCCCAGUAGGUGGGCGGCGUGCUCGUCUUGUGUGACAAGACCGUAGAGCGAGUGGCUCUUCUCUGUGUGAACUUAUCUUGUGUGACAAGCCCAUAGAGCGAGUGACUAUUCUAGAUGAAUUCGAACUUGAUAUUGAUAUCAGCGGAGGCGUUUGCAAGCGGGCAAACUAAAUAACAUGUUCAUGUUCUUAUUGCUAAUUUGUAGGACCUUAUUAAACCAAUAUUGCAACAGUAGUUAAACCGGAAUUACCGUUACUCGAACGAGCACUAAAUAUAUUAAUAUAAACGACAGACAAAGUUACAUAUCACAAAGACAAACGAUACUGUGUAGUGUUCGGUGCAUUAGCCGCACCAGAGCUGAGCUCGCACCAGGCUCCGCUAGCUUAUUAUAAGAUUCAACAACACUAAACCACUGUAUACAUACUGUAGGCUUUUAUUAAUACAGGAAUGGUAUAUAAUGUCUACUGGUUUCCUCCGGGAAGCUUCUCUUUGAUCUUGUCCAUGAUCCCCUUCUUUUCGUGGUGCUCCUCCGUGUAGGUGGCACCGCCGUAGGGAGUUGUGGUCGUACUAGCAUGUGUUGUGGUUGAGUAGUGGGGGUCAUCCUUGUGGCCAGUACCCGGCAGCUUGUCCUUGAUCUUGUCCAUCAUCCCCUUUUCCUGUUGGUGCCCUCCUGGGUAGGUGGUGCCAGCGGUGCCGUAAGUUGUCUCAGUCGUGGUUGAUCCCGGGAGCUUCUCCUUUAUCUUCUGUUUCAACCCCUUCUUCUUCCUCCUCCCACCUAGCCCAUCAUCCUCCGACUACACCAAAAUAAAUACACGCCGACAUAUGAAUUUCUUUUUCAGAGGGAAUUACAAGUUAAUUAACAAUAUUAAUAUUAUAUAAUUAGUGUAUAAAAGAAAUUGAUGAUCAAAUCCUGCCAAUAAGAGUUGGAUCUUGCAUAAAAAUUGUAUCUACGCGAUUGUAUACAAGUUAAAAAUUUCCGAGGGAAUAACUUCUGUUUUAAAUGAAAUCUAUCUUGUUGUAUUAAUUAAAAAUUAGUAAACAUGCUACAGUACAAACAUUCUCAUGAAUAUAUAUUCAACCCUAAAUGUUGCAAAUCAAUCCACAUUUGCAAGGUGUACAUAGAGCAGAGAAAUGUUUUAGUUAAUCGAAACACGCCUAAUACACCUGGUCUAAUAAUGCUACCAUUAAAAUUUUUGCCUAUUGACCAGGUGACAUGAUACAAAUAACAAUAGGGGACCGCCUACAUAUAGAGAAAUUUUUAUUGUAUCAGAACACGCCUAAUUCACCAGGUCUAAUACUAUCGAUUAAAUAUUUUACUAGUUUCUAAUAAUACAAUUAUAUUGGGGUACUGGACCUUGCUACAGGCGCAUUGAAAAUUUUCUACGUGCUUAUAUUAGGAUUGAACAUAAAUUCAUGCGUGUGUGCCUAAUUAAGCCUAACCUUUUUGGCUAACUUGGUCAAUAGACAAAAUCAUGGUACGCGCUAUUAAGUGAAUCCUACGUAAAUUAACAUCACAUUUUCAUAUGAGAAAAAAAUAAGAAAUCACUUACAGAGCUAGAGCUUGAGCUGCCAGAGCGGUGGAGCGCGCCAGUGACACCAUGGUGCUCUUUCCUGCCGUAAUCGUGACCAGUGGUCGCAGCGGCUGUGUCAUGAGCACCGUAUCCUCCGGUGGUGGCACCUGUAGUAGCACCGCCAAGUGGGUUCCCGUACUCGUCGGUUCUCUGGAUCGGGUUGCCGUAGGCGUCGGUUGGCUGUGCCCCGUGUUGAUUAUGCAGAUGCGACAUUUUUCAAAUAACACAAUUUGAGUAUGGAAGUCUGGAUAAUUUUGUUUGGGAUUUGAUGGGAUUGGAGGGAAAAUAUGGCGGGAUUAUAUAGGGAACCAACAAAACACGCGUGUCACAGUAGGGUUUCUUACUUCUUACACCUACGUGAAUAGUGACCUUCGAUCCUGAUGACACGUUGGCUACUGGGACACCUGGCGACGUGAAAGAGGAACAAGUGUAUCCUGCUGUCGGCAUAGAAUAAUCAGAUAGAUAAGAUUAGAUAAGGGAGUCAGUCCUUAUCAUGGAGUUAAAAAGCUCGUGACACUCCACCGCGUCUGUGACUUUACGUGGUUGAUAGAUAACGACCUCUUGGAUAUGUUCAAGAUUGGAACUUGGAAAGCAUGGCAUGGUUACGUUUUUUACACAUGCAUGGCCGUGUAAUUAUCUUGAUUUUUCUUUUUUAUAGACGUGGGGAAUUUGGAUACGGAUGAAGGGUGACUACGUACACUUGCUUUGUAAUUAUCUUGAUUUAGAUUUUUUUAAUAAUUUAGAAUUUUUUUAUAAGAACUUUCAUGAAAAAAACUUGGACUAAAUUUAUUUUAAUAAAAACUCAUGUUAUAAUUUUAUCUAAUGAAAAAGACUUAAACUUUAAUGAAAAGACAUAAUUUUAAUAUUUUAAAAAUAAAAAAAACUGACACGCGGACUUACGCGCCCCUUACACAAACUAUUUAUGAAACUUAUUACAUUAUUUUGAAACUUAAUUGUACUACACUGUUUAUAAAAUUUAACGGUACGACACUGUUUAUGAAACUUAUUACACUAUGUAUGAAACUUUUAUGAAACUUAACGGUACAACACUAUUUAUGAAACUUUGUACACUGUUUAUGAAACUGUUGACCCUAAAAACUACCAAGCCUACGUUGUGUGCAGGCCGAGUAAUUAAUAAGCUAACUACGUCAUUCGGUUGUGUGCGGGGUGUGCCAACUUGUUGGCCGAGCUCGGUCAAGGAGUAAAAUUUGUUGAUGUUGCGUUGAUGCGCUACUGACUUCUCGAUCUUGCAAUUGCGGUUGAGGAAGGAACACUCUCGGCCUUCGGGUUCUAAAGCCUAAAGACAAGGCUGCUAAUUCUAUGAAGUUCAAUAUCAAAUUCGGCUCCCAGGGUGCCGAAUGUAGUAACCUGGUAACACCUCACUUUGCCGAGAAGGCUGAUGAGAUGACAUCUGCCAAUAAGGAUUCGAAAAUCCUUCUCGACCAAGACUUGGAUAGAUAACCAAUCGGUCUCGUCGCAGUGCUGUUUAUCCAAACUUAAGGUACUUCGCGAUCGGCUAAUUCUACGGCAACAAUGCUAUUUAUCCAAACUGAAGAUGUUCGCCGAUUGCCUUCACAGUGCUGUUUAUCCAAACUAAAGAUGUGCUGGUGAAAAAGAAAAUAAAAAUCUCAAGGUUGUUGACAGGUUUCUCGUAAAGCGAAAGUUUGCGUAGGGUAGUUUGUGUGUUGAGUUGGAGGGGCUUUUUAGCCGCUUGAUAUUUAUAGAUAUCUGCAGGCCCAAGUCACGAAAACCAAUCCUAAUUGCACUGUGACUCUAAGUCUUUAUUGGUUGCUAACCCCACGUCUUAUCAAAACUUGUUGUCAUCUUGUAACCCGAUGCAAUCUUGUUUUUAACUAAUAACCUUUAUCCAUUAUCAUCAUAACCUUUAUCCAUCAUCAUAACCUUCUGUUGAAGACCACAUGCAUGCAUGAUGACUAAUUCACCAACUUAAACUCUAAAAAGUAAUUUUAACUGAUGAAAUAUAAUCACCAUAUCCCUUAGAUACAGCCACGUGCACCAAUCACAUCCAUGAAUUCCAAGUCAACUUGAAUUGUACCACCCACUUCUAUAUCAGAAAUAGAACUUUGGUUUUAAUAAUAAUCAAUCACAUAGGAGAUUGCAUGCACCUGGGGCCUGAUAAGAUGAGCCUAUUCAAAUGUCCUCGCGCGCUCCUCUGAAGACGGAUCAGAUCAUCUUUUUCCAAAACAACUAACUGGAUAUAUCAAAUAUUAGGUUUAAAUAUCCUAGUUAUUAUUAAGAGAUAAUAUUAUAAUUAAAAUCACAAUAUCAUUUCUCAAUAAUAACUAAAAAUUAUUUCAACCACUUUAUCAUCCAACGGUCUAAAACCCUUCUCAUUCAACGACCUCGAUUACUCAGGCCGAUAAUGUAAAAACGGGUCCAAACAGAAACUUAACGAUACUACAUUGUUUAUGAAACUUAACAGUAGAUACUCGUCCUAGAUUUUCAAGUUCUUUCACUAGAAUGCAAUAAAAAGUUUUUUUUUUUUUUUUUUUAACAUGAUAGAGAUCAAUGUCCACACUUUUAAAGUCAUGCAUGGCUAAAAAAAACAUGAUAAAGAUCAAUGUUAACGCCCACACCUGACCAACUCCCUCCUAACCAUACAGCCGCAAAUGUGGUUUUGAAUCGAACGAAACCCACUUCAAUUUGAAAUUUUAAUUUUAGAGGAAUAAAAUAUGCUUGGAUUAUGUCAAAGGGUUAUGCAACUGAAGGAUUGGUUGGGUGCUCUUUGCACACGCUUUUAGUUAGGUUUUUUUUUUUCAUCCUCUUGUCCUUAUCAUUAAAUAAAGUUAUAGCAUAGUUUUUUUUUGUUAAAACUCAAAGUUUUGAAGCCAUUUUCAUUAGCUUUUUUUUUAUUGAUUUCUUUAUAUCUUUAAUUAAUCACGACAACAUAUAGAUUUCGUUUAGAAGUACUUUUAUAAUGACUAAAAUCGCUUCUAAUGGCAUGGAUUGUGGGUUUUAAAAACAUUUUAAGUGCUUUUUGAAAGAAGCUUAAGAUAUAUGCUUCUUGCAUGAAGCAUAAGAUAUAUGCUUCUUACAGGAAGCACAUAAAGUUUUUAUUUUAUUUUAUUUUUUUAAAUCCACUUGAAUUAUUAAAAAUUGGUUAAAAACAUUUAGACUGAAAAUGUUUUUUCAGUCAUUUUAAAUAUACUUCUAAGUGAGCUAAUAUAUAGAAGUUACAACUUUUCGCAAAGUUUUUUUUUUUGGUAAAUGUGUAAGAUUUAUUACUGAACCACACUAAAAUUUACAACAGGUGAGGUCCCAUUACAAGAAAAGCCAAAAAGAAAAUAUGGAUCCCCAAAACAAACCCAAACCAAAAGUUUGAGCCCAGAAAGAGCAAAAUAAACAGAAAACCCUAUUUUCCUUGUAACCGCCGAGAAUGUAUCACCGCAGAACGUUCAUCCAAUAGAUGCCAAAAAUCCAGCCAAACAAUUCCACAAAAAUGAUAGACAGACGACCCCACCAACCUUCACAAAGCACCAUAGAUGACAGAUUUGUAGCAAAACACAUGAAGCUAGUGAGAGAACUCAUUAGCAACAUAGUCACCAAAGGCAACAAAGUCGUCGAAGACAAAUCCAUGGGAGGUGGUGGUGUAAACACCCGAGCUAGAGCAAAACACACUUUUCUGAUCCAUGAGAGGUGGUGGUAAGAUCACCUGCAUUGAAGCUCUAUGCACAUCCUGAAAAAAUCGCGACAAAACACGAUUAAGAAAAGUAGCUACAAAUCAGAAAUCAAAUGGGUUUGAGGAAAGUCUAGGAGGUGGAGGAUGGGAAAGAUGGUGAAAAGAAAUUGGAAUUGAUGGUAUAGGAUUUGUAAAAUUAAAGCACAUAUUGGUGACGAACCAGUGAUUAUGCGAAGAGUUUGAGUCUAUUGUUGUAAGGCAUGACAAUAAAUGCUCAUGAAAUGUCAUCACAAGCACAAAUGCCAUCAUAAUUUUCAUAUUAAUAUUUUAUAGUUACUUUGAUAAGACAAUCGAUGUGUGAAUAUAACGAUUUACACAAGGUAUCCGCCUAUUAACCAUGGAAUCACGUAGUAUAUAUAAUAUUAUUCACUUGGAUAAUCUUUGUACAUUGUUGGGAACUUUUUGAUCUAGUUGAAUUUUGGCCAUGUGGAAACUUCUACUUCCUCUAGUUCGUUUCCAGUACUAAGUUCUAAGAUACUUUAAAAGAAUUAGUGCAUCUUAAGAAACAAUUGUUAAUUCAAUGACUCAAUGACUGAAUAAUUAUGAAAAAUUAUGAAUUGCCUAAAUGAAGUUGGGCGUGAAAGCUAAAAACUUAUCAAUUUAGCAUAAGAAAAUGUGUACAUGCUUGCAUGGUUUUAGGAAUGGCUAACUUAAGAGUUCUUAAUGGUAUGGGAAAUUUGAAGUGAAUAUAAGGAAAACUUGAAGAAAUCCGUGGAAGGUGAGGAUAAUUCCUCAUUUAAGAAUCAAGGUUUUUCACACUUAAGAGAAAAAUUUGCUGUGUCUGGUGCAAUCUUGUCUUGAUUCCUCUUCCUCUACGAUGUCUCCCACUUUCAUGUUGUCUCCCUCUUAAAUCUUUUUUUUUUCUUUCCAUGAGUGCAGUUAUAACUUCCCCUUUUAGUGUAAGGUUGAAGAACAUUACUAGCCUCAUGAAGAUUGCGCUGAACGCACUGGCCAAUCUUCUGGUCAAUUUUAACAAAUUUCUCUUUUAGAAAUGUCCAUCUUUGUUUUCUUUCUUUACUUUUCUAUGUAAACUUAGUUUAUUUUAUUUUUACACAACCGGACUUCGAGAUGUAAUUAAACUUGUACAUAAAAUUUUUGGACCUAACAUAUAUCAUCUCGUUAAAUAGGUUCCCGUUGACAAAGGAAGAACUCAUCUUUAUGUGUAUAGCAUUUUUGGACUACACGUCAAUGUGUUGUAAAAGUCAUAUUGAUGAUGUCCUAAUCUUUGACCAGUGCAACUUUGUGUUUAUCUCCAGCCGUGAGGAGAUAAAAGAGAAAAUAAACACUUUCAUUCUUUUAUGUUUUUUUCUUUUCAAAUUACAGAUUUUGUUAGAUUAUCCAAGAUUUCGUCCUCAUAUAAAAAUUUUAACAUUUUUUCACUAUUAUGGUAAAAUGCUACUUGCUCCAUUCAUUUAUGUUAAAAUAAAAGAAAAAAUGGAUAAUUGUUAAGCUAAAUAAAAAUUAGCUGAUGAAUAUGGCAGAUUGUUUUGUUAGUUAUGUUCGUUUCAGUGUAAUUAAAAUAGAAAUCUCAUGUUAAAAUUUAAAUCUCUAUGUAUUUCUCUUGUAUUUAAAAUUUUAAAAUUUUUUAGGUUUUGCUAUUUUUUUUUGUCCAUUGACAUUUUUACACUUACAGAAAAAAAAAUUCGGCUAUUUAACCAAUGAAUAACUUAAUUUGAUAUCAAAUUCGUCAUCCACUUAAUUCAAAACCUCACUUACAAGUGUGAGAGGUACCAGUAGAUCACUUGCAUGAUCAUUAGUGAAUAUCUUUUAGCUUUUAACUAUAUAAUUCAACGUAUCAAAAUUUUCUUUUUACUUGAUUGCUAUAUCGUUUUUAUUGACAUUAAGUAAUACCUGCUGAAUCAUUGAAUUUACUGGGUAGCAGUUAAACUUAAAAGCAUAAUACUAUUCUCAAAAAUAACAAAAACAAAUAUACUAUUAAUACAAAGGGAACGACACACAAAAUUACACAUAACAGAAACCAAAACAACAGUGCGCAACGAUGGAUCACCCACGCACGGAUCACGCAACCGAGGUCCGACCAGACACUCUUUUAUUAUACAGACUGGCAUUUACUUAUAGUUAUGUGAAACGGGAUGAUUAUCUACUCGGCGUGGCCACCAGGAAGCUUUUCUUUGAUCUUGUCCAUCAUGUUCUUCUUUUCCUGGGGCUCUCCGGUGCGCCCAGUCCCACCAUAAGCUGCAGCAGUAGUUGACGUGUCAUGAGAAUACUGGUCAUCCCUAUUCCCACCUGGCAGCUUCUUCUUGAUCUUGUCCGUCGUACCCUUCUCCUGGUGUUGCUCGCCUACUUUGUAAGUCGUCCCACCACCGUAAGGGGUAGUGGUCUGCGUUCCACCAGAGUACUGGUCAUCCUUGUUACCACCACCUGGUAGCUUCUCCUGGCGUUGCUCUCCUACCUUGUAAGUCGUCCCACCACCGUAAGGGGUAGUGGUCUGCGUUCCACCAGAGUACUGGUCAUCCUUGUUACCACCACCUGGUAGCUUCUCCUUUAUCUUCUCUUUCAGUCCCUUCUUCCUUCUCCCACCUAGCCCAUCAUCUUCAGACGACUACAAUAAUAGAAUGUUAGUUAGACCUGGUUACAAAAAAUAUAUGUAAAUAUAAUGCACAUAUGAUACUUGAAUACAAAGAAAUUGUUCCAUCUAGUAAGAUAAAAUGUUGAUGCAAUAUUUGAAUUUGAAGCAUUGAUUGUGUUGAUAUUCGAAAAACCAAAAUGCGCAGAUACAUAAGUUAUGUGAACAAAAUACGCUAAUUUCCGAAUAGCAUUGUUCGAGAUAAGACAUUUAUACUGUCAAAUAUUGUGUUAUUAAUUUAGAUCACUGAUUAAGUUCACCAUAGUACGCACAGUUUUUCUUGCAAAAGUACUAAAUUGGACAAGCGAAAAUUGUUGCUUGUCUGGUUUUCCUAGUAACAUACGUCUAGGGAAAAGUUUGUUCAUAGUGCCCACAUAUUUGCAGCAUAGCUCAUGCAUUUAAUGAAUUAAGUUGGAACUACAUAUAUAUGGAGGUGAAAAGAGAUGAACUUACAGAGCUAGAGCUUCCUGAGCGCUGAAGCACAGCGGGGCCGCCAUGAUGCCCAACAAUCCCUUCAUCACGAGUCUUAGGAUCAGCAGUCCCGUAGCCGGUAUUAGUCCGACCGUGUUGAACCGCGUUCCCGAACUCGUCGGUCCUAUCGGCUCCUGCGCUACCGUUGUAAGUUGGGUUCCCGAAGUACUCCUCGGUAGUUUUUUCGGCUGUUGUAUUACCAUAAUUCGACAUAUUUCAAAAGAUAAACAAACAAAUGAAACUGUAAUAACAAUGCCUUGCGAAGUUGCGACUAAUAAAACUUCAGUGACAAUACUUAUGAUUUGUUUGGGAUGAUGUGUUUAAUUUGGGUCUGGGUUCGUUGGUUUAUAUAGACAACUGACCUGCACCAGCAGGGCAUGCAAAUAUGGUUGUGAGCGUAAGUGCUUUUUAACAACUUGGAGACGUGGCACUGAGAGGAAAAUGAUGACAGGUGAAAAAUUAACGUCGGCAAGAUAUUUUGUUGCUUUUUGGGUCGGGCAUAUGGAUAAAGAAUGAUAUACAUAUCUGUUCCAUUAGUGACCAUGGAUUUGGUGACACGUGCCCUCCGUACCUGUUCCACUAGCUAGCUCCACGUGGAUACUCUCUUUUGGUUCUAGCCUUCUAGGUCAUAUUGUCUAGUAAUUUCAAAUGAGAAGUGCACUUCAAAAAUUACACUUUACAUUUCUAAUAAAUGUAUUUUUCUUUUUUAAUAUAUAAAGUUUUAAGUUUAGAAUGAGAUUUUUUGAAUGCUAAUAACAAUUCUCUUUCAAAUUUAAUCUAUAGUUUCUCAAGAAGCCUAUAGUCAUAAGACUCAUAACUUAAAGCCAUUACGAGAUGAUUUAGAGAUGAAUUUUAAAUUUAUAUUCUACGUAACAUGUUUUAAGUUCAAUUUCUACGACUGAUAAAUUGUACGAUGAUGAUAAGAGAAAACUAAAUUACCUCUGUAAGCUUUUUUCAUUCUUAAAAAGACAAACUACUGUAGUGAAGUUACCAACCUGUUCGUUUUUAAAAGAAAAAAAAUGCAAACUCACAACUUUGCUGGGAAACUGAGAGCUUUUUGACUAGGUAAUUUGGCAUGUCUGUUGGUGAUAGCCUUCUAGGUCUUCUUGAUCUUACCGACACUAUCCUACGAGUUAUUUUCUCGUUUUAAUUUUUAUUUAGAUUACAAUAUUCACAUACUGUUUUUUACACAAAAAUUAAUUUGAGUAUGAUCCCAUUUUUUUUUUUACAAUAUUCACAUAGUUUUUUUUUUACUUUUCACACAUAUUUCUUAAUUUUCAAUUAUUUAAUUAAAUAAAUUGAAGAAGAUCUAUGACGAAAAAUUAACAAAAGUGUGUUAAUAGAACUUUUCUAACUUAGACAUAUCUCGACAGACUUGGCACCAUUAAAUCUUCUGCUCCACACUAAUUUUAUACACUCCAAAUAAAAGUGAUAUUUUUUACAUAAAAUUAAUUUGAGUGUGAUCACAUUUUUAUGUCAUAUUGAUGUACUAUAUAAUGUAACAAAUGAUGCAGGUAUAUAAUUAGCAUCUAAUGAUAUAAAAUUUAUUAAUUAAUCUUGUUGAUGCACAAAAUCGGUGAGGACUUUGGUACAACAGAAAGUGUUAAGUUUGUGACCUUCGCUAAAUUGCUCUGGUCACUAGUGUGGAUAAGUAUGUAAAUGGAUAGAGACAGGGAAGCAAACAUAAGAUGUACGUGGUUCACCCAGAUUGGCUACGUCCACGAAGUAGAUGAGUUCUCAUUAAUUGUGAAGGGUUUACACAAGUACAUAGGUUCAAGAUCUCCUUUAGUGAGUACUAGUGAAUGAUUUAAUACAAAUUACAUUAGGAAAUAUUGUGAGAGAAUGAUCUUUAUUUAUAGAAGAGAAUUUCUAGUUUCAUUCUGACAUUGACACGUGUCAUGUUGUGAUUGGCUUUUGAUGUUGACACGUAUCACGCUAUGAUUGGCUUCUGAUGUCGACACGUGUCGCGCUGUGAUUGGCCUCCUGGUUGGAGGGAAACUCUUCUGGGUCCUUGACGGUAUAACGUUGAUCGGUGCUCAGUAGUUUCGGGAUUGGUCAAGUGUGGUACAAACAGUGCUCCCCUAAGUUCCCGAGUGAGGGAAGCUCCUCGGUUGGGGACUUGCAAGAUCCAAGCCAUUGAGUAAUCACAAAACUUCUAAGUACCGAAGUGUGGUAUCAUUUUCACUUGCCUUAUCCGUCUCAUACGUAGAUGUGGCAUCUUCUCUGGAAGUACUUUUCCUCCAUCCAGGGGUGGUAUCUUUAACCGAUGAAGAUGCACAAGGUAAUGUAUCAAUUUCACUUGAAGCUUACUUGUAGUUUCGAGCUUGGUCAAGUGCGAUACAAAACCCUAUGGUAGGAGUCCCCCAAGUCGCCAAGCUAAGAGAUUUGCUGAAAGAGGUAACAGACAAGGUAAGCAAUCCGACUUCCAAGCAAGCAACCUGGAUCGGAGGUUCGACUUCGGCUUCCGGUUGAUUUUUCUCCUUCUCCUUGUGUCGUAAACAGCAACAAUGAUAAGGAGAAGCAAAUGGAGAAGAGAUGAUAUAAGAUACUUUUUCUUUUGAAGAAGUAAUUUUCCACAGGCUUAUUCUUAAACUGGGCAUGAGGGUUUUCUGGUUUCCUCCAGAGUAUAAGGCCGACUCAAGAAUUUGAGGGUCAAAACAAAUCCAUCAAAUCAAGAGUGCGUUUGACCUUGAUGAUAUGGGAUACUUUUGUUGUUGACGAAGUAAUAGAUGAAUUAGCAUGUGUUCUAUUGCGAUUGUCUCCAUAUGCUUCCUUGUAUCAUUCUCACUUGCCCUAUUUGUUCCUCAGGCAGAUGUGGUAUCUUUUCUGGAAGCAUAAGAUGUUGAAGAUGAGUACUCGAGAGCAAUGCCAGGUAAGUAAUCAGGCAAGGGGUUCUAGGCAGUCAGUUCCUGACUGGAAGCUUGAUUCCAAGUGCUGAUUGAUUGCUUUCUUUCUUCUUGUCUUGCAGUUAAGAACAAUGGCAAAGGAAAAGACAGGGAAAAGGCAUGAUAUGGGAUACUCUUGCUUUUGACCCUGAUGAUAUAAGAUACUCUUGCUCUGGUGUGGCUGGUUUGCAUAGGUAUUAUUGGGGGAGGAAGAAAGCUGAGUAUUUCGAGAGGCUUCGUUGGGAAUGCCCUAUCAGAUAUGAGGAAAAGUUAAGCAUUUUUGCAGGUCUGCCUAUCCGUGGAGGAUGGAGUUCGACAUAUAUAGGAGUCUCCCUAACAACAAGUAGUAAUGUUAUUCCUUUACCCUUCUUGGUCGUAGCAAUGUAAUGGGAGCUGCAAGCUUCACGUGUUUUAACUUUGUUAGAGCACUUUGAAAAAGUGGUAUGUGGUAUUUAGAAAGCUGAUGUUGCGUGUGAAGAUUGCAGACAAGCUUUAUCCAAGGAAAUCUGGCUCUCGAAGUUCGGAGAGCGAUGUCUCUUUGGUUUUCGAACAAGCAAUCCUGUCAGGGAUUUGGCUCUCGAGAUUUGGAGAGUGGUACCUCUUCGAUUUUUGAGAAAGUAAUCCUGUUGGGAGUCUGGCUCUUGAGAUUCGGAGAGCGGUGCCUCUUCGAUUUUUGAGAAAAUAAUCUUGUUGGGAGUCUGGCUCUCGAAAUUCGAAGGGCGGUGCCUCUUCGAUAGCAAGUAAUAAUGUUAUUCCUUUACCCUUCUUGGUCAUAGCAAUGUAGUGGGAGCUGCAAACUUCACAUGUUUUAACUUUGUCAGAGCGCUUUGAAAAAGUGGUCUGUGGUAUCUGGAAAGCUGAUGUUGCGUGUGAAGAUUGCAGACAAGCUUUAUCCAAGGAAAUCUAGCUCUCAAAGUUCGGAGAGCGGUGCAUCUUUGGUUUUCGAAUAAGCAAUCCUGUCGGGGAUCUGGCUUUCAAGAUUCAGAGAACGGUGCCUCUUCGAUUUUUGAGAAAGCAAUCCUGUUGGGAGUCUGACUCUUGAGAUUCGGAGAGCAGUGUCUCUUCGAUUUUUAAGAAAGUAAUCUUGUUAGGAGUCUGGUUCUCGAGAUUCGGAGAGUGGUUCCUCUUCAAUUUUUGAGCAAGCAAUCUUGUUGGUAGUGUUUUCUCGAAUGUGAGUAAAGGUUGGGCAUUUUUGCCAGUCUGUCUUUCCACAGAGCACGGAGGUUGACACACAUUGAGACUUUCUAGUUAUUAAGCAAUGGUGCUGUUCCUUUACCCUUGUGGGUAAUAGUAGCGUAGCUAGACCUUCAAAAUUUAUGUGUCUAAACUUUUUCAGAGAUCUUUGGCAAAGUUAUUUGUGGUGCCUGAGGAGCUGAUGUUGCAUGUGGAAAGUGGUGCUUCUUCGGAAUCUGGAAAGUGGUGCAUCUUCGAUUUUUGAACCAACAGCCAUGUUGCUCUUUUUUUUAUAAGGGCACCAAUUGUGUGCAAGGAGUACAUUCAGAGAGUUAUUGCUUGUAGGAAUUUUCCCCUUACUUCAGAGAUUUAUUGCACCUCAUUUCUCCUUCAUCAUUUCUGAGAAUGUCUGGCCCAUCCGACCGUCGUUUUGACUUGAACUUUGGUGAAGAGGCAGCCAUGCCUUCUCAAGACAACAUACGACACCCAUCCUUCUUAUCUCCUACUGGUCCUCUUACCGUUUGGAACUCUGUGAUGAAGAAUGAUAUGACCGCUGCGGUGGUGGCCAAAAACCUUCUCACUCCCAAAGAUAACAGACUAUUUUCCAAAUGGUCUGAUGAGUUGGCUGUUAAGGAUUCUUUGGCUCUCAGUGUUCAGUGUGCAAGUUCUGUGUCUAAUAUGGCCCAACGCCUAUGUGCUCGAACCCGCCAAGUUGAAUCAUUGGCGGCUGAAGUGAUAAGUCUCAAAUAGAAGAUCAGAGGGCUCAAGCAUGAGAAUAAACAGUUGCACAUGCUCGCACAUGGCUAUGCUACAAACAUGAAAAGGAAGCUCGACCAGCUGCAGGAAUCUGAUUAUUAGAUUUUACUUGAUCAUCAGAGGUUUGUGGGUUUGUUCUAAAGGCAUUUAUUACCUUCGUCUUCUGGGGCUGUACCGCGUAAUGAAGCUCCAAAUCAACCUUCGGUGCCUCCUCCUUCUGGGGUUUUGCCUAGUACUGAGGCUCCGAAUAAUCACCCUCUAGUGCCUCCUCUUUUUGGGGCUCUGCUGACUGCUGAGACUUCUCCUAAGCAACCUUUGUGAAGGCUCCCUCUUGUUUGUUUAUUUUGAUUCAUGUCUAUGUACAUAUUUGUAACUUAUUGGAGAUAUCAAUAAACAAGCUUUGCUUCAUUUCAACGUAUUGUGUUAAAUACACCAAGACCUUCUUCACUAAGUUUCUUGAAUUUUUCCUUUUGUUGAAGCUUGUAUGUUGAAGCUUUGUGAGUGAAGCAUGUAGGUUGAGGUAAUGCUCCCUCCCUUAAUUUCCUAAGUGAGGAAAACUUCUCGGUUGGAGACUUGAAAAAAUCCAAGUCACUGAGUGGUCGUGAGACUUCCGAGUAUCAAGGUGCAGUAGCAUAUGGUAGGAGUCCCCGAAGUCUCUGGUUGAGGGAGUUGACGAAGGAGGUGUCUUGCUAGUAGCCAAGUUUCCAAAGUAACAAAACUUCACAAUUUUCCUUUCUAAGUGGUAGCCCAAAACUCUUUUUUCAUAUAUAUUUGUUAUAAAAGUUGUUAGGCCCAAAGAAGAGGAGGCCUAGGCUUUUUUAUUUUUUUUUCAAUUUUUUUUUGUUUUAAAUUUUCGAAUUUUUGAAUUUCCGAAUAUAUAUAUAUAUAUAUAUAUAUAUAUAUAUAUAUAUAUAUAUAUUUUAAGCUUUAUAGGUGAAGCUUUGUGGGUGAAGCUUUGAGGUUGAAGCUUUGUUGGGUACCAUGAAUUGAUUUUGCUUCACACUAUCUUGAUCAAGAUAGUGUGAAGUUUUUGUAGGUGAAGCUUUUGUGUUGAUGCUUUGUAGGUGAAGUUUUUGUGGUGGGUGAAACUUUUGUUGGUGAAGUUUUUAUGGGUAAAGCUUUUUGUGAUGGGUGAAACUUUUGUUGCUGAAGCUUUUAUGGGUGAAGCUUUUGUGGUGGGGGAAGUUUUUGUGGUGGGGGAAGCUUUUGUGGGUGAAGCAUUUGUUGGUGAAGCUUUUAUGGGUGAAGCUUUUGUAGGUGAAGCUUUUGUGGUGGGUGAAGCUUUUGGAGGUGAAGCUUUUGGGGGUGAAGCUUUUGUGGUGGGUGAAGCUGUUGUGGGUGAAGAUUUUGUUGGUGAAGCUUUUAUGGGUGAAGCUAUUGUGGGUGAAGCUUUUAUGGGUGAAGCUAUUGUGGGUGAAGCUUUUAUGUUGAAGUUUUGUGGGUAAAGCUUUUGUGUUGAAGCUUUGUAGGUGAAACUUUGGAGUUAAAGCUUUGUAGGUGAAGGUUUUUUUUUGAAGCUUUUGUAGGUUGAGCUUUGGAGUUGAAGCUUUGUAGGUGAAGCUUUGGAGUUGAAGCUUUUGUUGGGUACCAUGAAUUGAUUUUACUUCACACUAUCUUGAUCAAGAUAGUGUAAAGCUUUUGUUGGUGAAGCUUUUGUAGGUGAAGCUUUAGAGUUGAAGCUUUUGUUGGGUACCAUGAAUUGAUUUUGCUUCACACUAUCUUGAUCAAGAUAGUGUGAAGCUUUUUUUGGUGAAGCUUUUGUUGGUGAAGCUUUUGUAGGUGAAGCUUUUGUUGGUGAAGCUUUGAAGUUGAAGCUUUGUAGGUGAAGCUUUGGAGUUGAAGCUUUUGUUGGGUACCAUGAAUUGAUUUUGCUUCACACUAUCUUGAUCAAGAUAGUGUGAAGCUUUUGAGAAUUUAUAGUUGUCCUCCAUUGAUGAAGCUUUUGUUGGUGAAGCUUUUGGAGUUGAAGCUUUUGUUGGGUACCAUGAAUUGAUUUUGCUUCACACUAUCUUGAUUAAGAUAGUGUGAAGCUUUUGAGAAUUUCUAGUUGUCUUCCAUUGAUGAAGCUUUUGUUGAUGAAGUUUUUGUGGUGAAGCUUUGUUGGGUACCAUGAAUUGAUUUUGCUUCACACUAUCUUGAUCAAGAUAGUGUGAAGACUUUUGAGAAUUUGUAGUUGUUCUCUAUUGAUGAAGCUUUGUUGAAUUUCCUUUUUUUUUUUUUUUUUUUUUUUGGGAAACUAGAAAUUUGAAAAUUUGGGAGAGACAAUAUAUACAAAUUUUGCUUCCACACUGUUGAGUAAGAGAUUGUGAUGCAAGCCACACCUUGUAGUAGUCGAAGGUUUGGAUGAACCAUAUAAAUUGAAUUUGCUUCGAAGGUUUAAGAAUUGUAGUUGCCCUCUAUUGAUGAAGCUUUUGUUGGCACCACAAAUUGGUUUUGCUUCACACUAUCUUAAUUAAGAGUGUGUGAAGCUUUUGAGAAUUGUGGUUGUCCUCCAUUGAUGAAGCUCUUGUUGGCACCAUAAAUUGGUUUUGCUUCACAUUGUCUUGAUCAAGAGUGUGUGAAGCUUUUGAGAAUUGUGAUUGAACUCCUUUGAUGAAGCUUUUGUUGGCACCAUAAAUUGGUUUUGCUUCACACUGUCUUGAUCAAGAGUAUGUAAAGCUUUUGAGAAUUGUGGUUGCCCUACAUUGAUGAAACUCUUGUUGGCACCAUAAAUUGAUUUUGCUUCACACUGUCUUGAUCAAGAGUGUGAAGCUUUCUACGAGUUGUAGUGUUUGGAUUGUUACAGAGGGGAAAUGUCUGAAGCAGAUGCAAGAGAGCUGAAUAGCUUGAUCUUCGUAUGCCAUGCACUGAAGUUGUUGUUGACUUGUAAUAAGACUUUGUUGGUGACUAUAACUCUUGUUGGGCAUAAGUGCUCCCCUAGUUAAGUUGUCAAGCUUGAGGGUUUUUUAUUAUUUGUGAAUGCUAAGAGUUCACAUGUAUAAGUUAUACCACACAUCUUCUAGUAGGUGGAAUGAAUGGUGAGUUGCUUUCAUCACUUGGUUGGUGGUACGAAGGUGAGUUCCUUCAUCACCUUUCAUCACAUUUCAUCACCUGGUUGGUGGAACGAGGAUGAGUUCCUUCUUCACCUGGUUAGUGGCAUGAAUGGUAAGUUGCCAAAUGAUAUUAGAGUACGGGUUGUACAUAUCACAUGGUUGGUGGCAUGAAGAUGAGUUCCUUCUUCACCUAGUUGGUGGCAUGAGUGGUAAGUUGCCAAAUGAUAUUAUAGUACUGGUUGUACAUUUCAUCACCUGGUUGGUGGCAUGAAGAUGAGUUCCUUCUUCAUAUUUCAUCACCUGGUUGGUGAGAAUAAGGGCAAGGUGUCGAGGCACAUUGUAGCAAGUGUCAAGGACACAAAGUAUGUUGAACCCUUUCGAAGCACAGUUGGCUUAUGUAUGGAUGUGUUGGAAUGUAUAAUAUUUAUGUUGAUUGAUAUAAGUGAUGCUUAUGAAUGUUUUGCUAUGCAUGAAGGGAUUCAUGCUUUUGAUAUGUGAACCAUGUUGGUUGUAACACUUAGUAUCACAUACUUUGUGUCAAAGUACGCAUGUUGAAGCUCUGAGUUUGAGUAUAAGGGUAGGUCAGCAUAGACCCAGUGUUCCAGUGCUAGGAACGCAAAAGACUCAGAAGAAGUUCUCUGAAUUCCCUCUUCUUUAAAUAUUUUCCGAAUGACUUGUGUGACAAAAGAUCUCAAGCGGUUGAGGGUUAAAACAUUUGUAACGUGUAUGCCUUCUUAUAAUAGCAUUUCCUUCAGUACUUAGUCAUCCACUUUGAAAGAGUAAGGCUGACCCUAUAGUCAUAAUAGUCGACAGUACGUUCACCCCUGGUUGUCUUGAUACAAACUUUUAUCCUUCUUGUUGUAAUGGGCUUGCUGAAAGUAAAAUCAUUUCUCUUACCAAGAGACAGAUACGUUUGGUGACUUAGCAAGUAGCUAAAUAAGGCAAGAGAUGAUACAAUGGGUGUCUGAAUGGCCAAUAUCUCAUCACUUGGUAUAACUUGACUUCCACUUCCCAUUUGUUAAUAGGGGUUAACCAUAUGGGGCUUCCCUUGGUAUGUCCUUGCUUCGGUGGAGGCGUGGUUGUAAGCAUGUGUCAUCACCUCAGAGUAAGUCUUCCAAGUGUUGGCAUUGAUCAUGUACUUGAAGAAACAAUCACGUAGGCCUGCCGUGAAGGCCUUGAAGGCGAUCUUGUCAUCUGCCUCAGCGCAUCGAGAAUACUCAUGGCUGAAGCGACCGACAUACUCUUGUAGUGACUCGUCCGGCUUCUGGCAAAUAGUGUACAAGUCAUCUACAGAAUGUAAGUGAUCGGUCUAGAAGAUGUAUUGAGAGGCAAACAGUUUCCUCAAUUCCUCAAAUGAGUCUACUGUCUCAGGUAGAAGACGGCAAUACUAGUUUAGAGCUCCGCCAGAGAGGGUGGAGGGGAAGAGAAGACGUCGCUUUUCGUCGGUGUGUAUCCGAUAUGUCAUGGUGGACUCAAAGAGGUUAAGGUGUUUAAUUGGGUCAUCCCUUCCAGUAUAGAGUUGUAAACCAAGCUUUUGUUUUGUCUUUGCUUGAAUGGGGUGUCGAGGAUCUUUCUUGUGAGAGGGCCAUGCCGGGGUUGGUUCCAGUCAGGUAUCUUGGCCUGACGUUCGGCCUUCAACUUGUUUACUUCCUCAAUGAGCUUUAGGACAAGGGGGUCAUGAGUGGAGUUAUGUACCACUGGAAUUUUCUUUCGUAAGUCUCAAUCGCCUCUUGGAAGUAAGAAAGUUUGAGCAUGGGCAUGUGGUUUUUUCUUCGACUCGCCGUACUGACUUAUAUGGCGAGUAUAUCGGAAUACCUCAGAGUCCCCCGUACUUUCAUGCUUCUCUGGGACCUGUUGUUCCUUCCCUACAUUGGCAGCUGGCCUAGGUUAUGGGAGGGGACCGAAUCUUUCAGAAACCCUUGGGUCAUUGAUCUUCGAGCAUAUGUGGAAGGGAUUCUCUCGACGUUGCUUUAGGAAGUCUCGGUAGUCACGAUAAACGGCUUUCGAUCCUUCCAACCUUUCUGCAAGGAGGUGUCUUCUUCCACUUCUUUUACUUCGGGUCGAAACAUCUGGGUUGAGAGAAAUCUCAUGUUGAUCAAUGUUUUGAUGAUUAGCUCGCUCCUCAUCAGGGAUACCCAUGUCGAAUGGAGGUGACCCUCUGUGUUGAGGGGCACCCAGAUGAUGGUUAAUGUCCACAAGGACAACGAGCUCGCAUGUUUGAGUACACCUAGUUUCAUGGAGCAUCUCAAAGAGCUUCUCAUACUGCUCCUAGAGGACCUCAUUCUUCAUUGCUAUCUUGUUGUUCUGAGCUUCUAGCUUAUCAACUUUAGCUUGAAGAGCAACCUAUUUCCUUCGUUCUUUCGUUGCUUCACACUAGAUGCAAGAGAGGUGUCAUUCUGUGUGCUGUGGCUUCCUUCGCUCUACAUGUUGGAAAUGGAUGCCUGGUCAAAAAAGAGUGUAUGAAUGGUGGAAACCAGCUUGGCAAAGCUGAAGAGAGUGGGAAUAAGUGUCUUUCCCACAGACGGCGCCAAAUGUUGAUGCACAAAUUCGGUGAGGACUUUGGUACAACAGAAAGUGUUAAGUUUGUGACCUUCGCUAGAUUACUCCGGUCACUAGUGUGGAUAAGUAUGUAAAUGAAUAGAAAUAAGGAAGCAAACACAAGAUGUACGUGGUUCACCCAGAUUGGCUACGUCCACGGAGCAGAUGAGUUCUCAUUAAUUAUGAAGGGUUUACACAAGUACAUAGGUUCAAGCUCUCAUUUAGUGAGUACUGGUGAAUGAUUUAGUACAAAUGACAUUAGGAAAUAUUGUGAGAGAAUGAUCUUUAUUUAUAGAAUAGAGUUUCUAGUUUCAUUCUGACAUUGACACGUGUUGUAUUGUGAUUGGCUUCUGAUGUUGACACGUGUCACGCUAUGAUUGGCUUCUGAUGUCGACAUGUGUCGCGCUGUGAUUGGCCUCCUGGUUGAAGGGAAACUCUUUUGGGUCCUUAACAGUAUAACGUUGAUCGGUGCUCAGUAGUUUCGGGAUUAGUCAAGUAUGGUACAAACAAAUCUAAUAUGUAUAAUUUGUCACAUCAAGUGAUACAUAAAAAAUGGUGCAAAAAUUUCUCAACAUUUUCUUUGACAUAAAUGUGUUCAAAUAGUAUUAUUUUCAAGCACAUCAGUAUUCAUUCAAAAGUAGCUCGUCCUUUUUUUAUUUGCUAUUUUUGUUUUGAAUAUACCCUCCUUCCAUUUUCACUAUAUAUAUUAUUUAUUUUUUAGAAAAAAAGGAGACAAUUGGUGGUAAGUCAUUUUAUCUACUCCUUUUGAGUCCGAAAAGACUAUGGAAAUUUUCACUCUGCUCGUGACUACAGUCAAACAAACUACUCAGUUCAGAGCAUCGAACUCAGGACCUUCCAUAUUUUUUUGUUUUUUGGGGAGCUGCAAUCUAUGCCCUUACCACUGAGUCACUUGCUGUGGUUUUCCAUUUUCACUAUCUACUCUCUACGUUUAAGUGUGGAUUACAGAGUCCUCAGCGAAUUAGAGUUAACUAAUUCAAAAUUAUUUUAGUCAUUAUUGCAGGUAUAUAAGAUUGUACUUUUUAAUUGUAAUUAGUGUAAGAUUCUUAUUUAAAUAGGAUUAAUAUAACCAUUUAUCCACCCUUGGACUUCGUCGGACAAUGAUCAUACUCCACUAGCUAGUUCAAUGGAGGCGUUGUACAAUUAAAGAAUUGGGUGUUUAUUUAACUUAACUUUUUGAUUAAUGAGAUUACAAAUCAAACAACGCUUAAACAGAAACCAGAGUUUUAUUGCUCUAUUUGCACAUUUGUCUUAUUUAAUUUGUUCAAUUCUAUUGAUUCCUUUGAUUCAACGUGAUCUAAUCUGGAGUUUAAUUAUCUCAAUUUGUUCAUUUAUCUUGGAUUAAUUAUUUUUACUUGACUAAUUGUUGGAUUGGUUGGUUGUUGAUAUGGGAAGGUGUUGCAUGGACGAAGGAGAAGGACAAGCUGUUCUUGGUGGAUUAACUCUAUAAUCAUUUGAUCAUAUGAAAACAUGGGAUCCUCACAACAGCCAGUUUUCUCCCAGGAAGCGUCGCUCUCUCAUUCUACAACCCAUUUCGCAUUCUCCUCAUUUUUAGAAUGUAAAACCAUUCGUGCGACUCUAGAAAUCCAGAGGAGGUAGAAGGCGACAUGCACGAGAGAUUUUUCAGUGUAACCGUCACACGAGAUGGUACACCAUGUGUCGUUAUAUAAAUGGUGGGAUAUGUGUGUUAAAAAGUUAAUAACUUAAAAAAUAAAUUUUUUUACCAUUUACAUAAAAACACGUGGUGUACCACUCGUGUUCCUGCCACAACUAAAAAUCUAGCACUUUAGGGGGGAAAACUGAUCUCGCUUCUCCAAAGAAAGAUUAAUCCGAUAACGAUUCCAUGCACUAGAGAGUUGAUAGGGCCGUUUCAGUGGCCAGAAAAAGAAAACAAAGAAGUAAGAGAUGGAUUUCCAUUGCAGAAAAUAUUUGACUUGAUGGGUACACUUAAAUAAUUUUGCAGGCCACAUACCACAAGGGAUAAGAUGCAUCAGUUUUCCACCCGACUACUUUUUGAGAAGAAUGUUUCAGCCAGGAAGAUUUUCUAUCUUCUUCAACAACACAACCAAUGCAGACGUGAGUGGUAAGAUGUCGUACAAAGACAUGGUUUUUCUCCAUACUCUUAUGUAUUCCUCGGUUUGUUAGAAACAUCAGCCAAAAACACUCUUAAUCUUCGAUUAAUAAUUUAAUAUUACUGUCCCCCCCUUUGCCCAAAAGCACUUAUGGCCCAAGCAAUCAUUUUUUUCUUCUAUUCAAUAUCUAUCUUACAUGAUUACUAUAAUCUUGUGUAUUUUGGAUUGUGAAGGUUCAUAUUAUAUAACUCAAUCAUAAGAAGGUCGACUUCAUUUUACAUUUGUAAUCAGUUUCAUUUUCUCCCCAGUUGCGCAAGAUUUUACCAUAUAAUUGAUUGUUGCUUAUCUAUAUAUUGAAGAUUCGGAUAGACGCCAAAGACUUUAUAUAUGUUUAGAAGAGAAUGAUUUUGUUUGGAAUGAAUGUGUCUUUAGUCAUCUCUCACGGAUGGAUUUAUAAGAUGUUACAAUCCUAUCAUUAAGGAAAGAAAUAAUUUACAUAAAAUCAUAAUAAACUAAGAAUCCCAAGAUUACAUGAAUAUAUACACAAAAGUCAACAUUCCCCCUCAAGUUGGUGCAUAUAUAUCACACAUGCCCAACUUGUGUAAGAAAAUUGAAAAUUUAUGACUUGAAACAGCCUUUGUGAGAAUAUCUGCUAACUGAUGGUCUGUUCUUAUUGUCGGUACCUCAAUUAUCUUCCUUUCUAAUUUUUCUUUGAUAAAGAAUCGAUCAACUUCAACAUGCUUUGUUUUAUCAUGUUGUACCAGGUUAUGUGCAAUGUCACAGGCAGUUUUGUUAUCACAAAAUAAUUUCAUAGGUUGAUCAUGUUCCAUACCCAUAUCUCUUAACAAAAGCUUAAGCCACAAAAUUUCACAAAUCUCCAAGGCCAUACCUAUGUAUUCAUCUUCUGCACUGGAACAGACAACCACAUUUUGUUUCUUACUCCUCUAUGUAACCAAGUUACCCCCAACUAAUGUAAAGUAACCUAAUGUUGAGCGUCUGUCAUCCACUAAACCUACCCAAUCUGCAUCAGUAUAACCUUCAAUUCUAAGAUUCUUAUUCUUUUUAAAUAAAUUUUCUUUUCCUGGACUUCCGUUCAAAUACCGCAAGAUUCUCAUCACUGCGUUCAUAUGUUGUUCUCCAAGAUCAUGCAUGUAUUGACUCACUACACUUAAGGCAUAGGCAAGGUCCGGUCUUGUAUGUGCCAAGUACAUUAAAUGUCAUACUAACCUUUGGUAUCUUCCUUUGUCUAAUGGCACUUGAUUAGGAUCAACGCUAAGCUUUAAUCCUUCCUCUAAUGGUGUAGUUACCAGUUGGCAAGCUGACAUGCCGAUUUCGUGCAACAAAUCAAUAAUAUACUUCCUCUGAGACAAGAAAAUUCCAGAAGUACUUCUCGACACUUCAAUCCCUAGAAAAUAUUUUAGGGAUCCAAGGUCCUUCAUCUCAAAUUCUUUAAACAUGUAUCUUUGCAAGGCCGUACGUUCUUCCGGAUAUUUUCAUGUUAUCACCAUAUCAUUUACAUACACAAUGAGUGCAGUAAGCCUCCCAUUUUUCCUUUUCAAAAAUAGAGUAUGAUCAAAGUUACUUUGUCUAUAACCAAACGCUCUCAUAGAUUUUGUGAAUCUUCCAAACUAUGCUCGAGGAGACUGUUUCAAACCAUACAAGGAUUUCUUCAACCUGCACACCUUUCUCUUGUAAUUAUUUGGAGCAUUACAUUCUGGUGGAAGAUCCAUAUAAAUCUCUUCUGUCAAAUCUCCAUGCAAGAAGACAUUUUUCACAUCGAACUGCUGUAAAGGCCAAUUAAGAUUUGCAGCCAAGGACAACAAAACACGGAUUGUGUUGAUUUUGGUCACAUGAGCAAAAAUAUCUGUAUAAUCGAUUCCAUAUUUUUAAAUGUACCUUUUUGCUACCAGUCUUGCCUUGAAGCGAUCUCCCGUCCCAUCAGCUUUGUAUUUUACAAUAUAGACUCAUUUGCAUCCCAUAGGUUUUUUACCAGCUGGCAAGUCUGUGAUCUCCCAGGUAACAUUCUUCUUUAAAGACUUCAAUUCUUCAUCCAUUACUGCUUGCCAACGUGGAUCAGCUAAAGCCUUCUGCACAAUGUUAGGAAUAGAUAUAGUAGAUAAUUGAUAUACAAAUGACUUACUUGAGUCUGACAUGUGGCUGGUAGACACAACAUUACUUAACGGGUAUAACACAUUAGAUUUUGGGUUUGGUCUAUUAAUUAGGUACCUAGUUUUGCAUUUAAGGUCUGCUUCGCAAGUAAGUUUAGGAAUACCUUGGUUGACACAGUUAGGGAGACAACAUGGUGGUGGUGUAUCCGGGAGCGAAGAUAAUUGAUUAUGGAUAUUAGGGCUCAAAGGUGGUGAGACCGAUUGUGAGAUAGCAGGCAUCACUGAGUUGUUCAAUGGUGAGGAAGUUGGCAAAGAGUUGUCCAAUGGUGAAGAAGGUACAACAUUUUCCAGCUGUGUCGGUUCGUCCCUUUCGAAGUUUUCAACAUUGUUUUCAUGUGAAUGAUCACCACUUAACUCCAAGACAUCACCACCUAAUUCCAAGUUAUUCACAUCAUUAUUUUCUUGUGAAUCAUCACCACUUGUCCAAGACAUCACCGCUUAAAUCCAAAUGAUUCACAAUAUUAUUUUCUUGUGAAUCAUCACCACUUGUCUCCAAUAUAUCACCAUUUAAAUCCAAAUGAUUCACAAUUUCUAUAUCAGGAAUAGUAUAAUCAAGAGUUUGAACUUCUACUUGAUUCUGUCCAUGAAGUCCAGACUCGGAAUGGACAAAGUACAUAUCGUUUUCAUGAAAUACAACAUCCACAGUGACAAACAACUUAGUCGGAGGGUGAUAGUAGCGAUAUCCUUUUUUAUUUGAGGCAUAACCCACAAACAUACACAGUAAGGCUUGAGGUUCAAGCUUACUCAUCUGUUGUUUAUUGUGAUGAACGAAGGCCACACAGCUAAACGCAUAAGGUGGAAGAUUUGGUACUACAUGAGCAUCAACAUGUGAAGAGAGAACCUGAAGUGGUGUUUGAAAAUCAACUGACCGGGAUGGAACAUGAUUAAUGAGAUACACAUAUGAGGUGAGAACUUCUCCCCAAUAUGACAACGGGAGACAUGCCUCGAGUAAGGAAGCAUGAACAAACUUCAGAAGGUGACGGUUCUUAUGUUCUACAACUCCAUUUUGUUGUGAAGUAUAUGGACACAUAGUUUGAUGAACGAUACCCUAAUGUUCCCAAAAGGCACAAAGUUCAGACUUCACAUACUCGCCACCAUUAUCACUUCUGAGAACCUAUAUUCGUGACUUAUAUUGCACUUGCACCAUUUUGUGAAAUUGCUUGAACAAGGAAGUAACUUCACUUUUGGACUUCAUCAAACAAACCCAAGUCAUACAUGUGCAAUCAUCAAUAAAAGUAACAAACCAAUAACCACCACCAAAUGUAGCAGUUUUAGAUGGUCCCCAAACAUCAAAAUGGAUUAUCAUAAAUGGAACAUAACUUUUUGUCAAACUGGGCGAAAACGAAGUACGAUGACUUUUAGCCAAUUCACAAACACCACAUUUAAAGCUAGAAACAUCAUUCUUAAGAAAUAUUUUAGGAAACAGCUUUCGUAAAUAACCGAAAGAAGCAUGUCCAAGUCUAUGAUGCCACAACCAAACCUUCAAAGCUUUGUUCUGCUCCCCUUGAGGUCCUUCCACAGUAAUAGCUUGUGUCAACAUCUGGGUACUGUUCGAUGUUAUCUCCAAGUAGUAAAGUUUCCCCUUCUAAUACCAUAACCAAUCGUCUUGCGAGUCCGAAUAUCCUUAAAGACACAAAAGGAAUGCCAAAAACUCACAAGACAAUAUAGGGCGACGGUUAUUUGAGAAAUAGAUAAUAAAUUAUAAUCAAGAGAAUGAACAACAAGCACGGUAUCAAGACUAAGGGUAUCUGAAAGGGAGACAGUUCAUUCCCCGAUAAUAGGGGCAAGAUUACAGUUGGUGACACUCACGAUAGUUUUGGUGGAUGGUUUUAAGGUUUGUACCUGUCUAGAAUCACAAGUCAUAUGUUCAGUACCACCAAAAUCAAUUAUCCACGUAUUAUUUGUAACAGAGGCAGAAACCUUUAAAGUCGUGAUUCCAAUUUCGCCCAAAGUUCUCGAGCAAAAGUCACGCCAACCGUGAAAGGAAUUAAUGAUUUAUAAAGAGUUGAAUUAAUCCAGAUAAGAAUGUUUUAAUCAUUCUCAAACCAAGUGACAUAGGCUGGAUUGAGAGUUGCAAUCUGAUUCCCUAACAAAUCAAGAAGAAAUUUGGGCACUGCCGCCAUAGUUCUAUCAAUUAGACUAGUGAGUUUGUAACAACGGAAGAUCGGAGCAAACAAAGCGUUCCAUGUCAGAUAAUUUGUAGUAGUGAGCUUGAUCGGAACCAUGGAUCCAAUAUUUUGGAUUGUAAUGGAAGAAGAAAUUGCAGAGUUAUGGUUUGGAAUUACAUUAGGAAACGAAGGAACAGGAGAAUCCGAUUUCGAAGAAGGAGAUGCAGAGGUCUCCAUAACUGUAGGUUGAAGAAGAAAGCAUGGUCAAGAUCAAGAAAUCGAUCAAUUGAUUGGAGAAGACGAAGAAAAUUAGGCGGUGCAGAGAGAAGCGGGAAAAUUGGAUCGAAGAGGUGUCGUGAGACCAAAGGUGGUUGAUACCAUAUUAGGAAAAGUAAUUUUCCAUUCAUCAAAUGAAUAACAUUACACUUUGGGUAUUUAUACAAAAGCUAUCACAACUAACAGACAAGAAAAACCUUCAAAAUUAACUAAAUUUCCUUAGUCUAUAAGCAUUAUCUCUUGUAGGUGUAAUUACAUUUGUAUUCUUAAUACAUACUUGGUACCAUACUUUUAGAAAAAUAUAUCUUAACAAUUACAAUGAAAAACAACUAACGCAAGACAUCUUUAGAGGCGCGUGAUUAGAAGAAUGAUACCAAUUGUAUAUAAAUAAACUAAAACAUAUAGCUUACAAAUGAAGCAAAAACAUGAAACCACCCACCAAUGGGAGUACUUUGUUUCUGUUUUUGUUUUUUUUAAGUUUUAAAUUUUAAAUUCAUUCAAAACUAAAAUAUGGUGAAUUACUUUUAUCUUCUUUUGGUUCAACUGUACUUUUUGAAAUUCUUAAAAGGCAAUAGGGUUUAAUGUGAACAUUAAACAUUGUACAUCGCGCAUAAUGCAUCAUAAUUAUAAAAAUGUUUUUGUAAAUAAAAAAAUUUCAUGCCCCACCGUACCACGUCGUAAUAUAAAAAUAAAAAAAAUAAAAAAAAUUAUAAAAAAAAAACCUUUCACAUGUGUAAGUAAUAAUUCAUGUACCUCAAGUUAUUAUUAGUGAAUAUCUUUUAUCUUUUAACUAUUAAUUUUCAUACAACAAUAACAACAAAGUCUUUUCCUACUAAGUGGGGUCGGCUAUAUGAAUCCUAGAACGCCAUUGCGCUCGGUUUUGUGUCAUGUCCUCCGUUAGAUCUAAGUACUCUAAGUCUUUUCUUAGAGUCUCUUCCAAAGUUUUCCUAGAUCUUCCUUUACCCCUUCGACCUUUGACCUCUGUCCCGUAGUCGCAUCUUUUAACCGGAGCGUCAAUAGGCCUUCUUUGCACAUGUCCAAACCACCGUAACCGAUUUUCUCUCAUCUUUCCUUCAAUUUCGGCUACGAUGGUUUGGACAUGUGCAAAGAAGACCUACUGACGCUCCGGUUAGAAGAUGCGACUAUGAGACAGAGGUCCAAGGCCAAAGGGGUAGAGAAAGACCCAGGAAAAUUUUGGAAGAGACACUAAGAAAAGACUGAGUACUUGGAUCUAACGGAUGACAUGACACAGAACUAAGCGCAAUGACGUUCUAUGAUUCAUAUAGCUGACCUUACUUAAUGGGAAAAAAAUUUGUUGUUGUUGUAUGAAAAUUAAUAGUUAAAAAAUAAAAGAUAUUCACUAAUAAUAACUUGAGGUACAUGAAUUAUUACUUACACAUGUGAAAGGUUUUUAUUUUUUAUUUUUUAUAUUACGGCGUGGUACGGUGGUGCAUGAAUUUUUUUUAUUUACAACAACAUUUUUAUAAUUAUGGUGCAUUAUGUUUAGGGCUGGAAAAAAAAUACCGAAAAUCCCAAACCAUACUGAAACCGAACCGAAAAAAUACCGAACCAAAAAUCCCGAAAAUUUUGAUACCAAAACCGAACUGAUCCCGAAUAUUUUGGUUUGGGAUUCGGUCUCACACUUUGAAUAAUUCGGUAUUCCCGAACCGAACUUUGCUAAUGUAACAUAUAUAUAUAUAUAUAUAUAUGUUAGUGUGUGGUGUGGUGCUGACAAAAGUAGGAUGGGUGUGUGGUGUGGUGAAGUAGGAUGGAUGGGUCAUGGGUGCUUGUUUUCUAUACAGAACUAUGUCUGUCUCUCUCUUAUUUUCUGUCUCAUCAGUCAUUUUUCUCGUAUUCUCUCUCUACAACCCAUAAACCACCUAACCCUUUAUCUUUCACUUAUUUUCCAUAUCUUCUCUCUCGUAUUGUCUCUCUCUCUCUCUCUCUCUACAACCCAGAAACCACCCCUACUCACUUCAAAACCGAAACCACCCUUCCUUCCACUCAAUCUAAAACCGAGCUGACAUCGUACUCUCUCAUUUCAUUUUGCCUUUCUCAUAUGCCUUCACUUAGUCUCAGACUCUUUCUCCUUCUCGGAUUCGAAGCUCAGCAGCCACCCACCGUUUAACAAUCUCACUCUGACGAACUGUCUCCACUCCAGCAACCACCACAUCUCACGACUUCAUCCCCACCUCUGGUUCUCUCAAGUGAUUCUCUGUGUUUGGGAUUUCGAAUUAAGGUUAGGGUUUCGAAUUGGGGCUUAGGGUUUCAAAUUGGGGGCUCGGGUCAGGACGAGGACGCAUGUCUCUCUCUUCACUCACCCUACCAUAAAUCUUCGCUAAUUCACUAUCACUACGUCUCUUAUUUCAAUUAGGAUUUUUAAUGGAGGUUCAGAUGAUUUCAAUUUCUAUCUAGAUGAUUUCAAUUAGGAUUAUUAAUGUUCAGAGUAUAUCAAAUUUUUAUUUUUUGCUUAUAGCUAUUUCGGUUUUACUAAAGUUACGUCAUACGUACCGAAUCAUUAAAUUUCACUUAGCAUAAUACAGCUCCCAGAUAUUAGCGCACACAAAUAUAUUAUUCAUACAAAGGGAACGAAACACAAAGUUACAUGUUUAACAGAAUACAUAAAAGACAGUGCUGGACGACUGCGUAUCACACAGCUGAGGUCACACACCAGGCACUACCUUAUUAUACACCAGACACAAAGUUACACGAGUAAAGAUGAUGAUCUACUUCUUGUGGCCGCCAGGAAGCUUCUCUUUGACCUUCUCCAUUAUGCCUUUCUUUUCCUGGUGCUCUCCUAUGUUCGCUGUCCCACCAUAAGUUGCAGCAGUAGUUGACGUGUCAUGAGAAUACUGGUUAUCCUUAUGCCCACCUGGCAGCUUCUCCUUUGUCUUGUCCAUCAUACCCUUCUCCUGGUGGCGCUCUCCUUCUCCAUCCUUGCUGCCACCAAAUGGCAGCUUAUCCUUUAUCUUGUCCAUUACACCCUUCUCCUGGUGGUGCUCGCCUUCUCCUGCAUAGGUGGUCCCACCGCCGUACUGUGCACCGGUGGUCGGCUUUGCAUGCAAGUACUGGUCAUCCUUGCUAGCACCGCCUGGCAGCUUCUCCUUUACCUUGUCCGUCACACCCUUUUUCUGGUGGUGCUCUCCUUCUCCUGCAUAGGUGGUCCCACCGCCGUAAUGUGCACCGGUGGUCGGCUUUGCAUGCGAGUACUGGUCAUCCUUGCUAGCACCGCCUGGCAGCUGCUCCUUCACCUUGUCCAUCACACCCUUCUUCUGGUCGCGCUCUCCUUCUCCUGCAUAGGUGGUCCCACCACCAUAAGGUGUAGCGGUCUGCGUUCCAUGAGAGUACUGGUCAUCCUUGUUACCACCACCUGGCAGCUUCUCCUUUACCUUGUCCAUCACACCCCUUUUCUGGUGGUGCUCUCCUUCACCUGUGUAGGUCGUCCCACCGCCGUAAGGUGUAGUGGUCUGCGUUCCAUGAGUGUACUGGUCAUCUUUGUUACCACCACCUGGUAGCUUCUCCUUUAUCUUUUCUUUUAGUCCCUUCUUCCUUCUUCCACCUAGCCCAUCAUCUUCAGACUACAAUAAUAGAAUGUUAGACCUUGUUACAAAAAAUAUAUGUAAAUAUAAUGCACAUAUCAUACUUAUAACCCUAAGAAAUUGUUCCAUCUGGUAAGAUAACAUGUUGAUGUAAUAUUUGAAUUUGAAACAUUGAUCGUGUUGAUAAUUGAAAAAACAAAAUGCGCAGAGAUGCAUAAAUCUAACAAGGGAACAAAAUACACUAAUUUUCCGAACAAUAUUCUUCAAGAUACGAAUUUGUAAUAUGUUAUUAAUUUAGAUCACUAAUGAGCCCAUCGUUGGUGCGCGCAAUUUUUCUUGCAAAAAUGUUAAAUUUGACAAUAGAAAAUUAUUACUUCUUUGAUUUUUCUAGCAACAUAAGUACCUCUUACAAGAAAAGUUUAUUCAUAGUACGCAUAGAUUUGUAGCAUAUCUCAUGCAUCUAAUGAAUUAACUUAGAACUACAUUUAUAUAGAGGUGAAAAGAGGAGAACUUACAGAGCUAGAGCUUCCGGAGCGCUGAAGUACGGCAGGGCCGCCAUGACGUCCAACAAUCACUUCAUCACCAGGCUUGGCAUGAGCAGUCCCGUAGCCAGUAUCAGUCCGACCGUGUUGAACCACGUUCCCUAACUCGUCGGUCCUACCGGCUCCUGCACUACCGUUAUAAGUCGGGUUCCCGUAGUUCUCGUUAGUUUUUUCGGGUGUUGAACCAUAAUUCGCCAUUUUUCAAAAGAACAACAAACAGAUUAACUGUAGUAACAAUGUUUUGCGACUAAUACAACAAUUGCAGUGAGAUAUUAGUGAUUUGCUUGGGAUGAUGUGUUUGAUUAGGAGUUGGGUUGGUUGGUUUAUAUAGACAACUGAUUUGCACCAGCAAGGCAUGCAGAUAUAGCGGUGAGCGUAAGGCAUUUUAACAACUUGGAGACAUGGCACUGCUGGGAAAAUGAUGACAAGUGAAAAUUAACGUCGGCAAGAUAUUUUGUUGCUUUUUGGGUGGGGGGUGGGGGGUGGGGGCAUAUGGAUAAAGAGAGAUGAAUACCUGUUUGAACUUUGAACAAUAAAAAAGAAAACGAUACGAAUACCUGCUCCCCUGGUGACCAUGGGAUUGGUGACACGUGCCCUCUGUACUUGUUCCACUAGCUAGCUCCCACGUGGGUAGUAUCUAUUGGUUUUAGCCUAGGUCUUAUUGACUGGUUGGUAAUUUGGUAUAUCUACUGGUCAUAAACUUGUAGAUCUUCUAGGUCUUACCGACAUGCUAUAAGUUAAAAGGAUAAUCUUAUAGAGACUAAAAUUAUAGAAAAAGUGUGGAAAUUAAAUAAUAUGAAAAUUAAUAAUAUUUAUUAUUUAAAUAUUAAUAAAUGUGUUUAUUUUUUAUUCGUGACAUAUUAUUUAAUUUGUAAAUUUUAUUUCUAAAUAUAGUUUCUCUAAGAUAUUACCCUAUAAGUUAUAUUGUCGUUUUAAUUUUUCUUUUGAUUAGAACAACCCAGACAUUAAUAAAAAGAAUCCUAUGUCGACAAACUCCACACCUUUAAAUCUUCUGCUACACACAAAUUUUCUACACUUCAAAAUAAAAGUAGGUCACAUAAUAUUACGAUUUAUUGGAAUUUUAUUUUAUUUAUAUAUGAAAGGUCUAAAGUUUGAUUUUCAUAAAAUAACGAAUUUGAACCAUAUUAUUACUAGUCCAAGGUUAAGCCUGUACUUUCACUUUUAGUGUAGAUAAUAUGAUUUGUUGAAAAACAAAUAAUGUUAAAAAUUAAUUUCAAGUGUAAUGUUAGAAAGACCACCUUUUUAUAUUAUGUAUCACAUAUUAAAUAAAAUUAAUUAAUUAACUUGACAUGUUCGAUCACUUGUUACAUUAUGUAAUACACAAGAUUAUACAAAGAUAUCUCCUUAGCAUUUUCUUUGACGCAAAUGUGUUUUAAAUAGAAUUAUUUUUCAAGCAAAUUACUAUUCAUUCGAAAGUAGCUCGUCCAUUUUACUUGCUAGAACUAUUUCUCUUGAAUAUACCCUUCUUCAAUUUUCACUCUCUACUGUCUACAUUUAAGCGUGGAUUACAAAGUCCUCUAUGAUGAAUGAUGAUCACUGUUAGAUUAAGAUUGAUUCGAACCAUCUUCGUUUUUAUCGCAUGUAGUCUAUAAGAAAGCAAUUUUUAAUUGUAAUUAGAAUAGAACUACUACCUAAAAAUGGAUUUGAUUAAACCAUAAACAGAGGUGAUACUCUCUACAUCUAAUAGGUUAUACACAUUAAUUUGCGCUAUAUCUUUGAAGAGGUUGCUUACGAUUACCGUGCCCGACCUAUACAUAAAGGAAGUCUUGCCAUCAAAAUUAUAAAAAAAAUAUUGACUUUGCUGGAGAUGUAUCCCUUGUAUGGAAUUUAAUGAUAUUUUAUGAGUUUCGACUUUGCCGGAGAAUGAUUAUCCCUCCUCUAGAUUAUGCUCCAUUUCAGUGGAGGCGUAGUAAAAUUUAUAGAAUUGGAUGUUUAUUUAACUUAUCUUUUGGUACAGUAAGAUUUUCAAUCAAAGAACGCCUAAACAGAAACCAGAAUGUAAUUGCUCCACUGAUAAAACGACAUACAAAGUACAUACUACAAAAACACAAACGACACUGCGAACCGCUCGCGGCUCACUCGUGCACGUAAGAAAAAAGUUCACACAGUCACGCCAAGCACCGAUUAUUAGCAUAUUAAAACAACUGACAGGCCCUAUAAUUCAAAUAUACGAAUUCACAGAUAUGCGUAUAUUUGUAUUUAGUGGUGUCCACCGGGAAGUUUUUCUUUGAUUUUGUCCAUGAUGCCCUUCUUUUCAUGGUGCUGUCCGGUGGUUCCACCGUAUGGUGUGGUGGUGGAGUGGUGCUGUCCGGUGGUUCCACCGUAUGGUGCUGUGGUGGAGUGGUGCUGUCCGGUGGUGGAGUGGUGCUGUCCGGUGGUUCCACCGUAUGGUGCUGUGGUGGAGUGGUGCUGUCCGGUGGUGGAGUGGUGCUGUCCGGUGGUUCCACCGUAUGGUGCGGUGGUGGAGGUCGUAUGUGAUGAGUAGGCAUCAUCCCUAUGCCCAGUCCCCGGAAUCUUGUCCUUGAUCUUGUCCGCAAUCCCCUCAUGCUGGUGCUCUCCGGUGUAGGUUGUCCCACCGUAAGGUGUAGGAUGGUCCGUACGGCCCCCAGUCCCUGGAAUCUUGUCCUUGAUCUUGUCCAUCAACCCCCUUUCACGGUACUCCCCUCCGGUGGAGGGGGCGGCAGUAGUCCCGUACCCAGUUCCAGUCGUGCCAAUACCGGUAUGGGCAUGCGAUGAGUAGUGGUCGUCAGCCCUACGUGCCCCACCAGUCCCUGGAAUCUUGUCUUUGAUCUUGUCCAUCAUCCCUCUUUUCUGUUGCUGCUGGCCUCCUGUGUACGUAUCGUUAGUAGUCCCGUACCCGGUUGUGGCGGUACCGAAGCCAGUGGCUCCGGUAGUGCCAUGUUGAAUUGGGUUUCCAAACUGAUCUGUUUCUUGGGGUGUUGCACCGUGUUGGUUCUGAUAGUGCGCCAUUGUUUCAAACUGAUUGCAAUUUGAUGAAAUAUUUCCGACUAAUUUGAUCUCAGAUGCGGAUGCUUAUAUAGGCAAACCGCGUAGAAAAGCAUGUCAUGCACUAGAGUAAAUCCAUGCCUUCAUGCCACGUUAGCAGCUGAGGACACCUGGCAGUUUUUAUGACGACACGUGUAGUGUGUUAGAGUCGAACAAAAUAAGAUCCAUUCUUUUGUCGUCAAGCUGAAGGCUCGUGACGGUUCCACCGCGUCCAUAUGCGAUAGUUGGGGACUAGCUUACGUCCGUACAUCAAAAUCCGUCGUGUAUUGAAACUGGGGAAAUUUUUAUUGUUACAUGAACACGGACGGUACAUUACGUUUUUUUUAUGUAAGUGGUGAGAAAUUUUAUUUUUUAAAUUAUUAACAUUUUAACACACAUGUCAUACCAUAUGUAAAAUGACACGUGAUGUACUAUUUUGUCUGCCAGUCAUACUAAAAAAUAUCUCUUGAAACUGGGAUGGUGAGACGUGUCAGAUUUCGACACGUGUUGGUAUUUGGUUAAUCUUGAUCUUAUUUUUACCGACUUUAGUAACUGGAUAGGUGCCGAGGAUUUUAUCGUUUAUCGGGUCCCACGUCAAUAGAUAUUUUCCAUUGGUUCGUAAGCACUACUGAACCGGCCCAAUUUCAGCAAGUUGUGGUAGCCCACAUACGGGUCCAAUAGGCCUUGUCUGUGGCAUAGUGAUAUUGGGCUGAUCACCAUUUGUUGAGUGGAUUCGGAAAAUCUGCUACGUGAUACGAAAGAUGAAUUUUUAAGGCUUAUUUAAGCCCACAACUCUCGAAAAUCAACUUUAUUCUCACAAUUCAAAAUGUGUUUUAGGGAGUUUUAACGAAAAGUUCAUGGUAUUGUUCACUUUAACGAAAAAUUAUAUUUUUACACUAAAAAGUCAAACCUGCUAAUAUUCACUUUACCCUUUAUUUUGUCCUUAUAGUUAAAACUCAAAAUUUUCAAACCCUUUUCAUUAGUUUUUCUUAAUUUUUAUUCACUUUACCUCAUCCCGUCACAUCCGUCAAAAUUAUUUUGAAAGGCGGCUCUUCUACGGUGGAUCCCGAUUGCUAAUUUUGGUAUUUGAUUGAAUAUUAAGGUAUGGGAUACAUCAUACGAUGCUGCGGUUGCCCAAAGUUUUGGGUGUUCCAACAAGAUGAGCAGACCCCAAUCUGGACCUUCAUCUGGCUUGAAUACGAAGACGGUAGAUGCAUAUUUUUCUGUUCAUUUUUUUCCUCCUUUUUUACAAGCUUCAGAGCUUCUUCUAGGGAACUAGUAGCAUUUCCCAUCCGUACAGGUCUUCCUCUUGCAGUUUUUUUUAGUACGUCAAUAUUUUUAUACUAAGGGAAAGGGGAGUUCGGCUAAGUCACAUAAUGAGCAGUCUAAUUUGGUAUCGAAUUCACGAGAUUCGAACCUAAGACAUCUCACUUCUAAGUGAAGAGGAAUAUCACCAGAUCAUAGUAUUUAGUGGCCUCUUGCAGUUUUGGAAGCUUAAUUUUACGAUGUUUGGGAUACCCCUUCACAGCCUUUAGGGGAGUAUACUUGGAGGUUGUUUUGCUUUCUGUAUUAAUGUUAUUUCCUGUCCUUAGUGUAAAACUAUAUUGAUGCACUAAAAAAAAUGUUAUUAAAAGGGUAUGAAGAUCCUCUUGGGAUCCCUUUAUCGUAUCCGUUCAUCAUAUAUCGUGCGGCCAAUUUUCUUUAGGUACUGUUUAUGUUCAAUUUUAAAUAAAAAAAAUCAAAUAGAUUUAUGGUCACAUGAUGACAGAUGAACGGACAUGAUGAAGUGUUCCUUAGGAUCUUCACUAAGAGGAUCCGAAUAGGACCCUAUUCCAUUAAAAGGGAAUAUGAACAAACAAACGGUUUUUGAAAUUAUAACUUAUAUAUGUUAGGAAGUUUCAAAUUGAAUCUCUGGUCCAAUUUUGAGUGUGAAAAUAAUUUUUACACUCUUUUUCUUCGUACUCAAGUGCUCUAAGUUUAUUUUUUUUGUUUGAUUCUGUUUUGAUUGGUUCAAUCUAAAUGUUAAAAGGAUAAUACUAGAGAGACCAAAUUUAUAAACCAAAUGAUGUGGAUGUUGAUGAUUGAAUUAUUACUUAAGUGUUAAUAUACUUAUUUCCUAUUAAUAACACAUCAUUUGAUUUGCAAAUUUGGUUUAAAAUUUUAGUCUUCCUAACAUUAUUCGUAUUAAAAAUAAAUACGAGAGUGCAUAAAUCACUUUUUUUUAGUGGUUCGGUUCACAUUUUUCCAACAAGAUCCUCUCUGGAUUCUUUUGGUGAGGAUCCUAGGGAUCCGUAAAUCAUGUCCGUUCAUCAUACAUCGUGUGAUCAGUUUUUGUCAGGUAGUGUUUGUAUUUAAUUUUUAAUAAAAAUAUUUAAAAUGAUUUCUAACCGUACGAUAUACGAUGAACAGAUAUGAUUCACAGAUCUUUGGAAUCUCACAAAAAGGAUCCGAUUUCCACAUUUUUGGCACCUAAAACAAAGAAAUGACACCAUCCAUCUCUUUUCCAAAGUAGAAUCAUAAUCACCAUAGGAGUUGAUUACUUAUCAAUUUAUUGAAGAAGAUGUCAAUGUUUCCUUGCAUCCAAAGAUUUUUAAUAUAUAAGCCGCGAUGGUCAACUCAGGUGGCGAGCGAGAGUGAAGUAAUGGGUUAGAAUUGAGCAAGAGUAAAGUAAUUAAUUGGUUAAGAUCAAAAUACACAAUUUUUGUUUUCAAUAUAUGAACUACUCAUUAGUACGAAAAAUUAACGUUUAUGAUUGUAUGAUAUAUUAUUUUUACUUAAUUGCCAGUCUAAUUGAUAUAAAACCAGACAGCCCAAUAAUCUGAAUUAUCGAAGACUUACCCAAAAAUAAAGUAUAGGUUUCAACUCGUUCCAAUGUAAAAAACAAAUGUGCACUAUACAUGACGUCCCUUUGAAAGGCAAUAAACUAGGUAAAAUCUAGUUGAAGACAAGUCCUCACUCAAAAGAGGAAAGAAGAAAAAAAGAAAGGCAUGUCAAGCCAAUAAUUAAUUUAUUAGGUACUCCAAAGAUGAUCAAAGCCUAAUCUUAAUCGAGAAUUAAAAAAACCCUAAACACGCUUUGGAUUUCGCUUAUUAUAAUUAAAACUUUCUUGCUCAUGUGAGCAUUGGUGUCAUAAUUGGUUGGCCACAUGCUCUUAUCAACCUAUCAAUUAAGAAUAACUAAUUAUCAUGCUUAGCCUUUCUUUUCCAAAUGAUGUAGUGGGCGGCAACUAUUGCCUUGGCUGGGCCCCAUGGAUAGCGAGAUUUUACAAUAUAUUCAGAAUAUGAGUGGUAUGUCAUAUGUUAUUAUAGAAGUGCAAGAAUUUUUUUUAAGCGUUUAUCCACUUGUAUUCAAAUACUAUUUACUUCUAACAUCACAAGCCUUAUUUAUUCAUAUUGAAAAAAAAAAAAAAAAAAAAAAAAGCUCUCCAUUCUCUGUCGCUGAAAACACAAAGGAAAAGUCAUAGUCGCAGGCCCUAAGCCUUUUAAGCUUGGGUGCCGACAGCAACCCCCUCCCUUUUCUCCUACUUCCCUCUUUCUCUUCUUCCCUCUUUCUCUUCUUCCCUUUUUCUAUCUUUUCAUUUUUCCUUGAGUUUUAUCCCAAACUUUUUUAGCUUGGUCUCUAUUUAUUCUUGUGCUUAUCUCAGAUUUGAGCUUCAUGCUCCUUCUUAGGCAUUUUUCGCCACAUCCCUAGCAUUUUUCGUCGGUUUGCACUGCCUUUUAUUUUUUAGUUUUCCUUCCUCCAUCUCCUCUGGCUGUAACGUCCUGCCCCCAAAAUAUAUAUUUUCGGGAAAUAAUUCUAAUGAUGGGCCCAAUUAAACUCUUGUUUAUUUAACUACCAUUAAUCGUGAUUCUUUAAUUAAAUGCCUUAAUUCCACCCAUGAUUUAAUUCCAGAAUUCUCUCACCAAGACAUAUGAUUAUAUUCUCAAUUUAUCACCAUUUUCUUUUCUUAUGUUAAUUUCCAUUCUAAAGAUUAAGGAGGUGUAUUCAAUUGGGAAUUUGAGGCAUUUUAAUUCUUUUAAUGAAUCUAUGGGUAUUCAAUCAGGGUUUUAUGUGAUUCUCUGAAAUUCAAGGUGUAUUCAAUUAGAAUUUUAAGCUAGUUUAUUAAAAUCCUUAGAAAUCCGGGUGUAUUUAAUUAGGAUUUUAAAAAAGUUCAUAACAUUCUAGGUGUAUUCAAUUAGAAAUUGAUUUUAAAGAAUUUGAGAAAGUUGAAGAAUUAGAGGGAAUUAGAUAAAUUUCGUAGUGUAUUUUAAGCAUCCACAAAUCUCACCUCUCCCGAUGAGAUUUCGAGGGAAUUGAAUUAAAAUUUUAUAUAGAAUCUCUACAAAUCAAUUAAACUCCAUAAAAAUCCAUAGAUUUAUAAAUCCAUUAAAAUCUCUCAAAUUCUCAAUUGAAUACACCCCCCUAAUUCUUGAUUAUUUAAGGCUGCAUCUAACACUGUUAGACUACUUACGUACCCUUGAGCGGGAUCAAGUCUUUCGUAGUUCACAAUUCAUUCUUUUAUCCAUUACCGAAUUCAUAUUGACCAAAAGUCAACUCUUGAUCAACAGUAGGGUCCACAUGUCACAUCCCCGCCCGGGCCCGAUGUCCUCGUCGGCACACUUCCGACCAGGGAUUGGCUCUGAUACCAUUUGUCAUAUCCCAGCCCGGGGCGGACCACUUCCCGAGCCCAUUCCACUACCGUAACACGAUAUUAUCUGCUUUGGGUUUACCAUUCCCUCACGGUUUUGUUUUUGGGAACUCACGAGCAAUUUCCCAGUGGGUCACUUAUCCUGGGAGUGUUCUGGCCUCCUUCUCGCUUAUAUCCAAAAUGCAACUGUAAUCAACAUAAGCAACAACGAUGUACACAGUUCACAUCAACAAGAAGAAAAAAAAAAGCUAAAAUUUACAAUAACUUGGUCUUAAUACUAGCUGGAGAUUAAACAAGAUGCUUAUUAUAUAUACUAUGCAUACGAAACAUGAACCUGCAGCUUCAGUUCCAGCAACUUCCAAGCGCCCAGAUCAGAUAUUGAACCCUCCCAGAUCGCAAUUGGGUGAAAAAUUACACCGCAUACCAGAUAUUCGAGGUUGUUGUAGAAGAGGGUGUGCUUGUCCAGCAGGAUCAAUUGCACCAAAGAGUGGAAAACGGUCAUAAUCUCUACCAAUUAUUCCACCAAUCCUUGGAGGUACAAACGGGUUAGGGUUCCUCCUGAUACGGUUGAAAUAAGGCCUCUCAAAUGAUCUCCACGUCACUACUGCUUUCAUUUGUUGCUUCCUAGUCUCCCAAUUUCCAACAAAUCUAAACUUCCAAUUAGUCACUGUUCCUUCACCUCCGGUUCCUUCUCCUCCAUUACCAUUACCGAACUCAUCAGCGUACUUCUGCUUCCACAACUCAUCAUUAUUACCAAGAUUUUGCAGCUCAUUACAAACACAACCCACCUUGGCAAUGUUAACACCAACCAGUGGCUCUAGAAUCUUCAUUUUGAUCUCCGGUGGAAGGCGCAUAAGGCUUGGUGGUGCAAGCAAACUAGCAUUUGCGCAAAGAUCAAUCAGCAAUGGGAAUGUGAUCCCAUCUUUCACAAUCUUCGAUAACUCUAAAACGAACCCAUCUCUGUCAUUGAAAUUUUAGGUUCCAUAAACGAAUUCAAUCGUUUGCGCGAAAGCAAUCUCAGGAUAGGUGACCCACCGAGAAGUUCUCGUGUGAGUUCCAAAAAAUAAAACCGUGAGGGCGUGGUUGGGGCCCAAAGCGGACAAUAUCUUGCUACGACGGAGUCAUGCCCGGGAUGUGGUGGGGGCCCGUGCCAGAAUGUGACAAAUGGUAUCAGAGCCAAUCCCUAGCCGGAAGUGUGUCGACGAGGACGUCGGGUCCGGGAUGUGGUGGACCCGGGCCGGGAUGUGACAAAUGGUAUCAGAGCCAAUCCUUGGUCAGAAGUGUGCCGACAAGGACGUCGGGUCCCUAAGGGGGGUGGAUUGUGACAUCCCAAAUCGCCCAGGAGAGUGAUCCUUAAAUGUAUAUUCUCAUCCCUACCUAGCACGAGGCCUUUUGGGAACUUACUGGCUUCGGGUUCCAUCAUAACUCUGAAGUUAAGCGAGUUCGCUCGAGAGAAAUCCCAGGAUGGGUGACCCACUGGGAAGUUCUCGUGUGAGUUCCAAAAAACAAAACCGUGAGGGUGUGGUCGGGGCCCAAAGUGAACAAUAUCUUGCUACGGUGGAGUCAUGCCUGGGAUGUGGUGGGGGCCCAGGCCGGAAUGUGACAAAUCUUUCUUGCUUAACUUCGGAGUUCCUACGGAACCCGAAGUCAGUGAGCUCCCAAAAGGCCUCGUGCUAGGUAGGGAUGAGAAUAUACAUUUAAGGAUCACUCCCUUGGGCGAUGUGGGAUGUCACACCACAAUUCUACAUAAUUUGAUCUGAAAGAUCCACUGUAACAUCCCACAUCGAUCAACGGAGAUGGGUGAUAUGCCUUAUAUGUGCAUGCCCACCUUCUAUAGCACGAGGCCUUUUGGGAACUCAUUGGCUUUGGGUUCCAUCGGAACUUCGAAGUUAAGCGAGUUCGGACGAGAGCAUUCCCAGGAUGGAUGACCCACUGGGAAGUUCUCACGUGAGUUCCUAGAAACAAAACCGUGAGGGCGUGGUCGGGGCCCAAAUCGGACAAUAUCGUGCUACGGCGGAGCCGAUUUGGGAUGUGACAGAAUGGCAUUAGAGUCACUAUGUUGUUCGGUGCGAGUGUGCCGACGAGGACAUCAAGCCCCUAAGAGGGUGGAUUGUAACAUCCCACAUCGACCAACGGAGAGGGGGUGAUGUGCCUUAUAUGUACAUGCCCACCUCCUAUAGCACGAUGCAUUUUGGGAACUCACUAGCUUUGGGUUCCAUUAGAACUUCGAAGUUAAGCAAAUUUGGAUGAGAGCAUUCCCAAGAUGGGUGACCCGCUGGGAAGUUCUCGCGUGAGUUCCCAGAAACAAAUCUGUGAGGGCAUGGUCGGGGCCCAAAACGGACAAUAUCAUGCUACGGCGGAGCCGGUCUAGAAUGUGACACUAGUCGUGCUUUUCCUUCCUCUCCUUUGCUUUCGAUCCUCUUUCCAACCCAUAAUCAUGAACUAGAUCUCAAAGUGUUGAACUCAAUCUUAACACAAGACCUUACACUCAUAGUCCACUGCUGAACUAGCAUGCCGAGAAUUUUGGGCAAAUGUGGAAAGAUUCACUUCGAAACAAAGGUGUAGCUCUCAUUUUGGGCCUAAGUUCUUGUGGGCCUCCCGUUGGAUCUUAAGUUGUAACUCUCAUUUUACUUGAGCCUUUUUACUCUUUUAUCCCUUUUUGUUUUUUUAAUGGUUUUGUGUUUUGUUUGAACUUUAGUCCAUCUACCGCAUUUGUAAUUUUUCCUGUCUUUAAUGAAGUUUGUUUUAUCAUAUCUUGUUUUGUUUUGUUCAAGCGAUAUGUAGAGAAGGAACAUAAUAUGGUAAAUAGCUAGUGUUCUUAAUACGAUAAAUUUUUAUGGUUAUUAGAAAGACAAAUUAUGUGGUGUAUAAUUUUAUAUGUUAUAAUAAGGAUGUGUUGUAGGAUUCAUAUGUUCCAUUUCUAGAAUAAAUUAAGAAUAAAUAGAGACACUUAUUUACAAUUCAAGUAUAACAAUAACAUCGCAUAGCUGUGUUUCGAAUACAUCAAAAUAUUACUUUCUUAACGCAACUAAGAUAUCCAACCAACAAUAACAUGCUUGUAAUAGUAUACUAGUAGUUAGCUAGCUGGUAAUUAACUGGGAGUCUGAUAAUUAACUAUAGCUAGCUGAUAAUUAACUAAAUUAUGGCACAUCUUCUCUGACUUUAAUAUUAAGACUUUGGUCAAUGUGACAUUUUUGUUUCAUUUCUCAUGGCCUGAUAAAAUAAAAAUGUGAUUCCUGCUUGAUAAACUUUCAAUUUUAUCUUCUAACAUGACCAUUUUUUGCUUUUUAAAAGAGAAUAGUUCAUGUGACAUGUGAGGACUUGUUAACUAUUGACUGUAGGGUAUCCUUAAAUAUUAUAUUUUAUUCUUCAUAUAAAAUGACUGGAUAAAAGCCACCCAUUUUGUGUGCGUUUAAAUAUAUGAGAGGUCUUAGGUUUGAUUUUCGCUAAAAAUGUGAAUUUGAACCACAUUAUUGCUAGUCUAUUGUGAUGCUUAGCCCAUUUCUACAGUCCUUUAACGUAGAUAAUACAAUUUGUUAAAAAAAAAAAGACAAUUUAAAAAGGAAUUUGAAUAAAAUUAAAAUUAAUAAAUAGAAAUGUAGGAAGUGAGAGAAAGAAAGUGGAGAAGUAAAACUAUGGUUAUGUGUUAGUGGGAGAAGGAGAAAAACAGCAAAAACUUAAUUGUUUUGAAGUUACUUUAAUACUCAUAUUUUUUAUUUUCUAAUAUUUUCGUUCAAUUAUGUAUAAAAUGGUAUAACAGUAAUUUUAUUGAUUUUUAGUUGAUAAACAUGUUCUAUUUAAUAUAGUUUAGAUUAAGGAUAGUGCUAUUUUUUUUUAAGAAAAAGGAUAGUGUUAUUAGCACAUCCAUUUUUACAUUCCACAUACACUUAUUCAUUUUUUCUAUUGAUAUUCUUCAAUUCAUUCGGUCAAAUGACCGAAAAUUGGGAAGGAUGUAUGAAAAAUAAAACUGAGUGUGGGGAUAGAACUAACCUAGAUUUGUGUUUUAAUCAUGGCCUAUUUUUAUAAAUUAAUGUCCAUUGAUAUAUCUAAAGAGCUUCUUAAAAAAUAUAAAAAAAAUAAAAAUAAAAACUUUAGAGUCCACUAAAUUUGUCUAACCUUUAUCAUCCAAGUUCCAACUUUGAAAACCACACAAAAUUCCAGCACACAAUAUGCCAACAUUUUUAAUUUCUAAGAAAAUAAAAUAAAGUAUAUGCCAACAUUAUUGACACGGGAAAUUUAAAUAAAAAAUGUAUUGCCUAAAAAAAAAAGAAGCAAAAUGUAUACAAACAAGAAGUAUUUUAUUAAAUAAAUUGGCAACAAAACCAGAAGCCAAAAGGAAAACGGAAGUAUCGCUUACACAUCCUUACAUGUUCAACAGUAAAACAACAACCCAUGACCUACCCAUCAAUCAUUGUACGAACAAAUUUACAAAAGCCAUGGAUGUUCUAAGUAGUUAAAACUUACACCUCAAUUAAUUUCACUAAUCUCUCACUUAAUCCAUGAUUAACCCGACUGAGUUUAGCACAUAAACAUGUCUGCAGAGGCCAUGAUUGGUUGAUUAUUCAAAAAGCCAGUACCCCAUGGGUUCAGAAACCCAUCACCUCCACCAAUAAUAUUAUGAUUAUCUUCUUCCUCAUAGAUCCAUUUGCUUGAAUUAAUACAAUCCAUAAUAUCAUUGAGAGACUGCAAUCUGUUUGUGAGCUCAUCCAUCUGAGCUCUGAGGACUGAGUUUUCUGCCUCGAGCUUCAUGUAAAGCUGGUUGGUCACGUUCAUGGAUGUGAUGAUCUGGUUGUUAUCCCUUGUCAGGAGACCAAUCUGAGCCGUCAGAUCAGUCAGAUGCUCCUGUUUUCGCAUCCGGGAUCGACGUGCCGAUUCCCGGUUGGACAGCAUUCUUUUGCGCUUUCUCUGGUCCAUGACUUGGUUAAGAUCUUCAUCAGAUCCUGAGUUUUGGAGCUUGCUUGACUCUGAAGAAACCCCACUUGAAGAAGCCAUGUGUGAAAUACUUAUAUGCUUAUAAAAAACCAAAAAAAUCUAAACUUUUCUCUUACCCAAGAAAGUUAAAGAGUUAUUAUUUGAAGAACGCAGAUGCUAGAUUUAAAAAAUAAUUAAGAAAAAAGUAAAAAUUGUUUAUAAAAUGUUGUAAAACCAGUAGAGGAAAACAACAGAGAAGGAUUGGACAAGGUGGGUUCUGCGAAGGAGGGUGGAGUUUAUCAUACACCCAGAGAGCAGGAUUUCACUGAGUACCGGAAACAUGAUUAAAUCUGUAGGUUUGUAUAUUAAGCAUUGGAGACAAAGAAGAAGAACAAAUGUUAUGAACUUUGAAGCAGAAACAAGGUUUUCAGAACCGGGAGAGAGGUUAUGAAAUUUGAAGCAGACACAAGGCGUUCAGAACCAGGAGAGGAGAGAGAAGAGAGAGAAAGAGAUCAAAUUCUUGGGGUAGGCAGGAAAGAUAAUGGAGAGGAGGUUUUGAAGAGUGGUGGAGGGUUGAAUAUAUAGGCCAGCAAUGGCCACCUAAAAUAUAUAAACUACCAAAAACAAUUUAAGAACAUGUCUGAUUGUCUCAUAUAAUAUAAUUAUGAGGAAAAAGCAAUAACAUAGAAUGUGACUCUUAAUGGCCAAGUCCUCAGUAUUUGAAAAGUUCACAGUUGCAUAUCGGAUAUGUAUUCUCCAAAGAGUCAAUAUUUUCCACCGAUUUUUGUACCACACAUUCAGUAUGAAAUGGUUAGGAUAAACUUGUAAACUGAAACGUCUUAAGAGAAACUGUGUCUCUCAUCUCAUCUUAAGAUUAUGUAACAAUCAUCCCUGAAUUAUAUAUUGAUAUAUAACUUGAGAAAUACUUUCUUUAACCAAUGCUAUAAUUAUGGAUUAUUGUUACAAUUAAGCCUAAAUUAUUAUGUAACAAUAUAAGUUAUAACAUGUAAGCAUUUCCUUGAAGCAGCUAUGAAUCGUAAAUCUUUGCAUAAUAAAAAUAGACGAAUUGUGAUUACCAAAUGAUUAAAAAAUGCAUGAUCACUCAUCUUUAAAUUUGAUAUUAAAAAUAAAAAAUGAACAUGUUUUUAUGUUUUUAACAUAAGAUGAUAUUUUUUUCCCUCAAGAAUCCAUCAUAUAGUGGACAAGUGUUGCAAAAUUAGGUUACACCAACCAAAAGUCGCACAAGAGUCUUGUGCUAACAUAGUUCUGACUUGCUGUUCUUGUUGAAUCCCAACACCAACAGUACAUGGGCAUGCGCAUGUGGUCAGAAUUCUGAGAGAUGGUCCCUUACAAUGGAAAAUGAUCAUUGUCGGAUCUUUUUUUUCUAAGGAUUCCGUGAUCGUGAUUGUUUAUCGUAUAAUGUGCGAUCAGUUUUUGUUAAGUACUAUUUAUAUUUAAUUUUAAAAUAAUUUCUAACCAUAUAAUAUACGAUGAACGAUCACAAUUACAGAAUCUUUAAAUCCUCAAAAAAAGGAUCCGACGAGAAUCUUUUUCCCCUUCCAAUUAAUGAAUAAUACGAAGGGUAACGUCUUUCACAGGUUAGGCCCCAAAACCAGUGGUCAUUGGCUGCCCAGCGAUGGAGAUGCGUUUCAUAAAAAGAAAAAGUCAAAAAAAAUAUAGCCACUCGAGUCCUUGUCAAGUUGUUCUCGUGCCCUCGAGGAAUGCUCAAAUUACUUUUGAAUAUGCCGUGCUCGAGGGCACUAGAAGCUUCUAAUUAAAAUCUUGAUGGUUUUGGUUUUCAGUCAAUUCUCAUGUUUGAUGUUUGUAAUUUUAUUUGAGCAUGAAUUGCAUGUUUUAGAUAUUUAAGAUUUUAGGUGACCAAUUUUGUUUGUUCUAUAAACAAUAAUCUCCUUAGGACUUUGAAAUUUUGAAUUUGGAAAACACAUAUGAUUUAUUGGACCCUUCCUCAACUUUGAUUGGUAAUUGAGGUCUACCCCAUUUAACUUGUUAUACGCUCACAUACAUACAUACAUACAUACAUACAUACAUAUAUAUAUAUAUAUAUGGUGGGGAGGAAGAGAGAGAGAGAGAGAGAGGAUAUUCCACUUUUUGUAUGCCAUGUGCUUAAGAUUUAGGUAAUCUUUCAUUUAAAGAUGCCAGCUCCAGUUACUUUUCCCCAAGCACACUUUUCAUAUUCAACACUGAACAAAAGGCAAUAGUAAGUACUGGUGUUUUUUUUAUAAAAAUGCGUAUAAAAAAAACAGAGCUAAAAAAGAUGUUUGGUAAAUAUUUAAAAAUAAUUUAUUUUCAUAGUUUUGAGUAAAAAAAAGCUAAAAACGCGAAGCAGCAAAAAUGAGUUUAUUCUCACAAUAUAGCAGAAACAAUUUUUUUUUCAAAGUACAGCAAUACCAAACCAGCCUGUUGACUUUCACACUACAAAUUUAAAGGGGGCAUUUUUCUCCUCCAUUAUAAACUAUGGUGUAUGCUUAUUUUACAGUUAAUAAUCUACCACGUGUCCUUUUAUUUGGCCUUGAUUAAUUUUUUUUUCAAAAUUAAAAAAAAAAAUUAAUGUGAAAGUAACUAAAGUUAAGUGAAAUGACACGUGACAGAUGAUUAAGUGUAUGGUGAGCAUACACUAUGAUAGUGAGAAAAAAUUGUCCCAUAAAUUUAGGGUGGCAUUUUUGCUCAAUGCCAUAACUAUGUUGUAUGCUCACUAUACACUUAAUCAGUUGUCAUGUAUCUUUUCACCUAACUCUAGUUAAUGUUCACAAUAAAUGUUACUUUUUCAAUUUUGAAAAAAAUUAAUCAAGGUUAAUUGAAAGGACACGCGACAAAUGAUUAAGUGUAUGUUGAGUAUACACCAAAAUUUAGAGCGUUGAGCACAAAUAUUCCUAUAAAUUUAGCGUGCAUGGCACUGUUUUUUUCUGUAUAGAAAAAUUCUGAAACAAGUGAAAUGCCAAGGAGACUUUCAAAAUGAGACUCUCUAUAGAAUCUCUGACAUCUCAUAUUUUAAUAUCAAUUUUCAUGCUAACAUUAUAAAUAUUAUGCUAAAAGCAUGAGAUAGCAAAAAGUACAUGAAAAAUCAUACUUUUGAAAGACUCAUGCAUAAAACAAAUCAUUUAUAGUGUGAGAAGCUAAAUUGACAGUACCAAAAUCGCUGCCGAAUCUAAAAGCCAGUGAAAUCAUAAGCAACUCAGGGCAUAUUUGAAGUCUUUCUUGGACCUUAUUUUUCGUUAAAGUGAACAGUACCAAAAUUUUUUCAUUAAAGUUUUCUAUGAAAAAAGGAUAUGGUAUUGCAAGUUGCCGUGGAGGGCUUGGCCCCUAGUGUCAUUGAAAAAAGAAGGGGGAGGAAACCAGGCAGGCAAGCGGUGGGCAGAGCAGAGGUCAGUGAGUGGUGGGAAGUUGGGGGUUGAGAAGAAAAGUUGGCAGACAUAAAUAUCCAUGCUCAUCAACUUCUUCUGUGGAGGUCUCUUUCCUUGGGUCUCAACUUGUGUGCUCUUUUUCCUUUCAAGUGCACUUUUGAGUGUCAUGUUUUUAAUUUUUUUUUGUGUGUAUAUAGUUGGAUAUAAAUAUAUAUGGUGGAUGUUUCCCUAGUUUGUUUGCCAAAAUAAAUUUAAAAAGGCAGCAUAUCCAUGCAGCAGCUUUAGAAAUAGGGUGAUGCUAUAUUUUUACUUCUUAAAUACUCAUUGUUAAUUUUUGUUUUUUUUAUUUUCUUCAAUUCAUCCAAUUCGAUGACCGGAAAUUAAAACGAGUGUAAAAAGUAAAAAAGAGUGUGGAUAGCACUACAUAAGAGAGAAUGCAUAUAGAAAUGAAGAAUGGUGAGUGAAGGUUCAAGGAAUAAAGGAGAAGAAUAUAGGAAAUAAAAACAAGAGAAAAUAUAAUAGACAUAGUUUUUUGUUUUUAUUUUGUGUAUUCUUCUAUAUCCACUUCAUUCCCACCACUUAUCCUCCACCUCUGGCCGUCCAUCGUUUCUCUCUUAUAUUUCCUCUUUAUUGUUAACAAAAUAGUAAAAACGAAAUAGUUUUCAGACAACUUUAUAUUCAAUUCCGGUAGACAUUGACCAACCAAUUUCUAAACAAAAACGAGGGGCUAUUUAACCACUCUGCUAUCCAUCCAUAAUGGUUUUCUUCUCUAAGGAAUAACGUUUCCGUUAAUAGUUUUUAGUUUUCAAUUUUUGUUCGCGAUAGAGAAACUACAUGGAGGAAAAGAGGGACGAAGAAGGGUGGAGGUACAAAUGAGGGAUAAACAAAGGACGAUGAUUAAAAUAGAAAUUCGAAAUUAUAACUUAAAAGUUUGUUUUAGUUCUUCCUUUUCAUUUUAUGUAGCAUUUCAUAGACAUCUUCGACCUCCCUCCCACCACUGUUACUCCACCGUUCUUCAUCCCUCAUUUCUCCUCUUUCUCGACAUCUCUGUCAAGUUUUCAUAGCUCUAGGGCAGUCGUAGUCUCCGAUUAGUGCCUACCACAGAAGUACAAAGCAAAUGACACAAAUCAUAUGGUGAAAUUCUAGGAACGAUUAUUCCUUUCGCCUUCUGGUAAACCAGCAUAUGCUUCUGCAUAUACACUAAGCUUUGAGCAAGGGUCGCCUUUGAGUAAAGAAACCUAAAGAGAGAAUGAAAACAGAAGAGAAGAAUGGAAUAAAAAUGGACGCGUCUUUAUUCAAUUCCCUUGGUUAUAAUCAGGAAUGUCUUACAUGCAUUAUCCGUAAUACAGAUUCAUAGCCGUAGACUACAAAUAACAAGCGUAAAAAUACACAGAGUUACACGAUAGACCAACAAUACGUUUCUCUAAUGCAAGGUUUUCUAUAAUUAAUAAACACAUUGCACAAAGAAACAGGAAAGCCUUUUGAAAGUUUACCUAGGCAUGCACAAAAGACGCUUCUGGAUAAUAGUGAAGCAUCUGAGCAGCUUCUGGAUGGUAGUGAAGCAUCUCGUUCCACAUCAUCUCCCUAAUCAUUGGUUCCUCCAUAUUCUCAUCUAUGUCGAGACUGAUGGGAACCUGGGCAAGAGGAUUGGAUCUCGGAUCGUAUAGCCCUGACAUGUAAGGGUGUUGGAGUGCUUCUGUGACGGAGAUUCUCUUAGUUGGAUCAAACACAAGCAUCCUUUGCAACAAGUCUAUAGCUAAAGGAUCAGCUUGAGGGUAUAAACGGGACAAAUGUGUCCCUCUAGAAUAGGGCAAUGAUUUGAUGUACUUCCUGGCUUUUGGGUUGUCAAUGAAUGCAAGGUCAGGUUCCUGCUGGCUACCAAGAACAUUGAUAAUUAGUUUUAGUUGGUUGAGGCAUUCAGUUCCAGGGAAGAUUGGCUUCCGGCCAAGAAUUUCAGCAAAGAUGCAUCCUACGGACCAGACGUCAAUGGAUGUUCCAUAAUUGUCACAGCACAAUAGCAGCUCCGGUGCACGAUACCAGCGAGUGACAACAUACUCUGUCAUGAACUGGCCACUACCUCCGCUGGUUCGAGCCAACCCAAAGUCACAUAUUUUCAAGUCGCAGUUAGCAUUGAUGAGCAGGUUCCCAGGCUUCAAGUCCCGGUGAAGGAUGUUUGCUGAAUGAAGAUACUUGAGCCCUCGAAGUAACUACAAUGCAGAAUCAGAUUAGUCACAAGCAGAAUAACUAUUAGAAGAAUAGAACUCACAAAUUAACUGAAGCUUGGUAACAAAUCAAACUUUUAGAAGCUUAAAUGCAUAGAAACCCCGGAGUGUUAAGUUCUACAUAAGAAAAUGCAAGAAGCUGAAACAUCUCCUCAUACUUGGUCAAAAUGUGCUUUGGUAACAUGCUUUCUAUUCAUUCAGUUCCUAAAUCUUUUCCAGAAUCGUUUACAUUUCCAUGAACUAAUUCAGCUCAAAAUUAGCAUCAACCAAUUAGGAUGACUACUUAAAGAAUUAAUGAGAUAAAAUAACACAAGUUAAGAGAAAGCCUGUACCUGAAACAGAAAGUAUUUGCAAUGGUCACUGGAAAGUGGUUGUGAGGACUUUAUAAUUUGAUGAAGAUCCGUAUCCAUGAGCUCAUAAACGAAAUACACGUCCUUGAAGCUUGUCCUGUGGAUAGGCAUCAUAACAUCCUUCAGAGCAAUCACAUUCUCGUGCCGGAUAUGUUUAAGAAGCUUCAACUCCCUCAGAGUCCUCAACGCAUCAAUGCGGUUCUCAAACACAUUAUUGAUCUUCUUGAUUGCAACUUUCUCAUUCGUUUCCCUAUUGAUUGACGAGCACACUACACCAUAUGCCCCUCUCCCUAUGGGUUUGAUUGGUACGUACUUGAUGUCAACCUCAAACAAUGUCUGCCACAUUGAGUAAUAAUGCUUCCCCCGUUGCCUAAUUCCGUUCGGAGGCUCAACUAAAGUUGCCAUUUUCCUGCAAACCACUGUAAAAUGAUCCAAAUCACUCAAAACCCCUCAUAACAUAAAACAUAAUUACUUCUUACAAUUCCCUGUUUAUGAUAAUAUUCUUGCUACUUUUUCCUACUUUUAAUUACAUACAAUUCACGUCUACUUUUGGCUUCCUUUUUUACUUUCAACUCCUAAUUUUUUCAUCUUUUUCUUUUACUUUUCAACCCAGCAAUUUUCCAAUCCCAUUCACACCACAAAUUCUCCAACUUCCACACACCCUAAAAAACUACCCAAGAAACCAAACUCAAAACUGAAACUGAGAAGCACACUUAUUCCCCGAGUUCGAACUCCCUCCCCCGAAUUUAAAUUAGUUUAAAGUAGAAUAUCGAUCACAUCAAAACACUAGCUGAGAAACCAAAGUUUUACUUUUUACCAACAUGAAGGCUCCCAAGUUCACUUUCCCAAUACCCAAUUCACGAAUUCAUAGCUAAAUUCUAAAACUUUAUACAAAAUUCAACAGCAAAAAAAAAAAAAAAAAAAAAAAAAAAAAAAAAACCCAGAAAAGAAAUAAGAACAAACCUCAAUAAUUGGCGAGCAACAUUAACAGGAGAAGAGAGAGAUCCUCAAAGGUCGUGGGGACAAGUAACUGGCUUGUAAAUAGAUCUUCCCUUAUCUAUAUAUAAAUACAUAUAUAUUUAUAUAAAUGGCUCAAAAGCUCACAGUGGUAUCAGAUCAUCACGAGUUACGAUUCGUUAUUUCGUCGUGAUCAGUGAGAGAGAUCUUAGAGAGAGGGAGGAGAGAGAGAGAGGGGGGGGGGGGGUUAAUGUUAAAUGCAAAUUAGUUUUGGGUUUUGGGGGGUUUGGGGAAUUGGGGGAGAGAGAGAGAGGAGAAGGAGCCAAACCCAUGACACCAACACGGCAAAAAUGGGUGGGUGUAUAUGUAUAAUAUCACAAAAACGACAGCUUAAAAGAUCAACGCUUUCUUUCGGUCCUCGUUUUUGUUGCUUCAUGCACAAUCAAUCAAACACUAAAAAAUCAUGCUCUCGAGUUUACGAUCACGCCGUCGGUUGACGGCUCCGGUUCAGCUCGGCUGGCUUAUCAGUUCAUCUCACACUUCACUCGUUUUUGUAAUGGUAAAUUACGUUUUACCCCCUUAGGUUUUGGGUUAAUUUCAAUCCCUUACGCAUCUUUAAAACAUUUCAAUUUCAUACAUUUACUUAUCAUUUUAUUUCAAUUUCCUACAUCCGUUAGAAAAUCUGUUAAGUAAACUGUUAACUGAUGACGUGGCAAAUAUGUAAUCCACAUUUAUGCUGACGUGGCAGCCAUAUUUGUGUCACGUGACAAAAAAUUAAUUUUUUUAUUCAUUUAAAAUAUAAUAAUAUUUUACCUAUUAAAUUAAAAUAAAUAUUAUUUUUUUACCACGUGGCACAAAUGUAACAGUCACGUCAGCACAAAUAUGGAUUCCAUAUUUGUCACGUCAUCAGUUAACGGUUUGCUUAACAGAUUUUCUAACAGAUGUAUGAAAUUGAAAUAAAAUGAUAAGUAAAUGUAUGAAAUUGAAAUGUUUUAAAGAUGUUGUAAAGAAUUGAAAUUGAUUCCAAACCUGUGGAGGUAAAGUAUAAUUUACCCUUUUUGUAAUUUGCAAAUGUACCUUUUUUCAACCCUAUUUAAUUGGAAAUUUAUACCAUGAACGGCACAAGAAUUCAUUGUACUUAUCUAUUUUUGCAUAUGGUAAAUGUUUUAUUUUUAUACUUUGAUUCAAUGAUAUUUUUAGAAUGAGGAUCCUCUCCAAAUCCUCUUUGUGAGGAUCCGAGGAGCAUCAAAUCGUGUUUAUUCAUCAUAUAUCGUACGGUCAGUUUUCGUCAAAUACUAUUCAUGUUUAAUUUUAAAUAAAAAUAUUUAAAAUGAUUUCUAGCCGCACGAUGUACGAUGAACGGAUACGAUUUGAGUAUCCGUUGAGGAUCCUCAUUCAUAUUUUUAUACUUGAGGGGUGGAUGACUUGAGUUAAGGAGCUACAAAAUACGCUAGUUGUAAUAAUUAGAUAUCAAACUCGUUAUUUGAUGAAGUUUAAUAUGAGAUUUUUCAUAGUAAGAAGAAAUGUAAUGAAAAAACUGUGUUCAAUUUGAAGGUAGAAGUUGUGUUACUCAUUGACGAAACUUACCACUAACAAAAUUGUUGUCCAAUUUGACAAGAUAAAGAAAUGCUAGUCAUCUCCGCCAUUCUUCUUCAAUUACGAACCCAUCUCAUCUCCUUUGACAUAUUUGGAAAUAAGGAUGUAUAUGCUCUUAGAUAAUGCUAAACAAUUGGUGGUUGAUGUUUUUAAGUAUUUCUAACGUGUAAUUUUAGGAGACCUAUUACUUCGUACUCAUCGGUACAUUUUAUAAUGCUAAGUUCCAUAAGUUUGGUCAUAUCUUAAAUUUUUUAUUUUACUAUUAUUAAUGGGAGUGGGAGAGUUCGAAAUUAUUAUAAAAAUUUAGAGGAAGACGGAGUUUCAAACCAGACUCAUGGAUAAAAAUCCAACACCCUAUUUACUAGCAUAUAGGACCACAUGUGACCGCCCCUCCUUGCUCUUAUAUGACUUUGCCACUGGGGUAACAUAUACUUAACUACAAUGGUAUUAUUAAGAGUUAUGCACCACAAAAGGAACAUUAACAUAAUACAUGAAUGCUUUGUGUAAUCUGACCUCUAAGGAAACAUAUUUAACCCAUUUGAUUUUAGAAAUCAAUGCUAAUAACGAUCGCAAGAAUUUUGUGAUAUUGAUCAUACCGUGCUCUUAUUAUCUUAUUGAUUCAUGAUUUACAUGUAAAUAAAAAAGAAUAUAAUGUAUUAAUAUUGUAAUAGUUGAUGUAUAAUUAUAUGUGUAGGGAAUAUUAAGGUAAAAAAUGCUACUCUUACCACAUAUUUGUAUUAUCAUUUGUAUCAUCUUUUUAAUGAAGAUAAAACUUACAUGUGUUGGCUGUCCCAACCUAUCAGAGAGAUGUUGUACAAAUAGAUAGUUACGUGUAAUGUUACUCUAUUAAACCCUUUUGCUUUUGGUGGACUUGGCUUAAGCCAAACCAAAUGGCUAUAAGCCUAAAACUAAAGGGAAGCAGUCCAACUUGAAGAAAUGGUAAAGAUUGUGAAGAGUGUUGUCUUUGCUUUCCCUACAAUUCAGUAAUCUCUCUCUCGUGCGAAUCUUUCAAAGAAACAUUCUCUAAACGCACACUUCCUCCGCCGCCCUCCCCCACCUCUCAAGCAACCGGCGCAGCCACGUGGAGAUGCGGUAGCUGCCAGGCCGGUUCCUUUGCUGAGUUUUGCUUAUCUUGCUUGGUGGGACCCGCAUGAGCAAACCCUAUUUUGUUAUCCAUCUAGAUCUAAUAAUCUAAAGAGAAGUAGCUCAACUCUCACUUGCUUCCCAACAAGCAAAUCACAAAGUCUUUGUCUACAUCAUGAUGUCAUAUCAUGCGUAAUGCACCCAAACAAACCCAGCUGGGUUUGUACCAAACAAUUAAUACUUACAUCAACAACUAUCGCCGACAAGAUUGGAACUCAGAACCGACUCCAGCAAAAUUAGAGACUGAAUGUCCGUUAAAAUUAGGUUAUCUACAACAUGAUCAGAUCAUGCAUGCAUCCAAAAUCCAGUUGGGUUUGUAUCAAUCCCUAAAUAGUUUUUCCAACAACUAUCGUCCUUCUAUGAGAUUUGAACGCAUGAUUCCUUUAACAAAAUAGAGACUGAGUGUCGCUAGACCAAUAUUUAUUGCCUAUCAGAAACUUAUAUUGAAAAAAUAAAGAUAUUUACAUAAAUUAUAAUAGUUAAAAGUGAUAAACUUGCAAACUAUGCACAUGGCCAAAACUUUGUGCAUUCAUAAUGUAAGUGGUAAGAGUUUGAUGGAACAGUAAGUAGAGUACAGGGGCGCAUUUGGGUGGGGGGUUUUGAUAGCCAAAACAUAUCUUCUUCUGUGUCUAACAUUCUUCACCAGAUAUUGAACUGCAUUACAACCCAAAACAUAUUAGAAAUGUCACAAACUCCACCUAAAAGUCGAAUAAGUGAUGUUUUCGUCUCGGUUGCUCACCAUUUUCUUCUUCAUGUUGUUCUUCCUCUUCUUCUUUUUGUCAAGAGAGCCAAAGAGUUCCUCUUGCUGGGUAAGCGACUCCUCGAGAGCCUAAACAAGAAGCCAAUUCAAAUGAAGAUCAUACACAUCUAACGUUAAUAGUACCCUGCUAGUGAUUGAUGCAAAUGACAGAUUUUUACUUUCCUAUUGGAUUAUGUUUCAUGAUUUAUAGCGGAACUUAUAGAAACCCUACCUGCUUUGUUGCCAUAAGCUCUUUCUCCAAGGCACCAACCCGGCCUAGAGCAGUAUUCAGCAUUUCCUCCUUCUGAGCUGGCACGGUGGCUGGUUUCAUGUUCAAAACAGUCAUUCUCUCUUCCAACUCAGCCAUGCGUUUCAUGACAGUCAUGAGAUCUGAGCCGGAGAUGGCAGCGUGUGAAGAGCCCUGGCCUUUGACCAUUGUGUCACCGUCGCAGACAGUGCUGGAGUAGAAGGUGGAGUCAGUGAGCCUCUUCGGCAUGCUACGUGUUAGUCUGACCAUGGCGACAAUGCCCAUAAGAAACGUCAGAAUAGCAGCCAUAAUCUGAGAGCCGAACCCUUCAGGAAGUUUGCAAGCAUUGUUCCUGGUGAAACAAUCUCCUGCUGCAAGUAAAGGAAACUCAGACCCUACGGAAUAUCUUAGAGCUAGAAAAGGAAAGGAAACACAAUAUACAAGGUCACCUAAAUUCUUAGAUGAUUUAGCGUUUGAGAGGGCAAAUUUAACAUUCCCCGUCGCCAUUGGCCAACUUGAAUCCACGGAUUUACCAACCAUCGAGGCACUGUCCUCGCGCCUGAAAGACGCUUCGCGAGUUUUGGCUAGCGAUACCUGCGAAAAUUAUUUCACAGAGGAAGUUAGAACUGUCGCGACAAGAGAGGAGGGAAACUUCAGCUACAAGAUACGCAGAUAACAAGUAUAUGUGUGUCUAUGCUUAGAAACAUAUACAUGAAAAAAGGAAAGCUCUCAGUGUACGAGACAAUUGCUCGGUUGAAAAUUAAAUUGAACUUGGAAGCUUUUUGCACCUAUGCUUAGAAACAUAUACAUGAAAAAAGGAAAGCUCUCAGUGUACGAGACAAUUGCUCGGUUGAAAAUUAAAUUGAACUUGGAAGCUUUUUGCACUUACUUCUUCAUGGAAGCGAGAAAGUGCAUGAUUAAGUUUAGGAGUGGAACGGCCGAUGUUUAGAGCUGCACCGAGUCCCUAGGAAGAUUAUAUGAUCAAGGUAUAGAUGACAUUUACGAACCAGAAGCACCAAAAUAUAUUUUCAAAAAUCAUGCGACUGAGAAUUUUGAGAUGAUCUAAUGUCCGAAAUGUGACAAUCCAAAAAACUUGUCAACUAGGGGCAGGUUUAUAAGGAAAAAGAAAAGCAGAAGAUAUGUUCAAGUAAGACCUACUUGAACUCCAGGUUUUCUUGAACAUUUAUGAAUGCCGUUUUGAACCAUCUGCAAGUACAUAAAUCGAUACUUAUGAAUUCUAAUUAAAUUAGAAGUUAAAAUAAUGCAUAGUAGUAAUGAUGCAUAAAGGGGGGAAAAAAAAAGAAGAAGAUACAGAACGGUCUUUAUCUACCUUCACGAUCUCAGGUUGUUUCCAGGGUCCCUUGUCCGAACGCAUACAGCCUCCUUGAUCAGAACAAGUACAUGUACCUCCUAAAAACUUGGGCAAUUCGCUGGAGCAAAGUCAAGCCAGAAUAUGUACAUCAAAAUAAACGAACUGAUGGAGCAGCUUAUAUGGUAGUGAAGAUCCUAAAAAGUCUGCCUCGUUUUGAACAGACUUACCUAGCAUCAAUUAUUUCAAGCAACUUGCUCUGAUACUUGUUGCCAAGGACCUGGAGGAUGAUAGUUUUCCCCGAUUAAUGUAGCCCUGACGAAAACAAGCACUUUUUAGCAUCAUAAUGUAUAUACUCACAUUAAUCUUUGCUGUAGUCUUCGGGUCAAGGAACGACUUCACGCUGUUCCACAACAUUCUAAAGCCAGAACCAGCGUUGAUGAUAAACAUGCGAUUCAAGGUCUGCGGUAAAAACAACAAUUUAUGUGGCAUCAUAAUUCUGCCAUCGACAAAAUAUGUUCUGAAGUUCCCGAAAUUUAUAGACCAAAAGAUGUUAAGGUACCUCAGGAUAAUUGUCACCGUCAAUCUUCUGAAGGCGAGUAAUAAGUUCCCUGGCAGCUUUGUUGAAAUUCUUAAAUCCCUGAGGCAUUACAGUACAACAACAACAACAACAACAAAGCCUUUUCCCACUAAGUGGGGUCGGCUAUAUGAAUCCUAGAACGCCAUUGCGCUCGGUUUUGUGUCAUGUCCUCCGUUAGAUCCAAGUACUCUAAGUCUUUUCUUAGAGUCUCUUCCAAAGUUUUCCUAGGUCUUCCUCUACCCCUUUGGCCCUGAACCUCUGUCCCGUAGUCACAUCUUCGAACCGGAGCGUCAGUCGGCCUUCUUUGCACAUGUCCAAAUCAUCGGAGCCGAUUUUCUCUCAUCUUUCCUACAAUUUCGGCUACUCCUACUUUACCUCGGAUAUCCUCAUUCCCAAUCUGAUCCUUUCUCGUGUGCCCACACAUCCCACGAAGCAUCCUCAUCUCUGCUACACCCAUUUUGUGUACGUGUUGAUGCUUCACCGCCCAACAUUCUGUGCCAUACAACAUCGCUGGCCUUAUUGCCGUCCUAUAAAAUUUUCCCUUGAGCUUCAGUGGCCUACGACGGUCACACAACACGCCGGAUGCACUCUUACACUUCAUCCAUCCAGCUCGUAUUCUAUGGUUGAGAUCUCCAUCUAAUUCUCCGUUCUCUUGCAAGAUAGAUCCUAGGUAGCGAAAACGGUCGCUUUUUGUGAUCUUCGCUAGAUUGCUCCGGUCAUUAGUGUGGAUAAGUAUAUAAAUGGAUAGAGAUAGGAAAGCAAACACAAGAUGUACGUGGUUCACCCAGAUUGGCUACGUCCACGGAAUAGAAGAGUUCUCAUUAAUUGUGAAGGGUUUACACAAGUACAUAGGUUCAAGCUCUCCUUUAGUGAGUACAAGUGAAUGAUGAUUUAGUACAAAUGACAUUAGGAAAUAUUGGGGGAGAAUGAUCUCGUAAUCACGAAACUUCUAAGUAUCGGAGUGUGGUGUCGUCUUGACUUGCCUUAUCUGUCUCAUAGGUAGAUGUGGCAUCUUCUCUGGAAGUACUACUCUCUUCCUCCAUCCAGGGGUGGUAUCUUUAACUGGUGGAGAUGCACAAGGUAAUGUAUCAAUUUCACUUGAAGCUUACUUGUAGUCUCAGGCUUGGUCAAGCGCGAUACAAACCAUGUAGUAGGAGUCCCCCAAGUCGCCGAGCUAGGGGGUCUGCUGAAAGAGGUGACAGACAAGGUAAGCAAUCAGAGCUCCGACUGAUUGUUCACCUUCUCCCCAUCUUGCAGCAGCAUGAAGGAUAAAGAGAAGAAAAAUGAGAAGAGAUGAUAUGAGAUACUUUUGCUUUUGAAGAAGUAACUUUCCACAGGCUUAUUCUUGAACUGAGCUGGAGGGUUUUCUGGUUUCCUCCAGAGUAUAAGGCCGACUGAAGAAUUUGAGGGUCAAAACAAGUCCAUCAAAUCUAGAGUACGUUCCACCCUGCUGAUAUGGGAUACUUUUGCUUUUGACAGAGUAAUGGGUGUAUCGGCACGUGUGCUGUUACGCUUGUCUCCACAUGCUUCCUUGUAUCCUUCGCACUUGCCCUAUCUGUUCCUCAAGCAGAUGCGGAAUCUUCCCUGGAAACAUAAGAUGUUGAAGAUGAGUACUCGAGAGCAAUGCCAGGUAAGUAAUCAGGUAAGGGGUUCCAGGCAGUCAGUUCCUGGCUGGAAGCUUGAUCCAAGUGCUGACUGAUUACUCUCUUUCUCCUUGUCUUGCAGGUAAAAACAAGGCCAAAGGAAAAGACAGGGAAAAAGCAUGAUAUGGGAUACUCUUGCUUUUAACCCUGAUGAUAUGAGAUAUUCUUGCUCUAGUAUAGCUUGUUUGCAGAGGUAUUAUCGGGGGGAAAGAAAGCUGAAUAUUUCGAAAGGCUUCGUUGGGAGUGCCCUCUCAGAUAUGAUGAAGGGUUGAGCAUUUUUGCAGGUCUGCCUGUCCGUUGGGGAUGAAGGUCGACAUAUAUAGGAGUCUCCCUAACAACAGGUAGUAAUGCUAUUCCUUUACCCUGCUUGGUCAUAGCACGGUAGUGGGAGCUGCCAGUUUCACAUGUUUUAACUCUGUCAGAGCACUUUGAAAAAGUGGUCUGUGGUAUCUGGCUCUCGAGAUUCGGAGAACGAUGCCUCUUCGAUUUUUGAGAAAGCAAUCAUGCUGGGGGUCUGGCUCUCGAGAUUCGUAGAGCAGUGUCUCUUCGAUUUUUGAGGAAGUAAUCAUGUUAGGAGUUUGGCUCUCGAGAUUCGGAGGGCGGUGCCUCUUCGAUUUUGGAGCAAGCAAUCCUGUUGGGAGUGUUGUCUCGAAUGUGAGUAAAGGUUGGGCAUGUUUGCUAGUCUACCUUGCCACGAAGCACAAAGGUUGACACACAGAGACUUUCCAAUUAUCCAGCAAUGGUACUGUUCCUUUACCCUCUCUUCGCUUUUGAGAAAGUAGUCAUGUUGGGAGUCUGGCUCUCGAGAUUCGGAGGACGGUGCCUCUUCGAUUUUGGAGCAAGCAAUCUUGUUGGGAGUGUUUUCUCGAAAGUGAGUAAAGGUUGGGCAUGUUUGCUAGUCUACCUUGCCACGAAGCACAGAGGUUGACACACAGGGACUUUCCAAUUAUCCAGCAGUGGUACUGUUCCUUUACCCUUGUGGGUAAUAAUAUGGUAGCUAGACCUUCAAAAAUUUAUGUGUCUAAACUUUGUUAGUGAUGUUUCUUUGCUAUUCUUUUACCUUUCUUGGUCAGAGCGAUGUAGUAGGAGCUGCAAGCUUCACGUGCUCAACUUUGGCAGAGAACUUUGGCAAAGUUAUCUGUGGUACCCAUGAGCUAUUGGAAGUGGGUGAUUGAACAGUAAGAUUCAUGUGCUUUCUACUUCACCAGAAGUCUUCGACAGAAUGCCCAUAAUUUCUGCAAAGCUGAGUGUGCGUGUGUGACAGGUGCUGACAAGGCUAGAAAAGUAGGUGCCUCUUCGAUUUCUGAGAUCGGCCCUCGUGGUCUCUGAGCAGCCCAGCUUUUGAGAAAGCGAGCGCCUCUUCGAUUGAUUCGGAGAACGAUGCCUCAUCGAUUUUUUGAGAAAGCAAUCAUGCUGGGGGUCUCUGGCUCUCGAAGAUUCGGGGAGCAGUGUCUCUUCGAUUUUUGAGAAAGUAAUCACGUUAGGAGUCUGGCUCUCGAGAUUCGGAGGGCGGUGGUGCCUCUUCGAUUUUGGAGCAAGCAAUCUUGUUGGGAGUGUUUUUCUCGAAUGUGAGUAAAGGUUGGGCAUGUUUGCUAGUCUACCUUGCCACGAAGCACAGAGGUUGACACACAGGGACUUUCCAAUUAUCCAGCAAUGGUACUGUUCCUUUACCCUCUCUUCGAUUUUUAAGAAAGUAGUCAUGUUGGGAGUCUGGCUCUCGAGAUUCGGAGGACGGUGCCUCUUCGAUUUUGGAGCAAGCAAUCUUAUUGGGAGUGUUUUUCUCGAAUGUGAGUAAAGGUUGGGCAUGUUUGCUAGUCUACCUUGCCACGAAGCCCAGAGGUUGACACACAGGGACUUUCCAAUUAUCCAGCAGUGGUACUGUUCCUUUACCCUUGUGGGUAAUAAUAUGGUAGCUAGACCUUCAAAAUUUAUGGGUCUAAACUUUGUUAGUGCUGUUUCUUUGCUAUUCUUUUACCCUUCUUGGUCAGAGCGAUGUAGUGGGAGCUGCAAGCUUCACGUGCUCAACUUUGGCAGAGAACUUUGGCAAAGUUAUCUGUGGUACCCAUGAGCUAUUGUUGCGUGUGGGAAGUGGGUGAUUGAACAGUAAGAUUCAUGUGUUUUCUACUUCCCCAGAAGUCUUCGACAGAAUGCCCAUAAUUUCUGCAAAGCUGAGUGUGCGUGUGACGGGUGCUGACAAGGCUGGAAAAGUAGGUGCCUCAUCGAUUUCUGAGAUCGGCCCUCGUGGUCUCUGGGGAGCCCAGCUUUUGAGAAAGCGAGCGCCUCUUCGAUUUCUGAGAUCGGCCUUCGUGGUCUUUGAGCAGCCCAACUUUUGAGAAAGCAAGCGCCUCUUCGAUUUCUGAGAUCAACCCUCGUGAUCUCUAAGCAGCCCAGCUUUUGAGAAAGCAAACGUCUCUUCGAUUUCUGAGCAGGCGCCUCUUCGAUUUCCGAAGCUCCGUCGAGUGCAGAUUUUUAUAGAGGCUGACAUUAAGUUCCAAAGCACACUUGAAUCUCCACCAGUAGAAGCUUCAUUCUUGCACUUCUAAGAUCUUGAUUUGUCCGACCUCUUCUCUCUUCAACACCUUUGAAAAUGUCUGGCCCCUCCGACCGUCGUUUUGACUUGAACCUUGUUGAAGAGGCAGCCCCGCCUUCUCCAGACAACAUAUGGCGCCCAUCCUUCGUCUUCCCUACUGGUCCUCUUACCGUUGGGGAUUCCGUGAUGAAGAAUGAUAUGACCGCUGCGGUGGUGGCCAGGAACCUUCUCACUCCCAAAGAUAACAGACUACUUUCCAAACGGUCUGAUGAGUUAGCUGUUAAGGAUUCGCUGGCUCUCAGUGUUCAGUGUGCAGGUUCUGUGUCUAAUAUGGCCCAACGCCUAUUUGCUCGAACCCGCCAAGUUGAAUCCUUGGCGGCUGAAGUGAUGAGUCUCAAACAGGAGAUUAGAGGGCUCAAGCAUGAGAAUAAACAGUUGCACCGGCUGGCACAUGACUAUGCUACAAACAUGAAGAGGAAGCUUGACCAGAUGAAGGAAACUGAUGGUCAAGUUUUACUUGAUCAUCAGAGAUUUGUGGGUUUGUUCCAAAGGCAUUUAUUGCCUUCGUCUUCUGGGGCUGUACCGCGUAAUGAAGCUCCGAAUGAUCAACCUCUGAUGCCUCCUCCUUCUAGGGUUCUGUCCAGUACUGAGGCUCCAAAUGAUCCCCCUCCGGUGCCUUCUCUUUCUGGGGCUCUACCGACUGCUGAGACUUCUCCUAAGCAACCCUUGUGAAGGCUCCGUCUUGUGUGUUUAUUUUGACUCAUGUAUAUGUACAUAUUUGUAGCUGAUCGGGGAUAUCAAUAAAUAAGCUUUCCUUCAUUUCAACGUAUUGUGUUAAAUACACCAAAGCCUUCUUCGCUAAGUUCUUUGAAUUUUCUUUUGUUGAAGCUUGUAUGUUGAAGCUUUCUGAGUGGAGCAUGUAGGUUGGGGUAGUGUUCCCUUAAUUUCCCGAGUGAGGAAAACUUCUCGAUUGGAGACUUGGAAAAUCCAAGUCACUGAGUGGGAUCGGCUAUAUGAAUCUUAGAACGCCAUUGUGCUCGAUCCUGUGUCAUGUCCUCUGUUAGAUCCAAGUACUCUAAGUCUUUUCUUAGAGUUUCUUCCAAAGUUUUCCUAGGUCUUCCUCUACCCCUUCGGCCCUGAACCUCUGUCCCAUAGUCGCAUCUUCUAAUCGGAGCGUCAGUAGGCCUUCUUUGCACAUGUCCAAACCACCGUAACCGAUUUUCUCUCAUCUUUCCUUCAAUUUCGGCUACUCCUACUUUACCCCGGAUAUCCUCAUUCCUAAUCUUAUCCUUUCUCGUGUGCCCACACAUCCAACGAAGCAUCCUCAUCUCCGCUACACCCAUUUUGUGUACGUGUUGAUGUUUCACCGCCCAACAUUCUGUGCCAUACAGCAUCGCCGGCCUUAUUGCCGUCCUAUAAAAUUUUCCCUUGAGCUUCAAUGGCAUACGGCGGUCACACAACACACCGGAUGCACUCUUCCACUUCAUCCAUCCCGCUUGUAUUCUAUGGUUGAGAUCUCCAUCUAAUUCUCCGUUCUUUUGCAAGAUAGAUCCUAGGUAACGAAAACGGUCGCUUUUUGGUAUUUCUUGAUCUCCGAUCCUCACCCCUAACUCGUUUUGGCCUCCAUUUGCACUGAACUUGCACUCCAUAUAUUCUGUCUUUGAUCGGCUUAGGCGAAGACCUUUAGAUUCCAACACUUCUCUCCAAAGGUUAAGCUUUGCAUUUACCCCUUCCUGAGUUUCAUCUAUCAACACUAUAUCGUCUGCGAAAAGCAUACACCAAGGAAAUAUCAUCUUGAAUAUGUCCUGUUAACUCAUCCAUUACCAACGCAAAAAGGUAAGGACUUAAGGAUGAGCCUUGAUGUAAUCCUACAGUUAUGGGGAAGCUUUCGGUUUGUCCUUCAUGAGUUCUUACGGCAGUCUUUGCUCCUUCAUACAUAUCCUUUAUAGCUUGGAUAUAUGCUACUCGUACUCCUUUCUUCUCUAAAAUCCUCCAAAGAAUGUCUCUUGGGACCCUAUCAUACGCUUUUUCCAAAUCUAUAAAGACCAUGUGUAAAUCCUUUUUCCCAUCUCUAUAUCUUUCCAUCAAUCUUCGUAAGAGAUAGAUUGCCUCCAUGGUUGAGCGCCCUGGCAUGAACCCGAAUUGGUUGUCCGAAACCCGUGUCUCUUGCCUCAAUCUAUGCUCAAUGACUCUCUCCCAGAGCUUCAUUGUAUGACUCAUUAGCUUAAUACCCCUAUAGUUCAUGCAAUUUUGUACGUCGCCCUUGUUUUUCCAUUGGCGAUUCUAGUUUUUUGUUUUUCAAAUCCUUUGCUGAGUAAAAGUAGAGGUUAUGGUUAUCACAUACCACUCCUUGCACAUCGAGGAUAGUUGUACUUUGAUCAAUGUUCUUCUUUGCUGCAAUUGAACAAGCUGGAAACUUAACCGCAAAUGUCCUUUCAAACUCCUGCACAUGGUACUUGAGAUAGCGGUCCAUAGUUGUGGCUUGCAUCAGCUUGGUCGCAUCUACUAGGCCUAUUCUCUCGAUUUACACAGGUCGUCCUUCCUUGUCUAUGCCAUGAUGUCCUUGGGGGUAGUAUUGCAAGACUUCAUCGAGUUCCUUGAAGUAAAAGUCCUAGAAGAAAAGAUAGAUACAUGAGUAACUAGAUUGAUGGACAAAUAUAAACAAAAGAAAUUCUGCUCUUACUAAAAGAAAACAAACAUAAAAAUCGAACGGAAAGAAGUAAAAUGAAAUAAUUAGCAAACUUCAAAAGCCUAAGCACCUAUUUCUACAGAGAAUACCUCCAUGAUUGUGUCAGCACCGAAUGCCUUCCUCCACUCGAGCAUGUCAGACCACAUUUUCUUGGUUUUGUCGACAUCAAAUUUCCUGGCCUUCAAGAAUCUGUCUUCCAAUGGUUAAGUUAGAUUGAAUAAGAAUGAAGUAUCUAUCUUAAAAACCAUCGAAGACAAAAACUUCUAGUGGAACAAGAAGAGGAAGAAACCUGAGCAUCUUAUGAUAAUCAUCGUGCUUGAAAGGAAGAAGCUCCUCCAAUAUAAGAGCCUGCCGCAGCGAGUCAACAGCCUGUAUCUCCUCUAAGUCAUGUACAUCCUCAAUGUCGAUAGACAAGACUUUACUACUGCUUGUUCUACCCCUUGUUGAAAAAGAAUUUCUGAACCUAACAGAGGCAUUCAUUGCCUUCUUCUUCAACGACCCGACUUUAGUCUUUCUAUCUUCCUCAGAGAUUUCAGCAUCAGAUACUGAAAAUUACACAACAUAAGAGAUUCAUACCUAUGCGCAUCAAACGCGAGGCAUCCUAAUAUGCAAAGAUUUAUAAGUCUACCUAUCAAUGCAUUAAAUUCCAAGGCUUUUUGUUCAUUCCAACAUCCUAAGGUCCCUUUAAAGUGGCAACGCGCAUUACAAAUUCAAGACAAGUCCUCACGUUUGAAGCAUACAGUUAUCAAGAUGUGAAAAUACGUUGAUUAUAAAUGAAAUAUCACCUGGUAGAGAUCCAGACAUGGUGUUACUUGUGAGGAAAACGGUGUUUACUUGUCCGAAAACAUUGCGAAAGUAGUAGCUGAAGGGCGGAAGAAGAAUCAAGCACUCGUAUCACAAUUCACAGAUGCAGACCCAGAAGCAAAACCCUGCCCAAAUGCCUGCAAUUACAGUCCCACUUGUAACCAAAUGCAGCUUAAAAAAAUAAAAAAUAAAAAUAAAUAAAAAUAAAAAUAAAAAAACCAAACCGAAGAGGAAAAUCGUCUAAAAUGAUCAGAAAUUAAACCCCAAUUGUAAAAUAAGAUAUCCACGACAUAGUGACCAAAUAAUAAUGACAUACUGAAAAACUGAUUAUUUUGCAAUUGGAAUUUGAAAAAAUGAUCGUUUUGGCAAUUUCCCAACUAGAAAAGCAAAUUACUUCCAAGUAAAUUUUAGCAGUAACAAAAAUGAGAAAACUUAAAGGGGAAUCCAAUUGAACAAAAUGCUUGCAUUUACAUUCCCACUCACAAAAUCACAACCACAAUGCAGCCUAAACUAAAAUUUGAAAAUACAACUAAGGAUAAAAUUAAAGGAGUUUUAACGAAACACUAUCGGUACUGUUCACUUACCAACACUUUUGUAUCAUUUUUAUUAAAACGCGAAGUUUUUAAAUCUUUUUUAUUAGUUUUUCCUUAAAAUUAAUUCGAAUAAAAUUGUGCAGUAAUAAAGACAGAAAGAGGCCGAGCCUUGACACAACGAAAAUAUUGUUUUUUUAUAACCGAAAGGUUACGAAUUCGAGUCGUGAAAACAACCUCUUUGCAAAGCAGACAGCCUUGUUGGCUUGAGUCGCCACUUUAGUAAAAAAGACAGAAAAACAAAAUGGAAUUAUUAUUGAUUUCAUUACGUCUAUCCUCUGGUGAACAGUGUUUGGGGGGCGGGGGUGGGGGGAGUCCCGAAAAAAAAAAAAACAAAAAUGGGGUUUUGGGGGGAGAGGGAAAAGGAUGGAUAUAAAUAUCCUGAAUCCUAGUUGGGAUUUGAGAGUUCUUAGAAAAUGGCGGAGAGACAGCGAGGCAGACAUGUUUGGAAGACACAUAGAAGAAAAUUAGUAAAUCUUGUUUUCUCUUUUUAAGGUUUCGAUUCAGUUCAGAGCUUGAUGUUUGACGAGGUCUCGACACAAGGCGAAACGCAAGGCAACUCCACUCAAAUUUAAAUAACGUCUCUUUGAUUCUCCCGGUAAAACUGUAUUGCCUUCAUUUCAUGUAUGGUUUUGUUUUCAUUUUUAUAAAAUCUCGAGAGAACAAUUUUAUUAACAAUAAUCAUGAAACAAUAUAGGGCAUGUAAUUUGAUCAUGGCUUACUAAUAUCGGGCUCGUUUAGAAAUGUUACUUUGAAAAACAUACUUAGAAGCACUUCCAUCGUAAUACAUUGAAAAAUUUAAUAAAAAUUCAAAAACAACCUGAAAUAUUUCUUGAAAGAAACAUCUGGCAAGUGUUUUUCUUAUAUAGCAUGACCGGAUGCUUUUCUAACCCAAAAGCAUUUUAACUUUUCCUCUUAAAUAUUAUGAAAAUCGGUUUUGGUUAUCUAAAAUCACUUCUAAAAGAUCGUUAUAUCAAUAAAAUCAGAGGCACCUUGAACCAACAAAAAACAAACCAAAAUAAAGAAUAGUAAUGCAACAAAAUAAGUGUUUCAACUAACUGGAUUAGAGAGAGAUAUACAUUGUGUAUUUGUUGUCUCUUUUCUUCACCUGCUGCCUUCUUUUAUUUUUGGGGAUAAGAAGUUAGAAACCAACAUCCUCCCAUUAUAUAGCGCUCCAGCAGACUCCUAUGAGUGUUCAUAUAGAACUGUAGAUUUCCAAAUCUACGUAUUUGGGAUUUGAUAGGAGAAAAAUCUUGAGAGUUGGAUUACGUAGUUAAUUGUUUGAUUUUACUAUGAAUAACGGAUCAUAGAUCUUAAGUUGUGAGAAUGUAUCUUGCUCGACGUUCACAUGCAUAACAAACUUUUAUUCUAACUAAAAAUAAAGGAUUAUAAAUCUUAGAUUGUUACUUGUUUACGAGAUAAUUUGUAAAUGUUGUCCUAUCACAGUUGUACUUUCUGUUUUUAUAGUUAACUUUUUUUGCAUUUUUCUUACUUUAUUAUAAAAUCCACAUCCUUUCUUUUAAAUCGUUUCAUGCAAAUGUACGUUUAUAUCAAAUCAUGUUAUAAAUAUGUCAAAGUUAGAGGGAUAACCUUUUUAGUGAAUAGAACGAAGCAGAUGUAAAAUGUCAUACUGAAAUUAUAGCACUAGGGAAUGACAAAUAAAAGAGGGAGGAAUAGAUGAUAUUAUUGAGCAUUCUUUCUUUCUUUAUGUAUAUUCUCUUUGUAUGUAUAUCGAUGGCAGUAAGAGUGCUCUAUUUAUAGAGCAACUCCAUAUGAAUAUCUUCUUACACUUUGAAAAUUUACAGCAUACCUUUUGAAAAGCAUGAUCUCCUGCAUCCAAAGUCAAUUUCUAUUUUUAUGGGCAUUGAAAACUUUUGCCAAAUUAAUGUGGGCAUUCACUACCCACCAGUAUUUUCAACAUUCCCCUUGGAUGCCCACAUAUCAACAUCAGUUGUCUCGUUAAAACCUUGAUAGGAAAAACCCAGUGGGAAAAAAACCAUAGCGAAGGAAAAAGAGUACAACUUUUCCUGGAUUGUUGACAUAGUGUUAAAUAUGCUUAUGUUGCCUCGUUAAAACCUUGAUAGGAAAAUCCCAGUGGGAAAAAUCCUAAUUGAAGGAAAAAGAGUACAACAUGCAUGUAUCAUGGAUGCUCCCCCUGAUAUGUAUCUCCCCCUGAUUCCGCAUUCUACAAAUUUAGUUGUUUGGUAAGUCGACGUAAUCCGAUACUUUACACUAACUUUUGAAACGUGCAUUUUGGUAGAGGCUUGGUGAACAAGUCUGCCAGAUUUUCAUUAGAACGGAUUUGUUUGACUUUAAUAACUUUAGCCUUCUGGAGCUCAUGUGCACUGAAAAACUUUAGAGAUAUGUGUUUAGUUUUAUCGCCCUUGAUGAAUCUUUCCUUCAUUUGGGCAACACAGGCUGCAUUAUCUUUAUGAAUGACAGUUGGAGUGUCUGUCUUUGAAGUUAAACCACAUGAAUUCCUGAUAUGAUGGAUCAUUGAUCUUAACCAAGAACAUUCAAGACUUGCUUUAUGUAAAGCAAGUAUUUCUGAAUUAUUUGAAGAUGUAGAACUAAUGUUUGCUUUGUUGAGCAUCAUGAGAUUGCUAUAUCUCCAUUCUUGAACACAUAUCCAGUUUGUGAGCGGGCUUUAUACGGAUAAGAGAGGAAACCAACAUCUACAUAUCCAACAAGGACCUGGUCAUUUGUGAAGUUCUUUGAGUAGAAGACCCAUGUCUGUUGUCCCACGAAGGUAUCGCAAUACAUCUUUAACACCUUUCCAAUGACGAAUUGUUGGAGCAGAGCUAUAGCUUGCUAACAAGUUGAUUGAAAAAGCUAUAUCAGGUCUAUUACAUUGUGCUAAAUACAACAAAACACCUACUGCACUUAGAUAUGGUACUUCUGGACCAUGGACCAUUUCAUCAUCUUCUUUUGAACGGAAUGGAUCUUUCUUAAUGUCCAGAGAACGAACGACCAUUGGCGUGCUAAGUGGAUAAGCUUUGUCCAUGCCAAAUAGCUUCAGGAUUUUUUCAAUAUAAGCUGAUUGGUGGACCAAAAUUCCACUAGCACAGAGCUCGAUCUGCAGGCCGAGACAAAAUUUUGUUUUUCCAAUGUCUUUCAUUUCAAAUUCGCUUUCCAGAUAUUCAGUAGUUUUAUGGAACUCUUUAGGGGUUCUAACUAGGUUCAUAUCAUCAACAUAUACUGCCACUAUAGCAAAUCCAGAGUUGGAUUUCUUAAUGAACACACAAGGGCAAAUGACAUUGUUGAUAUACCCUUCUUUGAUCAAAUACUCACUGAGACGAUUAUACCACAUUCGUCUAGAUUGUUUUAGCCCAUACAAUGAUCGCCUUAAUUUGAUCGAGAGCAUACCUCGUGGUUUGUUACUUGUUUCAGGCAACUUAAGUCCUUUUGGGACUUUCAUAUAUAUGUUAGUAUCUAAUUCUCCAUAUAGAUACGCAGUGAUGACAUCUAUAAGUCGCAUGUCAAGUUUUCUGAAACCACUAAACUUAUUAAGUAACGGAACGUAAUUGCGUUUAUUACAGGAGAGUAGGUCUCCUCAUAAUCAAUUCCAGGUCUUUGCGAAAAACCUUAAGCAACGAGUCGUGCUUUAUAUCUUGCAAUAUCAUUUUUCUCAUUGCGUUUCCUUAUGAAUACCCAUUUGUAACCCACGGGAUUUACAUCAGGCGGGGUUUGGACUACUGGUCCAAAAACAUUUCGCCUUUUCAAGGAAUUUAAUUCUACCUGAAUUGCAUCUUUCCACUUAGGCCAAUCUUGUCUCUGUUUACAUUCAUCAACAGAGCGGGGCUCAAUAUCAUCACUUAAUAUGAUUUCAGUGGCUACUGCGAAUGCAAACAUAUCGUCUAUAAUUAUUUCAUUCUGAUCCCACAAUUCAUUAGUGCAUGUAUAAUUUAUGGAGAUUUCUUUGCUUUCAUGUACUUUUGUCUCUUCAGGAACAUGUGUCUCAUCAACGACAUUUUCUUCUUCUGGAAGUCCAGAAUCAUGAAUUGUGGAUUUGUCAUUCAUUCUCUCUUCCCCGAAUGAUUUCAUUUGGAUUCAGCUGUGUCCUUAUCUUUCUCUUUCGAAGGGGUAAAUCUUUUGAACCUGGGGGUCUACCACGCUUCAGGCAUGCACCAUAUGAAUCAUACGCUGCCACUUUAUUUUGUCCAAUAAGGACAUCAAUUCUUGCAAGUGCAUUUGCAACUGGUAUAUGUGAUUUUUUCACUUUCAUAGCAUCAUUAAAUGUAUCUGGCAUUUGAUUGGCAAUGAUUUGAAGAUGGACGAUCCUUUUUACUUCAUUUUCACAUUGAAUGCUUCGAUGAUAAAAAUGAGACAAUGUGGGAACAACCCAUGUCAGCUCUUUCCAUUCUUCUGGAACGGUCUUUUCUUCCCUUAACGACGGGAAGACUGUCUCAUCAAAGUGACAAUCAGCAAAACGAGCUGUAAACAUAUUACCAGUUAAGGGUUCCAAAUAUCUAAUGAUAGAUAGUGAAUCAAAACCCACAUAAAUUCCCAGUCUACGCUGAGGUCCCAUUUUAGUGCGUUGCGGGGGUGUAAUAGGCACAUAAACAGUACAACCAAAAACUCGUAAGUGUGAAAUGUUUGGUUGAUAUCCAAACACGAGUUAUAUUGAGGAGUAUUGGUGGUUGGCUAUAGGUCUCAAUCGAACCAAUGAUGCAGCAUGUAGGAUGGCAUGUCCCCAUGCAGAAACUGGCAAUGUGGUUUUCAUAAGCAGAGUGCGAGCUAUUAACUGAAGCAGCUUGAUCAAUGCUUCUGCCAAACCAUUUUGAGUAUAGACAUGAGGAACAGGGUGUUCAACAUCAAUGCCCAAUGUCAUGCAAUAAUCAUCAAAAGUUUGAGACGUAAAUUCACCAGCGUUAUCAAGUCGGAUUGACUUAAUGGGAUAAUCUGGGAACUGUGCUCGUAACUUAGUUAUCUGAGCAAGAAGUCUCGCAAGAGCUACAUUACGAGUAGACAAGAGACAAACAUGUGACCAUCUAGUAGAUGCAUCAACCAAAACCAUAAAAUAUCGAAAUGGUCCACAAGAUGGUUGAAUAGGUCCACAAAUAUCUCUCUGAAUUCUUUGUAGAAAUGAUGGGGAUUCAGCAUCAACUUUUAGUUGUGAUGGUCUGAUUACUAACUUCCCUUGAGAACAAGCUUUGCAAGGGUUAUCAUUUGUGAUAGCAUGUCUUUGCUCAAUAAUGGAUGUCCAUUAGAGUUGGUAAUGAUCCUACGCAUCAUGAUGGAUCCUUGAUGACCCAGACGGUCAUGCCAAAACAUGUAAACUUUUGAAUCAAUGAACUUCUGGUUCAUGACAGUAUGUGAUUCAACUGUCUUUAUGUAUGUAUAAUACAAUCCACUCGACAAACCAUGCAACUUCUCCAAUAUACGCUUUUGGGUAUCAUUGGAGGUAAUGCAUAUAUACUCUACAUUUUUUGCACUUUUUGUUUCAAUGUGGUAUCCAUUUAAACCUAUGUCUUUGAAACUCAACAAGUUUCGAGUAUAUCGAGUAGCAUACAAUGCAUUAUGUAUGGACAAUAUUGUUCCAUUUGGUAACAUAAUCUGGGCUUUCCCUGAGCCUUCAAUUACAUCUGAUUUGCCUGAUAUUGUUGUUACCCUUAUUCUUGUAAGCAUCAAGCUUAAGAAAUACUUUCGAUCACGAAGUAUUGUAUGUAUAGUUGUGCAGUUUGUAAGACAAAUGUUUCCGCCAUUUCUCAUGUUUUGAGAAUGACCAUAGUUUUUAUCCAUGCUUUCUGAGUAAAGAAAUCAGAGUUAAAAGCAAGUUAUAACAAGAAUUUACAUGCCACUUUUAUUGAAUCUGAAAUGCCAGUUUUAAACUACAAGUUCAGCAUAAUAAAAGUAUAUCAAACAUAAAAGAUUUAGUCGGACCGGUAUACUUCAUUCCCCAUUUCCACAAUGAAGUCUGAAACAUCUAGGUGGGUUGUGUUCAAUUGUCUUGAUAAGUCACACACUUGAUCAGGUAAAUCCAUUGGUUUAGCCUGGUCGAGAAAAUUGGUCUCGACACCCUUCUCUUUGAAGAAGGCUUGAUACAGAUCCACCAGAUGUUUUGGGGUACGACAAGUACGCGCCCAAUGCCCAUUGCCACCAUACCUAUGGCAGGCUCUUUCAGAGUUCCUCGGAGCAUUGUUCAUGUGAACUUUGCCUUUGUGGCGAUUCGCAUUUUAAAGCUCGAGCCUGAAUUAUGCCUUAGAACCUGGUUGUGAAACUGACCACCAUGGUUCUUGCCUUUCCUGUUCCACCGACCUCCCUUGUGGCCACGUCCUCGUUUAUGAUUAUCGCCACCAGAGGCUGUGGUGUUCACUUCGAGGGAAGCAGCAUUCACUUCUGGGAAUGGUGCAGAUCCAGUAGGUCAGGAAUUAUGGUUUUUUAUAAGGAGCUCAUUGUUCUGUUCAGAUACCAGGAGCACAGAUAUCAGCUGGUUGUAUUCAGUGAAACCUCGUGCUCUAUACUACUGCUUCAGGAGCACGUUAGAGACAUGAAAUGUGCUGAAAGUCUUUUCCAGCAAAUUUUCCUCAGUAAUAGUAUCCCCACAGAGCUUCAGCUGAAAGGUAAUUCUGAACAACAUAGAAUUGUACUCUGCCACUGACUUGAAAUCCUGGAUCCUUAGGUAAGUCCAUUCAUAGUGAGCUUUUGGAAAAAUCACCGUUGUCUGGUGAUUGUAUCUGCUUCUCAAUGCAUUCCAAAGAGUUAACGGAUCUUCAACCGUUAAGUACUCACUUUUUAGUGCCUUAUCAAGAUGACGACGAAUAAAAAUCAUAGCCUUCGCCUGCUCUUGAAAGGAUGAGCUGCUCUCUUCCCUGAUGGUAUCUCCAAGAUUCCCUGCUUCCAGAUGGAUCUUGGUAUCCAGUACUCAGUUAAGGUAAUUCUUCCCGGUAAUGUCCAGGGUAGCAUAAUCAAGCUUCGCCAAUGUCGCCAUUUUCUUUUCUGAAAGAAAAUGAGAUGUGUAAGAACUUGCAAUAAUAUGUAUUCCUGGAGGAAUAUAGUGUUAGAACUUCUGGUUCUUACAAAUUUUUCAUUUUUAUCUUUAGGCCAAAAUGAUAAGCACUCGAAACUUCUGGCUCGAAAUUUUUAGGGUGAAUGAGGAGGGCGGUUGUACCACACCAUUCUCAUUGAAAUGAUGUAAUAUAGAAUGGACGAUUAUUCCGCACCACUCAAGUAGCAGGAAAAUUUAAAUACGCAUAACAAUGUGGGUGAUUAUACCGCACCACCUAAAAUUGUAAUGAAAUUAAACUGCAGGCAAAUUAAAUAUGUAGGGUAGGGCAGGCGAUUAUACCGCUCCACCUAAAAUUUGCAGUAAAAUUAAAUCUGCAGUCUAAGAUAGACGAUGACAUCGCACCAUCUUGGAUCGUAGUAGAUUAAAUUUGCAGUUCAAGAUGGCUGAUUGUAGAGCACCAUCUUGGAUUGCAGUAAAAUCAACAUAAAUAAAUACUAGAUUAGUAAUCAAGAUCUACACCAAACAAGAAAUCAAAGAUGUAUGUAACCGUUAGGUUGAGAACUAGAAGCAGGCAUGGAGCAAACAAUUCGUCGCAAGGGUAUACUGAGCAGUUGAGGCAGAGGAAGAAGAUGAACAGUAAAAACCUUAGAGGAAACUUUUUUUUUUCUUUCGUUCGGCGAAGAGAAAUGAUUUGCAUUCGGCGAAGAGGAAUGAGAAAUAUUUAUAUUUUAGAGACUCGUGCUAAUAACGUGUUACAAAUAUGUUAAAGUUAGAGGGAUAACCUUUUUAGUGAAUGAAACGAAGCAGGUGUAAAAUGUCACACUGAAAUUAUAGCUCUAGGGGAUGAUAAAUAAAAGAGGGAGGAAUAGAUGCUAUUAUUGAGCUUUCUUUCUUUCUUUCUGUAUAUUCUCUCUGUAUGUACAUCGAUGACAGUAAGAGUGCUCUAUUUAUAGAGCAACUCCAUAUGAAUAUCUUCUUACACUUUGAAAAUUUACAGCAUACCUUUUGAAAAGUAUGAUCUCCUGCAUCUAAAGUCAAUUUCCAUUUUUAUGGACAUUGAAAACUCCUGCCAAAGUAAUGUGGGCAUUCCCUACCCACCAGUAUUUUCAACAAAUCAGAUUUUUUUUUCUGAACUUUCUUUAAAAACCAGGAUUUGGGUUGAUUAUUUCCUGCUCUGUACAAAAUAUUUGGAUACCGAAUUUCCUAAUUCAGCUCUUUUUCGUUGUCGCCCUAGGCACACGAAAUCUCAGAACCGGCUUACAUUUACCAUUUAUCAAGGAGAAGAUCUUGCAUGUAAACAGAGUAUAUAUCAAGUAAAGUUUAUCUCAAACUGAGGGUUUAGCAAUAAAAUCGUAUUUCCAUGCAAUUGGUUUACUAUGCUAGCGUAGUUUGUUCACGACAAACUAACGUGUGGUACACAAUUUAAGAAAGAGGAUUAGAUACAGUGACUGACUUAACAUAAAUAACAAAAUGAAUGCCUGGAAGAAAAUAUUUCCACUGCAAAUGUGUUCCACAAAAAGAGAAAACAAAACCGAUCCCAAUCAUAUGGUAACAUAAAUCAGAUUUCACAACAAGUGUACAAGCGUACAACGCAUUUGAAAACUCAUGAUCCGGUUUCAGUCCGAAUCCGAAUCAAGAUUCACAGACGAUCUCACUAUCCUACGACCGCCUUCAAGAUAUCCAUCAUCUUCAUCAUCGCCUUCUUUCUUCUCACUAAUUAUACCUGUUAAAUUGGCAGUUUAGAGACUCCGCAACAGGAUGUGAAUUGGAAAACACGCUUGACAAAGCCAUUACCUUUCUUGAUUAGUGCAACCUCGAGCGCCCUUGUGCUGAAAUCAUCUUUCGUUCCCACUUCUUGAAAUCCAACCAACCUAUCCACAGCAACUCCUUUUCUGCAAACGCCAAGCCUUUGAAUCCGUAAAUAAUUUCAAUGAAGAACCAAGUGUAUGAUGAAAUUAGCAUGACGGAUUUCACAUGCUCUUGUGGCAAAUUCAAAUAAUUGCGGUAUUACUAUAUUUCCAGCUUUCGUUGUUCAAUUGCCUUUUCAUACAACAGCGAAAUGGUGCAUGCUGGUAUGCCUCUUUAAUGCUCGAAAUGAACAUGGAUACAGAAUUACAAUAAUUAAUACAGAGAUUGCCUGACCUGAAGAGUAUGACACAAGGCAAAGUUUUGAUUCCCAGCUUGGUGACGAAGAACGGCGCAUUCUGCAGUUCAUCAUCAAAUACUCAAUUCCCAAUUCUAAACCCUUUAAAAAGUAAACGACUAAAAAACGGAAGGUUGCAAUCAAGAAAGCUCAAUCCGAGUAAACACGAAAAGUUGCAUCAACUAUAACAACACAAAAUGGGGGAAUGAAGUUCACACUGUUGAGAAAAAAUUAGAGCACACAACUCUAAUAUAAGUGCUGGAAAGAUAAACCAAGCAAACAAAUUACUUGUAUUAAAAAAUUUAAACACUCUCAAAGACAGAAUUUAGAAGCUAUGAUACUCACUUUCUAGAGACAACACUCUAGAACACUCACCCUCUUACUUCUCACUUGCUUUCUUCUCUUCUUAAUUCGUUACAUAACAACACACACUUAUUUAUAAGUGAGUUUGCCGAUUUAAACCAUUGCCCACCGACUUGGGCUUUUGCUAAUGACCACACAAGUUUUAGCUUCUAGAUCAUUCUAGCAAACAAUAUUAUAGCUAGAACUUUCUAGCUUGCUAAUCAAAUAUGUAUGCUCCACCGACAUAACCUGCUAGAAUUAUCUAGUGUAUUCAAUAUGCAUCAACUGCCAUUUCCAUUACUAGAAUUAUCUAGCAAAAUCUUAUGCAUUCUAAAACACCAAGGACUUCCAUGAUAGGCUGGCUUAAUGGGCUAGCGUUGAUCUUUAACACUCCCCAUCAACACUAGCUCAUUCUUUUAUCCAUGUUGAGUUGAUGACGAAAGUUUUCGAACUUGCUGGUACUCAAACCUUUUGUGGACAAGUUCGCAACUUGAUUGUUUGUCUUAAUUAGGCACAUCUCAAUUUGUUGUAGAACUCUCUCUGAUAAAAUAUGUAUCUCCACAUGCUUAGUUCUCUCAUGAAAAACCGGACUUUCUUCUAAACAAAUUGUUGAUUGAUUGUCGCAAUAUAAUGACACUUCAUAAUCCACACAUAUCAUUCAUUAGUUGCUUCAACCACAUAAUUUCCUGAGUUGCCACCACUGUCGCCCUAUACUUUGCUUCCGUGGUUGACAAAGAUAUCGUUGGCUGUCUCUUAUUGCACCACGAAACUACUCCAAAACCAAUUCUGAAGGCAUACCUAGUGGUUGAUCUCUUGCAAAAUCUGUGUCACAAUAGCCAACCAACUUAUAGCCUUCUCUUUUUUUGUACAAGAGACCAUAGUCAAACCGCUUCUAGACGAGGCUUUUUUAAAUUUUGCAUUUACGACUCACCACACCAGUUGCAUAAGAAAUGUUAGGUUGAGUUAGAGUCAGGUGGAUCAAACUACCUACCAAUUGUCCAUCCAUUGUUGCAUCUUCCAAGUCCUUUUCAUGUGCGUACAUCUUGGCCUUCAAAUCCGUCGAUGUUAGAGAUGGGCUUGCAAUUAAGCAUCCCAAACUUCUGCAACAAAUCUUUUGCAUAUUUUGUUGACAUAGAAAUAUCCCUUCUUGUGUUUGAUCAACCUCUAGUCCAAGAAAGUGCUUGAGUUGUCCAAGUUCUUUCAUUGAACCGAACUGACAAAUUCUCCUUUGUUUGACAAAUUUAUGUUUCGUCAGCACUAGUGAUGAUUAGGUCAUCCACGUACAUCAAUACGACAUCUAACUUUCUUCUAUUAGCUUUAACGAAUAAGCCAGAAUAUGCAUUUGUCACAGAGUAACCACUUUGUGUGAGAAAUUCUGCAAUCUUAACGUACCACACCUUUGGUGUUUGUUUCAGACCGUAGAGUGCUUUCCUCAACCAUCCAUCAUGGAAGUCUCUUGGUGUUCUAGAAGAUUCAUGCAUAAGAUUUUGCUAGAUAAUCUAGCAAUAAAAAUGGUGGUGCACACAUAUUGGAUAUGCUAGAUAAUUCUAGCAGGUUAUGUCGGUGAAGCAUGCAUAUUUGAUUAGCAAGCUAGAAAGUUCUAGCUAUAAUAUAAUAUAGGUUUGUUUGUUAGAAUGACCUAGAAGCUAGCAACUUGUGUAGUCAUUAGCAAAAGUCUAAGUCGGUGGACAAUGGUUUAAGUCGGCAAACUCACCUAUAAAUAGGUGUGUGUUGUUGUGUAACGAAUUAAGAAAAAAAGAAAGUAAGAAGAGAAGCAAGUGAGAAGUAAGAAAAGUGAGUGUUCUAAAGUAUGUCUUUAGAAACUGAAAGAGUGUCAUAACUUCAAACUAUCUUGAGAAUUUGUGUUGUUAUUUUUUAAUACAAGUAAUUUGUUUACUUGUUUUGUCUCUCCAAUACUUAUAUUAGAGUUGUUUACUCUAAUAUUUCUCAACAGGUAUAAGAGUGGUAAAGUCAAUGCUGUGAAAUUUUUGAAUUAAAUCCUACUAUUGCCAUUGUGGAAUCCAGGAUAGAAAGAAUAAUUAUCCAUAGGUUGAGACCCGAAUACCGAGGCUUUGUCGCCCCUGUACAAAGAUGGCCAACCAGACCAUCACUUGUUAAGUUUGAAAAUUUGCUUGCCGAUCAAGAAGCCUUGGCUAAGCAAAUGGGAGGGGUUUCGUCAAGAGGUGAGGAAGAAGCACUCUACACCGACAAAAGUAAAGAAAGCUUUAAGCAACAUGGUGAUGGUGGAUCUAAAAGAAAUGAUAACAAGGCGAAAGGUCAUUAAGGAGGUGAAAGUUCUUAGCAGAUGGAGCUUUAAAAUAUCACGGCAACCAUGGCCAGUCCCAAAAUAAUAAAAGGUUUGAGGGCAUGUACUUCAAUUGUGGAAAGAAGGGCCACACGACGAAGGAUUGUUGGUUUAAAAGGCAUGCAGAGAACAAUGCUGCUACUUCCAGACUUCCAGACCAAAGGAGAAAAGCGAAGCAUCGUUCGCUAUGAUGGAUCAGGAGUUAGCACAACAAGAAGUCCAUAAUCGAUUGACCACAACAAUGAUUGGAUCGUCAAUUAAGGCUUUUCAAAUCACAUGACGGAUGAUAAUGAGAAGUUGCAUAAUCUAACUAAGUACAAGGGAGGCCGCUUGGUGGUGACAACCAUUGACUCGAGGUUACCGACUGCUCAUAUCGGUAGGACAAUAAUUGUGUCCUAGUACAACACUAACCAGGUGCCGCUUCAAGACGUCUACCAUGUUCUAGGUACGAAGAAAAAUCUGCUUUCAAUGCCACACUUGACAUCACUAGGAAAUUAUGUCUUGUUUGGUCCACAAGAUGUGAAGGUGUAUCGGCACCUUAAGAUCUCAGGGACGGCAACUACAGUCAGUCUAUGUAAUGUCAGCAGAAACUGCAUAGGUAGACAAGACAAGGAAGAAAAAUACAACAAAUUUAUGGCACAUAAGAUUGAUCACGUUAGCUAUCACAAGCUAAAUGUGAUGAUGAUGAAGUCAAUGCUUAAGGGGCUAGCUCAGCUUGAUGUAAGAACAAACACAGUUUGUGCAAGAUGUCAAUAUGGUAAAACUCAUCAACUACCAUACGAGGAGUCGAAGUUCAAAGCAAAAGAACCAUUAGAGUUGGUUUUCUACGAUGUGUUUGGGCCUGUCAAGCAACCAUUAAUAAGUGGGAUGCAAUACUUGGUGACGUUCAUUGAUGACUUCUCCAGGUACGUGUGAGUUUUCUUCAUGUAAGAAAAAUUAAGACAAAUUUUCAAAGUUUAAAGAGUUUAGGGAGGCAGUUGAAGGAGAAGUGGGAAAGAAGAUUCGUUGCCUACGCACAUAUAAUGGAGGAGAAUAUACCUUGAAUGAGUUUUUCUACGGGAAUGUAGAAUACGCCACCAAUUCGCAUGUGCCAACACACCACAACAAAAUGGUGUGGCAGAAAGGAAGAACUGACAUCUUGUAGAGAUAUGCCAGUGUAUGCUACAUGGGAAAAAUGCACCAGAAAGGUUUUGGGAUGAAGCCACUAGAACUGCCGCUUAUGUGAUCAACAAGCUUCCUCAACCAAGGUUAGAAUUUGUAUUGCCCUUUGAGAAACUGUGGGAUAUGAAACCUAUAGGUAGCUACUUUCGAGUAUUUAGCUGCGUGUGCUACGUUUGUUCCUAGUCAUCUACAUAGCAAGUUUGACAAGAAGGCAGUCAGAUGCAUCUUUGUGGGAUACAACAGAAAAAGGUAAAAUGUUGUAAUAUUUUGUGAGUGUAAUACAAGUAAUUUGUUUACUUGUUUAUCGCUCCAACACUUAUACUGUGUACUCUAAUUUUUCUCAACACACACCAACCUCUGCAUCCAGCCUGAUGAACUUAGAAUCCACAUGCUUCAAGGCAAGCGUCUUCAAAUGCUUAUCCAUUAUCCUAGAAACAACCAAGCAACGUAAGUUCGAAACACACUCACUAAUUCAUGUCAUAAUUUUCCAGACCAAAAUGCACUUACUUGCAUCUGUAGAACUCCCGGUGAUAAAAAUGGCAGAUGACCUUUUCGGUUCCGGUAACUUCACCCAAAAAAUCCCCCUCAGUUAUAUCCCUGUACUCUCCAUGCCCUUUCCUCUUCAAAGCUUCUCGCUUCUCAGCUUCUUUCUAUCCAAAAUUAAAAAAUUUAAACCAAACCCUCCGAACAAAAACACAAAUCCAAGAACCUCACAUCCCCAAAUCAAUCAAACACGAAAAAAAUCGAACCUUUAGAGCAUUAAUCCGAUCCGCGUGCAGUUUUUCAAGCUCCGGAUCCUACCCAUCCAAAAUAAUCACACAAAUCAUCGCUUUGCAAAUUGGGAACUUGAAAUGUACAUGAAAGAUGCAGAAUUGAAUCAAAUCGAACCUAAACUCGGAACUUACAUCCAUCAACUCGUCAAGGUCGACCUCCUGGUUGGCGGAGCUCGUGGCGGCCGCCUUCUCGUUGGAGAGCAAUUCCUUUUGGUAAUUGCGGGCCGCUGCGGCCAUUACAUUUCCAAAGGCUAGAUUUUGGAGAGUGGAUUUCACUGAAUCGGGAUCCAUGAUUCCUGAAAAUUGAAAAUUCUUCGAAUUUGGAAGCUGAUUGUACUGUGCUUCAGUGAUCGAUGGAGAAUUACAGAUCUAGAGUUAAGGGUUUAAUUCAAGCGCGAACUACCACUGAGGGGAGGUUUUGGUUCUGGAGAAGAAGUGAUAAAAAAGACUCGGUGUUCGGGUGAGAGUAUAUGAUUGGGCCUGGGCUUGGGCCCAAAUAAUACUAUUUUCAGCGCACCUUUCCCUACCGUAGGUUUUCUAGAUUGCACUCACAAUUCAAUCAAAACACCCAAUUUCGCUUACCACUCAACCCUUUUUGAAGAAAUUAUUUUUACUUCUUAUGAGCCAUAAAGGCACUUUCAAGCUUCUUUUUUUUUUCUUUUCCAAAAACGCUUAUGAGCAUGUAUAUAUAUGUUUAGUACUCAUUUGAAAGUGCUUUUAAAAUGACUGAAAAUACUUUUGGUGAAAUGUUUAUGGAACUAAUCCUUAGUGAAAAUGUAAGAGAAUAUUGGAAAAACACUUGAAGUGCACGGAAUUCAAACACAUUUUUUCUAAAAACACUUCAUUUAAAUGUAUUUUCAAACGAGCCCUAUAAAACAAAUCUCAAAUGAGCCAUUACCCAUAUGGCUGGUAUCCUUGUAAAUUGAUCGCUCGUUGUCUUUGAGUUGAUGUCCUUGAGGUGCCGUGUCGUAAAUGCGAGUCUUUAUAAUCUUUUAGGUCAAGUUCCGUCGUAGAUAAAAGAGAACCAUGAAGAUGAACAGAAAACCAAACGAUUUACACAAUGUAACAAAUGAACAAUGACAUCAAUGCAACAUAUACCACGAAGUUAUGUUCAUAGCCUCAUAUGAUUAUUCACAAGAAGGAAAACUGAACUGAACAUUUACUAGAACUCAACAAUGGCACAUGGAGUUUUCAUGUUUUCGUUUCUUCCUUCCAGACACCACCUUUAAACCCGACAUCCUCAAUCGGAAAGGACACCAACUCCGGACACCAACUUACAAUCACAACUCUUAACGCCGGCAUAACUUGUCCAACCCUCGCCCAUUCUUCGUGGAAAUCCGAAAGAGAUUCCAACAUUAAGCCCUCAAUUUUCCAAACAGCAUUGUCAUUAAGCCCCCAGAACCUUUCAUUCAUCUUCUCAAGAUUGCCUGAUGAUAUCGAAAGGUACCUCAAAAUAGGAAGCGAGAUGGGAUUGAGCCAGACUGGACUAAUCUUUCCGGGAUAAAACUUUAGACUCAGCUCAUGGAGCUGCUGAGGAGGGAACAACUUGUCAAGCUUGGUGACGAGAUCAUCAUUGUGGUGACUAUCGAAACAACUUAUUGACAGAUGCUGCAGUUCUUGUAGAUUUAUCAACACAUUGACCUCAGUAUCUCCAAUCUCAUCGGAGCAGGUUAGUUGAAGCCCGAGUGUCCUAAGUCGAAUUAAAUUUCUGAUCUCGCCGAUCCUGCAACCUUCUAACUGGCUUGAUUUGGCGGGUCUGAAUCCUGAUAACACUUCAAGAUUUGAAAGCCUUCCUAAGCCUUUAGGUAGAUAUUUGAGUGAACCGCAAUUGCUUAUGUCUAAAACCCUUAACUUCUUGAAUGUCACAAUGCAGGGAGGCAAUGUUUUUAAGUUUUGACAGUAGCUGACAUCCAAUAUCUGAAGGUUGUUAAGCUUGUCGAGCGAAGGCGGGAGUUGAACCAAUGGAUGCGUGUUGCUUAAGUUAAGGUAUGUUAGGUGUUGCAAAAAUCCAAUCUGAUUUAAAAGACUAGAGAGAGGCAUACUGAAGAUUGACCUUGAAAUAUCCAUUGCGCGAAGGUAUCUAGACUCGCAAAAUUUCUUUGCAGUGUGUGAACCAAUCUUGUUCACUUCACCGGUCUUAGUUGUAGACAACAAUGCUCUCAACUUAUGAUUGUCCUUCUGAAGUAUACUACUUGUAAUGCCCAAAUGGCGGCAAUUUCUACCAUCCGGUCUGAAAAAUGCAUCAUCUUCCGCCAUUUUUAUCACCACAUCGCGUACCAUGUCAUGAAUUUUACAUGUGGAGAUUGUUCCAUGAUAAGUCUUGUUGACCACUUCUAGCAAACAUCGAUUUGUUAGCCCUGAGAAGCAAUCUUCCCCUGCUGCAAUUGCUGAUCUACCACUUCUCAAAGGAAUAAAACCUUCUCCAAGCCACCAAUGGACCAACUGGUCUUUGGCUAUGAUGCAAUCCUCCGGGUAAAGUGACAAGCAGAGGAAGCAUGACUUCAAGUAAGAUGGAAGUUCAUCGUAACUCAAUUGUAGAGAAGCCAUAACCGAGUUAUCAUUUUCUGCUAACUCAUCACGAAAAUGGUCUGCAAUUCUCCUCCACUCAUGAUAGCGCGAUGGUUUACAAAGCAUUAUUCCUCCAACGGCCUUGAUUGCUAGUGGAAGGCCCUUACACUUCUCAACAAUCUCCUUUCCAACAUUUUCUAGCUCUGGAUACAUACACUCACCUCCAUUUUCCGCAAAUGCAAUCUUCCGAAAUAGCAGCCAACUAUCAUCUUUGCUGAGGCAUUUGGGCCAAUGUGAUCUUGCUUCCUUCACUCCCAUCUUCUGUGCAACCUUCUCUAUCCUCGUAGUAAUGAUGACACUACUUCCAUUUCCUUUUGGCAAUGCUUCAUUAAUUCUGAGCCACCAAGUAACAUCCAAGCUCCACACAUCAUCCAUCACAAUCAAAUACCUCUUGCCUAAAAGAUAUUCAUUUAUCUUCUUCAAUAAUUCACCCUUGUCGUCUCCUACACUAGCAUCUCCCAAGUUCCGUAAAAUACUUCUCAUGAUUUGUUCUUCAUCGAAUUUUUGAGAAACCGAUACCCAAAUUCUCCUUUCGAAGCGCUCCUCAAUUUUCCUGUCAUUAAAUACUUUUUGAGCAAUAGUAGUCUUGCCAAGUCCACCCAUUCCCACAACUCCAAUAGCUAGUAUGCCCUUGUCAGCCUCAAAUAACCAUUGUUUGAUCUUACUCGCAUCACCUUCCAAACCAACGACCUGCGUAUGGUCAUACACAGGACCGCUCCAUCUAGGCAAUAGGUCAUUUUGUGCAUCCAAUGGCUCCACUUGAUUCAAAAGUGGAACUCCAAGAUACGACGUAAUGUUCUGCUUAAUGUUACCAAUUUUCCGGUUGAUUUCUGCAAGGCUCUUCCCGGUUUGAUAUUGGAAUGGAAUUUUCGAAGGGUAGAUGCACAUGAACCAACCACUCGAAAGCAGACCAUCAUCUCUCGGGUGAAGUUGACAAUCUGCUAGUAUGUCUUCGGCUUCAUAAAUCAAUUCUCGCAAAGUCGCCAUGAUGCUGCGAACGGUCUCGUUCUUCCUCUUGAGCCGCUCUGCAUGUUUGAGAAAGCUUUGCAUUAGUUGGAGUUCGGAUUGUAAUGUUUCGAAUUGGCCCCUGAAUUCGCUAAAAAUUCGGCUCUCCUCCGAUAGAGCUCCUAGCAACUUCUCCAAGAACACAGUUACUACUGCAUCCACCAUCUUGCAGAAAUCUAAUAAGAUUAAAAGAAAAAUAUGUCAUGAAUUUUGAACAUUUGAGAAUAUACAAUCUUGCAAUUUAGUAGAUUAUCAAUCAUAUUUUACAGUUCUUUUUCCUAAUAUUAAUUGCCUCCUCAACAUUAACAGUUUCCAAUCCCUUUAUACAUUUGAACAACAACCACGACAUGUUAAAACCUAUAAAAAUUAGGCUCGUUUGAUGACCAUUUCAGCGUUCAAUUAAUUUUUCUGAAAAAAUAAACAAAAUGGUUAUCAAACGGCCAUUUAGAAAGAGAAUUCAAUCGCACUAGCGAAUUAUAAUGCAAGAAGAAGAAAUUGUAAUGUUAAAUCAAGGAAAUUAAAAGUUGCAUCAAUUGGGUUUUAUUCACUUUGUUAAUAUUCUCUGCAGACCAUGAGAUUAAUACUAAUUAGAGCAAAAUAAAGGCAAUAAAUGAAUAAUUAAAAAUAAUGAAGCAAAAUCCAAGAGUUAAUUAUUAACAAAACUUAGGAUCAAAGGGGAACUUACAACUCAAGUUCUGAACAAUCCUUUGUGAUUCUAUCUGCUUAUGACAACUUGAUGCUGCAAUCCUUUGUGCUUCUACGAUCUGCUUAACAGGUUCAAGUUCAACAACGAAUUUUACAAAACUAUCCUCGUUAGGUAGACCAGCAAUCCGUGGGUUUCGAAUUUCAGAAAGGCAAGAUGGUAAUUCCGUUCAACAGUCCUUGUUAACGCGUAAAAGUCAACUCUUCAUGUUUGACGAAGCUUCUUAGUGCCUUACUUGUAGACCAAAGACAUCCCUGUUUGCAAUGUAUUUUGCCAACUCAAUGGGGACAUUAUAGGGAGGGAAUUUCCUUACUCUCCAUCCCUCUUGCAUCCUCCUUAGUUCUUCUAACAUUAUGAGGAUUUUCUACUCUACCCCUGUGACAGGAUGUAUUAGUAUUUGAACGGCUAAAUAAAAUACAUAUAUAUAUAUAUAUAUAUAUAUAAUUUGUCAUAUAAAAAUCGAAUCUAUAUAUUUAUUAUGACACUUAAAGGGCACAUAUCAAACUAAGAACAUUUAGCAAUUUCAUUCUUUUUUUUUUUUAAGGAAAACUAAUGAAAAGAGUUUGAAAAUUUUGAGUUUUAACGAUAAGGACAAAAUAAAGGUAAAGUAAAUAGUACCAUGAUUGAUUUUUUAAUGUAAAAAUGUGGUUUUUCGUUAAAGUGAAUAGUAUGGAGAACUUUUCGUUAAAGUUCUUUUUUUUUCCUCAAGCUAAGAUGCCUCAUGACUUUUUGAUAUAACCAAAAACAGUGCAUGAGCAUGAUCUUGUCACGAGUGAGUCCGAACAGUGCCAGCCCAGGCUCAGUGCGAGCCGGGCGACCGUUCAAGCUCAAAAAAAUUAGGAGCAUCAAAAUUAUUAGAGUGGUAUAUUCGUAUAUGUUUUCAUAAGAGUAUAAGUUUUUUAAAUUUGAUUAAAUGACAAAGAAUUUAACUAGAACUAGUGGUUUUUGUUGUUGGAAAUAAAUUAGGAGGUCUUGGGUACAAAACAUCAUGUGUGUUUAUUUACCUUCCAAUAUUUACAAAAAUUCUUUUACUAAGAGUAUAAAUAUAUAAAAUUUGGCCAAAUGUUCAAAAAGUUUGACCAUAAGCGGUGUUUAUUUUGUUUAAAAUUAAUAAGGAGGUCUCAUGUUCGAAACACGGUGUGUUUUUUAAUUUCCAACUUUUACAAAUUUCUUUUCAUAAGAGUUUAAAUUUAUGAAAUUUGGCUAAAUUAUCAAGAGGUUUAAUCAGAAACAAUGUUUUUUUUUGUUUAAAAUUAACGAGAGGUCAUGAGUUCAAAAUGCUAUGUGCAUGUUUAUUUUUUUCAACUUCACUUAUCAUCUAUUUACUUGUAAUCUCGGGGGUUUUUUGGUUCCCUUCUCUUGACACAAAGUUUUUCUGUAUUUCUAAAAUAUUGAGUUUUUUAAAUAUAAUUUUAUCGAAGUCAUAUGUGAACAAAUAAUUUUCCUUAUAUAAUAAAGUUAGGGCACAUUUUUUGGCAUCGUCCUGGACCUCAAAAAUCUUAGGAACGGACCAUGAUCAGGGUGCUUGUGAGAGUCUGAGGCCAAGAAAGGAACCGAAAACUAUCCGAAUAUAAUUAGUUAUUCUCUGCCCUAGCCCAGCUCAUGUUAGUUCAACGAGUUCUCACUAUCCUGAUCAUCAACAUGAAAGCGACACGUUUCCUGCAUUUUUGCUUCUCGAUCAGUAGUUUCAGUUUUAUUAGUCCCUUCAACCUUCUUACAUUUGAGAAAUUUGACGAGGCCUUCAAGAACAGCAUCAACGUCAUCUCUCCUCAUGCGCUCCUCACAAACCUCUGCAGCGUCAGUUCCCUAUCGAGUAUCAACCCUUCAUUUUCUAUGUAUAUGCAAAGAUGAUGCCGAUUGCCGUUGUGAAUACCCAAGGUAGUUCGAUGAAGCAGAGAAAAUCAAGGAAACAAGGAAACAAGGAAAGUGCAGUGUUUUGACAGUAAUGAAAGAGAUAAAGAUACUUCAAAUCGACGUCAAUGGCAAAAAAGGUUUUUAUAGAGGGAAAAUGGUUUCAAAAUCCAAAGGCACACGCAGUUUUUUCAAUGCUUGGCACCUUGAACAUCUGCAAAAAGUAAGUGAGGUGCCAUCUUCUAAUAUUCUUGUAAGUACACAAUAGUUUAAAGAUUUAAAACAAAACAAUUUAGAGCUGUUAUUAGCACUCUAAAAAAGUUAUCAUGCAUGAUGCAUGCAAACAAGAUUUAACCAAGGUUGCUAGAGCAUUAUGCUCUACCUUUUGCACUCAAGUUUGAAUCUCCCUUCUCAUAUUUUAGAUAAAUUUAAUGUAAUUAUCCUAUUAUUUGUCAAAAAGUCAUAAGCAAAAAUAAAAGAGAGAAUAUACUUAAGAACCUAAAACCAGCUGAAAAUGUCCUUGGAGUCCACUAUCCAGACCAAUUUACAGGAACUGAAGAGUACAUCUAGAUCAAUUAAUUUAACACUUUUUAUUCAAUUGCAAAUUAUUGUGUAGUUUUGUUGUGCAGUGGAGAAAAUAUGUUAAUCUAAACAAGAUAGAACAAGUAGCUUACACACACAUUUUGUAUAAUUGUUCACCUAUACUACACACAAGGAACCACACGUUUUAUGGAUCGACAAUACCGACAUCAUUAAACCACAUAAACUGACGAGGGGCUGGAAGAGUUAACGGCAAGUUCAGGACAAUAAACGGGUAUGGGUCGGGUUCGGAUAUUUGAAAAAAAAAUUUGAGUCGGAUAUAAAGCGAUGCUGGUAUUUUUAUUUCCCAACCAAAUCCGAUCCGAUUAUGUAUGUAUAUUAAUAUAAUUUUUAUAAAUUAGCAUGCAAUAAAUACAUAGAAAAGUAUGCGGUUUCACUUUUAAACAUAAAUUUAGGGUUGUCGUCUUUAACCCUAAUCAUAUUCCCUGUAUAAUGCAUCUACAGUUCGUGGUAAAACUUAUAUGAAAUUUUAUUUUUUUGAUGUCAUGGGAAGAUCAUGUUUGGUUUUAAGUUACUCAUGUUUUGAUGUUACGCAACACUGCAAGUGGGUUGUGCGCAUGCAAGACAUAAAACCUAACACCUCUCUCUUUCACUUUAGAUGUAGAGAACAACUUGUAUGACACAAAUUCAACGUGUUACGGUGGUGUCCCAUCUCAAUAACACAUAAACAUGUAUAAACUCAUGACACGCAUGUUGUAUCUCUCGGUCCGACUCACAAUUCCCAUAGUCAAAAUUCAAACCACUGUGGUACAGCAUGUACCGAUUCUUCACGUGAUUGAGAAUAUUUUUGGACAACAUAUUAGGCAAGAUAUUUUGUUUAGACACUGAAAUUUGUAUGCUCGUACUCUCUAUGUCUUGCCAUUUUUGCUUGCACUACAAGACAACAGUUCAUCUACCACGGGUUUUAUCAGCUUGUUGUAAAAAGUAUAAAUUUACCACAGACAUAGUAAGUGCGUGAUGAAUAAUAAUUUUUUACCACGGGUAAAUCUUAGCCCGUUAUAAAAUAGUAGUUAAUAAUCACGCGCAAAGUUGCACAUUAUAAAUAUUCUAAGUAACUACGGACAAUGCUCGUGGUCAAUAUUGUUAGUAUCCACAAUGUCUUUUUAUUAUCUACCACAAGCAUAAUGUGUGAUAGAAUCAUAAAUUCACAUAUUUGGAGGAGGCGGGACACCAAAAUUUUAGACAUCUUUUGUUGAAAUUUCAAAUUUUUUUGACAAAUCCACUUUUUGCUCUAUCUCCUUUCCAUGUCCAUCUCUUCCACUUUAUCUUCCUUUCCCUUUUCCAAAAACAAAAACAAAUUCUACCCCCUUUCAACUACGCUCCCACGUUUUUCCAAAGCUCAACCGCUUCGGUUUCUUAAAACAAAAAAAAAAAAAACAUCAUAAUUUGUCUCUCCCCGAUUUCCCAUAAUUUAAUUUGCAUCUGCUACAAUGGUGUGUUGUAUGUUAAUCCUAUCAAUGUUCUAUCCAGUCUCUUCGGAAUAUUUCUCUGCCCCUGGUAAGUUUCUUCACUAAAUCUUCAAGGACCUGUUUGAAUUUUAAACUCUCUGUGUUAUUUAAAUUCAGUUUUUCUUUUGUACUUUUUUUUCUCAAUAUCUUUUUGUCAGUUGCUACAAUGAUUGUUAAAUUAUGAAGCAGGGGAAUCUUAGGUGAUGGAAAUAUCAACAAAUUUUACACCGGUGAUUUCAUAUAAUUUUUUUUUCCGUAACUAAUUUAAUUUUUCCUUUGUGAAUGUUGGUAUUGUAGGUAACAAUCACAAGAAGCUUACAGAAAUGAAGCAGCAAAUUGUCGAGACCAAUUUGUGCUUGACAAUGGCAUUUUUUUCUUAAACCCAUCAGUUUAGAUUUACUUGAGUUUAUUUGUUUGCGUAAUCUAUUUUACAUGGUUUGAAUGCAACAAUCAGUUUGUUCCUUUCUUUUUACUUUUGUUUCUUUCCAUUUGGUUUCUUUGCAAGUGUCUUUGCAGUGAAGUCUGCAGACCUGAAAGAAAUUUGUGCAUAGCGAGGUAACAGUUGUGGAGGAGUGUAGAGAGGAGAGGUUAGUGACUAUCUUAAGAGGACGGGUCACGUACUAUCCUACAUAUCUAACUUCUCUUUGUAAUACGUAGCAUGAUCAUUUUUAUCUUCAAGUAUAUCUAUAUCAGAUGGAAUCAGAUGGAAAUGUAUUUUUAAUUUUUUUUUCAUACCUUGAUAUGAAAAUGAUUAUUUUUGUUGAUUUGGUGGUUAUGUUCAGUAACAUAUGAAGAACUACCAAAUUCGACACUAUGUACCAUGCGUUCGAAUGUUUUAAUUAUGCACAAAAUAAUAAAAAAGACCUUAUUUUUCUUUCUUGAUAAAAAGUGUUGGUGUUUUGCAGGCACUUGCAAACUUAAAGUGUGAUUGGCUUGCUGGAGAUGUGUGUCUUCUGGAAGAAACGAUUGAAGAGAAGAAGAUCAUCAUUGGAGGACGAAUGUUGGAACUAGGACUUGAGUUUUGUUUUAUAGUGUGAAAUAAAGCCUCUACAUGUUUUGGUGAUUUUGGUAUUUCUUAAUAUAUAUAUAUAUAUAUAUAUAUAUAUAUAUAUAUAUAUAUAACUACUCAUUUUGUUGUUAUUUUUGGUGUAAUAUUUGAAUAUGUGAAUUUUUAUAGAUUAAAUUUGCAAUUUUGUAUAUAAAUAUCUUUAUAUAUAUAUAUAUAUUACUUGUUUAUUUAUUAAAUAAUUUUUUUUUAAUUUUUGGAAAUCUUUUUAUAACGGGCAUUAGCCGUGGUCAAUUUGUAAUCCACAAUGGCCAUAGCACGUGAUGUUAGAUCCCAAUCUACCAUGGGCACAAUCCGUGGUUACAUUGCAUUUGACAAUGUGCAUAGUCCUGGUAAAAGCAAAGACUUUUUAUCACAUCCAGAAUACUAACGGGCACGAUGUCCGUGGUAGAUUGCACUUUACAACGGGCAUCCAACGUGGUAGAUGAGCUUUUUUCUUCUAGUGUUGUGUACUUUACUAAGAAUGAGUACCAAUUCAAACUUUUAUCUGCAUCUCUCUGAAUCUUUCUAAGAACAGAGACAGAAGAAAGAGAUCACUGCUUGGACACUAAGCUGCCUAUAAGAAUUAAAAUUAAAAUUUAAAAAUUUAAAUAUACAAUUUGCUCAACUUCUCCACAAGACACACCUUUUUGUAAGAUGAAGACAAUGUUUUCUCUCAACAAUCCCAGAGAAAUGCCCACAACGGUGUCGUCUUUGUUCUCAGCCUACGCCUCCUUCGCCGGAUCCAUGAUGCUGGUCCGUUCCAUUGCCAGAGACCUCUUCCCACAGCCCCUCAGCUCAUACAUUUUCUCAAAACUCUCUCGCCUUUUCAGUACCCCUUUCUCCUCCAUAACUCUCGUCAUAGAAGAGUUCUCCGGCGCCGCACGCAACCAGGUCUACGCCGCCGCCGAGGUCUACCUCCGGACCAUCAACAACAUUACUCCUUCCACUCACCGCCUCUGUGUCGGAAAAAAUAUCCGGCAAAAGACAGUCAGCCUCGCCCUUGACAACAGCGGACAGCUCGAAGACGCCUUUGACAAUGUGAAUCUGACGUGGCGUUUCAAGGUGAGGAAGGAAAAGUCUGGUGCUGAACAGCGUCAGUUCGAGCUGAGCUUCCACAAAAAACACAAAGACAAAGUGAUGGAGUCCUACUUCCCCUACGUGCUUGCUAGGGCUGACGCCAUCAAAGAAGAGCAAAGGGUUGUGCAGCUUUAUUCCCGCCAUUUAAUGUCUGAUACUGAUUUCAAAGGCAGGUGCACAUGGGGUUCGGUGAAUCUGGAGCACCCGUCUACGUUCGACAUGAUGGAGAUGGACCCCGUGACGAAGAGGAUGAUUGUGGAGGAUUUAGAGAGGUUUGUAAGGAGGAGGGAGUUUUACAAGAAGGUGGGGAAGGCUUGGAAAAGAGGCUACUUGCUGUAUGGUUCUCCCGGGACCGGAAAAUCCAGCUUGAUUGCCGCCAUGGCUAAUUAUCUCAAGUUUGAUGUGUAUGAUUUGGAGCUCACUAGCAUUCAAAACAACAAUGAGCUGAGGAGGGUUUUGUUGUCCAUGACAAAUCGUUCGAUUUUGGUGAUUGAGGAUAUCGAUUGCUCUGUGGAUAUACAGAACGGGGAAUCGAAUAAAAGGUCUCAAGAUAUCUCUCAACGAUCUGCUUCUAACAAGGUUAGAGUCCCCAUUAGUUCUCGUAAUUUUUUUAGUCUAAUCUAAUUUUUAGUGGACAUUUAACUAACCUUCAAUCCAUAAUCUUAGAUGAAUAGUAGUUUACUAUCGUCAAAUCUUGUUGUUUGUAACUCCUUGUUAGCUAGAUGGCUCUGGAAUAGAUGCUAUAACUCAAUUUAACAUGGUAUCAGAGUCAUCGACAUGUUUAUCUAACGUAGCUCAAUUAUAUUGAGUAACAUUAAGUAACAAAUUUGCACGCUCUAAUACAGUAGAUUAAAGUAAAAAUUUUGAAACAAAUCAAUUGGUUGAGAGGCACAAAAUGUUGUAUGCAUUGGGAUAAGACUUGCACUGCGCAUAUAAAGCUAGGUGAGAUGAUAUUAUAUUACGUUCAUUUUGGUUCGAUUCGAUUAGGAUUUCUUUUUAUACGAUUUUUCCUUUUUUUUUUUUUUUUUUUGCCUCAGUUUGGCUGCUUUUUUGUGUUUGUUUUUCGAACCCACCCCUAAUGAUGAUGCAUUGACAUGUUAUGACAAAUUGGAUAUAGCAGUUGACACUUUCAGGCCUACUGAAUUUCACCGAUGGGCUGUGGUCGAGCUGCGGCGACGAGAGAAUUAUCGUGUUCACAACAAACCACAAGGAACAGCUAGACCCUGCAUUGUUGCGUCCAGGUCGAAUGGACCUGCACAUUUACAUGUCCUAUUGAACCGCAGCUGGGUACAGGAUCUUGGCCGCCAACUACCUUGGCAUUCAAGAAAACAACCGUCAUCGCCUCUGCGGAGAAAUUGAAGCGCUGAUAGAGAGCACAGAGAUUACCCCGGCAGAGGUUGCUGAGGAACUGAUGAAGAGUGAUGAUGUUAAUGUGGCUCUUGAAGGACUUGUCAAUCUGCUCAAAUGUAAGAAGGCCGCCAAAAGCAAUGAAACGGAGGAUUAAGGGAAAGCAAGGAGUUCAGGUUCAGAGGAGUAAUUAACUAAGCUAGUUUUAUUUCAUCUAUGCUUUUAUAGACAUCAACGUUAAUUUCAUGUCGUAUCAGUUUGAACUUGGGAUUAGUAAUCCAUCUGUUGCUCAUAUGUGCCCGUUAAUUUGGUUAGUUCGUUUGAAUUUAAUUAAGCUAACCAAAAGUUAAUCAUGAGGUUGUUUACUUUUAUUCUUAAGUUCGCAUACUUGUUAGUAAGCACAACAGUCAUGUAUAUGUCCGCAUGAAUUCCAGCUCAAACUCGAUCCAUCCAGCGGAGUCCCAAAGUAAGAAUAACCACCUUAUAAAAUGAGUAUAAAACAAAUAUAAAGACAAAAUGAAUCUCUAAUGAAUCAGAAAGUGAGUUUCUAAAAUAUAGAGGACUCACCGAAUACUUGGUGUAUGUAUCUAUAUAUAAAGACUUCAUAGGGGCUCAACCUGUAAAACCAUUUUGUGAAUGACAAUGAAUUAUGCCGAGAAUAAUUGAGGGAAUAGUUGACUUGACAAUCAAGUUAAUGAAAUUUCUAGGACUCUUGGUGCCUUAAGGAACUAAACAUAUUGGAGUCCUAAUUCUAUGUAAUCAAUUAAGGGUCUUUAUUAAGUAAAUAUAAGGAAUAAGAGUCAUGAUGAGACUCUAAUUGAUUAGAUAUGAUUUGGGUUGAUAUCUUUUCCAAUAAUAGGGAGGAAUUGGUUGAAACCCUAGCUAUAUAACUUAAGAGCAGUUUCCAUACUAACUGAAUAUCACGAAAACUACAAGCUUAUUUCGAUAAUAGAGUUCAUUGAGAGGUACUGGAAGCAGAAGACUACUUCUUCUUUGUUCACUUUGUUCGCAAGGAUCAAUGACUUCAUCUUCAUAAUCAUGUCUUCCGUAUUCUACAGAUAAGUUUAAUAUAAUUAGUCGAUUUUUAUUUUAUAUAUUGAUUUGAUUUAUUCGUGAUCCUAAUGUCUUGUUGUUGUGAUUUCAGAAUAUGUCUUACACAACCUUCAUUGAAAAACAAGACCGACAACCUUGGUUUCUGUUGUGUGGUUGGAGUUCAAUCGCCUCCGACUCUCGUUGGAGAAAUUUUUUAUUGUGACGGGAAUAUAGGUGGUAUACCACGUAUUUUUAUGUAAAUGGUUGGAAAUUUUAUUUUUUAAGUUAUUAACUUUUUAACAUACAUAUCUCACCAUUUAUAUAGUUACACUUGAUGUACCAUCCUAUGUGUCGGUCAUUGAAAAAUCUCUCCAGCUGCUGCUGGAUUCGCCUGCAGCUGGCCCCACAACUUGAUCGCCGCUGUCCUAAACCCCCAGCGCACAUGGCCUUUUGCAAGCAUGAAAACCACAAACAUGAGUGAUGACCGACGUUUCCCCUUAAAAUUUCAAACGUUGUGGAUUAUUUCUCAAGGGCUUGUUUGGUAUUUCGCAAUCAUUUUUCAAGUUGCGGUAAAAGGACAAGCAUAAAUAUAGGUUUUGAAUGAUGACCAAAAAAGAAAUCUUGGUUUUAAAUGCUAGUGUUUUUGGAAACUUCGUCGACAAGCGAAAAACAAUUGGUGUCAGAUUUGAAUUUUUUUAAUUAAAAUGUUUAUAAAAAUAUUUUACAACAACGUAACGGUAAAUUAAUUCAAGAAAAAAUUAACAUAAAUAAAAAAUAUGUACCUAAUCAAAUUAUCACAUGAAAUUGUAAAAACUUCAAAUUUAAGACUUCUACUAUAAGAAUUCUACUAUUCGAGGCAAUAUCCCUUGAGGACACAAAGAUUCUUUUUGUGUUAUCAAAGGUGGUGGUGGGAACAGGGACUCCCAUUGAAAAUGCUAUAACCUUUCAAAAUCAAACCGAACCGGAUAUAAUCGGGUUGGUUUAUGAUUCUUGGCUAAUUAAUCUAAUAUGAAAUUAAGUAGACCGGUUUGUCUUAUUUUUAUUUUGUUAAUUUUAUUUUCUACAUGUCUAAUUCUUGAUGCUUGAUUCUACAGUGAAUCUUAUAGAAUUGAUCAUGAUGAAAAUGCUCAAGCCAACGAAGGUUGCCUCAGUUGGUUGUGUGUCGCCCCAUCAAAGUUUGAGUCCUUUUGCAAGCAAUUUUUGUGGGUGUGCGAUCUAUAAAUUUCUAAGUAAAUCCAUUACAGUGGCAACUGGCAAUUAGAUGCCACGCGUAAGCUUUCAGCUCAAAAUUGUGAAUAUACCAUGAUGUUGGUGGUAAGAGUAACCAAUCUCCCUCUAAACUUUUAACAAACAAACAAACAAAAAAACAAAACAGAGGUUGAGGGAGCAACGGUUGACAAAUCUGAAGGGAGCAAGGAUAUUCCCGAUUGGUGGGUUUGUACAAGAGAUAUUAAACCCAAUUUCUCAAAAGUCUAAUAAAUGUGAGCCAAACCAAACCAAAUCAAACCAUUUUUAUAUUGGUUCAGUUGAUCAAAUUGAUACGGUCAUUCUUGUGGAAGAUCAAAUGUCCCUAUCCGAUUAAAUAUAGGGCUUGAUAUUUAAAAGGAAAACUAAUGAAAAAUGCUUGAAAACUUUGAGUUUUAAUGAUAAGGACAAAAUAAAGGGUAAAGUGAAUAGUACCAUGAUUGACUUUUUAGUGUAAAAAUAUGGUUUUUCGUUAAAGUGAACAGUACCGGGUGUUUUUCGUUAAAGUUCCCAUAUUUAAAAUGUUCAAAGAAAUUCAAACUGAACUGAAUCAUGCUCAACCCCAACUAAACCUCCACAAGUAGGAUAUCAAUUUCUAAAGCCUUGCUCUCCUGCGCAUUUAUUUCAUAAAAGAGAAUGACCAAGAUUUUUUUUUAUUUUUUUAUUUUUUUUAUCAACAAAGCGCCCAAGAUUAAAUUAAAGCUCAUUUAGUUAAAUCUCAACUAUUCACUCGCGAAAAAAAGAAGAAGUGAAUUUUCAUAAUUUCCUAUUCAACCAACAAGAACAAAAACAAAACUUUUGAGCCCAUAAUAUUAUGGGGUGUGAUAUUCACAUACCCUAUUUUACUUUUCACACACCCUUCUAAUUUUCAGCCAUCGAAUCAGAUGAAUUGAAGAAAGUCAACAGGUAGAAAUUAACAAUGGGUGUGUAAGAAGUAAAAUGGGGUGUGUGGAUAACACACCCUAAUAUUAUAACCCACAGCCCAAAAAUAACUUCUAAAGGUUAGAUAAAUUUUUCGUUAUGACGGAAAUAUGGGUGGUACACUGCAUGUUUUUAUAGAAGUAGUGGGAAAUUUUAUUUUUUAAGUUAUUAAAUUUAACACAUAUAUUAUACCAUUUGUAUAGUGACACGUAAUGUAUCAUCUCGUGUUACCGGUCACAUUGAAAAAUCUCUCCAAAGGUUGCAUGUGCAAUGUGCAACUUCCAAAUAUGGACAUGGAUCCUCUUCGGAUCCAGUUGUCAUAAUCCACCUAGUCAAAUCAUCCAGGCCAUUGAAAUUUGAUCAAACGGUUAAAAUUAUUAUAACUUUUAAAGUGAACUCCUGUUUGUAGCAGUUGAAUCAAAUUUCAAUGGCCCGGCUAAAAUUAUUAUAACUUUUAAAGUGAAUUUUAAUUUGUAACCGUCGUAUCAAAUUUCAAUAGUCCAGAUGAUUUGAUAGAUUAGAACAACUGAAUCGGGAGAGGAUCCAUGUCCUCCAAAUAUUAGAGGUGAGUCAAACCUCCAGACCAAAUUGGACUGUGCCUGUGCAAUGUGCAUCGCACCACAACAGCUCCUUCCAGCUCAACAAACAAUAAUGGUAGUUCCAACAAGAAAAGGACUAGAAAUUGACUAAGUUAAAGUAAACCAAUUACCACGUUUACUACUAUUUCCAGUUUCAAACUGCAUACCAAAAAGCAUAUAUCAAACCCAAUCAAUUAGCUUAAUUAAGUAGUUCUCAAUUACUAACUAUAUAUCUAAUUAACAACCUUCAAGUUCACUGCAUGUCGUUGUACUUUGAUUCUUUUUAGUAAUUUAGAAACCAAGUUGAACAAGCUGUUACUCUACUGCUUCACCUUCAUCACUGGCAUUGUGAUCCGUUUUCGGCCUCUUCGCUUUUCUGGCCUCCUCCUCCUCCUUUCUUUUUUCGCUCUCGAUCCUCUUACGUUUGAGAAAAUUGACAAGUCCUCCGAGGGCAACAUCAGCAUCGUCGCUUUUCAUGAGCUCUUCAGCAACCUCUGCAGGGGUCACCUCUGUGCUCUUGAUCAACCCUUCGACUUCCCCGCAAAGACUAUGAAGGUUGUCCUCAUGAAUAUCGAGGUAAUUAGAAGCCAAGACCUUGAAUCCACUUGGAGUGCAGUAUGACAUGUGAAUGUGCACGUCCAUUCGCCCCGGACGUAACAAUGCAGGGUCUAACCGAUCCUUGUGGUUGGUCGUAAACACGAUAAUUCUCUCGUCGCCACAACUCGACCACAAACCAUCGAUGAAAUUCAGUAGCCCCGAAAGCGUCAACUGCGGCAGCCAAUUUUUCAGGAUUAACAAAUGAACAUCAUCUAAUCCGAAAUCAUCUAACAAAGAGUUGAGAGACAAAAAUCUAACAUAGCUAGGCUUUAAUAUGUACAAAUUACCAAAGUAUGAAAUAAAAAUCGGAUUAGAUAUAAGCGAUUACAAAAAAAAAAAAAAAAACAAGUAGAGACUGACCUUGUUAGAAGUAGAACGUGUAGGGUCUUGAGACUUAUCCUCCCAGUUAUCCCGGUUCUGCAAAUCCACAGUGCAAUCGAUAUCCUCAAUCACCAAAAUCGAACGAUUCGUGGUGGACAACAACAGCUUCCUCAAAUCACUGUUGUUCUGAACGCCACUGAGCUCCAAAUCAUACACAUCAAACCUGAGAUAAUUAGCCAUGGCGGCGAUCAAGCUCGAUUUUCCCGUUCCCGGUGGACCGUACAGCAAGUAACCCCUUUUCCAUGCCUUCCCAACCUUCUUAUAAAACUCCUUCCUCCUCACAAACCUGUCCAAAUCCUCCACAAUCAUCUUCUUCAUCUCCGGUUCCAUCGCCACCGUGUCGAACGUCGACGGGUGCUCCAGAUUCACCGAACCCCAUUUCCUCUUGCUGUACGAACGAUCGUACUCGGAGCACAAAUGGCUGGAGUAAAGCUUCACAACCUUUUCCUCUUCUUUGAUGGCGUCAGCCCUAGCAAGCACGUACGGCAAGUAGGACCCUAUCACUUUGUCCCUGUGCUUCCUGUGGAAGCUGAGCUCGAACUGAUGUGUGUUCCCGUGCUUUUUAUUCUCCGUCACCGUGUACUGCCAUGUCAGAUCGACGUUCUCGAAGGUGUCGGCGACUUGCUGGUUUUUGUCCAUGGCGCGGCUGAUGCUCCUCUGCCGGUUUGUUUUUCGGACACGGAAGCUUUUGGUAGAAGGGCUGAUGUUGAUGGUCGGAAGGUAGACCUCGGCGGCCUGGUAGACCUGGUUGCAGGCAGCGCCGGAGUACUCUUCGAUGACAAGAGUUAUGGAGGAGAGGGGGGUGAAAAGGUAAGAGAGUUUGGAGGAAAUGUAUGAGCGGAGGGGCGGCGGGAGGAGGUCGUUGGCCAUGGAGCGGACCAGCAUCAUGGAUCCGGCGACGGAGGCGUAGGCUGAGAACAGAGACGACGCUGUGGGGGGCAUUUCUUUCAGAUUAUUGAGAGAAAACAUGUGUUGUAAUCUUCUUCUUACAAAGUGGUGUCUUAAGAAGUUUAGAACUCGAGAGUAUAAUUUAUAAGAAAACUAAUCAAAAUGAUUUGAAAAUUUUGAGUUUUAAUGAUAAGGACAAAAUAAAGGGUAAAGUGAAUAGUAUCAAGAUUGACUUUUUAGUGUAAAAAUGUGGUUUUUCGUUAAAGUGAACAGUACCUGGUGCUUUUCGUUAAAGUUCCCUAAUUUAUAUGGGUAAAUUUUAGAAAUGAUCAUUUAACUUUAAUUAAUUUGGAGCAAUGACCUUUAACUAAAAAUUUGUUACCAUUGAUCCCUUAACUCAUCAAAAUGUGUAGCUAUGAUUAUUUUCGUCAACUUUGUCAGAAUUUUGUCAAAAUAAGUUAUGUUGGAAGGAUCAUGGUUACAAUUGGGAUCCAUUAACUCAUCAAAACUUGUAACUAUAGUCAUUUUCGUCAACUUCAUCAGAAUUUUAUCAAAAUGAGUUAUGUUAGGAGGAUCAUUGCUACAAUUGAGUUAAAGUUGAGGCUCUAUUAAUCUAAUUGAGUUAAAACUGAGAGACAAUUUCUCUAGUUGGAUAAAUGUUGAGGGACCAAUAAUAAUUGAUUUUUAGUUGAGGGACCAUAGCUGCACGUUUUGAUGAGUUAAGAGAUUAAUGGUAAUAGAUUUUUAGUUAAGGAAUCCGUAUUCCAAUUAAGUUAACAUUAAAAGACCAUUGCUACAAUUUACUCAAUUUAUAUUUAUCAACUAAUUAUUGGAGGUUGCUUAAUCUCCAAGCAGAGUGAUAUCUUUUUUCUGUCUGUUUUUUUUUUCAGAGUUUCAGAAUUGCAGAGAGAGAGAGAGAGAGAGAGAGAGAGAGAGAGAGAGAGCAGUUAGAUGUAGUCAAUUUUUUUCCAAGAGAAGGAGUUUUCCAGACAAAUAUGCCAACCUUUCCUUGCCUUAAAACGCGUGAUAAAUUGACCAGACAAAAAAUAAAAUAAAAACAAAAAUGCUUUAUUUUUUUAUUUUUUUUAUACUGUCACUAAUCUAGGUCUUUUACCUCCUAAAAAAUGUGGUAAUACUUGAAAUCGUAAAAGCAUUACUCUUAUCAUAUUCUUUUUCACACCACAUUCAUAACCAUCUCUAUAAUAGAGAUAGACCCACAUGUGUUGAUGUGUCUUAUUUUAUUAAAAAGAUAAUACAAAUGUAGUAUAAAAAUGUGAUGAGUGUAGUAUUACAAAAUGUGAUGAGUGUAGUAUUACUCAAUAAUAAAGAGCACAAUAUUGUUAUGUCCACAUGAUUUGAAUCGUAUAAAUAAAAGGGAAUUUUCCUCACAGAUCUUUGAAGUGCAAGUUGGACCAAUGAAAGCAAACUUGUAUGAUAUAUAUACAUUAUCAUGGUUAUUUAACUUAUUUGUCACGUUAAUAAUACAAUGACACGUAAAAGAAAGCUACCGCAUAUCUUUUUAAUUUUUCACACAAAACGUCAAUACAAGUCCAUUUCACACAUGACCCUUUUGGUCUCAUUAAAAAUAACACAUGGUUUUUUACUCUUGAUCCACAAACAUCCAAAAGAAAGAUGGGCCGGGUCACAAGGCCCACAACA
This 204686-nucleotide long non-coding RNA is filed under the name Malus domestica (apple). Lineage: Eukaryota; Viridiplantae; Streptophyta; Magnoliopsida; Rosales; Rosaceae. The record is from RNAcentral.